RNAcentral lists this long non-coding RNA (257104 nucleotides) under Populus tremula. Its description in RNAcentral is "long non-coding RNA (PTRE_LNC001605)". The stretch from base 163782 to 163937 matches the Rfam family "MIR2912 microRNA precursor family". The record is from RNAcentral. Lineage: Eukaryota; Viridiplantae; Streptophyta; Magnoliopsida; Malpighiales; Salicaceae.
UGGACACUUUUCAAGAAUUAUAACAACAAAAUCAGUGGAUUCCGGUUCACUGCUUUGGUUUCCUAAGUAGACAUGAAGAAUGGUGUUCUCGUCUGGAGUCAAUAACUGAUCAAGGCGGGUUUGAUAAUUCUCAAAGGGACCGAUAUCGCCUUCAGCUGCAGCUUUGAACAAGACAGGAUCCAUAUAGGUCGUCAUACUAUGUUGUAGCUUAGAGAAACUAACUAAAUGAAAAGUAAACACAUGAAGGGGAGGCGAAAUUAACCACUGUGGCUCAAAGGCAAGAGGUUCCACUCCUCAACUGAUCACAAGCUGCUGAUUUCUUCGGUAUUUAAAGGAAGAAAAAGCGUUCAGAACCACAAAUUACAUUUAUUUUCCUUUUUGAUAUUUUGUCGCAAUAUCUUUUCUUUUGCCCUGCCGGAAAGUUAUAUCUGUUUUAUCAAGAUAAUAAGAAAAUAAAAAAUAAAUUGUUUGGCUCAUCCAUCAUUAUUAGUGAACUUGGACUCGUCUAUGUCUAUGUGUAUCCACGUCACUUUUGUCACCCAAAUACCUUUCUUUCGGUUCCAUGUUAUGAUGGGCACAUUAUCCACGUCACCUCUCUCUCUCUCUCUCUCACUUCAUUUUUUCUUUUCUUCGCAUAUUUAAUUUCUUUUUUUUUUUGUUGCAAUCUAUCUGUGCAUAUUUAUCUAACCCAUAAUUCUAACUCUUAUAUAAUUCUUUGUUUAUAUCACUCUAACAUUUAUUUUUUCUUUUUUCUCCUCUCUCUGUUAUUUUCUCUAAUUUAUACACCAUUUGCUAUACACAGGAACAAAAAAAUGAAAAGGCAAAAAAGUGUGAUUAAUUGUAUUAAAACACCAUUUCCUAUACACUUAUACUAGAAUAGUUUUUCUCAUGUUCUUUAUAUUUCUUUUUGUACUUAUCUUCAUGUAUAUGAACUUUUCAAAUAAUUAUUCCAAUAAAAAAUUUAUAUUUUUGUUAGGAUACAUUAUAAUUUAUUAAAUAAUCAUUUCAAUUUAAGAAUUCAAGUUAUUGAAAUUCGUAACUCUUGACAACUAAAUUUUAAUAACAUAUAUAAAAAAAAACAACAAUUAAAUUCAAGAGCUCAAUUACGGCAGCUCCCUCUUUUCAAUACGAAUUAGUAUAAAAACGCUUACAAGUCUAGCUAGUACUUGGAUUAAUUAGCCAAAAGUACCUCCUGUCAACGGCCACUGUCAAGAAACAACAGUCAUGCAAGAUGAUUUCCUCUGAUGUUGCAUCAUGCUGCAGUAAAAAAGCAACAGCGCCCAUUCAAGAAUCAUCAAACUUCUCUAAACCAGCUAUUCACUCCACACACAAAAAAAAAAAAAAAAAAAAAAAAAAACAAACAAACAGUUCUUCAUAUUUAAGGCCUUAUUUGAAAACCGGGUCAAUCCAUGUUUUUAAAAAAUUUAAAUUUAUAAUAUUUAAGUUUUUUUUUGCUUAUCAUAAAAGACAAUAGAGAUGAAAUGCUUUCUAUCGUAAUAGGUGACAAAUGCUCAAAUGUGAAUAAAUCACUUGUCCGCCUAAUUAUUUUUUAGGACAAUAAGAAGUUUUCAAAAAGCAUUUAUUGUUAAUUCCCUCAGCAUAACUUCCUAGCAAUGCAAAGGAUUCUGAAACACAGAAUAAAAGGAAAGGAUUACCAUGCUGACACUCUUUUUUUUUUUUAAAAAAAAAAAACCUGAUACUUAGACACUUUUAUAUAUUAAAGCACCUCCCUACAUCGGACGUGAAAUAAAAACACACACAUAUGUGCAAGUGUAUGCACACCUCCGCGCCCACACGUAAACUAAAUCAAUAUAAAUAUUGGAUGUACAUUCAUAAAAACAUUAUUUAGCAAAUGAAACUAAAACAUUUUAUCACAAUUUAAAAAACAAUUGUGAGUAUUUUUUUUUCCUUCUUUUAUAAGUAGAGAAUAUUGAUACUUUAACAAUAGUGUUGAUAUCUAAGUAUUGUAAGUAAAGAAUUUAUAUAUAUAUAUAUAGAGAGAGAGAGAGAGAAUAUUGAUACUUUAACACAUAUAUAUCAAAGUAUCUCUCGUUAUACUAAUAAUUUUCAGACAUGAAAAAGUUAAUCAAACACAUUACCUGUAAUCUAAAACUUGUGAGGAAAGUACUAUGGCAAUAAUACUUUCCCCACAUUUUCCCACAUGUUUUGUGACUCUAAAAAAUACAUCUUUUUUUUGUUUUUAUUUUUUUCAAUCAAUGUUUUUUUUUUUUAAUUUUAUCAUUUUAUAUUAGAUUUUUUAUUGGGUUAUCUCACUCUCAAGACAUGGAUUGCAGGUGUCGCACGUGUGCGGCGGCGCGGCGAUCAUCCACCCUCAAGGAAAAAUCGGAAUAUUUAUUCUUGGAAAAUAGGGAGAGACAAGGAAUUCUUGUCUCUACAAGUGAAAAUAUGGACUGGGAGUCGCCACCUAGUGUUCUAGUUACUAGGAACCUUAACUGGUCUUUAGAGAUCGGGUACGGAGACUGGUUGCGUAAAGGGAAGGUAUUAGCACCCCAACUACGCCCUACCUAAGGUAAGCUGCAUUGUUUUAAUGUCUGAUAAAAUCUAAGGUCGUGUUGUGGUUUUUUAUUGUUCGGAAUACGCAUUACAUGUAAUGUCAUACCCCAGGUUCUAUUGUCCAAAAAAAAAAGAAUUAAAUAUCCGGAAUAUGUAUUACGUGUAAAGUCAUACCCCGGAUACUAAGAGACAAACAAAAUAAAAUUUUUGUUGUUUUUGAAAUAUUGGCCAAUAUUCUCUUGACUUUAAUAAACUGGUUAUUAAAGCCAAAAUGCAUGCUAAAACAUUUUGUUUUGGUGUAUGAAAAAAUACAACAUAAAUUUUUAGCUUUGAGACACUUGGCCGUAUGCACAAAAACAUUUUUUUUUUUAAUUGUUUUGUAUUUUGUGGAAGUUUUUGACGAAAACCGGGUAUUUAAAAAUCAGAUUUUUGUAUUUUUAACAACAUCAAAAAAUACCACCAAAUAUUAAUCAAAAUGACAUAAAAAUUACGCGGAAAAAUUAGAAAAUGCUGAAACAAAUAUUUUUUUGAUUUUUUUCUUUGAAAUGGGCCGGAUCAGGCCCAAAUAUAUGGGUUGGGCCGAACCUGGCCCAAAGAAUGGGCUGGUACUGUGCACAUAGUAACCGGGGUUACUGUGUGUACAGUAACCAGAGAAUUAAUCUGCGGGUUACUGUGCACAUGCACAGUAACCGUGAAUUAAUUAGCGAGUUACUUUGCACAGCACAAUAACUCGCUAAUUAAUCUACAUGCGGAACAAAAAAAACGACGGGAAAGGCUACCUGCGGUGGUGAUGUUGGACUCUCUUCUCUGCUUCUUCUUCUUCUGCUUUCUUCUCUCUGUCUCUCCCUUCUCUUCUCUUCUCCUCUCUUUUCUUCCUCCUUUCUUCAGUGAUUGUCACCGGCUAUUUAUAGCCAGUGAACAGUAACGUAAGAGUUGAUUUCUGCCUAAAUUGUUGCCUAAUUGUAAGAAAAAACAUCCCUGCCUAACAUUGCCUAACAUGCCUAAUAUGACAAAAAAAUUUGUUUUAUUAUAUAUAAUAAUAAAUAUUUAUAUAGGUAAAAUUAAAAACUCAAAUCAGUAUUAGAAAAAGCCCGACUCAAACGCUAAAAAUCAAUUUUAAUUACCGAAAAUUAUGUCGAAACAUAAAAAACUUUCAGUGGGUAUCAACCCGGUGAACCGGGUUUUGACCACAAAAUAACAGUUUUGACCCAAAAUGACCUGAAACUCAUUUUUCAUCCCGGUCGACAUGGUUAGACCCGUAUCGACCCGGUGAACUCGGUUUUGAUGGAAAGAUGCGGUUGACUCGAGAAAAAAAUAUUCUUUUGAAUUUUAAACUUUUUUUAUUUUUUGGAUUUUUAUAAAUAAUAAUAGAAAUAAAAUAACAUUCAAGAAAAACUUGGUGAAUCCAAAAUUGGGUUACAACAAUGGGGACCCAAAAAUGGGUUACAAUAGUUGCCCCCCUCUUUACAAUGCUUACGGAGCAAAGAUUUGUGCAUAGUAAGUGUUGUAAAGAAAAAAUAACAUUGGUCUUCCGAAACUGGUCAUCUCAAAAUUUGAUUGACCUAAAACUUCAACCGGACCCAAAGUCCUGUGUAUGGUUGGGCUAAACUGAGAUUCCUUUCGCCAAUCCCCUUUAACCCGAAAAAAAGGAAAGAAUGUGAAGUGUAGUCUCAUUGUAAUGGGUGACCUACCCAGAUAUAAAACAUGGAGAAUUGGUCGCAUUGUAAUGGGUGACCUACCUAGAAAAAUGUUGGUGAGGGCUCAAAGGCGCACUUAAAAGGAGGUAGGGUUACAAAACGCUCUACCUGAAUGGUGGUGGCUCAAAGGCACACUUGGAAUGAGUUGAGGGCUCAAAGGCACACUUAAAAGGAGGUAGGGUUAGAAAACGCACUACCUAAGGGAUGAGGGCUCAAAGGCGCACUCAAUAAUGAAGGUGAGGGCUCAAAGGCGCACUCAAAAUGGAGGUAAGGGCUCAAAGGCGCACUCAAAAGGAGGUAGGGUUAGAAAACGCACUACCAAAGGGAUGAGGGCUCAAAGGCGCACUCAAAAUGGAGGUGAGGGCUCAAAGGCGCACUCAAAAGGAGGUAGGGUUAAAAAACGCACUACCCAAGGGAUGAGGGCUUAAAGGCGCACUCAAAAUAGAGGUGAGGGCUCAAAGGCGCGCUCAAAAGGAGUUGAGGGCUCAAAGGCGCACUCAAAAGGAGGUAGGGUUAGAAAACGCACUACCAAAGGGAUGAGGGCUCAAAGGCGCACUCAAAAUGGAGGUGAGGGCUCAAAGGCGCACUCAAACGGAGGUAGGGUUAUAAAACGCACUACCUAAAAGUGAUGUUGAAACAAUGAUUGUCAAUGUUGAAAAGCAAAUGCAUUAUGAUUGAUAUGCAUGUAUACUUACCUGAGAAAUAUAGGCCCCCAUUUCUUCAUGGUGUCUUUCUUUUCUCUCAAAAGUUGUAGUAUUGGUAGUAAACUUCGAUGGCUUUUCCACUUUUGCUUACUCGGGUUACAUCUUGUGAUCUUGACCUCUGGGAAGGGUUUGAUGUCAUCAUACAUCUUUGUCCUUCACCCAUUAUCUCAAGAGUUACCAAUUUUGCCCGACAUUUUCCUUAGAACAGGAAUCAUGGAGCCAGCCCUACCAUGUGUUUUUGAUUGCCCCCCAGCUUGAUCAUGCCCCCCAAGUGUUCAACUUGGGUUUAGUUUGGGGUGAGGAUAUGUGAAAGUGGGUUUUUUGGUACAAUGAAAUGUUUUCAUGCAAAAUUUUUGGAACGUCCAAGUUAUUCCAAUCACAAAAAUGAUUUUGACAUUGGUUCAAAAUAAACUUGUUCUAAAAAAUUCAAGUGAUUCCUAUGGACAGGUUUCUUGAAGUGAUGAAAGCUUUUUGCUUUUGGUUUAAAGAUGAAGUGACAUCUGGUUGGUCACAAAAGGUUUAAAUUUCAAUUUGAGGGUUAUUGAGAACCGAAUUGAUUCAAAGCAUUUAUUUUAUUUGCAUGAAUAAUGAUUUGACCCGCACGAGAAAGCACUGCCUACCUAUCCAGAUUGCUUGCCUUUGAUCAGAAAGGGCUUUAUCAGGUAUAUAAUGUAGGCUUUGGCUAUUGGUUACGAAGAAAAUGGAUAUGUUGCAGGCUCAAAAAGUGUUUAAGGGAUUUCAAAAACUAGGGAUCACUUGUGCUUGUUUCCUGACCUUUGUCUUUUGGAUUUGUUUUUUUUUUUUUUUUUCAAAAUGAUUUGUCCUGCCCCCCAGUGUCGGGUUUGGGCUUUUCUCUUUGUUUUCUUCGUUUUUGUUUCGUUGAGAACAAUCAUAUCAGUUGUUUUUAUGAGAAGCUCAAAUCUUUUAACCAAUCGCAGUAUUUAUCUUCACUGUUUCAUUUGGAUGAUAAUGAAAGAAGAAACAUUACAUGAUCAAUUCCAACACCCAUCUUCACUGCUUUGUCUGGAUGGUAAAAACAACAAACUCUCUUAUUUUGCCCCCCAGUGUGGGGUGUGAUCCUAGUCAAGGUUAUUUCCAAAAAACGCUACUAGGCUCAACAUGGGACUGCAAAGGAUAUAUUUCAGUCUUGUGAAAGGAUUAUCAAAGAUGGCCUUUCCUCAUCUCAAAUGCACUGCAGUGAGGAUCGAUAGGUCUUGCUUUCAUGCGCGUAUGCAAAGUGAUUUAUUCAGUCAAAUAAAACUCAGCUUUUGAGUCACCUCAUAGUGUUGUUUGUCUUUAUUGUCUUUUUUUCUUUCAAGUUUUCUAGGUAUAUGUGUACCUAUUUAAGGAAUCACUUGAAUUUUCAAAAUGCAUUUGUUUUGGACAAAUAUCAACACGAUUUGCUCAAAAUGUUAUUUACAUGUAAUAACAACAAAGAAGAGUGUGAUGUGAACACAAGAAAACACAUGAUCUUAUUUCACAAGAGAAGCUCAUUAACAGAGAGUCUUAUUCAAAAGCAUUAACAAAAUGAAAUAACAAGGCAGGCUUCAUUCCUCUAUUUUGGCGAAUCUGUUCAUAGGCUAAACUUUUCUCAAAAGGUCUGCGUAGAGGACUCAAAGACAAUGCGGAACAACACCACGGUCAAAAAUUCAAGCUAUCAUGCUGGACCAUUGAUGCUUUCCAAUUCCCCAAACAUUCCAUCCUAAUAUGCUUCAAGCAUGAUUAGGCAGCGGGUUCGUAUUCACAUUGGGGGUGUCUUCCAACUCUAUCCAACCAGCCUUGAUUAAUUGCAGAAGCUUUCUCUUGAAGGCGUUGCAGGUAUAGAUGCUAUGCCCAGUAAUACCGGUAUGGUAUUCACAUUUGAGUUCUGGUUUGUACCAAUUAGGAUAAGGUGGCUGCAGAGGUGUUAGAGGUUCUGGAGCUAUUUGCCCAAUGCUCAAUAGCUUUUGAUACAUCUCAUUCAGGGGUAACGGUAGUGGAGGCAGUUGUUCUUGAACCCUUUGGAAAUUUCCAAUUUGGCUUUUGGCUUGAAAGUUUUGGGGUUUAGGUUUUUGGAUGUUGGCAAUUUGGGAUGGAGUAUGGUAAUUUUGGGAUGUAUUAUUUUUACCCAUGUAGCCAUCUUCAACAUGGUGAACCUCUUUUCUUUCGAAGCCUCUUUUCUCGGUUGGUGCAUAAAUUCUACCACUCUUGACAUCUUGCUCUAUGCGUUCACACACUAUCACGGCAUCAGUGAAUUGUUGGGCUGAACUACCCAUCAUAUGUUCGUAAUAUGGUGCUUUGAGUGUGUUGGCAAAUAAAGAGACCAUCUCUUUGUCCAGAAGUGGGGGAUGUACUUGAGCAGCUAAUUCUCGCCAUCUUUGAGCAUAUUCCCUUAUGCUUUCUUUAUCCUUUUUCUCUAUAUUGGACAAACUGGUUCUGUCGGGCGCAAUGUCCAUGUUGUAUUUGUAUUGCUUGACGAAAGCAUCCACAAGAUUUUUCCAGUUGCGAAUUUUUGUGUUAUCCAAUCUCAUGUACCAACUCAAAGUUGCCCCACUUAAACUGUCUUGGAAAAAGUGCAUUAGUAGUUUUUCAUCAUGUACUACCUCAGCCAUUUUAUUGCAGUAGGACCUGAGAUGAGUCAUGGGGCAUUGUGUUCCAUUGUAUUUGAUGAAUUCAGGAACACAAAAUUUCUUUGGGAUAACCACGUUUGGGACCAAACACAUCUCUGCUGCCCGUACCGGGUCAUAUAAGUCUACCCCUUCAAUGGCUUUGAGUCUGGCUUCCAGCGCCUCUAUCUUAGCUUGAUCAAUGCUAUCAGAUGACUUAGCCUUGUGGGACUCAUUAGCAGAUGCCUUCACAACUGUUGGGGAUGGUGCAGGUGUCGUUGACUGCACAAAUGUUGGAUUUUGCUGAGGUUCUUGACCAUGUUCGCUCAUUCUUUCCUCAGGCUGAACUGAAGUAGGAGCCGGAUCAAAGGUGAUCGGUUGAUUAGAAGGACCUUCAUCAGAGGUAUUUCUUAGUGUUUGCUUGAGUAAGCUAGUGAGGUGAGCCACACUUAUUUUCAGAGACUCCAACUCGUCGUGCAAAUAGGCCUCACGUUGAGCACGUUCUUCAUCUUCCAUGUUUCUUGCUCGAAGUCGGGUGUUGUAGACUUUUUGGGGACCUAUAUUUCAAUCUGACAUGUAUGCAUGUUAAAUGUAUGAACAUGUAAUCUAUAUGACGAACUCGCCCUUCGAGGGGUGACAUAUGGUCGCAACUCUUGUAUGAUGAAACAAGAAUCUUGAUUCUUGCACAAACUCUACAAUGAAAAUUUUCUGAGCGACGGUCAUUGUGUCACCCAUAAGUCUGGAGUUCAAGAUGCUUCAAGAAGGGCUUGCUCGGAUGCAAAACAAUGUAUACGGAGCAUACAUCCUAAAAGCAGGUUCUAAUCUUUUUAAGUGAGACAAAAGGUAGGUUUACUAUUUGGUCUCUAAAAAAGGACUCUCGUUGUCCCAGUGAUCGCCCUCGUGGAGGCAAUAUGGGGGCUUGUAGGCAGUGAGAUGGCACGUGUCCAACUAUUACCAGUCUAAGCACUCAACGAAGAGUUGGGGUUUACACAAACUUAAACCUUGACUAAAAGUCAUAAGGUAAGCUGCUAGUUCCCCCCUAACCUGAAGCUUGUGUGUGCUUUAAAAAAAUUAACUAUGUGAUGCAUGAGAUAAAUAUGUACAAAAAUUAAAGCGCACAACUAAAUAUGAACAAAUAUAUAAAGAAAAUGCAUAUUUAAAAAUAAAAAUGCAAACCACAACAAUAAAACACAAUCAACAGACAAAACAAAGCUUAGUCCACAAAGUCCCCAGUGGAGUCGCCAUUCUGUCGCACGUGUGCGGCGGCGCGGCGAUCAUCUUCCCUCAAGGAAAAAUCGGAAUAUUUAUUCUUGGAAAAUAGGGAGAGACAAGGAAUUCUUGUCUCUACAAGUGAAAAUAUAGACUGGGAGUCGCCACCUAGUGUUCUAGUUACUAGGAACCUUAACUGGUCUUUAGAGAUCGGGUACGGAGACUGGUUGCGUAAAGGGAAGGUAUUAGCACCUCAACUACGCCCUACCUAAGGUAGCUGCAUUGUUUUAAUGUCUGAUAAAAUCUAAGGUCGUGUUGUGUUUUUUAUUGUUCGGAAUACGCAUUACAUGUAAUGUCAUACCCCAGGUUCUAUUGUCCAAAAAAAAAGAAUUAAAUAUCCGGAAUAUGCAUUACGUGUAAAGUCAUACCCCGGAUACUAAGAGACAAACAAAAUAAAAUUUUUGUUGUUUUUGAAAUAUUGGCCAAUAUUCUCUUGACUUUAAUAAACUGGUUAUUAAAGCCAAAAUGCAUGCUAAAACAUUUUUUUUGGUGUAUGAAAAAAUACAAUAAAUUUUUAGCUUUGAGACACUUGGCCGUAUGCACAAAAACAUUUUUUUUUUUAAUUUUUUUUGUAUUUUGUGGAAGUUUUUGACGAAAACCGGGUAUUUAAAAAUCAGAUUUUUGUAUUUUUAACAACAUAAAAAAAUACCACCAAAUAUUAAUCAAAAUGACAUAAAAAUUACGCGGAAAAAUUAUAAAAUGCUGAAACAAAUAUUUUUGAUUUUUUUCUUUGAAAUGGGCCGGAUCAGGCCCAAAUAUAUGGGCUGGGCCGAACCUGGCCCAAAGAAUGGGCUGGUUACUGUGCACAUAGUAACCGGGUUACUGUGUGUACAGUAACCAGAGAAUUAAUCUGCGGGUUACUGUGCACAUGCACAGUAACCGUGAAUUAAUUAGCGAGUUACUUGCACAGCACAUAACUCGCUAAUUAAUCUUACAUGCGGAACAAAAAAAACGACAGGAAAGGCUACCUGCAGUGGUGAUGUUGGACUCUCUUCUCUGCUUCUUCUUCUUCUGCUUUCUUCUCUCUGUCUCUCCCUUCUCUUCUCUUCUCCUCUCUUUUCUUCCCCCUUUCUUCAGUGAUUGUCUAAAAAUCAAUUUUAAUUACCGAAAAUUAUGUCGAAACAUAAAAAACUUUCAGUGGGUAUCAACCCGCUGAACCGGGUUUUGACCACAAAAUAACAGUUUUGACCCAAAAUGACCUGAAACUCAUUUUUCAUCCCGGUCGACAUGGUUAGACCCGUAUCGACCCGGUGAACUCGGUUUUGAUGGAAAGAUGCGGUUGACUCGAGAAAAAAAUAUUCUUUUGAAUUUUAAACUUUUUUUAUUUUUGGGAUUUUUAUAAAUAAUAAUAGAAAUAAAAUAACAUUCAAGAAAAACUUGGUGAAUCCAAAAUUGGGUUACAACAAUGGGAAUCCAAAAAUGGGUUACAACAGCGGGUACGGCGAAUUAAACUAGUUGGCUGGGGUUUUAUUCUAUUUUAUUUUAUUUUCAAUUUUAUCAUUCAAUAUUGGUUUUAAUAAAGAAUUAGGUUUCAUGAUUUAUUUUAUUUGCUUUCUAUUAGGUUAAUCUGGUUUCAUGACCCGAAAAUAGUUUUUAAUAGAUUAAUCUCAAGUUAACUCAGGUUAUUUUUUAUGUUUUUUGUUUAAUUGAAUUUCUUUUCAAUUUUAUCAUUGAAUAUUAGGUCGGUUGGAAAUUGAGCUUUCAUAAUUUAUUCUGAUUUCUUUUCUACUAGGAUAUUUUGGUAUCAUGAUCAGUGUUGUGGGUUUUGGUAUUUUAACCUCGGUUAAAUCAUGUUGUUAUUUUUUUAUUUUCUUUCAAGAGGUUAUCUUGAUCUCAUGUCCUUCAACAUUAUAUUUGUUUUUUUAUUGGGUUGUCCAUGUUUUAUGAUCUAAGUUGCGUGUUUGACAAAUUAAUCCAGUUGACUCAGUUUUUUAUAACUAAUUUUUUUCUCAAUUUUAUCAUUUAAUAUUGUGUUUGAUUGAGAAUUAAACUUCAUUAUUUAUUUUGAUUUGAUUUUAUGGGAUUAUUUCAGCUUAAUGACUCGGGAAUAAUACUUAACGGGUUAACAUAUAUUAACUUAGCUCUUUUUUUAAUUAAAAUUUUUACAAAUUUCAUCAUUUAACCCUAGGUCCGAUAGAAUCGAUUAAAAAUUAAGCUUCAUAAUUUUUUUUUCAUUUACUUUUUAUUGGGUUAUAUCAACCUCAUGACUAGAUUUAUAAAUUUGAUAGGUUAAUCUAAUAACUUAAAUCAAGUUUUUUUUUUUUAAGGUCAUCUUAAUUUUUUUAUUUUAGUCAUGAGUUUUACUUGUAUCAUUGUUAUUUUUCCCCUCCCGUGCAGUUCAAUGGCAAGCUGGGGUUGUGUUUUUUGGGCAUGGGAUUUGCUUACAUUUUGAUCCUCCAUGCAGACGGCAGGAUGUCACUGUCAUAAAAAACUAAAUUUGCUUCUUCUUUUUUUUUUAGCUUAUCAUAAAAGACAAUAAAGAUGAAAUGCUUUCUAUCAUAAUAGGUUAUUACCUGCCUUUUUUUAAUGUUGUCUAUGCUCUUGAACUUGAUAAAUGCUCAAAUGUGAAAUCAAUUGUUUUUUGGGACAAUAAUAGAUGACAUGCUUUCUAUCCUAAUUGUUUUUUGGGACAAUAAGAAGUUUUCAAAAAAUAUAUAUUGUUAAUUCCCUUAGCAUAACUUCCUAGCAGGGCAAAGGAUUUUGAAAAAGAAAAAGGAAAUGAAGACCAUGCUGCCACUUUUUUUUAUAUCUUUUUUUUUUUUGAAUAUUUAGACACUUAUAUAUAUCAAAGUAUCUCUUUACAUCAAUAUUUAUCAGACUUAAAAAGUGAAUUAAAAACACUCAUAUAUGUGCAAGUAUAUAAACACAUCUAAACACAUAAACUAAAUCAACAUUUUACUUAUUAGGAAUUAAAUUUUAUAAUUUAUUUUAAUUUUUUUGGUGAGGUUAUCUCAGUCUUAUAAUCUAAAUUGCAAGUUUGACAGAUUAACUUGGGUUGUUUUUUUAAGUCUUUUUUUAAUUGAUUUUGUUUUUAAUUUCAUUCUUUAACUUUGAGUUGAUUGAAAAUUAAGCUUUAUAAUUUGUUUUCCAUGGAGUUAUCAUAGUCUCAUAACCCAAGUCACAGAUUUGACAUAUUAACUUAAGUUGAUCGAAGUCAGUCUAAUAUAUUGUUAUCUUAAUAUUUUUUUUUAAAAAAAAUCAUCUUGAAUUAUUUUUAAUCAAAUUAUGUUUUUAUUGGUCAUUUGAAUUACUUUUAGACCUUCAAAGUCAAUCAUGUCAUAUUGAGUCAAUACCCACACAAUUUAAAUUUCUUUUCCACUAAAAUAUACAUUAGCAACAUCUAAAUAUUUUUUUAUGUUCAAGAAAAAUUUGAUCCAACCCACGUAGCUAGUGCGGGUCAAUAAUCUAGCACACGCAAUAAACUAAAACAAUAUCUCACUAUACAUGUACAUGCAUUCAUAAAACACUAUUAAGAGAAUCAAACUAAAAAAUUCUAUCACAAAUUGUUUUAAAAUUCUUUAUUUUCUAUUUGUAACAAACAAUUUAUUCCAAAUAAUGAAUUUUUUUUAAAAAAAAUACAACUGAAUUUUAUUUGAUAGCAAAUCAAGGACUGAUUAUUUUAGUUGUAAAUCAAGUUCAUAAAUUUUAGCUUAAAUUUUAAUUUUUUUGUUUAAUUAUUGAAAAAUUAUUGUUAUUGUUAUUGUUAUUGUUAUUGUUAUUGUUAUUGUCAUAUGAAAAUAUACUUACUAUGAUAUUAAAUAUUAAUAACUAUCUAAUUAGGAAAAAUUAAUUAUUCAUAGUAAAUACAAAUUUAAUAUCAUUAUAUAUAUAUAUAAACAAAUUCCAAAUUUUCAUUACUGUGAAAAAAAUCAGAUUUUUGUGAACAUUUGUUUGUAGUAUAUGCUGGAUUAAUCAAUAUUUUAUUGAUUAAUUUAUUAAUCAAAUUCAUUAAUAUGGAAUCCUAUCACUCUAAGAUUAUAUAAAUUAUAUAAAUGCAAUUAUUGAUUAAUUUAUAAUUUAUAAUUUUUAUUUUAAUUUUUUUAAUUUUUUUCUUUGUUUUCUUAUCAUAAAAAACACUGGAGAUGAAAAGUUUACAAAAACAUUUUAUUGUUAAUUCCCUCUUCUAAAACAUAACUUGCUAGCAAGGCAAAGGAUUUUGGAAUACAAAAGUGAAAAGGAAAGGAUGACUAUGCUAGCACUUCUUCCUUUUUUUAAUGUUUUUUCUAAUACUUAGACACUCGUAUGCAUCAAAGUAUCUCGCUACAUUAAUUAAUAGUUAUUAAACUUAAAAAGUGAAUAAAAAAAACACAUAUAUGAAAUUUUAUUUGAUAACAAAUCUGGGAUUGAUUGUUUUAGUUUGAAAUUUUUUUCAAACAAAUUCCAAAUUUGCAUUAUUUUGAAAAAAAAUCAGAUUUUUGUAAACAUUUGUUUGUAGUAUAUGCUGGAUUAAUCAAUAUUUUAUUGAUUAAUUUAUUAAUCAAAUUCAUGAAUAUGGAAUAAUAUCAAUCUAAGAUUAUAUAAAUUAUAUAAAUGCAAUUAUUGAUUAAUUUAUAAUUUUUAUGUUUUUUUUUAAGUUUUUUCUUUGUUUUCUUAUCAUAAAAAACACUAGAGAUGAAAAGUUUACAAAAACAUUUUAUUGUUAAUUCCCUCUUCUAAAACAUAACUUGCUAGCAAGGCAAAGGAUUUUGGAACACAAAGGUUAAAGGAAAGGAUGACUAUGCUAGCACUUCUUCCUUUUUUAAUGUUUUUUUUUCUAAUACUUAGACACUACAUUAAUAGUUAUUGAACUUAAAAAGUGAAUAAAAAACACAAAUAUAUGAAAUUUCAUUUGAUAGCAAAUCUUGGAUUGAUUGUUUUAGUUUGAAAUCUUUUUCACAAAUUUUAGCUAAAAUUUAAAAUUUUUGUCUUAUUAUUAUUAUAACCCAAUUUUUUAAUUUAAAAAAAAUGAAUGGAUAAAAAAAUAAUUUGAGAUUUAGGUUAGGACAACACAAAUUGAAAGUUUGAGGAUUAAUAAUGAUGAAAUUAUAAAUUUGGCAGUCAAUGUGUAAAAAAAUAGAAGAAUUAAUAUGUUUGGGGACUUAAAUAAACUUUUAUUUAAUUAAUUAAUGCAAUCAAGGGCUUAAUUGAAGAAAUAUCAAAGUUUGAGGCUGAUUUGAGUCACAAUUACUAGCAAUUAAAGUUCUAGAAUCAAAGUGAAUAGCCAGUGAUACUAUGGGGGUGUUAAUUGAUUUUUUCAGGGGUAAUUUUGAUUGAAUUAAAAGUUAAAGAGUCAAUUGAAGAGUGAAUUGAUUAAAUUAGAAAUCAAGUACUGUUUUGUAAAUGGCUUUGAAACUUAGGAGUUGAAUUGCAAUUUGAUCCAAGGGUAACAUUAAGAAAAGAAAAAAGAGAUUUUUCUUGAUUAAAGACCCAAUUGUUAAGUGUCAGAAAUUUAAGGGUUAAAUUGAAAAUAAUCAUUUUGAGUGAAAUGAUGUCGUUUUCUACCUUGUUCAUUAUCUGUUCUUCCUCUUGAAGACCUGAUCAACAAGAAACACAACUAAAAAAAAUCACGGACCACGAUGCCAAUAUCCCCACCCACACGAUGAAUUAUGUCUAUCGCAACUGGCUUGUAACUCGUAAGAAUGUGAGCCUUGGGCUUGGUUGAGGCGGAUAUGUGGCAAUUACAUAUUCCCGGUUCAACUCUGAGAACCAUUGUAACGCAAACAUAAGAAAUCAAUUAGCUAAUGUGUUCAUAAAAAACAAAUAUAAAACUUUGGUACAAGGACCACAUGCAAUCGACUUUUAUAAUCGGUUAAUAAGCGUUAUUCUCCUUAAAAUAAUGAUAAAAUAUAAUUUCUAAAUCUUUAUUAAAAAGCUUAAUUUCUCAAAUAUUGAGAGAAUCAUAUAUAUAGUUACUACAUAUCGAGAAUUUAAAAAUUUCUAUGUAAAUAUAUACUAUAUAUAUAUAAAAAACUAAAGUAUUAAUAAAUUAAUUUUAUAUUUUUUUAGUUUUAAGCACUCGAAUUCUCUAUAAAUAAAAAUAGAUAAUUGAAAGCUUGUUAUUUAAUGGUAUAAAAUAAAAGAAUAAAAAAAAAACUUGAUUUCACAUCAUUCAUCCAAAUCUGACUAAUGCUUUAAGACCUAGCCAAUAUCUUAGAUUGCCCGGUUACGGGUUAAAAGGUCUCUCAUAAGAUUAUUAGAUUUUUAUGGCCUCAAAAGGCCAGAGUAAUUAGAUUAUCUUGAAAGGGCAGGCAUGAAUUUGACUUCACAAAUGAUUUCUUUUUUCUAGAGAAAUUAACAAUAAUUUAAUGAAGGACAACUUACCUGACUUUACAUCAUCUUCUCUAUAGUCUCAUGGCCAGAAAGUUGUCCUCCUCAUCCAAUAUUAAUAAUCUUAAAAUAAAAUUUAUGAAUUAAAUAUGCCAUUUUUAUUUUAAGAUUAAGAAUUCUUUAAGAAUUUGGACUCAUUUUCAAGCAAGUUAAGAAUUCUUUAAUUAAUAAUUCCUAAUUAUAAAGGGAUCUGCAUUGAUUUUUUGGAGUCAUUUUUACUCUCUUAAACUGUAGUAAGGUUUCUUAAUUAGGUGGCGAGAAAUCUGUCUGAAUUCGUUAUUUAUUCUAAUAAAAUAGCAUGCAAUUUAGUCUUUCUUAACCAAGUUGCAAAUUGGCUCUGAAUUUUCUAAACUUUUUGGCGUUGUCCAUCCUUCUUCGUAUUAUAAACUAGUUAUUUGACUCAGAGACUAUCACGUUCAUAAUCACUCUAUUUCCUAUUUAACUCUUUAAAAGGCCAGAAAAAAGCUCAGUUGUUGGGCCCACUGCCCAACAUGCCUGGCCAUUAUAAAAAAAGCUUAAGCAUGUGGGUGGGCCUUCAAGCCCAGCCCCGCAUGCUUGGGCUUUGUUUUAUUUUUUUUAUAUAUAAAAAAAAAAACAUAAACAUACAUUUUGUCUACAAAUCUGGAUUCCGGACACUAAAAUAGUAACUGGAAAAUCACGUCUUUUUUGGUAAAAAAAACUACACCUUAUCAACAUCAGGGCAACACCUUUUUUGGUUUUUUUUUUUUAAAAAAAAUACCUCUAUUUUAAGAUAUCAUAGCCCCAAAACACCUUACAAACAUCUUUAUAGCACCCGAAAAUUAUUCCAUCAACUUCAAAUACCCAAAAAAAUAGCCCAAAAAUCUAAAGUCAAAUCGGUUUAGUUUUAGUUUUCUUGGUUUAGAUCUGGAAUUUUACGCACCAUUAAAGCUCUAAACAACCAUCAUGAAACUCCUCUCAUAUCUGAGAACCCGUGGACACCAAUAAAAUCCAUUUUGGUGGUCGAAAAUGGAGUGAACAAUGACUUUAUCUCUUAUAAUUAGAAUCUGGCAACGCUUAUCUCUCUCUUCUCUGUAACCUUAGACUGAAAAAUAAUACAAAUAAACUUGUGUACCAAAACUAAUUUCAAGAGACCUGAAUUCUAUGAAUGAUUUUAUUUUUAAAGAUCAAAUACCUAAGUAUAUUUUGCUUGAAGUCUCUGGUACAUCAUUCAUGUUUGAUGUCUUUUUUAUUUUAAUCCUUAUUUUUUAAUUUCACUCUUGAUUAAAAAAUUAUAAGUAAUUCGCUUUCAAUUACGAUCAAAUUAUAUAAAAUAAAUUUUGAGACUCAAAAUAAAUUAUUAUAUAAAAAAAUUCAUAAUGUUUUGUGAAUGUAUGAACAAUAUUCAAAUAUAAUAAUAAAAAAAACAAACCACACGGUUUUAGAGUUUGUUAUAAAUCCAUCAUUUAGACUCGAAUCAAAACCUCACAGGAGGACAGAUUCAUUACGGCAUGCACACCAAAAUGGAAUUUCAACGAGAGAGAUAUAUACAGAUGGUUUUUUCUUAUUGGGCAAGUGCAGUGGAAUUACACAUCAUUUAUACGAGUAAUGUGUCGCUGCGAAAAUUUGACAGCAUUCAGGAUAUCACUAGCUAUUUAUUUAAUGUGUUUCUUAUAUUUUAUUAAAAUCUUCAAAGUAAAAAAAUUUAAAAUAUAUAUAUGAUUAUGAUUUAAAAAAACUACCCCAAGGUGGUAGUCUAUAGCCGUAUAUCAACUAGGGGCUUGGGGUUUGCUUCUUCAGAACUCUGGUACUAGAAAAGUUAUCCUUCAUGAACAACAGUGAUUUCAGAAGCUGCUGAUUUCUUCGGUUUUUAAAGGAAGAAAAAGCGUUAAUAACCACAAAUUACAUUUAUUUUCCUUUUUGAUAUUUUGUUGCAAUAUCUUUUCUUUUGCCCUGCUGGAAAGUUAUAUCUGUUUUUAUCAGAACAAUAAAAAAAUAAAAAAUAAAUUGUUUGGCCCAUCCAUCCUUAUAAUUGAGCUUGGACUCGUCCAUAUGUAUCCACGUCACUUUUGUCACUGGAGUCAACCAAUUGCCUCCUUGGUUCCCUCGAAUAUACCGUAUGCAGGUGCUGUUUAUAACAAGCAAAUUCUAUCCUCCCGUACAGUUCAACGGCAAGCUGGGGUUGUGUUUUUGGGCAUGGGAUUUGCUUACAUUUUGAUCCUCCAUGCAGACUGCAAGAUGUCCCUUGGUGAAGCUGCUAAUAUUCAUACUUCGUUAAAAAAACUACAAAUUACAUUACAAACAACACUGUAGUAAUCAAUAUUUAGAAAUAGUGCUUUCUGAAUUUCCAGAUCUCAAUUUUAUUAUAUUCCAUAUUACCUGUAGAAUAAAAGAAAAUACAACUCAUUCUUGAAAUGGUGAUGUUGCUUUUUUACUGCAGAUACAGCAUAGAGAAUAUAUCUGAAUUAGAGGUUUUCAUAGCCAUGCCACAAACUCUUCUGCUUUACAGGUUCCUUGUUUAGCAAGAACAUCUGCACGGUGACUAAUCUCCCUUGGUGUACGUACGAGUGAAGGAUACAGGACCCAAGCAAGAUGAAAAUCUACCUGCUAGGAUGAAAAGAUCAUUAAAGCGCCACGACCUGAUAAGGGGUUUAGUCAUCCAUUGUUUUUGGGGACAAUAAAAAGUUUUUUUAAAAAAACUUUAUUGUUAAUUCCCUCGUCAUAACUUCCUAGGUAAAGGAUUUUGAAACACAAAAGAAAAGGAAAGGAUGACCAUGCUGCCACUUCUUUUUUUUAAAAAAUUAUUUUUAUUUGAUACUUAGACACUUAUAUAUAUUAAAAUAUCUUGCUAUAUCAAUAUUUAUCAUACUUAAAAAGUGAAUUAAACACACACAUACAUGCAAGUGUAUGCACACAUGCUCACACAAAUAUAAACUAAAUCAGCACUUCACUCUAAAUAUUGGAUAUACAUCUAUAAAAUAUUAUUUAUAGCAAAUGAAACUAAAACAUUUUAUCACAAUUUUGAAAGAAAAUAUCUGAGAGUAUUUUUUUCCCUUCUUUUUAUAAGCAGGGAAUAUUGAAACUUUAACACUCAAAUAUAUCAAACUAUCUCACUACAUCAAUAGUUUUCGGACUUUAAAAAAGUUAAUCAAACACAUUGUUAUAAUCUAAAACAUGCAGGUAAAGUAUUAUAGCAAUAGUAAUUUCUCCAAAUGUUUUAGUAUGGCUCUAAAAAAUUCAUUUGCUUUUGAUUUUUUUAUAUAUUUUUUUCAAUCAAUAUUUUAUUUUUUAAUUUUAUCAUUUUAAUAUUAAAUUAUUUUAUUGGAUUAUCUCAUUCUUAAAACAAAUCGCAGGUUUGACGGGUUUUUAAUUUAUUCCAAAUAAUGAAUAUUUUUUGAAAAAUUACAACUGAACUUUAUUUGAUAGCAAAUCUACAACUAAUUAUUUUAGUUGUAAAUCAUGUUCAUAAAUUUUAGCUUAAAUUUUAAUAUUUUUUUAUUAUUGAAAAAUUAUAUUAUUAUUAUUAUUAUUAUAUGAAAAUUCAUUAUUUUUAAAAAAUGGUGAUACUUACUAUGAUAUUAAUUAUUAAUAACUAUCUAAUUACGAAAAUUAACUAUUUCAUACUAAAUAGAAAUUUAUCAUAUAUAUAUAUAUAUAUAUAUAUUGUUAAUUCCCUUGUCUGUCUAAUUAUUUUUUAGGACAAUAAAAAGUUUUCAAAUUUUUUUUAUUGUUAAUUCCCUUGUAUAAAGCAUAACUUGCUAGCAAGGCAUAGGAUUUUGGAAUACAAAAGUGAAAAGGAAAGCAUGACUAUGCUAGCACCUCUUCUUCUUUUCUUUUUUUUUAAUUGUUUCUAAUACUUAGACACUCAUAUACAUCAAAGUAUCUCACUAUAUUAAUAAUUGUUGAACUUAAAAAGUGAAUAAAAAGCAUACAUAUUUUAUUUGAUAACGGGAUUGAUUGUUUUAGUUUGAAAUCUUGUCACAAAUUUUAGCUAUUUAAAAUUGUUGUCUCAUUAUUGAAAAACAUUAUUAUUAUUAUUAUUAUUUUCAUAACCCAAUUUUUGAAUUUUCUAAAAAAAAUUAAUAAAAUAUAAAAGAAAUAACAAGAUAACAAAAUAAAUAAAUGAAUAAAACAAUAAUUUAAAAUUGGGUUAAGACAACACAAAUUGAAAGUUUGAGGAUUAAUAAUGAUGAAAUUAUAAAUUUGAGAGUUAAUUUGAUUAAAAAGUGGACGAAUUAAUAAAUUUAGAGACUUAAUUAAACUUUGAUUUAAUUAAUUAAUGCAAUCAAGGGCUUAAUUGAAGAAAUAUCAUUUUUGGGGUUAAUUUGGGUCGCAAUUGCAAGAAAUUAAAGUACAAGGACUAAAGUUAAUAUGCAGUGAUACUAUAGGGGUUCAAAUAAUUUGUUCAGGGGUAAUUUUGAAAGAAUUAAAAGUUGAAGAGUCAAUUAUGUACUGAAUUGAUUACAUUGAAAAGCAAGUACUGUUUUGUAAAUGACGUUGAAGUUUAGGGGUUCAAUUGCAAUUUGAUCCAGGAGCAAAAUUAAAAAAAGAAGAAGAGAUUUUCCAAGAUUAGGGACCCAAUCGUUAAAUUUCAGAAGUUCAAAGGCUAAAUCGUAAACAGUCAUUUCAGAACACACACUAUUCAUCAUCUCUUCAUCCUGAAGACCGGAUCAACAGGAAACACAACCAAAAAUAUCAUGGACCACGCCGCCAAUAUCCCCACCCACACGAUGAAUCUCAAAGUGAACGUGGGUCGUAGAAUUUUCUGUUCCCAUCGUGCAGGUCGCCCAUGAUAAUGGGGGGGGGGGGGCAGGAGACCAUGGACACUGGAACAAUACAGGGGAAGCACGGGCAGGGAGGACGAACUGAGAGGGGGGAACAACACAGGGGGAGCAUACAACAGGGACGAACAGAGGAAACCAGGGGAGAAGGAAGACCGAGGGAGCGAUGGUAAUACAGACAGACCAGAUGAGAAAGUCACAAGGAACGAACAGACAGAGAGACGAAGAAGAAAAGGCACAGAACAGAAGGCGAGAGAACAGGACGAACAACACAAGAAUACCAGGAGACAAAUACAGAGAAAGAACAGGCGACCCAAGAAAGUGAAAGACGAAAAGAAGCAGAGGAGAGAGUUUCUUUUCGUCAAGCAACCUCACGCCUUCAUCGCCAUCAUCCUCGACUUGCAGCGACCAGGUAAGUUCUUCAUUUCCCUCUCCUUUACAAUUAUAAUUGCAUAGGUACUCUUCUUAUGCAGUUUUAAUUCAAUCUUGCGACUUCAGCAAUUAUAAUCCAGUGGCUGGGUGUGCACCCGUGCCUUAUCCUUUUAUUUUCACCCUCAAUGUUUUUAAAACUCUUUUUUUACUCUAAAUGAAAAAAAAUAAUAUAAACUCUAAAUGAAAAAUAUAAUAUAAACUUGAAUUGUAAAAUUAUAAAAGUGCAAUUAAUUUUUUUUAAAUAAUUAUAUAUUGAAAAUUCUAAUCAUGAAAUUAAAUUAUAUAAAAAUUUGAUAAAUUAAGUCAACAAUAUUAUAAUCAAUGAAUGAUCUAAAUAAAAUGAGAGAGACAAAUAGUAUGAAUCAAUAAAUUAAUGAUAUUUUAAAAUAAAAAGUUUCAAAAUAAAACUUUUCAAUACAUGAAUGAUAGGAAGUAUACAUGAAUCUGGUGAUAACUUGGUUGUUCUCAUCUCAAUAAGUCCUAAUAGACCUCUUUUGGAUUGCAAGCUAAUGAACUUAAAGUAGUUAUUAGCUAAUAAACAAUGUCUAAUGCACUAGAAAAAAAUUCAAAUUCAAAAUAAUUAUUCAAAAUUAAAUAAAUAAAUAAAUAAUAAAAAAAAUCUUCACGUUAAAAUUCCUCAAUGUAUUUGCGAAUAUCCAAUUUUUGCAUAUAUCUUGGCAGAUUUGAGUUUUGAUUUCAAACAUGUCGUUCUUUCUCGUGUUGAUGAAUUACUGAGCAUACGAUAUAUGGUUAUAAAGCUUUAGAUGUCUAGUUUCCAACCCAACUUUAAUCGUAGCAAAAUUUCACUAGUAGCUUUAGAUAUAUCUCAAACAAUAUAUAAAGGUCUAGCUUGACAUAUUUGAUAAGAUUCAUCUACUAACUAUGACCCUCUAAAAUAUUAUGUUCUCAAACUCUAUUUGACUUGAAAAUUUACCAUAAUAUAUUUUCAUGUGUCUAAUAUUUUCCUGUAAAAUUUUAGCUCUAUCAAAUAUAUAGUGUGAAAAGAUAUGUUCAAUCUCUCAAAUCUGGUUAGUAGACAUUUUAAAACCAAAUUUAGAUUUGACUUGGUUCAUAUCAUAAAUUUAGUAAGCUCGUAAAAUCAAAUUGAGUUUACCGAGUUUACUAAUUUUACUGUUUUUGCACAAGUUAAGUUUGACUUUGCAAGUUAGAUACAUGUUGACUCAUAAAAUUGUAAGUUACCGGAUUUUAACAACAAUGUUCACCUUUCUUUAUUUUAAUAUCUAGUCAAACAGGUCUUUUCUGAUAUCAUAAAAUUCCAAAAAAAAUUGUGGAUCUUUUUGAAUUUAUUUAUAGGUCCCUUGUAUUUUUUUAGGUAUUUCACUAUAUUAUUAAUAUGUGAAUUUUUACUAUAAAAUAUAAAUCUGUUAUAUGAUAUAUUUAAAAAAUAUAUAUAUUUUUAGAAUUUUUAAAGUUCAUCACGUUGUGGGUGUGAUAAUUAUUAUUAUUAUUGAAAAAGAUGAUGAUUCUAUGAUAUUAAUUACUAAUUAAUAACUAUCCAAUUAGGUAAAUUGAUUAUUCCAUACUAAAUAAAAUUUUAUCUUUGAUUUUCUCAACAAAUAUGUGACCUAUAUAAACCUACGACAAAUAAUAUCAAUUGAUGGUAAGCUUCCACAUCUAAUUAUAUAAUAUAUAGGUUUUGAAGAGAUAGGGUGAAGGCUACAGUAAAUGUUACCGUUAUCAGCGCUGAUAACUAUACGGGACUCUGUUGCUUUACUCAAAGCAUCCUCUUCCCCUUUGUUUCUCCCAUCACUUCCUCUUUUGUGAGAUGCCAAGGAAGUAGGAACAAUGCAUAUACCCUUUCUGCUUAUAAUUAUUAACUAGUCCAAGUUUGAUACUUUUCCAUAAAUAUCAUCAGAAAAAAAAUAAAAAACAAAGAAAAACCAAAAAAAUAUAUUUUUGAUAUAUUUACAUUGUUUUAAUAUUUUCAAAAUCAUCUCAAAAAAAUUUAAAUUUUAAAAGUAUUUUGAAUAAGUUUAACUUUUAACACGUAAAUUUUAUGAUCACUGAUUUUUAUUGUUGAGUCGACGUUGAUAUUACUUAUUUUUUAAAAUAUAAAAAUUAAAAAAAAUUAAAAUUAAAAGGAAAAUAGAAAAAAAAAAAAUUAAGAAACUAAUUUGAAAAUAUAACAAUAUUUUACCUUUAAAUACUAGCCUACAGUAAAGUUAUAUAAAAAAAAAAAAUUCAGGCAAAAACCUAACCUAAAAUUUAUCUACAGGCAAGCCGCCGUCCGACGCCCUUUCAGCUUUUAGUUUUUUUGGUCCCAGAACCAGCAAAAAGCUUGGCUCGCCAUCUUCCCUGAAACCGGAGAGAAACCCCACUCAAAUACACUCCCUGGUCUCUGCCAUUUUCGGCACCUUCCCCUUUCCCAUUCCAGCCUUCCCAAAUCAACCAUCCUCUUCACCUGCUCUCGGUGAUCAGCUUCCCUUUAGCCCUCGGUCAAAGCAAGCCACAGUCGGCCUUCCCUCAACUUUUGCCCUUUGGUUUCUUUUUCUUCCAGCAGCGAUGGCCCCCUCCCCGUGCAGCGGCGCCGUGUUCCUCUAGCAGCAGCCCACACACGACAGCGCCCGGGCAACGCUCUCUUCUCCAUGUUCUGCAAUCGGCCUCCAGCAACAGCCAAGCCCGGCAGAACCCACCUUGGUCUAGCACAGCAACCUCCACCCUCACCUCGGAGCCGUCAGCCGUCAUGAAGAGGAAGAACUAAACUCAGAUCUGGAAAAGAAAGGAGACUGAGAACAGAUGAAAGAAAAAGAAAAGAACAGACCCGAAAGAAACAGACCUGAAGAAGGAGAAGAAAAAAACAGAUCCGUGAAGAAGUAAAGAAAAUUAAAAACAACUGCUUGUGUUUUGCUUUCUGCAGGUGACGGUGGGUGUCACCGCCGACAGGAGAAGGAAAAAGGGACGAAGCUGGUACAGACCCCCUGUUACCCGGGUUGUCUUCGCGGCGGCGCCGCCAGUGGCAUGGCGCGUGGGGGGACGCCCCAGAAACCUUCCAGCCAUUGCAGAAGGCCUUCGAUGCAAUUCUUGUAGAUUUUUGGGUUUUAUUUUGUAAUUUGUGAAUUGUAUUUGAUUUAUUAUGAGUUUUGUUUUUUUUUUACAUGUAAAAAAUAAUGUAUAAGAAAAUCAUAAUAAAAAAGAGAGAUCCUUUGUAUUUUUAUUUAUGUUAUUGAAUUAUAUAAAAAAUAAUUGUUUAAUUUGAAUAUGGUUAAAUAUUUUAAGGAUAAAUAAAAUCAUUUUAUAUUUUUUAUAAAAAUAUAAGAAUAUGUUUCUACAUGUAUUCUAGAUGAUUUAAUUAUUGAUUUAUUAAAACUUUAGAAUUUGAUUAAUAUUUUAGAUUUUUAAAUCAUAUCAAAUCACAAAACAGCUUAUUUCUGGUAAGAUGUGUUAGGGGUAUUAAUAUCUUUCCUAACUACAACUAGUCUCAUACCCGUGAAUUUUUGACAAUGAUCAUUGCAUUUAGAUUUUUUAUUAACCUUUAAUCAAAUACUAGGUGGAGACUUCUAAGACUCUAAAUCAAACAAAGGAAUGAAAAAUCACUAAUUUAUCGCCGCCAGUGACGUGCAAGAAUAACUAAUUUUAUUUUAUUAAUAUCUUCAAAGUAAGAAAUUCUAAAAUAUACAUAAUUAUUUUGAUAAAUUUUAACUUAAAAAAAACAAUAAUUCUUAAAAAAACAUGUUUUUGUAACAAAAAAGAAAAGAAAGAAACACAUUCAUUUUUUAAAAAGAAACACGUUAUGUUCACUUUUUAUUUCAAAUCAAUACAAUUUUUUUAAUUUCUAUGUUUGUUUUCUUUAUUUUUUAUCCAAUAAACUUUAUAGCUAUUAGAAAAAAAAUAUUCUUUUUAAAUUAAAAAAAAAUAUGAAAAAAGAAUUUUAACUAAAAAUAUAUUUUUUUCCAAGAAUUCAAAUAACUAUUAUGAAAAAAUAGUUUUAGUUACCCUUAAUGUAACUUUAUAGCUUACGGUAUAAGCUAGUGCUUGGGAUUAUAAUGCAAACAAGAAACUAAACUGUAAUGUACUAAAAGAGAAUUCAUUUUUAUCUUCAUACAAGUAAAUAAAAAAUAAAAAAACAACCAUGUUAUAGGUUAAAUAUUUACACUUGCAUUUAUUUUUUUGUUUUCUACAAAAAAACCCAACUGUUUCAGCCUUUAAUUAGCAUGAACAAAUAUUAUUUAUGUGAUUUAUUAAUUUAAAUAUUUUUAAUUCAUUUUUUUAAAAAUAAAAAUAUCAUCUUUUCAGUUUCUAAAUUAAAAAUUUCAUGCUAUCAAAACACAUGUCCACAUAUUCAUAGCUUCUUGUUUUUUUUAUUAUUAUUAUUAUUAUUUAUUACAUUACAAUUUAGUUUGUAAUGUUACCCGUAAUUAACUAGAUGGUAUCUAAUGUCUCGUCUCUUUGUAUCUCAAGGGCAGUCUAGUUUGUCAGGUCUGACUUGUUAUCCAAUGGAGAUUAUCCAAAGAAAAUAAAUAAAUCAUAAUGUCAGAGUUUUUGACUACGCACUUGUGAUGCACAUCGAUUACAAAAUAAAAUAUAAAAAAAUGACAAUUUGAGAAUCAAACACAAUUUUUUUGAUAUAAUACAUAGGAGUUUUAUUUGAUAUAAAAUUUACAUUGAUUGUUUCAGUAGCAUAUCUAAUCUUUUAUAUUCUUGCGAAUGAACUUAGGCCCCGUUUGUUUGCAGGAAAGUGAAUUCCUUUUGGAAAAUGAAUUCCGGGGAAAGUGAAUUUCUGGAAAGUAAAUUCCGGGAAAGUAUUUUAUGAUGUUUGGUAGUGUUAUGGAAAAUGAAUUGGAAAAUAAUUUAUUAAUAAAUUAAUUUUUUUUUUCAAAUUUAUCUAAUAUAUAUAAAAUAUUUAAUAUAAAAUAUUUAAUCACUUACAAUAAAAAAAAAUAAAAUCUAAAAUGUAUAAUGAUGAAUUUUUUUUAUUAUAUUCUAUAUUCAUACAUAGCUUAUUUUAUAAAAUAUAACUAUAUAUAUCAUAUCAUAUUAUAAAGAAAUAAGCUUGUGAAAUAUUUUUUAUUAUUCUAUGAAACCAUUUAUAAUUUCAUUACGUACGAAAUACAUCCGACAAAAACUAUAGUUUUAAUAAUAUUUUUAGCAUGUAAUAAAAUUGGAUAAAAUAUUAAGGUAUAAAAUUCACUCUAAACUAUUUUUUUUAAAAUGUUAAAAAAAUAGCACACUUAAAAAUAAAAAUAAAAAGUCCCCGCAGGCAAGUGAACAGUGCACUAAAACUGCGCUGUUCACUAUUUUUUUAGUGAACAGUGUAUGCGAUACACUGUUCAUGUUAAUUGCACUGUUCAUUGAACAGUGCAAUUAACAUGAACAGUUACAGAAAAAACAUGACAACGCAGUAUUGGCCCACAUUAGGAAAGUGUUUUUCGAGAAUUAAAAGCGGAAAACACUUUCCUUAUGUUAAAAUUAACAUUUUCCUUUGACUGGAAUUACAUUUCCUUUGAUUCACUUUCCAUGUAUUGACAAACAUGGGAAAGUGAGUAAAAUGGUUUCUAGGAAAGUGAAUUCCUGGAAACAAACGGGGCCUAAGUAUUUUAGAUUUUGCAUGACAAUUAAACCGAAGGCUCUUGGGUUUGUCAUGACCACUAAAACCAAGAUCCUAUAAAAGUAUUUAAAAAAAUAAUAAUUAAGAUUUAAGUUUAAAAUAUUUUAAUGAUAAUUUAAAUAAAAGAAAGAGGGCUCUCUUCCACCUUUCCUUUCUUUCACAUCUUGAUUCGGAUUUUAUAGUGGUCCAUGGUCGGCCAUUUCCCCUUGACCUCGCUGUCCAUGGCAACUUCUUCUAUCGUACCAUUUCUUUUUAGCGGUCUUAUGUCAUGGUCAUGCACAGGAUAUAUCAGUCAAGUUUUGUCCUUGAUAUGCGACUCCCUCGAGUAUAUAUUUAUCUGCCUUCUUUUUCUAUAUCGUAAAAAGGAAACCUUUCACUAAAAGAGCUUUAAGUUAUGAUAGUUUGGUUUUUUAUUGAACAAAAACUAGCAAAACUUGUUUUGUUUUUUUCGAGUUUUUAUGGGAUUUUACUGACUUUUCCUAGGUUUUUUUAAAUUUUUUUUUUUUAAGUUUUAUGGAUUUUUAAAAAACUUUUUAUAUAUCUAGUUAUUUUGAGGCCAAGUUAAUUAACAAUGCAUGCAAGGAGAAAAGUUAAUCCACUAAAGUUAUCAAAAGCAACGUAAUCUAAUUCAACUACCAGUCAAUAUAUCAUAUGGAUUCAACAAUUAUUUAUUGAACUAUCCUGGAUUGGGUUUAAUUUUUUGGUGAAUCAUCACAUACAUAAUAUAUAUAAGCUUUUCCUGUUGCCAUUGAUUAACUUUUAACGUCCAAUACAUGGACAAAAGAUCUGAAAUUCUUUGAACAGAAAAGCUGGAAUUUAUGCAGUGACAGUGAUACAAAAUCAAGCUAUUAUACUUUACAAGUACAAACUUGAUUAAUAAACAAACCAUCCAAGCAAAUUGUACUUGGAAAAUAAAUGUAUCUGUCCCAACUAGUAGUUGUGUCUAUAUCCUUGUAAAUGAGCCUAAGACUAAAUACAGAAGGAAGAAGAAGAUCAAACCAAUGAGACAACUAAUGUUGAAAACAAGCCCUACUGAAGGUACUAGAACUGCGUAUUUGCGAAUGCGAUAAUCAUUGUCCCCAUGCCAAUUAUGGUUAACAACAUUGCAACCGCAAAUAAUCUUAGAGUGGUUUUCAAAUUCAUUUCUUCAUCCUUAUUCAUGUCCAAAUCUUGAAUCAACACCGUCAAAAAAUGAAUAAUUAGAUACAACAGAAAUAGAGAGCAUCAUUAACAUUGCAUCUAAUAUGACAAAUACUAUAAAAAUAACUUUUUUUAGCUAGAAUUGCAAUGCCUCUGUCACUCUUGUAACUGCCAGGUAGGAUAAAUGGUGCUACAAAUGUUAAUGUUGCUAUCAAUGCUGUAACUACUAGAUGAGACUCUCUUGCUUUACUUAAAGCAUCCUCUUCCUCUUUGUUUUCCUCCUUCUCUCUUCUCAAAACAAAGCGCCCGACCAAAUGGUCCCCUGCCAACAUCAAAGGAUUCUAGGAUCGUUUUCUGCAAAAUAUUUAGGGUAAAAUAUCAUAGAUAUCCAUUAUCUUUUUCUAUUUAAUUCUCAGAUUAUUUAAAUUUUAAUUAAUUGUUUUUUUUCAUUCAAUUGUUCUGCUUUUUGUUUUUUUAUUGAAUAAUAUGUUUUUAUAAAGCAGUUACAUGCGAUUGAUAUGCAUAAUCUGUUAUCGUAGAUGAAAAACUUAACAAAAUCAAUAAAAUAACUUGAUUUCAAAUAAAAAAGAUUAUUAAGUUAUUUAGAUGAAUUCAUUUUUAUGUUUGGUAUUGCAAUACGAAUGGUUUUUAAAAGGAAAACCUUUCUUGAAAAUUAAGUUAUAUUUUUUUUUACUGGAAAGUAUUUUUCAUUGAUUAACUUUUUAAAUAGCAAACAAACACAAUAAAGUUUGAAAAGUAAUUUUUAAAAAAAUAAUUAAAAUAAUAUAUCAGCAUGUUAAAAUGAUUUAAAAAUAUUAAAUAUAAUUUAAUUUCAAACUUUAAAAAAAUUUGAAAUUUAAAAAAACAUGCUUCACACAUCUAAGACUUGAAGAUAAGAAGAUUAUGGUCCAGCUCUAACCAUAAGAAAAACGAGUGAAGACAGAAAAGAUGCAAGUGGAGCAGAGAUAUUUAAAUUGUUUGUGAAACUUCUAGAAUCAUUUUUAUUCUAAUCUCUCACAGAACUCAGACAGCUUCCUCUGCUUUAUUUAUUUAUUUAUUCAUAUUGAUGAAUUGGUAUAAAUAGGCUUACAAGCCUAGCUAGUAAAUGGAAAUAGCCAAAAUAGUUACUUCUAUCAACAACCAUUGUCAACAAACAAACAGUCAUACAAGAUGAAUUCCUCUGAUCAACAAAUGAAUAGCAUCUCUUACAUGGAACCAAAAUUGUACAAAGCUGCAGAAGCAGGCAACAUCAACCCAUUGAAGGAUCGUCCUCCAACUUCUCUCAUUGAGCUAUUGACUCCACAAAAAAACACAAUUCUUCAUGUUUACUUCGAAAACCAACGUAGAGGAUGGAGAUCCACUGAUUUUGUUGGCCAAAUUAUUGAUAUGUGUCCACAACUGCUAUUGCAAGCCAAUACUAAAGGCGUUCCAAUGCAGUGGAAGUCCUCAUUGACCGCGCAGAAGCAAAAAAGAUGUUGAGGAUGACCAAUGAAGAGCAAGAUACAGCGUUGCAUGUGGCAGCUCGAAAUAUCCAAGCCCAAGUGGUGGAAAUAUUGACAAAAGAGGACCCUGAGUUUUCAUAUUCCGCCAAUGUUCAUGGAGAAUCUCCACUUUAUAUUGCUGCCAAUAUGAGGUUUGUGAACAUUUUUUUAGUCUCAAACAGAGUUUGAUACCGAUUCGAUACUAUAUGUGACCAACAUCUUUUUUUUUUCUUUUAAUAUAUACUAGAUUAAUCAAUUUUUUACUAAUCUAUUUAUCAAUCUAGAAUACUAUCGUUUUAAGAUUAUAUAAAUGUAAUUGUUGCAUGAUUAAUUUUAAUUUGUUCAGCUUUAUAAUGUUUAAGUAAAUCUGUUUUUAAAAUUAUCAUAAGAGAUAUUAGAAAAGCAAUGCUUCUAUAAUAAUAGGAUUUUACCUGGUUAUUUUUUUAUGCUAUGUAUGUUCUUGAACUCGAGACAUAUUAAUUCAAUAUGAAUAAGUUCACUUAUCUCCCUAAUUGCUUUUUAAGAACAAUAAAAAAUAGCAAAAUUUAAUGGUUUUUAAUUCUGUUUUAUUGGACUUAAAAUCUUGCUACAUAAGUAUUUAUUGGACUUAAAAUGUUAAUAAAAAUCACAUAUAUCUAAUUAUGAUAUAUUGCUGCCAAUGUAAGGUUUAAUUGGAUGUUUAAAAGACAUGAAGAAAAUAGAAAAAAAGUGAUCGACGAAAUUGAGUAAUUGCAAGUCAGUGGAAUAUUGUGGUUCUCAUGGCAGAACCGCACUACACGCGGCAGCCAUGCAUGGUGAUCAUGGUAAGAUUUUAUUCUGAACUGUAAAUCCUUGAAUUCAUAAAUUAUUAUCGGAAACCAUAACUGUGAGAAGUGUGUUCUUAUCUUAAAUUAUUUCUUAUCUGUUUGCCAUUUUAUUGUACUCAUUUAUUUUAUGUUUCUUAAAAAAAAUCUUAUUUUAACCUUUAGGAUAUUGUUCUUUUCAUUUAUUGUUCAUUUGUCAAAUUCUUCGUUUACUCUAUCACAUUUAAUAUUUGAUAUAUAUAGAAGUUAAUAAAGGGGUAAAAAAACAAAAAUAUUCAUUUUAUGUUUGUUAAAUUAAAGGUUAAAUUGUAUUUAUUACUUACAUAAUUCUUUGGAAGAUAUAUACAAGGUAAAGAAAAUACAUAUUAAGAAGACAAUGAAUUUCCUAGUCUAUUUAAUUAAGGACUUAUUUGCAUGAUUAUAUAUAAGAUUUUAGGACCAAAAUGUUCUUAUAUACGUUUGUAUGUAAGGAAUCUAUAUGACAUGUAUGUGUGGGCGAAUCAUUUCCAUAUUAUUAUUGAACAUAAAAAAAAAAAGAACACAAAUGAAUUAUUAGAUUAGUAAGACUACUGGAUUCUACGUUAAAAUGAUAAUUUAAAGGCUCAUAAUAAUAUUGAACUUUAUUCUUGUUGUUUAUAGUUUUCUUAAAAACUUUGGUCAUCUAGUUUAAAUGAGGUUGGAGUUGUUGACAUUUCCAUAUUAUUAUUUUAAAUAUGACCAAAUAAUAAUAACCAAUAAAAAAAAAUGAUGCAUAAACAAUAUUGAAUAGCGACUAUAAGAACCCAAGAACGUAGAAAGCAAGAAAGGGCAUUUAUAAUACAAUUAAAGAGAGAAAAAUGCCAAAUUAAAUAUUAACUUAUCACUAAAUUAGUAGCGUAGAUUACGCAUUAACCAUAAUAUUAUUCAUAUAUUACCUAAUAUGUACCAUAUUUUUUUUAUGGUUUAUUGCAGAGACAGCAAGAAAGAUAUUAAAAAGCGACGCGAGUUUGACGAGAAGAACCGACGAUGACGGGUGGUCACCACUUCACUACGCUGCCUUUUUCCCUACUUUAUUGCCAGGUUCUCUAACAGUAAAAGUAUUACUAGAACAUGAUGUGUCCGCAGCCUACAUUGUUGAUUCAGAGAAGAGAACAGCCCUUCACUUGGCCGUCGUUCGAGGCAAUGUGGCAGCAGUGGGAGCGAUUAUGAACACUUGUCCAGCUUGUUGUGAACUAGUGGAUAGCGGAGGUCGGAAUGUCCUUCACUAUGCUGCCUUAACUCUAAAAGGAGCACUUACAUCUAUGUCUUUCCCUCGAUUGAUUCCUAAAUUUGACAAACUUAUAUACGAGAAGGAUAACAAUGGAAACACACCAUUGCAUCUAUUUGCUGCUUUCGGCAGUUAUCCCCAGAAGUUUCUGAGUAGUGAUUGUAGACAUGUGUACAAGAAGAUGUGUGGCCUUAACAAGCAAAACCUCAGCAUUGAUGACAUCUUGGAACGAAAUUUUCCUGAAGAAAAGGUAAUUCCCUCUAUUUGAUUUUUUAACGAGUCGCACUCGUACACGCGAAAAAGUCUUUGCAUUUGAAAAAGCUCGCUAACUUACCAAAAAAAAUUAAAUUUAAAUUGUCAGAGGAAUGAUGUAAGAUUAUUUUCAUAACUAUCAAAGGACGCAUCAAGAGAAUUUAUAAUAUUCAUUCAAUCUUGUUAAAGAAAAAAAAACUUCAACUCUAACAAUAAAUACGUAUGCACCUUUAAUAAAUCACAUCAAUCAAACAUAAAUUCACUUCGUUAUUCUCUUUUUUUUUUUAAAAAUAAAAUAAAAAUAGAAUAGAAAUCCUUUUGUCAAUAUAACAAAAUUAUACCUUCAACAUCAACACUUAUAAUUGAUUAACACUAUUUGCUUUGUCCCUAGACUGAUGUUGGUUUCUUUAUUUGUUUGUUUUAAGAUGUGUUUGAUAUUAUGGUAUAAAAUAUUUUUAAAAAUUAUUUUUGUUUUGAAAAUAUAUUAAAAAUAAUUUUUUAAUUUUUAACAUUAAAAAAUACUAAAAAGUUUCAUUUGAUUUUUUUUUCCAGCGAGACACUUUUAAAUCAUACCUAAAAACAGUUUAAAAUUAAAAAACAAACAGCCCUCUCGUAGCAACAAAAGCAUUAUAUAUUGUUGCUAGCUAAAAGAAACAAAAUUACUUGAUUUCAAACUCGCUGGUUAUGAUAUCAAACAAAGGUUGAGAGUCUACAGGUGAUAAAGGAAAAGAAAGAUUCGUUUAAUUUCAUUGCCGAAACUUGUUGCAGAAAGAGAUUUUGGAAUCAUUGAAAGAUGUACGGAGUGGACUGCUUCAACGGCCCAUAGCUAUGCUGACACUAGACGACUUCUUUAUUACCGACAGUGGAAUGGACGCUCUUAUAGUUGUAGCGGCACUCGUAGCAACAGUAACAUUUGCAGCUGCUUUCACCAUGCCUGGCGGUUACAAGAACGAAAAAGGCACUCCAGUUCUUCUUAAAAAUACUGCUUUUGCAGUCUUUGUUAUAUCAGAUGCAGUAGCAAUGGUUCUCUCAACUUCUGCUCUCUUCAUGCACUUUUCUAGGGCACUGCUUGGAAAAAGAGGUCAAGUGGAAGACGAUAUAAAAGAAACCUUCUCUUAUAGGACAUCUACUUUAACCAUAUGUGCCAUCCCAGCAAUGGUCAUCGCAUUCAUCACAGGAAGUUAUGCAGUGCUAGCUCCAUCAUUAUGGCUUGCAAUCACGACUUGUUUCAUUGGUGUAGCCUUCUUCUUCUUUGCGUGCCAGGCAUUCAUAGUUCAAUUCCGCACCCUCAUAAAAUACUGAAAAUAAACACUUCACAGCAGACUUUAAAAGAGUCUGAUAUUGAAGAAGAUUAUUGAUUCUCAUUUAGCUCGUGUUAUAAACUAUUAUAGCAUGUAAUUAUAUAGGAAAUAUUGUAGUCAUAUUCUUAUGUGGUAAUCUCCACCUUUACUAUUGUAUAUUGCCCUACUCAUAUAUAUAGAAAGGGUUGGCUAACCUAUUAGGUUAAGCCUCCUAAUCAUUCUCAACUUGGUAUCAGAGCCUCCUAAUAUUUUCUCUCUUUGCAGCCGGCCCUAAUUUUCUUCCCCAUGGACUCUCCUCCUGCUGCCGUUGAUCCAAUCUCCCCCUCCACCGGUGAUGCAUCAUCACCGGCCAGCCCUCUUCCUGCUGCUGGCUCUGCCGUUCCUCUGCCUCUUAUGGGAACACAAUCUACAAUGGUUCCUCUAUCAAACACCCACCAUGUUGUGUCGUUGAAACUUACGAACACAAAUUAUCUUUAUUGGAGAAUGCAGAUGAAGCCAUAUCUCCUUGGUCAAGGUGUUUUUCAGUUUGUUGACGGCUCCUUGCCGUGUCCUCCAUCUCAUAUGAUUGAUGCUUCGGCUGAUUCUUCUUCUGCCAUCAGCCCCUCUUUUCUUCGUUGGAAGCAACAAGAUCAACUUAUUUUGAGUGCUCUACUCUCCUCUCUUUCCGUGGAUGUGCUGCAUCUUGUAGUCGAUUGUUCUACUUCACAUUGUGUUUGGCGCACGCUUGAGAAGGCACUUGCCUCUCCAUCUAAUUCGGAUCAUGCAACUACAUGGCUCCUUUCAAGACCUUCGGCAAGGUGAUGCAUCGGUUAGUAUGUAUAUGCAGCAAGCCAAAUCGUUAUUUGACGAAUUGGCUGCUGCUGGUCGCCCAAUGUCCCUUGAAGAUUUCAAUCUCUAUGUGUUUCGUGGACUUCGCGGUGAGUUCAAAGACUUGGUAACUAGUCUCAUAACCAAGGCUGAACCGCUAUCGUAUGCUGAUCUUCAUAGCCAUCUCCUUACCCAUGAGUUUUUGCACAAAAACUCCUUUCACUCCAUGGCUGUCGGUUCAUCCUCUUCAUCACUGCUGUCUUCUUCUUCUCUGCCGCAGCAGCCACCAUUGCUGCCAACACCUCCGAAUUCUGCUUAUUAUGCCAUGACUAAUCACAGCCGAAACAGGGGACGUUCUAGAGGUAAUUGGCGCUCAAACACCAACCGAUUUCAGGCCCCAAACAGAGGUCACUCCGCUGCAGAUUGGAGGCAAAAUCAGUGGCAGAACAGGCGCACCUCUGCUGCAGAUUUUCGGCCAAAUCAGGGGCAGUGGUCUGGACAUGUGCGCUGCCAAUUAUGUUCCACUCCUGGCCAUUCAGCUCUUCAAUGCUAUCAGUUUCGCAGCAGCACACAGCAGCCCUCUGCUCACCUUGCUGUUGCGAAUGAUUCUGCUGCAACGACUUGGUUUCCCGACACCGGCGCGAAUCAACAUGUGACGCCUGAUCUUGCAACUCUAACUGAUUCUGCUCCUUAUCUUGGUAAUGAUUUCUUGCAUGUUGGUGAUGGUAAGGCCCUUGACAUAUCCCAUGUUGGACAUACUACUUUAUAUUCCCCCAAACGCUUGUUUACAUUAACUAAUGUUCUUCGUGUGCCUCACAUUACCAAACCGUUGUUAUCUGUUCAGAAAUUCUGUCGUGAUAAUCAUGUUUAUUUUGAAUUUCACGAUUCUGUGUUUUAUGUGAAGGAUCUCGUCACCAAGGAAGUUCUUCUUUCCGGUCGGAGUCAUGAUGGUCUUUAUGUUCUCUCCGAGUCCUCGGCUACGUCAGUUCCUCAAGCUUUUUGGUCUCCUUGCAUUUCCGCGACUGCCGACUUGUGGCAUCGUCGUUUAGGUCAUCCAACUCCUCGCAUUCUAAAUUUGUUAGUUUCUGAUAAUAAAAUUAUUUGUACGUCUAAACGAUCUUUUACUCAAUGUCAAGCAUGUCCAUUAGGCAAGUCAUCCCGUUUGUCAUUACGACCGACGGGUCACAAAACUUCUACCCCACUUGAAUUAAUUUUUAGUGAUGUUUGGGGCCCUGCUCCAAUGUUUUCUUCUGAUGGUUUUCGUUAUUUUGUUAUCUUUGUUGAUGCGCACACUAAAUAUAUCUGGUAUUAUCCGCUUGUUGCGAAAUCUGAUGUAUUUUCCACGUUUCAACGUUUUCAGACACUUGUUGAGCGUCAGUUUUCUCUUAAAAUUAAAUCUGUUCAAACUGAUUGGGGUGGUGAAUAUCGUAAAUUAAAUACAUUUUUUCAAACAAUUGGUAUUCAUCAUCGAUUAAUUUGUCCUCAUACUCAUGAACAAAAUGGCACAGUUGAACGUCGUCAUAGACAUAUUGUCGAAACUGGCCUAACCCUCUUAGGCCAGUGUAAUGCCCCAUUGCGUUUUUGGAACUAUGCUAUGGAAUCAUCGGUCUAUCUUAUUAAUCGCAUGCCUACUCCUGUUCUUCAAAAUAAAUCUCCUUUUGCGUGUCUGUUUCAUCGCACUCCUGAUUAUAAUUUCUACGCACUUUUGGGUGUCUUUGUUUUCCAUUUUUACGUCCAUAUCAUGCUCAUAAAUUAGAUUUUCGGUCUUCUCCUUGUGUGUUUUUAGGCUAUAGCUCGUCUCAUCUUGGUUAUCGGUGUCUUGAUUUAGAGUCUGGUCGUGUCUAUGUCUCCCGUCAUGUUCGUUUUCAUGAAUGUGUCUUUCCUUUUAAAAAGUCUGAACAGGUAACAACACCCCCGGUUCCCCCCACUCCACCUACCUAUCUUCCAUCACUGCAACCCCCUUCCUGUUUUCAGCCUCUUCCUUCCCAACUCGGCAAAACACACCCUUUGCCCCUUGCCGCAACCCCCCAGCUUGCUCCCCUGCCCGUUGAUUUAGCCGACCCUGCCUCACCACCCCACACAGCCAUACUAUCACCACGUGCUUGUCUUUCCAAUGAUUAUUGUGCAGGAACAGGUUCUGACUUGCAGGAUUCAGUAGCGGCACAACCCAGCACCUCCCCGGCUUCACCUCCUGGUCUGCAACUUUGUGUUGAUCUCUCCUCUUAUCCUCUUCAGCACAUUCCAGGUACAGGUGCUGCUACUCCAUGUCCAGCUGCUCCUAAACACCCCAUGGUUCUUCGUCCGAGACAGCCCAAGACAGCGCUGAUCACCACCACGGCAGCCACCUCUGCUGCUUCCUUCAGUCGGGUAACUUCUCCUCCCUCGCAUGAGCCACUUAUUUUUCCUGAUGCUAACAGAUAUGAGGCGUGGCAUAAUGCUAUGCGAGAGGAAAUUCAGGCCUUACGCGCAAACAGAACAUGGACUUUAGUGCCAUUUCAUCCGUCCAUGAAUGUUGUUGGUAGCCGAUGGGUCUACAAAAUUAAACGCAGAUCUGAUGGUAGCAUUGAGAGGUAUAAGGCGCGCCUGGUUGCUAGGGGCUUCACUCAGCAAGAAGGUAUUGAUUACUCAGAAACUUUUAGUCCUGUUAUCAAACAGGCAACAGUCCGCUUAGUGUUCUCCAUUGCAGUUUCGAGUGGUUGGAAAAUUCAUCAGCUUGACAUUCAUAAUGCAUUUCUAAAUGGAGUCCUUGAUGAAGAGGUUUACAUGAAACAACCUCCAGGUUUUGUUGAUUCUGCACUCCCAGGUCAUGUAUGUCGAUUGCAUAAAUCUCUAUAUGGGUUAAAACAGGCUCCGCGGGCUUGGUACACUCGUCUGAAUGAUUUUCUAUUAUCCAUUGGUUUCCGUGCUUCUAAAGUGGAUACCUCAUUGUUUAUCUUCUCGGUUGGUAGUGAUAUUUGUUAUCUUUUGGUUUAUGUUGAUGAUAUUCUGCUUACGGGUAAUAAUGGAACUCUGCUACAACGACUCAUUCAGCUACUGAGCUCAGAAUUUAAACUUCGGGAUUUGGGUGAUGUUCAUUAUUUCUUGGGUAUUGAAGUGCAGUGUACUGGUCUGGGACUUAUGCUUUGUCAACAUAAAUAUACACUUGAUAUCCUCACACGAGCUGGUAUGUUAUCCUGUAAACCAGUUGAUACUCCUAUUUCGGCAUCCAAAGCCACCAUUAUGCCAUCCAUUGUUUUCUGAUGCUACUCGUUUUCGGCAACUUGUUGGUGCUCUCCAAUAUCUCACUUUCACACGCCCGGAUAUUUGCUUUGCUGUUAACCGGGUCUGUCAAUUUAUGCAUGCUCCUACAGAAUCCCAUUGGGCUGCCGUGAAACGCAUCUUGCGUUAUCUCCGUGGUACGGCAUCACAUGGUUUACAUAUUACUCGCAGCUCUUCCUUUGCUUUACACGGUUUUACAGAUGCAGAUUCGGCAGGUAGUAUUGAGGAUAGAAAGUCUACAGGUGGUUAUCUUGUGUUCUUUGGUCAGACGCCAAUUUCUGGAAAUCGAGUAAGCAACGCACUGUUGCUCGUUCUUCGACGGAAGCUGAGUACCGAUGGCACGGCUGAAGUUAUCUGGCUUCAGUACUUGUUAACGGAUCUUCAGAUUCCGGCUCCUUCUGCUCCUAUUAUCUGGUGUGACAACCUUGGUGCCACGUAUUUGUCCGCAAACCCUAUAUUUCAUGCUCGCACAAAACAUAUUGAGAUUGAUUAUCAUUUUGUCCGAGAUAGAGUUGCGAAGAAGGAGAUUCAGAUUCGUUUUAUUUCCUCUCAGGAUCAACUUGCCGAUGUCUUCACUAAGCCACUUCCUGCUGCUUCAUUUACUGCUUUUAGAUUCAAGCUUCGGGUUGAUCCUCCACCCUCAGCUUGAGGGGGCGUAUUAUAGCAUGUAAUUAUAUAGGAAAUAUUGUAGUCAUAUUCUUAUGUGGUAAUCUCCACCUUUACUAUUGUAUAUUGCCCUACUCAUAUAUAUAGAAAGGGUUGGCUAACCUAUUAGGUUAAGCCUCCUAAUCAUUCUCAACUUAAACUAUCUUCUCGUCAUCUUCUUGAUGGCAUCAGCUGUAACGUUGGCUUUAUUUAUCAAUAUAUUUUACCUUGCUUUUCACGAGUACAAUGAUCGAAAAAUUCAAUUUUGGCACUUGGAAAAUGCUAACACCUUCAAUAUAGAGACCAUAGAAUGAAGGCUAACAAGUUCACCAUUGAUUCUAGAUGAAUGGAAUUAGCCAUAAUUUUCGAAGGACUUGAAUUUCUAAUAUAUAUAUAUUGAUUAGAAUUUCCAUUAAUUGCUGAAUGGUAAUUCAGACUUCAAUUUCUACACAUUGCAACUUCAUUCACCUUCCCAACUUUUUGUUUAACAGAAAUCAUUCUCAUGAAAUGCAAAACAUUCUUUUACGAGAACAAAAAUAAAUAAAUAAAGUAACAAAGGAAAAUUUUACGACAGGCACAAGAAAACCAUAAUAAAAAAAGGAGGAAAAUGGGUAUAUAAAACAGCAGAACAUAAACAUUUUGAGAAAUUAAUGAAUUAAUGAUGUAGUGCUAUGAUUUAACUCCGAUCUAGUGGGUUAUGAAGGACAUGAAGCUGAUGACAACACCCAAUGUCUGAGUUUUUCAGACCCUAAUUCCACUGACAAGGUGUAAAGAGUAGUUAAAACUCAAUUUGAACAACGGAGACAAAAAAAUAAAAAUCAAUUUAUGUUUAUAUUUAGUGUGUUUUAAGACUAAAUAAUUUGUUUUAUUUUGCAUUUGGUUAACAUUAGUCAAGACACAAGUAAAAAAUAAUUAGUGGAAGAAUUAAUCUAAUUUGAACCCGAUCAAAAAUUCAAGUUGACCUACUAUAAAGUUUACCUGAGAUAAAACACAAAUAAAAAAUUUUAAUUUGUUUUUUAUUAAGAUAAAACAAGUAAUCAAAAUCUUGUCUUAUUUAUAUUGAGUUUUAAACAAUUAAAAUAAUUAUAUUUAUUUUUAUAUUCACUCAGAUUAACAAUGAACAUAAUGUAUGAAUCAAACCUUAUAUCGAAAUCGACUAUUAUUUAAAUUUUUAAAUUAUAAUAAUUAUUAUUUUUAUUUUUAUAUUAAUAUAGAUCAACCCGGUAAAUUCUUAUGCAAAAAAUUUAACAAUCUAGCUUAUUCUACUCCUUUUAAUAAACAAAUAUUUCUUCACUGGAAUGGCCUUGAUAGAACAAAAAAUAAAUACUCCAAAAAACUUCACAAAAAGAUUAUACCGUCCAAUCCAUUUUUACAGCAUAUCAAAAACACUACAUAAAUUUCAAAAUCAAAUUACCUCAGUUAAAUCCAUUAAUAUCAUCGUAAUGUAGCUUCCACCAAGUAGGUUCUCCUUGAUCAUGGUUAUUAUCAUCAUCCUGUGCAUUCCUCCAUCUUUAACCACCAGACAGGAGCAGUUUUCAGUGAUGAAAACCCUCAUGGUUGUUCUAUAAUGUGAACAACGUAGUAUAAUUAUUCUUACUAUAUAUGUACUUAUACUGCUUUGUUUUUCGUGUACUAAUUUCCUUUUCACUUUAUGUUUUGUUAAACCUUGUUCACAUGAAGCUAUAAAAUAUAGACAAGAAAUGCCUUUUUUUCCUUAUCAUUUUGCAACUUAUAAAUUGUUUUAUUCUGAUUUGUGCCCUAGGCAUGGUAUUGUCUGCUGAGAAAACCAAGCUCCAUUGAUCUUUUCUUUUUACUAAAUUAAAUCGCCACCGAUUGCAAUUAAAAUUCUGAUCUACAUUAAUAUCAUUCGGAUAGGAUUAGGAUGUACUCCACCACAAACUCUAAUAAAUCUUUUCCAAAGAAGAGAUGCCUUGGAAUGUUUUAGAAAGGGGAUAAUAUUCUCAUAUGCACCCCUAACUUAUUCGUUAUUACCCUUUCUGAGUUGUGUCCCUAAACUACAUAAUUAAGCAAUUAGGUCCAGAAUGUAUCUAGGAAUUAUCAAUUUAAUCUUUGUAAAGGGAUUGUGAUAGGUAUUUAUGGGCUAGGUUUUGGUAUUAUCUAUAUUUGAAUUCAAACCCAAAAUAUUAUAAGUCAAAAUUUGACGGGUGUAAAUUUUGAAUACCAAAAUCUAAUUCAUUAAGGUUUUAGUUAUCGAUUUAGAUAAUUAUUAUCUAAUUGAUACAGUAAGGUUUGUGAAAACUUGAAGUUUUGAUAUGUAUAUAAGAAUCUAUCACAAGCACACUAUUUGGAUAACUUAACAUAUAUUUUUAUAAAUUGGUACUGAGAUAGCACUAGGUUUAAGAAGAUGCAUGGCCAUGCUAUACUACAGUACGUAGUGGCUUUAAACCGAAAUAAUAAGAGAUAAUUUGAUGGUUGGUUGAGAUUAAUUUUUUUUUAAAAGAUUCUACAAGUUUUUUUUUUGUGGAAAGCCAUUAUGUCAUUCAUUGGACUAUUAGAUCUUCAAAAAUUAGUCCUAAAAGUUGCUACUUAGACUAAUUUUGUUGUUUUUUUCUAGAUUGUUUUGGAUUUAUUAUUUUAUUUAAGAUUUUAUGUUAGUUUUCUUUAUGAUUUUGAAUUCUAAAUUCUUUUUAUAGAGAUAGGGUUUUCUAGUUUAUUUAAACAUCUUGUAAACAUUUUAAAAAAAACUUAAUAUAUACUUAAUUUUUAGAGAAUAUAACCGUAUUUCAAAUUCAAAUCUACAAUUUAUUUUCUUAUAAAAAUUCUAUUAUCAAAAUCUUGAAGUGGUGGGGGUAAUGACUGCCUCAUAGUAUACAUCAUAAGUGGAUCAGAAAGGGACUCAGACAAGUGUUUUUUUUUUAAUCAAAAUUGAUGUCUUUUUCGGUUUCACUUGCAAACGGAACACCUAUCUCCAAAACCCAUGUUUGCAAAAAUGUAUGCUAUGCGUCAAAAGAUGAAAUCUAUGUGCGAUAGGAUUAGCAAUUUACCUGAUGCACUCCUCCUUCACACACACUCUUUUCUGAGAUGCCAAGGAGUUUUGAUUGGAUACAUUGUUCACUCUUUAUUUCAAAUCAAUUCAAUUUUUCUAAUUUCUAUUUUAGUUUUCUUUAUUUUUAUCCAAUAAACUUUAUUUCUAUUAGAAAAUAUUUGUUUUUCAAAUUAAAAAAAUUAACAUUAAAAGAAAAUUUUAACUAAAAAUAUAUUUUUUUCCCGAGAAUUCAAAUAACUAUCUUUAUUAAUGAAUAUUCAUUUUUAUUUUUAUAUAAUUAAAUAAAAAACAAAAAGCAACCAUGUUAUUAGAUUAAAUAUUUGCAUUUGCAUUUUUUUUAUUUUUUACAAAAAAAAAAAACCCAACUAUUUUAGCCUUUAAUUAGAUUAACCAUUUGAUUUAUUAAUUCAAAUAUUUUUAAUUCGUUUUUUUUUUUUGAAAAUACAAACACCAUCAUUUCAAUUUUGAAUUUAAAAAUUUUAUGCUAUCAAAACACAACUCCACAGAUUCAUGGCUUCUAGUUUUUUUUGUUUUACAUUACAACUUAGUUUGGAAUGUUACCCGUAACUAGUUGGUAUCUAAUGUCUUUAACUGUUUCCCCAUGAAUUUGUAUCUCAAGAGCAGUCUGGUUUGUCAUGUACAUGCACUUCAUGGAAAAUGCUAGCUAGCUGGCACAGGAGCCGAAGAAGAACGAAACUUGGCAUAUUCAUCUUUCAAAAAAAAAAAAAACUUGGCAUAUUAAUUCCACUUUUCAGAAUAAGCUGUGCUUAAGAUUUGUUCUUUAAAAUAUCUUUUAUUUAAAAAUAUAUUAAAAUAAUUUAUUUUUUAUUUUUAAAAUUUUAUUUUUAAUAUAUGAUUUAAAAUCAUAAAAAAUAUUAGAAAAAUUCAAUAAUACUUUUAAAUAUAAAAACAAACACUUUAGAAGUACAAUUUUGAUUAAUAAACAAACCAUCAAAGCAAAUUGUACUUGGAAAAUAAAUUUAUCUGUCCCUAAAUUUUAGUCAUGAAUAGGAAAAUGAAAAUAAAUAAAUAAUGUCAGAGUUUUUAACCACUUCACUUGUGAUGCACAAUUGCACAUUCAUUACAAUAAUAAAUAAAAAAUUGACAAUUGAUUUGGCAACCAACCACAUGAUUUUUAAACAUAUGACGUCACCAAUUUUUUUCAAAAUCAAUAAGAAUGUUUUAAAAAAUACAUCUGAAUUUGAUUUGAUAGAAAAUUUAGAAUUUAUUGUUUCACUAUGACAUCACGUCUUUUACAUUCUUUAAAAUGAACCUGAACACUAAAUACACAAGGAAGAAGAAGCUCAGACCAAUUAGACAAGUGCUCAUGACAAGCCUUAAUGAAGAUUCUAGAACUGCAUAUGUGCCUCUAACGAAUGCAAUAAUCAUUGUACCCAUGCCAAUCAUGGUCGACAACGUGGCAAACAAAAAUAAUUUCCUAGUGGUAUACUUAUUUAUCACUUUAUACUUAUCCACUUCAAGACCAUGAAUCAGCGAAAUCAAAAAGUGGAUAAAGACAACAAAAAUGGAGAGCAUCAUUGACAUUGCAUCUGAGAUGACAAAUACUAUAAAAACAGUUUUUUUAGCUAGAAUAGCAGUGCCUCGGUCACUCUUGUAACCGCCAGGUAGGGUGAAUGCUGCUGCAAAUGUUACGGUUGCUAUCAGCGCCGCAACAACUAGAUGAGACUCUCUUGCUUUACUCAAAGCUUCCUCUUGCUCUUUGUUUUUCUCUUCCUCUUUCUCUUCCAAAACAAAGGGACAGUAAUCAAUCAGUCCACUGCAAACAUCUUUAAGGGAUUCUAGGAUCUCUUUCUGUAAAAAUAUAUAUUUUGAGUAAAAUAUGUUAAGAUAUUAAAAGAGGUUUUAAAAGUAAUUCUUUAUUACUUUCUAGAUUAUUUUUUUAAGUGAAUUUUUGUAAAAAAAAAAAUUCAUAUUAUCUUGCAUUUAAAUUUUAUUAAUUACAAUAGAAAUAGUGAGAUUUGAAUUUAUAAUUGUUUGAUCAAUAAGAUUGUAAUACUAUUUUAAAAAAACUAUCUCAAUCUAAGAAUAUAAACAAAUAAUCCAUCAUUUUUAGCUAUUUAACAUAUAUCAUAUAUCAACUUCCGAGCCUUUGUUUUUGUUUCCACAACUAGUUUGUUUGCAAUCAAAUCCUUUGUGUUACAAAAACUAAUUUGGUUGAAAUUAAACCGCAUGCUUUCCAUUAGUCCAAUUAUCCCCAAAAAGAAAACUAAGAUGUGUGUGUUUGGGGAUGCAUUAAUUAUCACAACAGUUAAUUCAUAGAGGAUUGAUUACUCGUAUCUCUGCAAAAUUUCCGAAAUAUAUGUCGUCGACCCUUAGCUUUCGCUUAUUGAGACCAAUUAGAUGGAAGGGCGUGUUUCCUUUGUCAUCCUUCUUCGUUCCAAGUCUUGCAAGUAAUGGAAUAUUCUCCAGACAUUCCUCGAAUACUGCUAUAUCUUUACUUCCAGAGCAUAGUGAAGGGCAUUCCAGCCUCUGUUAUCAACUAGCUCACAACAAGCUGGACAUCCAGAAACAAUCUCUUCCAUUACGUUUACGUGUCCUCGAAUGGCUGCAAUGUGAAGAGCUGUUCUCUUCUUCUCUGUUUCAGCAAUGUAGGCCGCGGACGCAUCAUAUUCUAGUAAUACUUCCACUAUACGAUUAGGCAAUAUUAAAUAAUAGGCAGCGUAGUGAAGUGGUGACCAGCCGUUCUCAUCGGUUGUUUUCGUCAACGUUUUUUCUUUUUCUAACAAUUUUCUUGCUGUCCCUGAAACCAACAAAACAAGCAAUAAAAGUUAUCCUUCAUGAACAACAGUGAUUUCACUUAUGCCCCGUUUUAUAAUUUCUUUUAGAAAAGUGGUUUCUUGCAAAAUAUUUUUCUAAAAAAUAAAUUAUUUUUCAAUGUUUUGUAGCAUCAUGAAAAAUAAAUUAAAAAAUAUUUUUCAGUAUUUGGCUAUAUCAUUAAAAAUACGCUAGAAAAAAAAUGGUUAAUAUUUUUUUUUCAAGUUUAAUAAAAUAAUGAGAAGCAAAUUUUAUAAAUUAAAAAGUUGAAUGAGAAUAAAAUUUAAAAAUAUAUAUAAUUUCAUAAAUAAUCUCAAAUAAAAUAAAUAACAAUCAAGAUAAUAAAGAUCAAAUCUAAAUAAUAAAAAAAUAGAAAAAUAAUAAAAUUUAAAAAAAUUAUAAUUUCAUAAAUUAUUUCAAAUAAAAUAAAUAACAAUAAAAAAAUAUGGACAAAAUCUUAUAGAUACAAAAAAAUCCAAUUAAUGAUAAGAGAAAAACAAAUAACAAUGAUAAAAAUAAGGAUCAAAGUUGAUAUAAAAAUCAAAUUAAAUCAAAUUUUAAGAGAUGAAAUUUGAAAAAAAAAAUUCAAAAUAAAAUAUAUACCAAUCAAAAGUUUGAGGAUCAAAUUUGAUAUAAUCAGUAAAUAACAUAAUAUUUCUAAAUUUUCAAAAUAAUAUUUCUAAAAUAAUAUUUCUAAAGGACCAAGUUUGAGGACCAAUUCAAAAUAAUAUUUUUAAAGUUUGAGGAACAAAUAUAUAUAAUCUAUGUGAAUUACUAUAUAUCCAAUUCUUAAACUCACAAAGUUUCUUUUUAAAAAAAAAAAAGCUAAUUAUGAAGCAAACACGGAUAUAUAAAAUCAAAUAUAUGUGGAUUUUAAAUUAUAGUUUACACUAUUAUAUAUAAAUUAUUUAAUUUUCCAGACUUGAGCACAAAAUCCUACCACCAGCUCCCUCCCUGAUUGCCUCGUGUAGAGCAGUUCUACCAUUAGGGCCGCCAUAGUCCACUGAAAUGCAAUUAGUUAGGAUUUCACCGAUCACCAAAGUACCCCUGGAAGCAGCAAUAUAAAGUGGAGUUUCUCCAUGAACAUUGGCGGGAUAUGAAAACUAAGGGUCCUCUUUAGUCAAUAUUUCCACCACAUGGCUCCGCCUAUUUCGAGCUGCCUCGUGCAACGCUGUAUCUCCCUCUUCAUUGGUCAUCCUCAACAUCUUUUUUGCUUCUGUUACUCCGCUCUUCGGAUCUGAAGGUAGAGCUUUUGCGAGGUCAAUGAGGACUCUUACCACGUUGGAAUGACCAUAUCUUGCUGCAAAAUGGAGUGGGAUUUCACCUUUCUUAUUGGCUUGGAAUAACAGUGGUGGACACUUUUCAAGAAUUAUUUCAACAAAAUAAGUGGAUUCCGAUUCACUGCUUUGGUUUCCCAAGUAGACAUGAAGAAUGGUGUUCUCGUCUGGAGUCGAUAACUGAUCAAGGCAGGUUUGAUAUUUCUCAAUGGGAUCGAUAUUGCCUGCUUCUGCAGCUUUGAACAAGACAGGAUCCAUACUAUUUUGAGUUUGGCUCUGCGGCUGGCGUUUUAUUGAAAACGCAGCGCGCAGCCAUUUGGUUAAAGAAAAAAGCAUUUUACUGUUUACUAGGCUCCACUUAAAUUCUGCGUUUCCAACGCAGGGAACGGAAAGCAGCUAUUUCAUGCUUUUUUGUUACUGUUCAUGUUAAUUGCACUGUUAAUGAACAGUGGAACUAACAUGAACAUUAUAUAGUGUACUGUUCAUGGAACAGUGCAGGAGAGCUGCACUGUACACUUAACCCCAGUGAACAGUGCAAUUCUCUUGCACUGUUCACUUGCCUGCGUGCCUUUUUUUUUUCUUCUUUUUAACAUUUUAAAAAAAAUAAAUUAGUUUAUAGUGAAAUUUAUACCUGAUAAUAUUUUAAAAGCAUUUUGAAGUUUUAACCAAACACAUUAAACUAUUUUUUCUUUAACUUCAAUUUCAACCAUAGUUUUAACCAAACACCUAUUUUUUCAAACCAAACUCAACUAAAAGUACUUUUAAUAAAACAACUUUUUUUAAAUCACAACCACAACAACUAUCACAAUACCAAACACACUCUUUGUAGCAUAGAGAAACUCACUAAAUGAAAUUUAAGCUAAUGAAGGGAGGAAAAACCACUAUGGCACAAAGGUUAGAGGUUCCACUCCUCAACUGAUCACAAGCUGCUGAUUUCUGUUUGUUGCAUCCCUGGAUAAAGGAGUAUUUAAAUAGCGUGUUAGAUGUUGUUUUUUAAUGUUUUUUAUUUGAAAAUAUAUUAAAUAAUAUAUAUUUUUUAAAAAAAAUUAGUUUUCAUAUCAUGACAAUAAAAUUAUUUAAAAAACUUAAUUUAAAAUAAAAAAACGUUUUUACCCUUUGAGCAGAAACACAGAUUAUAGUGUUUGGUUUGAAAAAAAAAAAAACCUUAAUUUUUAAUAGUGGGUACACCAAAAGCAUCUUUUACAAUUUUUUUUUUCCCCUGUGAUUCACUUGACUGAUUGAGCUGUAUCCUUCUCGCUUUUUAUUGUUGAUAACUUAAACAGACGAAAAUGACCUCCUUCUUCCUUCUCCUCAAUUGAGAGACAAAUCAAGCUAUCAUCAAGAAAACUAGAAUAUCGAUCAUUCUUGAAGGGAUCGAUAUUGCCUUCUUCCGCAGCUUUGAUAUAUCAAAUUAAAAUUAUCUAAAAAUACAAAACAAAUUAAUUUAUAUCCAAAAAAAAUUCAAUUUUUUUUCACAUUUUGAGAAAAAACACAGAUUAUACCACAAUUGUCUAUUUGUUCUAUUUGGCUUUUUUUUUUUUUAAUUGGAACCAUAUAUUUUAAUUUUGAAGUGUUUUAAAAUGUCAUUUCGGGGGUUGUACAACUACAAAUUACUAUCAAGUUGGUGGCUGCAUUAACUAGCUACUAGACAAAUGGUAGGAGAUUUAGUGUUUACUAGUUGGAUGUCUACUGGCGGACUCACUUUUUAUUUUUAUAAAAAAUAAAAAAUUUAUAAUAUAAAAAAUAAUAUUUUUUAAUAUUUUUAAAAAUAUAUUAAUUAUUUUAUUAAUAAUAUUAAUUAUAAUAAAAAUAAUAUUUUUUUAUAACACAAAUAAUAAUAUUUUUAAUAUUCAUACUAUUAAUCAUAAUAAAAAUAAUUAUAUUUAUAACAUAAAUAAUUAUAUUAAGAAUUUCAAGGAUGAUUAUAACACAAAUAAUAAUAUUUUUUACAUCAAUAUUUUGAGUUAUAAUAAAAAAAUAAUAUUUUUAACACAAAUAAUAACAUUAAAAAAACUAACGUGGGGUUGGAUGUGGACGUGGUGACAUCCAGCUUAACAUGAGGUUGGGCAUUGACGCAUUCAGAGUCAACAUGGGGUGGGUCGGGGACGCGUCCUAAUCCAACUUGUGGUCGGGCACGAAUAUUUCUAGGCCCAACCUGGAGUUGGUAAGAUUGUGUCCCCGCACGAGGGCGUGUGCCUUGCUCAUGCCAGGACAAGGUCAAAGGCAAGCCAGCCCCAACACCACGUGGCGUGUGGCCUGCCCUAACACAUGGACAGGUCAACCCAAACGCCUGGUGUCCUCACUUGGGGGCGUGGGUCUGGCUGACAUCUUGAGCAGCCUCACCAAAACUUCAAAUGACAAUUUUCUCCUUAACUAACACUUCAAUGUCAAAUACAUCUCAUAAAAAAUAUAUCCCCACCCCUCACUCGCUGCCCUUGCAACUCUUUAUGGCAAGGUUGAGCUGUUAUUAUAGUACUCCAAUCCAUAGUGCUCUAAGUCUAGGUAAACAGUAAGAGGAGCACUGAACCCUUUUAGUAUAUAGUGUAAUUUGAUAUUAUAAUUAAUUGUAUUUUUUAAAAAAUAUUUUUUGUUUGAAAAUAUAUUAAGAUAAUAGUUUUUAGAUUUUUUUAUUUUUAAAAUCAAUACAUUAAAAUUAUUAAUGAAACAUACUAAUAAAAACAUAAAUUUGAUUUGUUUUAAAAAAACUCUUUUAAAAAUAACAGUGGUGGACACCUUUCAAGAAUUUUAUCAACAAAAUCAAUGAAUUCCGGUUCACUGCUUUGGUUUUUCAAGUAAACAUGAAGAAUGGUGUUCUCGUCUGGUGUCAAUAACUGAUCAAGGCAGGUUUGACAAUUCUCGAAGGUUCCACCCCUCAACUGAUCACAAGCUGCUGAUUUAUGUGGUUUGUUGCCUCCCUGGAUGAAGGGGUAUUUGAGAGAGUGUCAAAUAUUGUUUUUUUUUUUUUAAUAUUUUUAAUUUUAAAAAAAUAUUUUUUAUUUUAAAAAAAUAUUAUUUUUAAUAUCAUCACAAUAAAAUUAUUUAAAAAUAUCUAAAUUUUUUCUUUAUGUUUAUGUUUUGAGCACAAACACGGAUUACAGUGUCUGGAUAAAACAAAAAACUUAGUUUUUAUAAGUGGUCUUUUACGAAGCUUUUUUAUUUCCUGUGGUUCACGUGACUGACUGUGCUGUAUCGUUCUUGCUUUUAACAGUUAAUAACAUAAACAGAAGAAAAUGAGCUCCUUCUCCGUUCUCCACAAUUGAGAGACGAAAAAAAUUAUAGCAUUCUUAGUGCGCCCAAUAAAACCUUCAGCAUCCAUAAAAUCAGAUCUUAAUUGCAUGACUCUGAGCAGUGGCGGAGCCAGGAUUUUUUAAAUGAGGGGGCAAAUUACUAACAAAUAUUUGAUAUUAUAUAUUAUAUAUUAUACAUACAUGUGUUAUAUAUAGAAAUUAAUUUGAAAUAUAUAUACCAACUCAAGUUAAGCAAAAUUAAUUUAAGAAUACUUUUAAAAUAAAAAAACUUACAUUAUAAUUGUUCUUUUCGAGAUUUAAUAUUUUAAAACUGUUUCAUAAUGAUUUUAUUUUUAAUCUCAUUAAAAAUAUCUUUCUCAAUAUAUAUAACAAAUUUUAUUUAUUUAUUUCUAAAUUUUUCAAGGAUUGAGAAAGUUUUUGGCAGUAAUUUUAUGCUGACAUAUAGUACAUAAUAUCUAAAAUCAUAGCUUAAAAGGAUUGUCAUAAAUUAAUGUUGUUCUUGCUAGCUUGUUGUUUUGUACAAGUGAAUUAAACAUACAUAUUAAAUAUAUAUUUUUUAAUUUAUUUAUUAUGUCCUUAAUUUUUUUAGUUCCUGUAUUUCAUUUUUAAUCAUUAAUAAAUUUAUUAUUAUCAUUUUUCAUAUGAAAUUCAUAAUAAAUACUACCAGUUCAUCAAAACUCAUUUCAUUUCAUAUCUAUUAGCAUAUAAUAUUAUCCAUACACAUAUUAAUUCAACAAACCCAUAAAUUAUUAUAAACCCUAACAUUUUCAAAUAAAACUAAAAUUAUAUAAUAAAAUAAAUAAAAAAGUAAUUUGGAUAUUGAUUUAUCUACUAUUAAUUUAUAUAAAUCAUUUAAAAAAAGUAACAAUUUUAUACCAUGAAAUAAUUAAAGUGGAAUCAAUAGUAGCAUUGAUGAAUCGGACUAUCAAAGAGAGGACCAAAGACAUUCAUCUUUGUGCUUUUUCCUCGCCAUCAAAUGCUUCUCUUGCUGUGGAGGGUUUCUAAUUAAUUGGGAGGGGGAGGGGGCAAUUGCCCCCUCUUGCCCCUACGUGGCUCCGCCACUGACUCUGAGCCAGAGGAUACAAAUUCAAAGCCAAAGGUGAUACAAGAAACGCAAUCAAAUUUUCCCCAACGCCAAGAGAAAGGAAAUUAAGUGGUCCAGCUCUAACCAUAAGAAAAACGAGUGAAGACAAAAAAGAUGCAAUUAAGUAGGGAAGAGAAAUUGACGUCGAGGAAGACAAGCUAGGACAAUCAUUAUGAGUGUCUUUAUGUUCAAGAGCAGCUGCAACACACGAAGAAGGCCAAGCUACUUCAAAAAUUGAACUUUCCACGAAGGUUGUCAGUCAAAUUUAAAUUUUAGACUUUGGAUCCUAGGCAAGGAUUAAAGGAACGGUUGGUAUGCAUCACUGUCAUAGGGUUAACAUUAAUCGUUUCUUAGUUAUUUGGAGAUUUUUAUUUAUUUGAUGCUCAUAAUAGUUCCUUUUUAAUUGUUGAUAUUAUAAUUGUUUUUUUAAUUAAAACUCUCGGAAUUUGUUUAACAUUUGAAGAUAGGUUAUUAUAAAACUAAUUAUCAUAUCACACUUAAUAAGUCACUUUAAUAUUAUGCAUCUAGUAGUCACAAUUUUUUCUUUAAUUUAUAUCUAUCAUAAAUUUUUAUUGCCAAUUUUAAGAAAUUCAAUAUAGGUUAAAAUUUUCUAGCAGGCAUCUCGAGUUUCUCAAGUUGGCUUACUUGGCGCAGGCGAGGCAAGGCAUCCUUGGAUCCGAGUUUGAGGCCUAUCGCCCCCUCCUGUAAACAAAUUGUUGGCAACUUCCCUGAGACGCAAAUAUUGGUUGAUUGCUCCACUUGUGAAUCUCGGUUGCAAAUGAACCCCUUUUUUUUUCAAUGGUGAGUUGAUUUGCCAAGUUACUGAGUUGAUUUGCAAACCCGUCCAGCUACUGAGUUGAUUUGCCAAGUUUAAUAACUAUACUAUAAACAGCUUCUGCACGUUCAAUGAGGAGUUUUACCACAUUGGAAUGGCCAUAUCUUGCUGCCAAAUGGAGGGGGGUUUCUCCUUUUUUAUUGGCUUGGAAUAACAGUGGUGGACACCUUUCAAGAAUUUUAUAAACAAAAUCAGUGGAUUCCGGUUCCGUCGUUUGGUUUCUUAAGUAGACAAGAAGAAUGGUGUUCUCGUCUGGAGUCAAUAACUGAUCAAGGCAAGUUUGACAAUUCUCAAAGGGAUCGAUAUUGCCUUCUUCCGCAGCUUUGUACAAGACAUGAUCCAUAUAGAUGAUGCUAUUCAUUUUCUCAGAAGAAUCCAUAAAAUCAAAUUCACUCAUAACCAAAAAAAAUCAAAAACUUUUGUACGUUUUGAGCAGAAACACAGAUUAUACCACGAUUGUCUAUAUUUUAUUAUAGUUGGAGUUUUAUUUUUUCAAUUGGAACCAGAUAUUUUAAUUUUGAAGCAUUUUAAAAUAUCAGGUUGUACUACUACAAGUUACUAUCAAGUAGGUGGCUGCAUUAACUAGCUAUAGUAGAUAAAAUUGCAUGAGAAUUAAGUUUAUUAUAAUUUUAAAAAAUAUUUUUUAUUUAAAAAUAUAUUAAGAUAUUAUUUUUUAUAACUUGUUUUUUAAAUCAAUACAUCCAAACUAUUAAAAAAUAAUAAUAAAAACGUAAAUUUAAUUUGUUUUUAAAAAAUAUAUAAAAACAAAAGCAAUCUCUUUGUUAUGGUUAGAAUUAUCAAGGACAAUGUAGUUAAUUUUAAAGAUCUGUUUAAAAGUAUGAUAAAUAUUAUUUUUUAAAGUAUUUUUUAUUUAAAAAUAUAUUAAAAUAAUAUUGUUUUAUUAAUUUUUAAAAUUUAAUUUUAUAUCAUUUAAAAACAUAAAAUAUAAUUUAAUUUCAAACUAAAAAAAUUAAAAAUUUUAGAAAAAUAUUUCACACAUCUAAGACUUGAAGAUAAGGAGACUGUGGUCCAGCUCUAACCAUAAGAAAAACGAGUGAAGACAGAAAAGAUACAAGUGGGGCAGAGAAAUUGACGUUGAGGAAGACAAGCUAGGACAAUCAUUAUGAGUAUGUUUAUGUUCAAGAGACAAGAAGGUCAAGCUACUUUAAAAAUUGAACUUUCCACGAAGGUUGUCAGUCAAAUUUAAAUUUUAGACUUGGGUCCAAGGCAAGAAUUAAAGGAACGGUUGGUAUGCAUCACUGUCAUGAUAAAUAGGGUUUACAUUAUUAGUUUCUUAGUUAUUUGGAGAUUUUUAUUUAUUUGAUGCACAUAAUAGUUUCUUUUUAAUUGUUGAUAUUAUAAUUAUUUUUUUAAUUAAAACUCUUGAAAUUUGUUUAACAUUUGAACAUAGGUUAUCAUAUCACACAUGAUAUGUCACUUUAAUAUUAUGCAUCUAGUUGUCACAUUUUUUUCUCUAAUUUAUAUCUAUCAUAAAUUUUUAUUGCCAAUUUUAAGAAUUUCAAUACAGGUUAAAAUUUUCUACCAGGCAUCUCGAAUUUUCCCCGUCGGCUUACUUGGCGCAGGCUAGGCAUCCUUGGAUCCGAGUUUGAGGCCUAUCGCCCCCUCCCGUAAGCAAAUUGUUGGCAACUUCCCUGAGACUCUUUUAACCAUGUGACGUGAAACUUGUAAGAGUAAUUUGUAUAUUGAUGGAGUGUAGGUACUGAUGAGAAAAAUGCUCAGUAAUUACUGCAUUUCUUGUUCCGCAUACUGGAAAUGUUGAUGAAAUUGUUGUUUUGUUCAUUAUAAUUGUAAUAUCAUGAAAUUGCAGUGCUGUCUGGGGAUCAUGUUAUAUUAUAUGGUAUCUUUUCAGCAUGUCACUCAAAACCAAUUGGACUACCCUAAAAAUUAUAUUAUAUACAUAUGAUUUAAUGAACCCAAUUGUUAAUAAACGUUUCUUGACAGUAAUAACAUGAAUUCAGGUUGUAUAUACGAAACUUGAAUAAAAGAAAAAAGUUCAAUAUUGGAGAGGAUCUUGCCAAUUUUCCAACUUAACACCCAGUCCUUGGACUCAGAUGAGAUCACGUAAUGAUCUUAUACACUGAUGGCAAGCCCGAUAAAGAUUCUAGAAUUGCAUAUGUGACUGUGAUGAAUGCACUUUACCACAACCAAAAAACAAACAAAUAAAUAAAAUUAUAGCAUUCUUAAUUAGUACGCCCAAUAAAACCUUCAGCAUCCAUAAAAUCAUAUCUUAAUCGCAUAACUCUGAGCCAGAGGAUACAAAUUCAAAGCCAAAGGUGAUACAAGAAACACAAUCAAAUUUGCCCCAACGCCAAGAUAAAGGAAAUUUCAAUCACCCCUUCUUGCUAGUCUACACUGUCAUCACCUCGUACCAAUUUUGUUUUAGUUGGCGUUUAAUUUUUAGUUGGUAUUUUAAUUUUGAAGUGUUUUCGAAUUUCGAGGUUGUAGUAUUUUAAAGUUACUAUCAGGUAAGUGGCUGCAUUAAUUAGCUACUAGACAAAAUUGCAUGAGAUUUGGAGAGUGUUUCGGAGUGCUUUUCAAAAGCAUUUAUAAAAAAAUUUGAAAAUUUUUUAUUUUUUAUUUUGAAUUAAUAUGUUUUUGAUGUUUUCAAAUCAUUUUGAUAUGCUGAUCUCAAAAAUAAUUUUUAAAAAAUAAAAUAAUAUUAUUGACAUGCUUUUUUGAGUGAAAAACACUUUGAAAAGCAACAACAACCACACUCUCAAACACGUUUUUGAUGAAUAUUUGAACUAUUUUUUAAAUGUUUUUUUAUAUAUUAAAAUAAUAUUUUUUGAAAUUUUUUAUUUUAAAAUUAAUAUAUCAAAACCAUUAAAAAACACUGAAAUACAUAUAAAUUUAAUUUUUUUAAAAAAAAAAACUUUUAAAAAAUAUAUACAACCAAAAGGAAUCUCUUUUCUAUUGUUAGAGAAUAUAAUUUAGGGUGCUUGUUUGUUCGGAAUUCCAAACUUUCAUGUGUUUUUUUGCUAUUAAAAAAGUUGGUCAACGAAAAACACUUUUCAGUAAAAAACAGUUGGCUUGAUUUUCAAGAAAAUAUUUUCCUUUUAUUUUGGACGAAAAACACUUUCCAAAAGUUGUGAAAAAUUUUAAAAUAUCAUAUUAUUUGCUGAUUAUAUAAAAUUUGGUCCUCAAACUUUUGAUUGAUAUAUAUUUUGUAUGAAUCUUUUUUUUUUCAAUUUUAUCCCUAAAAAUUUGAUUUAAUUUGAUUUUUAUAUUAACUUUGAUCAUCAUUUUUAUGAUUGUUAUUUGUUUUUCUCUUAUUAUUUUUUUAAUUGAAAUUUUUCAUCUAUUAAAUUUGGUCCUUAUUGUCUUUAUUGUUACUUAUUUUAUUUGAAAUUAUUUAUGAAAAUAAAAUUAUUAUUAUUUUAAUUUCAUCAUCUUUUAAAUUUUUUAUUUGUUAAAUUUGAUCUCUAUUAUUUUGAUUAUUAUUUAUUUUAUUUGAGAUAAUUUAUGAAAUUAGAUUUUUUUUUAAUUUUAUUUUUAUUCAACUUUUUAAUUUAUAAGAUUUAUUCCUCAUUAUUUUAAUAAACUUGAAAAAAAAAACAUUAAUAAGUUAUUAUUCAGUUCAUUUUUCAUAACAUAACCAAACACUGAAAAAAAAUAUUUUUCUAUUUAUUUUUCAUUACACUACCAAAUUUCAUUAAAUAAUUUAUUUUUCAACAAUUUAAUAUUUUUUUUAAAAAACCACUUUAUAAAAGAAAAUUCAGCGCUUUAAUUUCAAACUAAAAAAAAUAAAAAUUUUAAAAAACAUGUUUAACGCAUCUGACUUUUAGAUAAGGAGAUUGUGGUCCAGCUCUAACCAUAAGAAAAACGAGUGGACAGAAAUGAUGCAAGUGUAGCAGAGAAAUUGACGUCGAGGAAGAAAAGCUAGGACAAUCAUACUGAGUAUGUUCAUGUUCAAGAACUUCUGCAAUACACGAAGGUUGCCAGCCAAAUUUAAAUUUUAGCCUUGGAUCCAAUGCAAGAACUAAAGGAACGGUUGGUAUGCAUCGUUGUCAUAAAUAAUGAGUACCACUUUUUGGUGCAGCUUUUUCUGCCACUUUGAAUUUAAGAAUAUAGUUGGCUGAAUUGCCUCUGAAUUUAUUGUAAUAGAUCAUCAACUUUAUCUUGUCUCGUAGCCUUUGUCACAUGUUCACACGGUGGAAAGUAUGAAUGCACUUGGACAAAAAUAACAGCAAAGACAAAGAACACAAGUCUAUUAUUUCCUAAGCAUGUAAUUUAACUUCUUAAGAAAUCAUCUCUAGUCAAGAAGUUACAUUUGUUUUUACUACUCUUAUUUAAUAAAAAUAUUAAACAACUAUUUCAACUUAAAAAUUUAAAUUUAUUUUUAUACUUUGUUUUACAUUUUUUGAACAUAUAAAAAUUUAAAUUGUUUGUGAAACUUCUAGAAUCAUUUUUAUUCUAUUCUCUCACAGAACUCAGACAGCUUCCUCUUCUUUAUUUAUUUUUCCAUAUUGAUGAAUUAGUAUAAAUAGGCUUACAAGCCUAGCUAGUAAAUGGAACUAGCCAAAAUAGUUACUUCUAUCAACAACCAUUUUCAAUAAACAACAGUCAUACAAGAUGAAUUCCUCUGAUCAACAAAUGAAUAGCAUCACUUACAUGGAACCAAAAUUGUACAAAGCUGCAGCAAAAGGCAACAUCAACCCAUUUAAUGAUCGUCUUACAACUUCUCUCAAUGAGCUAUUGACUCCAAAAAAGAACACAAUUCUUCAUGUGUACUUAGAAAACCAACGUAGAGGAUCGAAAUCCACUGAUUUUGUUGGCCAAAUUAUUGAUAUGUGUCCACAACUGCUAUUGCAAGCCAAUACUAAAGGCGAAACUCCACUACAUUUUGCGGCAAGAUAUGGGCAUUCCAAUGCAGUGAAAGUCCUGAUUGACCGCGCAAAAAAGCUAGCUAUAGAUCCUGAGAACGGGCCAGCAGAAGAAAAGAAUAUGUUGAGGAUGACGAAUGAAGAGCAAGAUACAGCGUUGCAUGUGGCAGCUCGACAUAUCCAAGCCCAAGUGGUGGAAAUAUUGACAAAAGAGGACCCUGAGUUUUCAUAUUCCGCCAAUGUUCAUGGAGAAACUCCACUUUAUAUUGCUGCCAAUAUGAGGUUUGUGAACUUUUUUUUUUGUCUCAAACAGAGUUUGAUACCGAUUCGAUACUAUAAGUGACCAACAUCUUUUUUUUUCUUUUAAUAUUUACUAGAUUAAUCAAUUUUUUACUAAUCUAUUUAUCAAUCUAGAAUACUAUCAUUUUAAGAUUAUAUAAAUGUAAUUGUUAAUUAAUUUUAAUUUGUACAGCUUUAUAAUGUUAAAGUAAAUCUGUUUUUUAAAUUAUCAUAAAAGAUAUUAGGAUUUUACCUGCUUAUUUUUUUUUAUGCUAUAUAUGUUAUUGAACUCGAGACAUAUUAAUUCAAUAAAAAACAGCAAAAUUUAAUGGUUUUUAAUUCUCUUUUAUAAAGCAAACUUCCCAGAAAGGCAAGAGAGUUUUGAAGGGGAAAAAAAAAUAAAAAGGAAAAGAAUUUUGAUAAUAUUAAUUAGCAUUUUUUUUUAUCUCUUAUAAAAGAGAAUAUUGAUACUUUAACACUCGUGUACAUCAAAAAAAUCUUGCUACAUCAGUAUUUAUUGGACUUAAAAUGUUAAUAAAAAUCACAUAUAUCUAAUUAUGAUUAUAUUGCUGCCAAUGUAAGGUUUAAUAGGAAGUUAAAAAGACAUGAAGAACAUAGAAAAAAAGUGAUCGAAAUCUUGAGUAGUUGCAAGUCAGUGGAAUAUUGUGGUUCUCAUGGCAGAACCGCACUACACGCGGCAGCCAUGCAUGGUGAUCAUGGUAAGAUUUUUUUCUGAACUGUAAAUCUUUGAAUUCAUAAAUUAUUAUCGGAAACCAUAACUGUGAGAAGUGUGUUCUUAUCUUAAAUUAUUUCUUAUCUGUUUGCCAUUUUAUUGUACUCAUUUAUUUUAUGUUUCUUAAAAAAAAUCUUAUUUUAACCUUUAGGAUAUUGUUGUUUUCAUUUAUUGUUCAUUUGUCAAAUUCUUCGUUUACUCUAUCACAUUUAUUUGAUAUAUAUAGAAGUUAAUAAAGGUGAAAAAAAAAACAAAAAUAUUCAUUUUAUGUUUGUUAAAUUAAAGGUUAGAUUGUAUUUAUUACUUGUAUAAUUCAUUGGAAGAUACAAGGUAAAGAAAAUACAUAUUAAGAAGACAAUGAAUUUCCUAGUCUAUUUAAUUAAGGACUUAUUUGCAUGAUUAUAUAUAAGAUUUUAGGACCAAAAUGUUCUUAUAUACGUUUGAAUGUAAGGAAUGUAUAUGACAAGUAUGUGUGGGAGAAUCAUUUCCCUUACAUAAAUAAAUAAAUAAAUAAAUAACACUAAUGAAUUAUUAGAUUAGUAAGACUAUUGGAUUCUACUUUAAAAUGAUAAUUAAAGGCUCAUAAUAAUAUUGAAUUUUAUUCUUGUUGUUUAUAGUUUUUCUUAAGAACUUUGGUCAUCUAGUUCAAAUGAAGUUGGAGUUGGUGACAUUUCCAUAUUAUUAUUUUAAAUAUGACCAAAUAAUAAGAACCAAUAAAAAUAUGAUGCAUAAACAAUAUUGAAUAGCGACUAUAAGAACCAAAUAACUUAAUUAGAAAGCAAGAAAGGGCAUUUAUAAUACAAUUGAAGAGAGAAAAAUGCCAAAUUAAAUAUUAACUUAUCACUAAAUUAGUAGCGUAGAUAACGCAUUAACUAUAAUAUUAUUCAUAUAUUACUUAAUAUGUACCAUAUUUUUUCUUAUGGUUUAUUGCAGAGACAGCAAUAAAUAUAUUACAAAGCAACGCGAGUUUGACGAGAAGAACCGACGAUGACGGGUGGUCACCACUUCACUACGCUGCCUUUUUCCCUUUUUCAUAUACUGGUUUUGUAACAGUAAUAGAACUACUAAAACAUGAUGUGUCCGCAGCCUACAUUGUUGAUUCAGAGAAGAGAACAGCCCUUCACUUGGCUGCCGUUCGAGGCAAUAUGGCAGUAAUGGAAGAGAUUAUGAAGACUUGUCCAGCUUGUUGUGAACUAGUGGAUAGCAGAGGUCGGAAUGCCCUUCACUAUGCUGCCAUAACUCUAAGAGGAGCACUUACAGCUAUGUCUUUCCCUCGAUCGAUUCCUAAAUUUGAGAAACUUAUAUACGAGAAGGAUAACGAUGGAAACACACCAUUGCAUCUAUUUGCUGCUUUCGGCAGUUUUACCCAGAAGAGUAGUGAUUGGAUACAUGCGUGCAAGAAGAUGUGUGGCCUUAACAAGCAAAAGCUCAGCGUUGAUGACAUCUUGGUAGGAAAUUUUCCUGAAGAAAAGGUAAUUCCCUCGAUUUGACUUUUUAACGAGUCGCACUCGUACACGCGAAAGAGUCUUUGCAUUUGAAAAAGCUUGCUAACUUACCAAGACAAAUUAAAUUUAAUAUGUCAUAGGAAUGAUGUAAGAUUAUUUUCAUAAAUAUCAAAGGAUGCAUCAAGAGAAUUUAUAAUAUUCAUUCAAUCUUGUUAAAAAAAAAAAACUUCAACUCUAACAAUAAACACGCGUGCACCUUUAAUAAAUCACAUCAAUCAAACAUAAAUUCACUUGGAUUGUCUCCCUUUUUUAAAAAAAUAAAAUAAAAAUAGAAUAGAAAUCCUUUUGGCAAUAUAACAAAAUUAUACCUUCAACUUCAACACGUAUUUUUAAUUGACUAACACUAUUUGCUUUGAGCCUGUUUGGCUCUACGGUUCAACCUGUGUUUUCAUAAAUUUUAAAUUUUAUUUUUUUGCUAAAAUUAAAUGCGGUUUGUAUCUUUUGAAUCAUUUUGAUGUGCUGAUAUCAAAAAUAAUUUUUAAAAAAUAAAAAAACAUCAUUGGCAUGCAUUUUGUCCCCUAGACUGAUGUUGGUUUCUUUUAUUUGUUUGUUUUAUGGUGUGUUUGAUAUUUUAAUUGAUUAAAAUAAUUUUUUUAUUUUUAAUAUAAACAUAUUAAAAAUAUUAAAACACGCUAAAAAAAUUAAUUUGAUUUGUUUCCAAACCAGACCCUUUUAAAUCAUACUUAAAAAUAAUUUAAAAUUAAAAAACAAACAGCCCUCGUAGCAACAAAAGCAAUAUAUAUUGUUGGUAGCUAAAAGAAACAAAAUUACUUGAUUUCAAACUCGCUGGUUAUGAUAGCAAACAAAGGUUGAGAGUCUACAGAUGAUAAAGGAAAAGAAAGAUUCGUUUAAUUUCACAGCCGAAACUUGUUGCAGAAAAAGAUUUUGGAAUCAUUGAAAGAUGUACGGAGUGGACCGCUUCAACGGCCCAUACCUAUGAUGAAAGAAGUGAACCUCUCUAGUACUGAGAUUGGAAUGGAGACUCGUGUACUUGUAGCGGCACUCGUAGCAACAGUAACAUUUGCAGCUGCUUUCACGAUGCCUGGCGGUUACAAGAACGAACAAGGCACUCCAGUUCUUCUUAAAAAUGCUGCUUUUGCAGUCUUUGUUAUAUCAGAUACAACAGCAAUGGUUCUCUCAAUUUCUGCCCUCUACAUAUACUUUUAUUGGGCAGUGAUUGGAAAAAGAGGUCAAGUGGAACAGAAUAUAAAAGAAAACUUCUCUGACUGGACAUCUGCUUUAACCGCAUAUGCCAUCCUAGCUAUGCUCAUCGCAUUCAUCACAGGAAGUUAUGCAGUGCUAGCUCCAUCAUCAUGGCUUGCAAUCACGACUUGUUUCAUUGGUGUAGUCUACGUCUUCUUUGCGUCCACGGCAUACAUAGUUGACGUACGCACCAUUAUAAAAUAUUGGAAAUAUUGAAGAAGAUUGAUUAUCAUUUAGCUCGUGUUAUAAACUAUCUUCUCGUCAUCUUCUUUAUGGCAUCAGCUGUAACGUUGGUUUUAUUUAUCAAGUUAAUUUACCUUGCUUUUCACAAGUACAAUGAUCGAAAAAUUCAAUUUUGGCACUUGGGAAGUGGUACUGAGCCAUAGAAUGACGGCUAACAAGUUCACCAUUGAUUCUAGAUGAAUGGCACUGAGCCAUAAUUUUCAAAGGACUUGAAUUUCUAAUAUAUAUAUAUAUAUAUAUAUAUAUAUUGAUUAGAAUUUCCAUUAAUUGCUGAACGGUAAUUCGGACUUCAAUUUCUACACAUUGCAACUUCAUUCACCUUCCCAACUUUUUGUUUAACCGAAAUCAUUCUCAUGAAAUGCAAAACAUUCUUUUACGAGAACAAAAAUAAAUAAAAAAAGUAACAAAGGAAAAUUUUACGACAGGCACAAGAAAAACCAUAAUAAAAAAAAGGAGGAAAAUGGGUAUAUAAAACAGCAGAACAUAAACAUUUUGAGAAAUUAAUGAAUUAAUGAUGUAGUGCUAUGAUUUAACUCCGAUCUAGUGGGUUAUGAAGGAAAUGAAGCUGAUGACAACACCCAAUGUCUGAGAUUUUCAGACCCUAAUUCCACUGACAAGGUGUAAAGAGUGUAGUUAAAACACAAUUUGAACAACGGAGACAAAAAAAAUAAAAAUCAAUUUAUGUUUAUGUUUAGUGUGUUUUAAGACUAAAUAAUUUGUUUUAUUUUGUGUUUGGUUAGCAUUAGUCAAGACACAAGUAAAAAAUAAUUAGUGGAAGAAUUAAUCUAACUUGAACCCGAUCAAAAAUUCAAGUUGACCUACUAUAAAGUUUACUCGAAAUAAAACACUAAUAAAAACUUUUAAUUUUUUUUAUCAAAAUAAAAUUAUUUUAAUUUAUUUUUAAUUUAUAUCAACUUAAAUUGACUUUCCUAUUGACCUUCCUCCUAACUCAUGAUUAGGCCUUAUCUCACAUUAACUCUUAGGUUAGAUUUUAAAACAACUAUAACAAAUAUUUUGAUUUAUAUAUUAAUUUUAUUCAAUUAGGUAACCUUCCUAACACGUAAUCAAAAUCUUGCAUUGAAUUAUUAUUUAUAUUGAGUUUUAUAUUCACUCAGAUUAACGAUGAACAUGAUGUGUGAAUCAAAUGUUAUAUUAUUUAAAUUUUAAAAUUAUAAUAAUUAUUAUUUUUAUUUUUAUAUUAAUACAGAUCAAUCCGGUUAAUUCUUAUGCAAAACAUUUAACAAUCUAGCUUAUUCUACUCCUUUUAAUAAACAAAAAUUUCUCCACUGGCCUUGUUUAGAACAAAAAGUAAAUACUCCAAAAAAACUUCACAAAAAGAUUAUACCAUCCAAUCCAUUUUUUACAGCAUAUCGAACACUACAUGAAUUUCAAAAUAAAAAAUUACCUCAGUUAAAUCCAUUAAUAUCAUAGUAAUGUAGCUUCCACCAAGUAGGUUCUCCCUGAUAAACAGGGACAUGGCUCCACUACACCUUCAACAAAUUGGAUUAUAUCAUCAUAGGCAAUCUUACAUUACAAUUUUGCUCAAACCAAAAAUUAGCAUAGCCAAGUCUCAAAAACCUUAAACCUCCUAAAUAUUACUUAACAUUAAAAAUAGAUAUACAAGGAAUUCAUGAAUGGAUGCAAUGUAAUAAGCUAUUCAAACUAUUUUGUAUCUAUAAAUUAAAUGGCUCAAAGUUAUAACAGCUCUAACAAUCAAGAAUUUUCAGUAGCAGAACUGGCAUUAAAGUUGUAUAUUAAUCAUCACUGCCAAAAAUUUCUGGAAAAAAGCAUAACUUUAAUCACAGAGCAAACAGAACCCAAGAUCGAUCAAUAAAACGAAAACUUGAUGAAUCCAAUCAAAACUUGAUUUAUCUCUUUGCUUCAUUGAUUUCUCUCAGAAGAGCGAUAAAUGCAAUCUAAUAAUCGCCAACAAAUUUAAUAACAUAAAACAAUCAAAACUUGAUGAAUUUGGAGGGAUGUUUUAGAGGCAAAACCAUUGACACAAAGGGCAUAAGCCCCACGUGAACACCACCAAACAAAACUCAAUCCUUGCCUCAGUGACUAGCUUAAUGUCCACCAUAGUUCUCAAAAAAACAAGCUAGGGGUACAGAGAGUCAGCAAAAAAACACAUACCCAGAUAAAAAAAAAUGAAAAAUUUUAAAAAAAAUAAGAGAUGUAGUCGUUGAUUUGACACAGAUAACCCAGGGAAAAAGGUACGAGAGGCUAAACUCAAUGGAGUCCAUAACUCGGAUUGCAGGUUUAGUAGGUUAGGCUACAAAGCUCAAGAUAUUAUCGUCUCAAUAUUAAAAAAAAAAUAUCGUAUUGAAAUUUUAAAUUAAAUAUUAAAGAUAGAAGCACCGAAAUAUUAUGAAGAGAAGAGAACAGCCCUUCACUUGGCCGUCGUUCGAGGCAAUAUGACAGCAAUGGAAGCGAUUAUGAAGACUUGUCCAGCUUGUUGUGAACUAGUGGAUAGCAGAGGUCGGAAUGCCCUUCACUAUGCUGCCAUAACUCUAAAAGGAGUACUUACAGCUAUGUCUUUCCCUCGAUCGAUUCCUAAAUUUGAGAAACUUAUAUACGAGAAGGAUAACGAUGGAAACACACCAUUGCAUCUAUUUGCUGCUUUCGGCAGUUUUCCCCAGAGGUAUUUGAGGAGUGAUUGGAGACAUGCGUCCAAGAAGAUGUGUGGCCUUAACAAGCAAAACCUCAGCGUUGAUGACAUCUUGGAAGGACAUUUUCCUGAAGAAAAGGUAAUUCCCUCGAUUUGACUUUUUAACCGAGUCGCACUCGUACACGCGAAAGACUCUUUGCAUUUGAAAAAGCUCGCUAACUUACCAAAACAAAUUAAAUUUAAAAAUUAUCAUAGGAAUGAUGUAAGAUUAUUUUCAUAAAUAUCAAAGGACGCAUCAAGAGAAUUUAUAAUAUUCAUUCAAUCUUGUUAAAAAAAAAAAAAAAAACUUCAACUAUAACAAUAAAUACGUAUGCACCUUUAAUAAAUCACAUCAAUCAAACAUAAAUUCACUUGGAUUGUCUCCCUAUUUUAAAAAAAUAAAAUAAAAAUAGAAUAGAAAUCCUUUUGGCAAUAUAACAAAAUUAUACCUUCAACUUCAACACGUAUUUUUAAUUGAUUAACACUAUUUGCUUUGUCCCCUAGACUGAUGUUGGUUUUUUUAUUUGUUUGUUUUAUGGUGUGUUUGAUAUUUUAAUUGAUUAAAAUAUUUUUAUUUUAUUUUUAAUAUAAACACAUUAAAAAUAUUAAAACACUAUAAAAAAUUUAAUUUAAUUUUUUUCUCAGAAAGACACUUUUAAAUCAUAUCUAAAAACAAUUUAAAACUAAAAAAACAAACAGCCCUCGUAGCAACAAAAGCAAUAUAUAUAUAUUGGUGCUAGCUAAAAGAAACAAAAUUACUUGAUUUCAAACUCGCUGGUUAUGAUAGCAAACAAAGGUUGAGAGUCUACAUAUGAUAAUGGAAAAGAAAGAUUCGUUUAAUUUCAUAGCCGAAACUUGUUGCAGAAAGAGUUUUUGGAAUCAUUGAAAGAUGUACGGAGUGGACCGCUUCAACGGCCCAUAGCUAUGAUCAUAGGCGGAGGCAUGCCAAAGGCUAGGGUGGGCUUUAGCCUAGGUCAAGAUUUUAUCAAUAUUUUUUUAACUAGUUUUAUACAAAAACAAUUUAUAAUUCUCAAUUAAAUUAUCAAAAAAUUCUGAAAAUUUACGUGGAGCCUUCUAAUAUGAUGUUUUAGCUUGGGUUAAAAUUUCAGAAUUUUUAAAAAAAUUUAGAAAUUUGAUGAAAAAUCAUAAUUUGAUCGGUUUUACGUUAUUAGAUGUAAUUUUCAAUACGACCAUCAGAUCGAGUUGAAAUUUUACGAGGGAUCUUAAAAUAUAUUGAAUAAAAUCUAGUUAAGAGUUUAGGAUGAACGGAGCUUAGUAGUGCUAACAAAAAAAAAGAUCGUCAAAUAAAAACAAAAUGACUCAUUAAAAGUAAAAUGGUUAUUUGCCAUUAAAAAAUAAAACAAAUCAGCUACUCCUUCCUUUUAUAUGUUGCCGACUAAGCAGAAGCAGAAUAGAAGAAGAAAGAAAAGAAAAGGCAAGAAAGAAAUAGAAAAAAGUAAGGGAAAAACAUUAAAAAAUUCCAAGGAAAAAUAUAAGAAGUGAGAAAAUAACCUUGUAAACUAACGAAGUCCAACUUAUAAAAUACUAAUCUAGAGAAGAAUCAAGUGAAUGAAGAAGGAAUUAAAAGAGGAAAAAAAUUUAAUUACUUUGUUUUUCAGUUGACAUGAGAUUGUUAUUUUAUCCCUGUUGAGGGGUUGUUACAAUAUCGAUUCAGAUUCAAUUAUAGAUGAAUUAUAUUCCACAAAACAUCGAAGAAUGUAACUUUAAUAAUGAGUUUAUUUUUACUUUUGCUUUAAUUUUAUGUACUUUCAAAUUUAUUUUUUAAUAUUUUAGAUAAUGUAUUUGAAUUAAAACUUUAUUAUUAAUUUUAAAAAUUUAUGUACAUAAAUUAAUAAUCGAUCUUAAAAAAUAUUUUUAUAUUUAUUUAUAGCCCAGGAUAAAAAAAAUUCUUGGCUCCGCCCUUGGCUAUGAUGAAAGUAGACCUCUCUACUACUGAGAUAGCAAUGGAGACUCGUAUACUUGUAGCUGCACUCGUAGCAACAGUAACAUUUGCAGCUGCUUUCACCAUGCCUGGCGGUUACAAGAACGAACAAGGCACUCCAGUUCUUCUUAAAAAUGCUGCUUUUGUAGUCUUUGCUAUAUCAGAUGCAAUAGCAAUGGUUCUCUCAACUUCUGCUCUCUUCAUUCACUUUUUUUGGGCACUGCUUGGAAAAGGAGGUCAAGUGGAUGAGGAUAUAAAAGAAAACUUCUCUGAUUGGACACCUGCUUUAACCACAUGUGCCAUCCCAGCAAUGAUCAUCGCAUUCAUCACAGGAAGUUAUGCAGUGCUAGCUCCAUCAUUAUGGCUUGCAAUCACGAUUUGUUUCAUUGGUGUAUCCUUCUUCUUCUUUGCGUACAAGGCAUUCAUAGUUCCAUUCCGCAUCAUUUAAAAAUAUUGAAAAUAAACACUUCUCAGCAGACUUUAAAAGAGUCUGAUAUUGAAGAAGAUUGAUUCUCAUUUAGCUCGUGUUAUAAACUAUCUUCUCGUCAUCUUCUUGAUGGCAUCAGCAGUAACGUUGGCAUCAGCUGUAAUGAUUGAAAAAUUCAAUUUUGGCACUUGGGAAAUGCUAACACCUUCAAUAUAGAGAUCAUAGAAUGACGGCUCACAAGUUCACCAUUAAUUCUAGAUGAAUGGCACUGAGCCAUAAUUUUCGAAAGACUUGAAUUUCUACACAUUGCAACUUCAUUCACCUUCCCAACUUUUUGUUUAACCGAAAUCAUUCUAAUGAAAUGCAAAACAUUCUUUUACGAGAACAAAAAUAAAAAAAUAAAAAAGUAACAAAGGAAAAUUUUACGACAGGCACAAGAAAAACCAUAAUAAAAAAAAAGAGGAGGAAAAUGGGUAUAUAAAACAGCAGAAUAUAAACAUUUUGAGAAAUUAAUGAAUUAAUGAUGUAGUGCUAUGAUUUAACUCCGAUCUAGUGGGUUAUGAAGGAAAUGAAGCUGAUGACAACACCCAAUGUCUGAGUUUUUCAGACCCUAAUUCCACUGACAAGGUGUAAAGAGUGUAGUUAAAACUCAAUUUGAACAACAGAGAUAAAAAAAAAAAAAAUCAGUUUAUUUUUAUGUUUAGUGUGUUUUAAGACUAAAUAAUUUGUUUUAUUUUGUAUUUGGUUAACAUUAACCAAGACAAGAGUAAAAACAAUUAGUGGAAGAAUUGAUAUAACUUGACCUUGUUAAAAAUUCAAGUUAACCUAUAAUUAAGUUUACCCAGAAAAAACACAAAUAAAUUACUUAUGAUUUUUUUUUUAUCAAAAUAAAAUUGUUUUAAUUUAUUUUUAAUUUAGAUCAACUUAGAUUGACCCUCCUCCUAACUUAUGAUUAGGUCUUGUCUCAUAUCAACUCUUGGUUAAGAUUUUAAAACAAUUAUAACAACUAUAUUUAUUUAUAUAUUGACUUGGAUCAAUCUUCCUAACAUGUAAUUAAAAUCUUGUCUUGGAUUAUCAUUUUUAAUUAGUUUUAAAUUAUAAAAAUAAUUAUUUUUAUUUUUAUAUUCACCCAAAUUAACAAUCAAUAUUAUGUAUGACUCAAACCUUGCAUCGAGUCAAUUAUUAUUUAAAUUUUAAAAUUAUAAUAAUAAUUAUUUUUAUUUUUAUAUUAAUACAGAUCAGUCCAGUUAAUUCUUAUGCAAAAAAAAUUAACAAUCUUAUUCUACUCCUUUUAAUAAACAAAAAUUUCUCCACUGGCCUUGUAUAGAACAAAAAAUAAAUACUCCAACAAAACUUCACAAAAAAAUUAUACUGUCCAAUCCAUUUUUUACAGCAUAUCGAACACUACAUAAAUUUCAAAAUCAAAUUACCUCAGUUAAAUCCAUUAAUAUCAUCGUAUUGUAGCUUCCACCAAGUAGGUUCUCCCUGAUAAACAGGGACAUGGCUCCACUACACCUUAAACAAAUUGGAUUAUAUCAUCAUAGGCAAUCUUACAUUACAAUUUUGCUCAAACCAAAAAUUAUCAUAGCCAAUUCUCAAAAACCUUAAACCUCCUACAUAUUUCUUAACAUUAAAAAUAGAUAUACAAGGAAUUCAUGAAUGGAUGCAAUGUAAUAAGCUAUUCAAACUAUUUUGUAUCUAUAAAUUAAAUGGCUCAGAGUUCUAGCAGCUCUAUCAGUCAAGAAUUUUCGGUAGCAGAACUGGCAUUAAAGCUGUAUAUUAAUCAUCACUGCCAAAAAUUUCUGGAAAAAAGCAUAACUUUAAUCACAGAACAAACAGAACCCAAGAUCAAUCAAUAAAAAGAAAACUUGAUGAAUCUAAUCAAAACUUGAUGAAUCUAAUCAAAACUUGAUUUAUCUCUUUGCUUCAUUGAUUUCUCUCAGGAGAGCGAUGAAUCCAAUAUAAUAAUCGCCAACAAAUUCAAUAACAUAAAACAAUCAAAACAUGAUGAAUUCCGAAGGAUUUUUUAGAGGCAAAACCACUGACACAAAGGGCAUGAGCCCCCACGUGAACACCACCAAAAAGACUCAAUUUUUGCCUUAGUGACUAGCUUUAUUUCCACCAUAGUUCUCAAAAAACAAGCUAGAGGUAUAGAGAGGCAACAAAAAAACACAUACCCAGAUGAAAAAAAGAGAUAUUUUAAAAAAUAAGAGAUGUUGUCGUUGAUCUGACACAGAUAAGCCGUGAAAAAAGGUACAAGAGGCUAAACUACAACACUAAACGAAAGGUGUUUUAGCACGAGCAUUGGGGCUUUCUACUUCAGUGAAAUGUAACAAGUGAAGCCUAGGAGGCAUCAUUCAGAGAGAAUUUUUUUUAAAAGGUAAGUUUUUGAAAGGAUUUGUGUGAUGAAAACAGGGUUCUUGGAGGUGUGGAGCCUGCUAAUAGAAGAGAAACAGGGGUGUUAAGAAGUUAUAUAUAGGCGGUAAAGAGCUAUAAAACCCUACUUUUGUUAUUUGAGGAGGUGUUUUGUGUUUUUUGGAUAGUUCAAUUUGUUUUGGGAAUUCAGGGUAUUUAUAUUUGGGGCUUAUUUUUUAUUUUUUCAUCUCUAAUUACUGGAUAAUUUUCACGAGCAUAAAUUUCAUUUUUUUAGGUUAAAAAAUCAACAACAAAAUAAUCUAUCUUUUUCAUUCUUCCAAAAAUAGGUUUAUUAAUAAAAAAAACAAAUAUAGGGUUUAGGACUGGAUUUGGGGUCGUCCAUUUGGAAACCCAAAAUAUCAUGAAAAAUAAAAUAAAUUAUUAUAUAUUUUAUUGAUGUUAAAAAAUUAUUUUAGCUCUGUUUUUUUUUUUUGUUGAUAUAAUUAUUUUGGUUUCUGGAGUGGUUAUUCUUAAGAUUUCUCUUGGGUAUUAAAGGUAAAAUAAUUUUUGGACUAGAUUUUAUAUAUUCUAACUAAAUUUAUUUUCAAUUAGAUUUUAAAUAAAUUAUUUAUAUCGAAACUGAUGUAUAUGGUAAAAAUAUAAUAUAAACAAUCAUUGAUAGUUUAUUGCCCCUGUUAACUAAAUAAUUUGUUUUUAUUAUUGUUGACACCUUUCUUUUUUAUUUUAUUAUUGUUAUUACAACUACUGUUACUAACAACAAGAUCAAGAAUUAAGGGGAAAUCACUUGCUUGCACUGUUUAUGUAAACAAUAUAAGCAUGUACCUCUUCUUCUUCUUCUUCUUCUUUUAAUUUAAAUUUCAUUACUCAAUGAUGCAUUGCUUUUAAAUUGUUCCUUAUAAUUUAUUUUGGUUUGUUUUCUAUAAAGUUAUUACAUUCUUAAACAAAUGAGCCGAUAUUUAAUUAGUGCUCAAUUUUAUGAGUGCCUAAUUUUAUUAUCAUAAAAUUAGGUAAGAAAUAAUUUCAAAAAACAAAGUUAUUAAACUCAAUAAAGUCCAUAACUUAGGUUGUAGGUUUAACUGGUUAAGCUACAAAGCUCAAAAUAUUAUCGUCUUAAUAUUAAAAAAUAUAUAUCAUAUUGAAAAUUUAAAUUAAAUAUUAAAGAUGAAAUCACCAACAAAAUAAUUAAAAAUAUUAAUAUUUAAUUAUCUGUUUGUAAAAUUAUCAAUAAAAUGCCCCAAUAAAAAGACUAGAAUCCCUCAUUUCACAGUAGACGGGCCUUUUUUUUUUCUUUUUUCUUCUUCUUAUAUAAAAACGUUUUGUAGCAAAUUUUGAUAUGAUUAUAUACAAUGAUGAAUUUAUAUUUCAAUAGCCUGGAUUUAUGAUUUAAAGAAAGCAUCCAUCAACGUGAAUAAAUCCUUACGUGCAUCUCAUGUGAAGACAAAGGUGAUCUCAAGUGCAGAUUCUCCCUAAGACAAAUAUACGAAGUACAGCUUCUUAAAGACGAUCAGACCAGAGAUGAUUUUUGUUGGUUGUAAUAUUGGAUUUCGGAACCGAACUAUGUAGAGAUGGCCAAAGACUGGCUUCCUGAGAAGUUUUCACUAAAUAUAUUAUUGUUAGUACUCACAAAAUUAAAUAAAUUCAAUUAGAGGAAAUUCUAAAAUAUAAUUUAUAUUGUUUUUUUAACUAAUAACUGGUAUAACAAUCAAACACUAAUUCGAAUUAAAAUAAAAUAAAAUCAGUGACAUUACUAAUUCUUCAUGAGAGAAUGAAAAGAACAGGAUCCGAUGGAAUCGCUAUAUAUCAUGUGAAGUUUACAAUUUCCACCACCGGUUCCGACGGUCAAGUGACAUGAGUUAAUCAUACUCUUUUAAGCAUAUUAAUUGUAAACUUUCCUUACACUUUCAUAUUACGUAAUUAUUUAUUUUUGUCAAUAUUUAUUAAUACCAGGCUGCAAAGUCAAUGCUCAGAGAGGAGAAUGAUUAACUAUGUGCACGCCCUUGCAUUAUGAAUUUGUCUAUGACGACGUCCUCUUUAACAUGGUAGAGUCUAAUUUUCUUAGAUAAUUAAUUAAUUAAUUAUCGUUGGUCUUUCCUUCAAGAUCCAACAUCCCAUUUGCAAAGUAAUUAUAUGAAAAGAAAGUCGGUCCAAUAUUAAAUUAUAUAAUAUGUUACAUGUCCAAUCAUUCCCAUUAUUUUAUCAAAUUACAUGUUCUAUUUAUAGAGAGCAUAUAGCACCUUGUUUGACAUAUUCAUACUAUCAUACACUUCAACUCAAUCGUUCUUCUCUACAAUCAAAUUCAGGCUUCAGCAGCAAAAGUUACAAUGGCGGUAAGCGUGUAUAGAUGUCGUGGAUGAAAUUAUAUAACCGUAGGUUAAUUAGUAAGAGUCUUCUAUUAAUUAAUAUUUUCUCGUAUCAUAUUACAACUUAAAGGAAAGAAUGGCACAAUUGUAUUGAAAAUUUUCGUUGUAUUUUACCCAGUCGAUCAUAGAAAUGAGAGUGCAUAUGGAUUGUGCUGGAUGCGAGAGCAAGGUGAAAAAUGCUCUGGAAAAAGUCAAAGGUAAGAAAUCACCUCCACUAAAAACUUUAUGCAAGCGAAAAUUUUCAUCUUAGUCAUUCCUUAUUUUGUCAUGAAUUAUUUUUUCUGUUCCUCUCUUUUUAAAGUUUUCUUUGGACAUAUUUUCUUGGACUAUAUCUUAAACUUUUGUAUUUAUUAUAUGUAUGCACGCACAUGCGUAGAUGACAUAGAUAUAGAUAUGGGGUUGCAAAAGGUGACGGUCACAGGAUGGGCUGACCAAAAGAAAGUUCUAAAGACAGUUCGUAAGACAGGAAGAAGGGCAGAGCUCUGGCAAUUACCUUACAAUCCACAACAUCAUAUCUAUUCUGACCACUACUACAACCAACACCAAGUUAACAGUCCACUUACUUACCAUGCUCCUCAGCCUUCCUCUUCUUACAAUUACUACAAGCAUGGAUAUGAUAGCAACGAUCAUGGUUAUUAUCAUCACCCUGUGCAUUCCUCCAUCUUUAACCACCAGACAGGAGCAGUUUUCAGCGAUGAAAACCCUCAUGGUUGUUCUUACUAUAUAUAUAUAUAUAUAUGCAUGCUACUUUGUUUUAUAUGUACUGAUUUCCUUUUCACUUUAUGUUUUGUUAAACCUUGUUCACAUGAAGCUAUAAAAUAUAGACAAGAAAUGCCUUUUUUUUCCUUAUCAUUUUGCAACUUAUAAAUUGUUUUAUUCUGAUUUGUGCCCUAGACAUGGUAUUGUCUGCUGAGAAAACCGAGCUCCGUUGAUCUUUUCUUUUUACUAAACUAAAUCGCCACCAAUUGCAAUUUAAAACUCUGAUCUACAUUAAUAUCAUUCGGAUAGGAUUAAUUAGGAUGUACUCCUCCAUAAACUCUAAUAAAUCUUCUCCAAAGAAGAGAUGCCUUGGAAUGUUUUAGAAAGGGGAUAAUAUUCUCAUAUUCGCACCCAACUUAUUCGCUAUUACCCUUUCUCAGUUGUGUCCCUAACCUACAUAUUUAAGCAAUUGAGUCCAAAAAGUAUCUAGGAAUUAUCAAUCUGAUCCUUUCAUCCUCAAAUAUAAUUUGAAGUUAUCUUUAGGUGUGGACUUAAAUGAGAAAAUUCUUAAACAAUUUUUUUAUGGACAAAUCCAAUUGAGAAUUCUGGGACUAGUUGGUUGAAAAUUAUAACUAGGUUGAGAACAAAAUUUGGAAAACAAUUAGAGAUAGGGGACUAAUAUUAUGUUACCCAAGAACCUCAUAAAAAUUAGGGAUGAAAACGUCAUCACUCAACAGAUAUCAGGAAUACUCCUAUCUAAUUGAGAUUGAGAUGGGUUUUAACCCAGUUUGACUAGGAUCCAACCUAUUGUGGAUAUAUAUAACUUCUCUCAUUUUUAUUUUUAAGCAUACAAAUGUGUGGUUUUGCCCAUUUAAUACCCAAAUUGUUUUUUUUAUAUUUCCUUAUAAAUAUUCUAAGAAUUUUUGUGAUUAAUAGUUUUCAAUUUUUUAUUUCCUUAAUAUUAUGAAAAAAUAUAUGGUUUUUAAAAAUUAAUUUUCAAAAUUCUUUAAACUUUUCGAAUAUUUUUCUUAAAUAAGAAGUUUCCAUAACUUUUUUUUUAUUAUUAUUCCUUAAAUUCAUUUCAUGCACUGUUAAAAAAAAAACAUUACAUAGUGUCGUUUUAAACGGCAUUGUAUAUCUUCUUCUUCCAUAUGAACGUAGAGACAAAGAAGAAGAAGGAUUUUGAAUGUUUUUUCCGCCUCUCUCUCUCUCUCCCCCGCUUGCACAAACCUGACAAAACACAUACUCAUAUGCCCAUGCCACCAUAAUAAGAAAGAAAGACAACCCAUACCCCGGUCACCAUGUCCUGCACUCACCACGCCCUGCAUUUGGACAAGGUAUGGUGACUCUCUCCCUUGGCCUCCUACAAAUACAGGGGGAGAUUUGAGAGAAAGGGGGGAGAAAAAUUGUUCUGGGAGAAUAGUAUAGAAGAAAGGAAAUAGAAAGACAGUUUGAGAAAGGGCUGGGGAAUUGUUUGUGGGAAAUAAGGAUAAAGUAAAGACAAAGAGGAGACUAAAAGAAGAACAAAAGGAAACAUAAGAAAAUAGAGGAGAAGAACAUAAGGAAAAUACGCAGAGAAGAAGAAGAACCGACCACCAAAGAAGCAACUCUCCAGUCAGCAACCACCAACAUCACCGCCACAAAGCCACCACAUGUCCGCCCCUUUUCCUUCUUCCUCCUUCUCCUCUUCAUCUUCGAUGGUUUCCUUCAUUAUUCACUAAGUGAAUUAAUUUUCUCUUCAUUGUUAAGGUGAGAGUACUCCUGUUCAUUGGGCUGGACAAGUCCGACCCGGCCCAAUCCAAUUUUUUUUAUUAUAAAAAUACUUUUAUUGUUUUUUUAUUUUCCCGCGUAUUUUUCUACCUAUUUGAUUAUUAUCGGUUUGUAUUUUUAUAUCAUAAAGAUACAAAUUCGAUAUUAAAAUACUCGAUUUUCAUCGAAACAUCUCAAAAAAUUAUAAACAAUAAUAAAAAUAUAUUGUUUUCAUGCAUACGACGAAGUCUUUCAAAAAAAAAAUCAUAUUGUAUUUUCAUACAUCAAAAAUUCAAAAAUAUGUUUUAGCAUGCAUUUCGGCUUUCAUAACUAGUUUAUUAAAGUCAUGAGAACUAGGCGAAUAUUUAAAAAAUUCCAAAAAAAUCAAUUUGUUUUCUUUCAAUAUUAAGGAUUACGAGCUCAUACGUAAAACGAAUCCCUGAUAUUAAAAAGCUAGUUUUUUUUUAUUGAUUUUAGAAUGAUUAUGUUUGACCCAAUAAGAUAAUGAUCUUCUUACUGAGAAUGACCUUUUUAAAACCAUAGACGGACCAACAAUUAGACCUUAGCAUAUAUCUCCUUGUUGAUAUCUUUCCUUUACGCAACCAAUCUCUGUGUUCGAUCUCUGAGACCAGUUAGGGUUCCUAGUGACCAAAAUACUAGGUGACGACUCUUAUUCCCUCUUUCCACUGAUAAAAGAUAAGAAUUCAUUGUCUUUUCUAUUUUUCCAAUUACCUAGACAAACCUAUCAAAGUGGAAGACCCGUCACGAUGCCGCAUACGUGCAACAAUUUCAUUUGGUCAUUGAAUCUUUGUAAAGGAAUGAUAAUGGGUAUUCACGGGUUAGGUUUUUGUAUUAUCUAUACUUGAAUUCAAACCCAAAACAUUAUCAAUGUCUGACUCAAAACUUGACGAGUGUAAAUUUUGAAUAUCAAAAUCUAAUGCAAUUAAUCAGGUUUUAGUUAUUGAUUCAAAUACUUUAUAUUACCUAAAUGAUACAGUAAGGUUUGUGAAAACUAAAAAUUUUAAUAAUCUACAUGAGGGUUUGUCACAUACAGACUAUUUGAAUGACUUAACACAUGUUUUUAUAAACUAGUACUGAAAUAGGACUAAGUUUAAAAUGAUGUGUGGUCAUGCUAUAUUAGAAUAGUGACUUUAAACAAAGAUAACAAGUUUACAUUUGGUUGAGAUUAACUUUUUAUAAGAGAUUCUAAAAGUUGUUUUUUUUUUUUUAGGGAAGCUAUUCUGUCAUUUAUUAGACUACUAGAUCUUUUAAAAUUUGGCCUAAAAGUUGCUAUUUAGGUCUAAUUAUUUUUUGAUUGGUUAGGUUUUUUGGUUAAAAAAUAAAUAAAUAUUUUUUUUUAAAUCACGAUUGAACUAAAAUAGAAAUCAGUUCAAACCAACUAGUUUUGGUUUGGUAUAAAUUUGUUUUUUAAAACAAAAACUGGCAAAACCUGUUUUGCUCUUUCUGAGUUUUUAUGGGAUUUUACUGAAUUUUUAUAGGUUUUUUUCUAACUUCUUUGUUUAGUUUCAUGGGUUUUUUUAAAAAAUUUAUAUAUCUAGCUAAUUUGAGCCCAAGUUUAUUAACAAUGCAUUCAAGGAGAAAAGUGAAUCCAAUAAUUUUAUUGAAAGCAAAAUACUCACUACCAAUCAAUAAAUCAUCUGCGCGCAACAAUUAUUUAUUGAACUAUGCUGGAUUGGUUUGGUUUUUUUUUUUUGAAUUGACAAUCACCACACACACACACGCAUGGACAAAAGAUCUGUAGCCAUUGAUUAACUAUAAGCGUCAAAUACAUGGACAAAAGAUCUGAAAUUCUUUGAACAGAAAAGCUGGAAUUUAUGCAGUGACAGUGAUAGAAAAUCAAGUAAUUAUGCACAAUUAUCCUAUUUGCAGUCAAUGCAUCUAAUUCCGACUUGCUUUUUUUAUUUUAUUUUAUCCUUAAUCAAUUAUUCUUCUUUUUUUUUCAAUUUCAUUCUAUUCACAUAAUUUUAACAGGGUUUGGUUUGCUUGUGGUGCUGUAUUCAUGAUAUAAGAAAAAUACCAUGGCAUUAAAUUGAUCAUUAAUUUUAUAAAACUUAAUUUAAUUUUAUCAAUUCAAAAAAAUAUAUACAGUGCCGACCAAGUUUCACACAAACAAAAAAAUCCAUUUUUUCUUUUUUAUUGUUUAUGAAGAAUGGAAAAUUAUAGUUUAUUCCCAAAGUUUUUUUUUCAGUUUUAGUCCCUAUAUAUGUUUUCUAAGGUUUCAUGUUAGGAUUUCAAUAGUUAUUAUAAUUUGAAAGGAAAGAGAAAGUUAAAAAAAAAAGUAAAUAUAAAAUAUUUGACCAUCCAUAUUUUGACAUAAAAAAAAACUGAUUUUAUUAGUAACAUAACACCCCUAGUAGCUGUAUAGCGUCUGUUUAUAAGUGUUGAUUAGUUACAACUAUCAUUUCUAUCAUUUCUAGCUAGCACCCGUGCAGCGCCUCGUCAACAUCCCAGGAAGACAGCAAGCGUGCCUGCCUGCACUCACUUUCGGGCCUAAAGGCCCAGGGAUUUUAUUUUUUUUAUCAAAAUCUUUAAACAUUUAGAUAAUUCAUAUAAUAUUACAAUACUUAAAAAGGAACGUAUUGCAAAAAGGAACGUAUUGCAAUUAUAAUAAAAGUUAAACGCGGUAGAGAAAUCAUGGUAAAACGGAACGUAUUGCAAUUAUAAUAAAUUUUUUACUAUCUUUUUUUUUGUGUCAAAUUAACUUAAUUUGAUCAUACCCAAACUUCUUGGAUCUGGAUUGGCCACACUAAAAUAUUUUAGGUUUAGCAUGAUUGCUAGACUUAAGUCUCUCAAAUCUGACAUGAUUGUCAGAUCCAAUUGUUGCACGUGUGUGGCGUUAUGGCGAUCACCCACCACCCCCACCAUCAUCAGGUGUGGUAUGUUUAUUUAUUCCGGCAAAUAUGAAAAAACAAGGAAUUCUUUGUCUCUUACCAAUAAAAAAUAGAAUGGGAAUCGCCACCUAGUAUUUUGAUUACUAGGAACCCUAACUGGUCUCAGAGAUUGGAUACAGAAACUAGUUGCAUAAAGGAAAGGUAUUAGCACCCCAAAUACGCCCUACCUAAGGUAAGUUGUAUUGUUUUAUUGUCUGAUAAAAAAUUUAAAGUCUUGUCAUGUUGGUCUGUCUAUGGUUUAAGAAAAGUCCUUCUUAGUAAGGAGGUUCUUAUCUUAUGGGGAAAAACCUAAUCAGUCUAAGGUCUAUAACAGAAAUAUCUUUUUAAUAUCAAGAAUACGUUUUACGUAUAAAUUUGUAAUCCCAGAUAUUAAAAGAAAACAAAAUAGUUUUUUGAUUUUUUUUUUAAAUAUUGGCCAAGUUCUCAUAACUUUAAUAAACUAGUUAUUAAAGCUAAAAUGCAUGCUAAAAUAUAAUAUAUAUUUUUUGAAGUUUUCUAUUUUUGUAUAAAAAUACAAUAUGAUUUUUUUUCUUUUUUAACUUUAAGAGACUCGGCUAUAUGCACAAAAAUAAAAUAAAAAAACUUUAUAUAUAUAUUCAGAGUUUUGACGAAAACUAGGUAUUUUAAUAUUGGAUUUGUAUUUUAAAAAAAAUACAGAUCGAUGUCAAUCAAAAUGACGUAAAACAAAUACGCGGGGAAAUCACAAUUUCUUUAAAAAUAUAUAUUUUUCUUUUAUUAAAAAACAAAAAAAAUAAAAUUUCUGAUGUUCCAGCAUUAAAAAAUGACCUGAAAUGGUGACCGGCUGUUCUCAUUGGUUGUUUUCGUCAACCUUUUUUCUUUUUCUAACAAAUUUAUUGCUGCCUCUGAAACCAACAAAACAAGGAAUAAAAGUUCUCCUUCAUGAACAACAGAAAUUUCACUUAUGCCCCGUUUAAUAAUUUCUUUUUAGAAAACUGGUUUCUUGAAAAAUAAUUUUCUAAAAAAUAAAUUAUUUUUCAAUGUUUGGUAGCAUCAUAAAAAAUAAGUUAGAAAAUAUUUUCUAGUAUUUGACUAUGUCAUGGAAAAUAAGCUGUAAAAAAAAUUAUUAAUAUAUUUUUUUCAAGUUUAUUAAAAUAAUGAGAACAAAAUCUUACAAAAUAAAAAGUUGAAUAAGAAUAAAAUUAAAAAAAAAAUCUAAUUUCAUAAAUGAUCUCACAUAAAAUAAAUAACAAUCAAGAUAGUAAAAAUCAAAUCUAACUAAUAAAAUAGUUGAAAAAUAAUGAAAUUAAAAAUAUUAUAAUUUCAUAAAUUAUUUCAAAUAAAAUAAAUAACAAUAAAAAAUAAGGAUCAAAUUUUAUAGAUAAAAAAAUUAAAUUAAUGAUAAGAAAAAAAAAAUAUAAAAAUAAGGACCAAAAUUGAUAUAAAAAUCAAUUUAAAUCAAAUUAUAAUGGAUAAAAUUUUAAAAAUAAAAUUCAAAAUAAAAUAUAUAACAACCAAAAACUUAUAAUUUGUUUUUCUUUCAAAAAGCUAAUUAUGAAGCAAACACGGAUAUAUAAAACCAAAUAUACGUGGAUUUUAAAUUAUAGUUUACACUAUUAUAUAUAAAUUAUUUAAUUCUCCAGACUUAAGCACAAAAUCCUACCAUAAUCUCCAACUAGAGCAGUUGGACCAUUAGGGCCGUCGUGAUCUCGCACCCUGAUUGCCGCGUGUAGAGCAGUUCUACCAUUAGGGCCGCCGUAGUCCACUGAGAUGCAAUUUCGUAAGAUUGCAGCGAUCACGUUUUCUCCAUGAACAUGGGUCCUCUUUAAUCAAUAAUCCCACCACAUGGCUCUGGUUAUUUCGAGCUGCCUCAUGCAUCGCUGUAACUCGCUCUUCAUUGGUCAUCCUCAACAUCUUUUUGGCUUCUGUUACUUCGCUCUCUGGAUCUGUAGGUAGAGCUGUUGCGCGGUCAAUGAGGACUCUUACCACUUUGAAAUGACCAUAUCUUGAUGCCAAAUGGAGUGGGAUUUCACCUCUCUUAUUGGCUUGGAAUAAGUGGUGGAAACAAUUCCUAAUUGAUUUGAACUUUGCAAUCAAUUUCUUGUUUACCCACCUGUGUUGUUUCUUUUCCUCUAUCCGAUUGGCGGUUGCAGUAAAUGGUCUAGGCACAGAGAGUUUUUAGACGACAGCAGAGGUCCUGAACUACAGUAAAGUUCUGCAGUCUCUACAGAGCCAUUUUUUAUACGAAUGUGAUAAAUAAAAAUAAAAUUUUUAAUUAGAAUAUCCAUGUUUAAUAUGCAGUACGAUUGUGAUAAAGUCCAUCACGGACUCGAGAGUCCAGAACAUAACAUGGGAAUUAUGAUAAAGAACAAAAAAAAAAACCCGUGAAAAUAAAGACAACAGUGACAAAACAGCCCAAAGACACAAUUACAUGGGAAUUAUGUCUAUCACAACUGGCUUGUAACUCGUAAGACUGUGAGCCUUGGGUUUGGUUAAGGCGGAUAUGUGGCAAAUACAUAUUCCCGGUUCAACUAUGAGAACCAUUGUUAGGCAAACAUAAAAAAUCAAUUAAUGGGUUUUAUGUUCGAGUUUUAUAGUUGUUAAUAUAAUAAUUAUUGAAGACUUACAUGAUUAUUAAUUUUAAAACCCGUAAGAUUAAUUAAAAUAUAUACAAACUGACCUGUACAUUAAUAAAAAAAAAAUCAAUUAGCUAAUUUGUUUAUAAAAAACAAAUAUAAACUUUGGUACAAGGACCACAUGCAAUCGACUUUACUCUUGCGUUUAACAGUAAAAACAUCAUUAAACCCGCAGAAACCUAUGACAAAAAACCAAAUUGUUUUAGCCUUUUUUGGAAGAAUGAAACUUGGCAUAUCCUGCUUUUCAUAGAAGUUAUCUUACAAUUUUUUGAGAUUAUAGAAAUAAUGUUUUUAAAAAUAUUUUUUUAUUUAAAAAUAUAUUAAAAUAAAUUUUUUAUUUUUAUUUUUAAAAAAUAAAAAUAAUAUCAGAGUUUUUGACUACUUAAUUUGUGAUGUCUCAUCAAUUACAAAAUAAAAUAUAAAAAAUUGAUAAUUGAUUUGGGAACCAAAAACAUGAUUUCUGAACAUAUGACAUCAUAAUUGUUUUUCAAAAACAAUAAGAAUUUUUUAAAAAAAUACAUGAGAGUUUAAUUUGAUAGAAAAUUUAGAAUUGAUUGUUUCACUAGUAAAUCUAAUCUCGUAAAUCCUUUUAAAUGAUCCUUAAACACUAAAUACACAAGGAAAAAGAAGCUCAAACCAAUAAGAAAAAUGCUGAUGAUAAUAAUCAUUAUCUCCAUGCCAAUCAUAGUAAACAAUGUGGCAAACCCAAAUAAUAUCUCAGUGGUAUCCUCACUUGUAUCUUUAUUUUUGUUCAUUUUUAAAUUUUUAGAGGGUGUUUGACACUGUUUUUUAAAAGUAUUUUACAAAAAAAUUGAUUAUUUUUUUCUUUAAAUUAAUAUGUUUUUUAUUUUUUUCAAAUCAUUUUGAUGUGCUAAUUUCAAAAAUAAUUUAAAAAAAAUUAAAAAAAAAACAUUAUUAGCAUACUUUUCUAAGUAAAAAGUAUUUUGAAAAGUAAUAAUUAUCAUACUCCCAAACACAUCUAAAUAGAUAAAGACAGAAAAAAUAGAGAGUAAGUACUAUUGACAUUGUAUCUGAAAUGACAAAUACUAUAAAAACAUCCUUUUUAGUUAGAAUUGCGGUGUCUUUGUCGCUCUUGUAAUCGCCAGAUAAGGUGAAUGCUGCUGCAAAUAUUACCAUUACUAUCAGCGCCACAAUUUUAAACAAGUAUAAUGAGUUUAAACUAACAGCCACUUCUACAAUAUCUCGAAAUCUCAAUAUCUACAAUUACCAAAAAAAUUUAAGAAUAAAUAAAAUAUAUUUAUUAAUUAUUUUCUUAUGAAAUAAAAUUAGUCACACUUAACAAAGACCCCCAUGACUGCAUAUAAAAUAAAAAUUGCUUAAGACUUCACUUAUUAAACACACACACACACACACAUUAAUAUGACGGCGCGCCUCGUAAACAAACAGCAUCGUCUUCAAGGUUCAAAGCAUGUAAUGGGUUUUCUUCAUUGUCAAUUCUCUGUGGCCUUGUUUAUUGAGCGAACUGGAGUACUGGGUUUUCUUCAUUUUUCCAUGGUACCAGGGAUCUUGCAUUUUUUAAUAAUUCAUUUUUUUUUUAUCCUAUUGAAUCUCUUAACUGGAGUACUCCAAUACUCAUGCUUUAUUCGAUCACAGCAUCCUUUUCCUUUUUGUUUUUCUCAUUCGUUUCUUCCAGAACAAUGCGCCGGCAGCCAAACGGUCCCCUGCCAACAUCUUCAAGGGAUUCUAGGAUCUCCUGCAAAAUAUUUUGGGUGAAAUAUCGUAGGUAAUCCAUCAUUUUUAGCUAAUUAUCAAAUAUCUUGUUUAUAUCACUCUAACAUUUAUUUUUUCUUUUUUCUCCUCUCUCUAUUAUUUUCUCUAAUUUAUACACCAUUUGCUAUACAAAGGAACAAAAAAAUGAAUAGGCAAAAAAGUGUGAUUAAUUGUAUUAAAACACCAUUUGCUAUACACUUAUACUAGAAUAGUUUUUCUCAUGUUCUUUAUAUUUCUUUUUGUACUUAUCUUCAUGUAUAUGAACUUUUCAAAUAAUUAUUCCAAUAAAAAAUUUAUAUUUUUGUUAGGAUACAUUAUAAUUUAUUAAAUAAUCAUUUCAAUUUAAGAAUUCAAGUUAUUGAAAUUCGUAACUCUUGACAACUAAAUUUUAAUAACAUAUAAAAAAAAACAAUUAAAUUCAAGAACUCAAUUACGGCAGCUCCCUCUUUUCAAUACGAAUUAGUAUAAAAACGCUUACAAGUCUAGCUAGUACUUGGAUUAAUUAGCCAAAACUACCUCCUGUCAACGGCUACUGUCAAGAAUCAACAGUCAUGCAAGAUGAUUUCCUCUGAUGUUGCAUCAUGCUGUAGUAAAAAAGCAACAGCGCCCAUUCAAGAAUCAUCAAACUUCUCUAAACCAGCUAUUCACUCCAAAAAAAAAAAAAACACAGUUCUUCAUGUUUAUGGACCCAUUUGAAAACCGGUUUAAUCCGUAUUUUUUAAAAAAUUAAAUUUAUAAUAUUUAAGUUUUUUUUUUUCUUAUCAUAAAAGACAAUAGAGAUGAAAUGCUAUCGUAAUAGGUGACAAAUGCUCAAAUGUGAAUAAAUCACUUGUCUGCCUAAUUAUUUUUUAGGACAAUAAGAAGUUUUCAAAAAACAUUUAUUGUUAAUUCCCUCAGCAUAACUUCCUAUGCAAAGGAUUCUGAAACACAGAAUAAAAGGAAAGGAUUACCAUGCUGACACUCUUUUUUUUAAAAAAAAAAAAAAUAUCUGAUACUUAGACACUUAUAUAUAUUAAAGCACCUCCCUACAUCGGACUUAAAAAGUGAAAUAAAAACACACACAUAUGUGCAAGUGUAUGCACACCUCCGCGCCCACACAUAAACUAAAUCAAUAUAAAUAUUGGAUGUACAUUCAUAAAAACAUUAUUUAGCAAAUGAAACUAAAACAUUUAUCACAAUUUAAAAAACAAUUGUGAGUAUUUUUUUUCCUUCUUUUAUAAGUAGAGAAUAUUGAUACUUUAACAAUAGUGUUGAUAUCUAAGUAUUGUAAGUAAAGAAUUUUUUUAUAUAUAUAUAAAUAGACAAUAUUGAUACUUUAACACUUAUAUAUAUAUCAAAGUAUCUCUCGUUAUACUAAUAAUUUUCAGACAUGAAAAAGUUAAUUAAACACAUUACCUGUAAUCUAAAACUUGUGAGGGAAGUACUAUGGCAAUAAUACUUUCCCCACAUUUUCCCCACAUGUUUUGUGACUCUCGAAAAUACAUUUGCUUUUGUUUUUAUUUUUUUCAAUUAAUGUUUUUUUUUAAAAUUUUUUAUCAUUUUAUAUUAAAUUUUUUAUUGGGUUAUCUCACUCUCAAGAUAUGGAUCGCGGGUACGACGAAUUAACCUAGUUGGCUGGAGUUUUAUUCCUUCUUUUUUUUUUCAAUUUUAUCAUUCAAUAUUGGUUUUAAAAAAGAAUUAGUUUUCAUGAUUUAUUUUAUUUGCUUUCUAUUAGGUUAAUUCGGUUUCAUGACCCGAGAAUAGUUUUUAAUAAAUUAAUCUCAAGUUAACUCAGGUUGUUUUUUUUUAUGUUUUUUUUAAUUGAAUUUCUUUUUAAUUUUAUCAUUGAAUAUUAGGUCGGUUGGAAAUUGGGCUUUCAUAAUUUAUUCUGAUUUCUUUUCUACUAGGAUAUCUUGGUAUCAUGAUCAGGGUUAUGGGUUUUGGUAUUUUAACCUCGGUUAAAUCAUGUUGUUAUUUUUUUAUUUUCUUUUAAGAGGUUAUCUUGAUCUCAUGUCCUUCAACAUUAUAUUUGUUUUUUUAUUGGGUUGUCCAUGUCUUAUGAUCUAAGUUGCGUGUUUGACAAAUUAAUCCAGUUGACUCAGUUUUUUAUAACUAACUUUUUUCUCAAUUUUAUCAUUUAAUAUUGUGUUUGAUUAAGAAUUAAGCUUCAUUAUUUAUUUUGAUUUGAUUUUUAUGGGAUUAUUUCAGCCUAAUGACUCGGGAAUAAUACUUAACGGGUUAACAUAUAUUAACUUAGCUCUUUUUUUUAAUUAAAUUUUUUACAAAUUUUAUCAUUUAACACUAGGUCCGAUAGAAUUGAUUAAGAAUUAAACUUUAUAAUUUGUUUUCAUUUAUUUUUUAUUAGGUUAUAUCAACCUCUAGAUUCAUAAAUUUGAUAGGUUAAUCUAACUUAAAUCAAUUUUUUUUUUUUAAGGUCAACUUAAUUUUUUUAUUUCAGUCAUGAGUUUUACUUGUAUCAUUGUUAUUUUUUCCCUCCCGUGCAGUUCAAUGGCAAGCUGGGGUUGUAUUUUUUGGGCAUGGGAUUUGCUUACAUUUUGAUCCUCCAUGCAGACUGCAGGAUGUCACUGUCACAAAAAACCAAAUUUGCUUUUUUUUUUUUUUAGCUUAUCAUAAAAGACAAUAAAAAUGAAAUGCUUUCUAUCAUAAUAGGUUAUUACCUGCCUUUUUUUUAAUGUUGUCUAUGCUCUUGAACUUGACAAAUGCUCAAAUGUGAAAUCAAUUGUUUUUUGGGACAAUAAUAGAUGAAAUGCUUUCUAUCCUAAUUGUUUUUUGGGACAAUAAGAAGUUUUCAAAAAAAAAAUAUUGUUAAUUCCCUUAGCAUAACUUCCUAGCAGGGAAAAGGAUUUUGAAACACAAAAGAAAAAGGAAAUGAAGACCAUGCUGCCACUUUUUUUUAUCUCUUUUUUUUUUUUUUGAAUAUUUAGACACUUAUCUAUAUCAAAGUAUCUCUUUACAUCAAUAUUUAUCAUACUUAAAAAGUGAAUUAAAAACACUCAUAUAUGUUCAAGCAUAUGCACGCAUCCACACACAUAAACUAAUCAACAUUUUACUUAUUAGGGAUUAAAUUUUAUAAUUUAUUUUAAUUUUUUUCGUGAGGUUAUCUUAGUCUUAUAACCUGAGUUGCAAGUUUGACAGGUUAAUUUGGGUUGUUUUUUGAAGUCCUUUUUUUAAUUGAUUUUGUUUUUAAUUUCAUUCUUUAACUUUGAGCUAAUUGAAAAUUAAGCUUCAUAAUUUGUUUUUCAUGGAGUUAUCAUAGUCUCAUAACCCAAGUCACAGAUUUGACAUAUUAACUUAAGUUGAUCCAAGUCAAUCUAAUAUAUUGUUAUCUUAAUAUGUUUUUAAAAAAUCAUCUUGAAUUAUUUUUAGUCAAAUUAUGUUUUUAUUGGUCAUUCGAGUUACUUUUGGACCUUCAAAGUCAAUCAUGUCAUAUUGAGUCAAUACCCACAUAGUUUAAAUUUUUUUUCCACUAAAAUAUACAUUAGCAACAUCUAAAUAUUUUUUUAUGUUUAAGAAAAAUUUGAUCCAACCCACGUAGCUAGCGCGGGUCAAUAAUCUAGCACACGCAAUAAACUAAAACAAUAUCUCACUAUACAUCUAUAUGCAUUCAUAAAACACUAUUAAGAGAAUCAAACUAAAAAAUUCUAUCACAAAUUGUUUUAAAAUUAUUUAUUUUCUAUUUGUAACAAACAAUUUAUUCCAAAUAAUGAAUUUUUUUAGAAAAAAUACAACUGAAUUUUAUUUGAUAGCAAAUCAAGGACUGAUUAUUUUAGUUGUAAAUCAAGUUCAUAAUAUUUAGCUUAAAUUUUAAUUUUUUUUGUUUAAUUAUUGCAAAAUUACUAUUAUUGUUAUUGUCAUUUGAAAAUAUACUUACUAUGAUAUUAAAUAUUAAUAACUAUCUAAUUAGGAAAAAUUAAUUAUUCAUAGUAAAUACAAAUUUAAUAUCAUUAUAUAUAUAUAUAAAAAUUCCAAAUUUGCGUUAUUGUGAAAAAAAUCAGAUUUUUGUGAACAUUUGUUUGUAGUAUAUGCUGGAUUAAUCAAUAUUUUAUUGAUUAAUUUAUUAAUCAAAUUCAUUAAUAUGGAAUCCUAUCAAUCUAAGAUUAUAUAAAUUAUAUAAAUGCAAUUAUUGAUUAAUUUAUAAUUUUUAUGUUUUUUUUAUAAUUUUUUUCUUUGUUUUCUUAUCAUAAAAAACACUAGAGAUGAAAAGCUUACAAAAACAUUUUAUUGUUAAUUCCCUCUUCUAAAACAUAACUUGCUUGCAAGGUAAAGGAUUUUGGAAUACAAAAGUGAAAAGGAAAGGAUGACUAUGCUAGCACUUCUUCCUUUUUUUAAUGUUUUUUUUUCUAAUACUUAGACACUACAUUAAUAGUUGUUGAACUUAAAAGGUGAAUAAAAAACACAAAUAUAUGAAAUUUCAUUUGAUAGCAAAUCUGGGAUUGAUUGUUUUAGUUUGAAAUCUUUUUCACAAAUUUUAGCUAAAAUUUAAAAAUUUUGUCUUAUUAUUAUUAUAACCCAAUUUUUUAAAACAAAUGGAUAAAAAAAUAAUUUGAGAUUUAGGUUAAGACAACACAAAUUGAAAAUUUGAGGAUUAAUAAUGAUGAAAUUAUAAAUUUGGCAGUCAAUGUGGUAGAAAAAUAGAAGAAUUAAUAAGUUUGGAGACUUAAUUAAACUUUUAUUUAAUUAAUUAAUGCAAUCAAAAGCUUAAUUGAAGAAAUACCAAAGUUUGGGGCUGAUUUGAGUCACAAUUGCAAGCAAUUAAAGUUUUAGAAUCAAAGUGAAUAGACAAUGAUACUAUGGGGGGUUAAUUGAAUUUUUCAGGAGUAAUUUUGAUUGAAUUAAAAGUUAAAGAGUCAAUUGAAGAGUGAAUUGAUUAAAUUAGAAAUCAAGUAUUGUUUUGUAAAUGGCUUUGAAAUUUAGGGGUUGAAUUGCAAUUUGAUCCAGGGGUAACAUUAAGAAAAGAAAAAAAAGAUUUUUCUUGAUUAGAAACCCAAUUGUUAAGUGUCAGAAGUUUAAGGGUUAAAUUGAAAAUAAUCAUUUCGAGUGAAAUGAUGUCGUUUUCUACCUUGUUCAUUAUCUGUUCUUCCUCUUGAAGACCAGAUCAACAAGAAACACAACUAAAAAAAAUCACGGACGACGCUGCCAAUAUCCCCACCCACACGAUGAAUAUAUAUCUAUCGCAACUGGCUUGUAACUCGUAAGAAUGUGAGCCUUGGGCUUGGUUGAGGCGGAUAUGUGGCAAAUACAUAUUCCCGGUUCAACUCUAAGAACCAUUGUAACCCAAACAUAAGAAAUCAAUUAGCAAAUGUGUUCAUAAAAAACAAAUAUAAAACUUUGGUAUAAGGACUACAUGCAAUCGACUUUUAUAAUCGGUUAAUAAGCGUUAUCAUCCUUAAAAUAAUAAUAAAAUAUAAUUUCUAAAUCUUUAUUAAAAAGCUUAAUUUCUCAAAUAUUGAGGGAUAAUCAUAUAUACGAGAAUUUAAAAAUUCUAUGUAAAUAUAUACUAUAUAUAAAAAAAACUUAAGUAUUAAUAAAUUAAUUUAUAUUUUUUUAGUUUUAAGCACUCGAAUUCUCUAUAAAUAAAAAUAGAUAAUUAAAAGCUUGUUAUUUAAUGGUAUAAAAUAAAAGAAUAAAAAAAAUACUUGAUUUCACAUCAGUCAUCCAAAUUUGACUAAUGAUUUAAGACCUAGCCAAUAUCUUAGAUUGCCCGAUUACAAGUUAAAAGGUCUCUCGCAAGAUUAUUAGAUUUUUAUGGCCUUAAAAGGCCAGAGUAAUUAGAUUAUCUUGAAAGGGCAGGGAUGAAUUUGACUUCACGUAUGAUUUCUUUUUUCUAGAGAAAUUAACAAUAAUUUAAUGAAGGACAACUUACUUGGCUUUACAUCAUCUUAUCUAUAGUCUCAGACUCUCAUGGCCAGAAAGUUGUCCUCCUCAUCCAAUAUUAAUAAUCUUAAAAUAAAAUUUAUGAAUUAAAUAUGCCAUUUUUAUUUUAAGAUUAAGAAUUCUUUAAGAAUUUGGACUCAUUUUCAAGCAAGUUAAGAAUUCUUUAAUUAAUAAUUCCUAAUUAUAAAGGGAUCUGCAUUGAUUUUUUGGAGUCAUUUUUAAUCUCUUAAAUUGUAGUAAGGUUUCUUAAUUAGGUGGCGAGAAAUCUGUCUGCAUUCGUUAUUUAUUCUAAUAAAAUAGCAUGCAAUUUAGUCUUUCUUAACCAAGUUGCAAAUUGGCUCUGAAUUUUCUAAACUUUUUGGCGCUGUCCAUCCUUCUUCAUAUUAUAAACAUUCAUAAUCACUCUAUUUUCUAUUUAACCUUUUAAAAGGACAGAAAAAAGCUCAGGCUAUCGGGCCCACAGCCUAGCAUGCAUGGCCAUUAUAAAAAAAAACUUAAGCAAGCAGGUAACCUUCAAGCCCAGCCUGGCAUGCUUGGGGUUUGUUCUAUUUUUUAAUAUGAAAAAAAAAAAUAUAAACGUUGUCUACCAAUCUAGAUUACAGCCACUAAAAUAGUAACCGGAAAAUCAAGAUAGCGUCUUUUUUGGUAAAAAAACUACACCUUAUCAACAUCAAGGCAACGUCUUUUUUGGUUUUUUUAAAAAAUUACCUCUAUUUUUAAGACAUUAUAACCCCAAAACACUUACAAACAUCUUUAUAGCACCCGAAAAUUAUUUCAUCAACUUCAAAUACCCAAAAAAAUAGCCCAAAAAUCUGAAAUCAAAUCGGUUUAGUUUUGGUUUUCUUGAUUUAGAUCUGGAUUUUUAUGCAACAUUAAAGCUCUAAACAAUCAUCAUGAAACUCCUCUCAUAUUUGAGAACCCGUGGACACCAAUAAAAUCCAUUUUGGUGGUCGAAAAUGAAGUGAACAAUGGCUUUAUCUCUUAUCAUUAGAAUCUAGCAACACUUAUCUCUCUCUUCUCUGUAACCUUAGAUUGAAAAAUAAUACAAAUAAAGUUGUGUAUCAAAACUAAUUUUUUAAAAAUUUCAAAAGACCUGAAUUCUAUGAAUAAUGUUAUUUUUAAAGAUCAAAGACCUAAGUAUAUUUUGCUUGAAGUCUCUGGUACAUCAUUCAUGUUUGAUGUCUUUUUUUAUUUUAAUCCUCAUUCUUUCAAUUUCACUCUUGAUUAAUUAUAUAAAAUAAAAUUUUGAGAAUCGAAAUAAAUUAUUAUAAAAAAGAAUUCAUAAUGUUUCGUGAAUAUAUGAACAAUACCCAAAUAUAAUAAUAAUAAAAACAAACCACACGGCUUUGCAGUUUGUUAUAAAUCCAUCAUUUAGACUCGAAUUAAAACCUCACAGGAGGACAGAUUCAUUUCGGCAUGCACACCAAAAUGGAAUUUCAACGAGAGAGAUAUAUACAGAUGGUUUUUUCUUAUUGGGCAUGUGCAGUGGAUUUACACAUCAUUUAUACGAGUAAUGUGUCGCUGCGAAAACUUGACAGCAUUCAGGAUAUCACUAGCUAUUUAUUUAAUGUGUUUCUUAUAUUUUAUUAAAAUCUUCAAAGUAAAAUUUUUAAAAAAUAUAUAUAUGAUUAUGAUUUAAAAAAACUACCCCAAGGUGGUAGUCUAGCCGUAUAUCAACUAGGGGCUUGGGGUUUGCUUCUUCAGAACUCUGGUACUAGAAAAGUUAUCCUUCAUGAACAACAGUGUUUUCACAAGCUGCUGAUUUCUUCGGUUUUUAAAGGAAGAAAAAGCGUUAAUAACCACAAAUUACAUUUAUUUUCCUUUUUGAUAUUUUGUUGCAAUAUCUUUUCUUUUGCCCUGCUGGAAAGUUAUAUCUGUUUUUAUCAGAACAAUAAAAAAAAUAAAAAAUAAAUUGUUUGGCCCAUCCAUCCUUAUAAUUGAGCUUGGACUCGUCCAUAUGUAUCCACGUCACUUUUGUCACUGGAGUCAACCAAUUGCCUCCUUGGUUCCCUCGAAUAUACCGUAUGCAGGUGCUGUUUAUAACAAGCAAAUUCUAUCCUCCCGUACAGUUCAACGGCAAGCUGGGGUUGUGUUUUUGGGCAUGGGAUUUGCUUACAUUUUGAUCCUCCAUGCAGACUGCAAGAUGUCCCUUGGUGAAGCUGCUAAUAUUCAUACUUCGUUAAAAAACUACAAAUUACAUUACAAACAACAUUGUAGUAAUCAAUAUUUAGAAAUAGUGCUUUCUGAAUUUCCAGAUCUCAAUUUUAUUAUAUUCCAUAUUACCUGUAGAAUAAAAAAAAUACCAAAAAAUUCAUUAAAAGCACGUUUUAACCACGAAAACAACUCAUUCUUGAAAGGGUGAUGUUGCUUUUUUACUGCAUGGAGAAUAUAUCUGAAUUAGAGAUUUCAUAGCAAUACUCUGCUUUACAGAUUCCUUGUUUAGCAAGAAUAUCUGCACAGUGAUUAAUCUCCCUUGGUGUACGUACGAGUGAAGGAUACUGGACCCAACAGUCAUUUCGGGUGAAAACGGUGUUGUUUUCAACACACACUAUUCAUUAUCUCUUCAUCCUGAAGACCGGAACAACAGGAUCGAAACACAACCAAAAAAAUCAUGGACCACGCUGCCAAUAUCCGGCCCCACCCACACGAUGACUCUCAAAGUCAGAAGGAACGAACAGACAGAAAGACGAAGAAGAAGAGGCACAGAACAGAAGGCGAGAGAACAGGACGAACAACACAAGAAUACCAGGAGACAAAUACAGAGAAAGAACAGGCGACCCAAGAAAGUGAAAGGCGAGAAGAAGCAGAGGAGAGAGUUUCUUUUCGGCAAGCAACCUCACGCCUUCAUCGCCAUCAUCCUCGACUUGCAGCGACCAGGUAAGUUCUUCAUUUCCCUCUCCUUUACAAUUAUAAUUGCAUAGGUACUGUUCUUAUGCAGUUUUAAUUCAAUCUUGCGACUUCAGCAAUUAUAAUCCAGUGGCUGGGUGUGCACCCGUGCCUUAUCCUUUUAUUUUCACCCUCAAUGUUUUUAAAACUCUUUUUUUACUCUAAAUGAAAAAAAAUAAAAAAAAUAAACUCUAAAUGAAAAAAAUAAUAUAAACUUGAAUUGUAAAAUUAUAAAAGUGCAAUUAAUUUUUUUAAAAUAAUUAUAUAUUGAAAAUUCUAAUCAUGAAAUUAAAUUAUAUAAAAAUUUGAUAAAUUAAGUCAACAAUAUUAUAAUCAAUGAAUGAUUUAAAUAAAAUGAGAGAGACAAAUAGUAUGAAUCAAUAAAUUAAUGAUAUUUUAAAAUAAAAAGUUUCAAAAACAAAACUUUUCAAUACAUGAAUGAUAGGAAGUAUACAUGAAUCUAGUGAUAACUUGGUUGUUUUUCAUCUCAAUAAGUCCUAAUAGACCUCUUUUGGAUUGCAAGCUAAUGAACUUAAAGUAGUUAUUAGCUAAUAAACAAUGUCUAAUGCACUAGAAAAAAAUUCAAAUUCAAAAUUAAAUAAAUAAAUAAAUAAUAAAAAAAGUCUUCACGUUAAAAUUCCUCAAUGUAUUUGCGAAUAUCUAAUUUUUGCAUAUAUCUUGGCAGAUUUGAGUUCUGAUUUCAAACAUGUCGUUCUUUCUCGUGUUGAUGAAUUACUGAGCGUACGAUAUAUGGUUAUAAAGCUUUAGAUGUCUAGUUUCCAACCCAACUUUAAUCGUAGCAAAAUUUCACUAGUAGCUUUAGAUAUAUCUCAAACAAUAUAUAAAGGUCUAGCUUGACAUAUUUGAUAAGAUUCAUCUACUAACUAUGACCCUCUAAAAUAUUAUGUUCUCAAACUCUAUUUGACUUGAAAAUUUACCAUAAUAUAUUUUCAUGUGUCUAAUAUUUUCCUGUAAAAUUUUAGCUCUAUCAAAUAUAUAGUGUGAAAGAUAUGUUCAAUCUCUCAAAUCUGGUCAGUAGACAUUUUAAAACCAAAUUUAGAUCUGACUUGGUUCAUAUCAUAAAUUUAGUAAACUCGUAAAAUCAAACUGAGUUUACCGAGUUUACUAAUUUUACUGUUUUUGCACAAGUUAAAUUUGACUUUGCAAGUUAGAUACAUGUUGACUCAUAUAAUUGUAAGUUACUGGAUUUUAACAACAAUGUUCACCCUUCUUUAUUUUAAUAUCUAGUCAAACAGGUCUUUUUUGAUAUCAUAAAAUUCCAAAAAAAAUUGUGGAUCUUUUUGAAUUUAUUUAUAGGUCCCUUGUAUUUUUUUAAGUAUUUCACUAUAUUAUUAAUAUGUGAAUUUUUACUAUAAAAUGUAAAUCCGUUAUAUGAUAUAUUUAAAAAAUAUAUAUAUUUUUAGAAUUUUUAAAGUUCAUGACAUUGUGGGUGUGAUAAUUAUUAUUAUUAUUGAAAAAGAUGAUGAUUCUAUGAUAUUAAUUACUAAUUAAUAACUAUCCAAUUAGGUAAAUUGAUUAUUCCAUACUAAAUAAAAUUUUAUCUUUGUUUUUCUCAACAAAUAUGUGACCUAUAUAAACCUACGACAAAUAAUAUCAAUUGAUGGUAAGCUUCCACAUCUAAUUAUAUAAUAUAUAGGUUUUGAAGAGAUAGGGUGAAGGCUACAGUAAAUGUUACCGUUGCUAUCAGCGCUGAUAACUAUACGGGACUCUGUUGCUUUACUCAAAGCAUCCUCUUCCCCUUUGUUUCUCCCAUCACUUCCUCUUUUGUGAGAUGCCAAGGAAGUAGGAACAAUGCAUAUACCCUUUCUGCUUAUAAUUAUUAACUAGUCCAAAGUUUGGUAUUUUUCCAUAAAUAUCAUCAGAAAAAAAAAUAAAAAAAUAAAAAACAAAGAAAAAUCAAAAGAAUAUAUUUUUGAUAUAUUUACAUUGUUUUAAUAUUUUCAAUAUCAUCUCAAAAAAAUUUAAAUUUUAAAUGUAUUUUGAAUACGUUUAACUUUUAACACGUAAAUUUUGUGAUCAUUGAUUUUUAUUGUUGAGUCAAUGUUUAUAUUACUUAUUUUUUUAAAUAUAAAAAAUUAAAAUUAAAAGAAAAAUAGAAAAAAAAAAGUUAAGAAACUAAUUUGAAAAUAUAACAAUAUUUUACCUUUAAAUACUAGCCUACAGUAAAGUAAAAAAAAAAAAAAAGGAGAAAAAAUGAAUUCAGGGGAGAAAAAUUCAGAGGCAUGGAGGCGGAGCAAAUUUUGGGGGGAAAGAAAAAACCUAACCUAAAAUUUAUCUACAGGCAAGCCGCCGUCCGACGCCCUUUCAGCUUUUAGUUUUUUUGGUCCCAGAACCAGCAAAAAGCUUGGCUCGCCAUCUUCCCUGAAACCGGAGAGAAACCCCACACAAAUACACUCCUUGGUCUCUGCCAUUUUCGGCACCUUCCCCUUUCCCAUUCCAGCCUUCCCAAAUCAACCAUCCUCUUCACCUGCUCUCGGUGAUCAGCUUCCCUUUAGCCCUCUGUCAAAGCAAGCCACAGUCGGCCUUCCAUCAUCAACUUUUGCCCUUUGGUUUCUUUUUCUUCCAGCAGCGAUGGCCCCCUCCCCGUGCAGCGGCGCCGUGUUCCUCUAGCAGCAGCCCACACACGACAGCGUCCGGGCAACGCUCUCUUCUCCAUGUUCUGCAACCGGCCUCCAGCAACAGCCAAGCCCGGCAGAAUCCACCUUGGUCUAGCACAGCAACCUCCACCCUCACCGCGGAGCCGUCAGCCGUCAUGAAGAGGAAAAACUAAACUCAGAUCUGGAAAAGAAAGGAGACUGGGAACAGAUGAAAGAAAAGGAAAAGAACAGACCCGAAAGAAGCAGAUCUGAAGAAGGAGAAGAAAAAAAACAGAUCCGUGAAGAAGUAAAGAAAAUUAAAAACAACUGCUUGUGUUUUGCUUUCUGCAGGUGACGGUGGGUGUCACCGCCUACAGGAGAAGGAAAAAGGGACGAAGCUGGUACAGACCCCCUGUUACCCGGGUUGUCUUCGCGGCGGCGGCGCCAGUGGCAAGGCGCGUGUGGGUGACGCUCCGCACUGUUCAAAUGCCCAGAAACCUUCCAGCCAUUGCAGAAGGCCUUAGAUUUUUGGGUUUUAUUUUGUAAUUUGUGAAUUGUAUUUGAUUUAUUAUGAGUUUUGUUUUUUUUUUUUUUUUUUUAUAUAUAUGUAAAAGAUGGUGUAUAAGAAAAUCAUAAUAAAAAAGAGUUUGUAUUUUUAUUUAUGUUAUUGAAUUAUAUAUAUAAAAAAAUUAUUUAAUUUGAAUAUGGUUAAAUAUUUUAAGAAUAAAUAAAAUCAUGUUAUAUUUUUUAUGAAAAUAUAAGAAUUUGUUUCUAUAUGUAUUCUGAGAUUUAAUUAUUAAUUUAUUAAAAUUUUAGAAUUUGAUUAAUAUUUUAGAUUUUUAAAUCAUAUCAAACCAAAAAACAGUUUAUUUCUCGUAAAAUAUGUUAGGAGUAUCAAUACAUUUACUAGCCAUAACUAGUCUUAUAUAUAUGAAUUUCUGAUAAUGAUCAUCAUAUUCAGAUUUUUUAUUAACCUCAAUCAAAUACGUAGAGACUCCCAAGAUUCUAAAUCAAACAAAGAAAUGAAAAAUCACUAAUUUAUCGCCGCGCGAGUGAUGUGCAAGAAUAACUAAUUCUAUUUUAUUAAUAUCUUCAAAGUAAGAAAUUCUAAAAUAUAUAUAAUCAUUUUGAUAAAUUUUAACUUAAAAAGAAUAAUAAUUCUUAAAAAAACAUGUUUUUGUAAAAAAAAGAAAAGAAAGAAACACAUUAAUUUUUUUUUUUUUAAAAAGAAACACAUUCUGUUCACUUUUUAUUUCAAAUCAAUACAAUUUUUUUUAAUUUCUAUGUUAGUUUUCUUUAUUUUUUAUCCAAUAAACUUUAUAGCUAUUAGAAAAAAAAUAUUCUUUUCAAAUUAAAAAAAAAUAAUAUGAAAAAAGAAUUUUAACUAAAAAUAUAUUUUUUUUCCAAGAAUUCAAAUAACUAUCUUUAUAUUUAUUAUGAAAAAAUAUUUUUAGUUACCCUUAAUGUAACUUUAUAGCUUACGGUAUAAGCUAGUGCUUGGGAUUAUAAUGCAAACAAGAAACUAAACUGUAAUGUACUAAAAGAGAAUUCAUUUUUAUCUUCAUACAAGUAAAUAAAACAUAAAAAAACAACCAUGUUAUAGGUUAAAUAUUUACACUUGCAUUUAUUUUUUGUUUUUUACAAAAAAACCCAACUGUUUCAGCCUUUAAUUAGCAUGAACAAAUAUUAUUUAUGUGAUUUAUUAAUUCAUUUUUAAAUAAAAAUAAAAAUGUCAUCUUUUCAGUUUCCAAAUUAAAAAUUUCAUGCUAUCAAAACACAUGUCCACAUAUUCAUAGCUUCUUGUUUUUUUUUAUAUUAUUAUUUAUUACAUUACAAUUUAGUUUGUAAUGUUGCCCGUAAUUAACUAGAUGGUAUCUAAUGUCUCGUCUCUUUGUAUCUCAAGAGCAGUCUGGUUUGUCAGGUCUGACUUGUUAUCCAAUGGAGAUUAUCCAAAGAAAAUAAAUAAAUAAAUAAAUCAUAAUGUCAGAGUUUUUGACUACGCACUUGUGAUGCUCAUCGGUUACAAAAUAAAAUAUAAAAAAUUGACAAUUUGAGAAUCAAAUACAGUUUUUUUUCAAAAACAAUAAGAAUGUUUUAAAUAAUACAUAGGAGUUUUAUUUUAUAGAAAAUUUGCAUUGAUUGUUUCACUAGCAUAUCUAAUCUUUUAUAUUUUUGCGAAUAAACCUAAAUACACAAGGAAAAAGAAACUCAAACCAAUGAGAUAGAUAUUGAUGGUGAGCCCCAAAAAAGGCUCUAGAACUGCGAAUGAACCUAAACACUAAAAUCACAAAGAAGAAGAAGCUUAGACCAAUGAGACAAGUGCUGAUAGCAAGCCCCAAUGAAGGUUCUAGAACCGCGUAUGUACCUGUGAUGAAUGCGAUAAUCAUUGUACCCAUGCCAAUCAUGGUAAACAACGUGGCAUACCCAAAUAAUUUUAUAGCGGCUUCCUCACCUAUCUCUUUAUUCUUGACCGUUUCAAAACCAUGAAUCAACGAAAUCAAAAAGUGGAUAAAAAUUGCUAAAAUGGAGAGCAUCAUUGAUAUUGCAUCUGAGAUGACAAAUGCUAUAAAAGCAGCUUUUUUAGCUAGAAGUGCAGUGCCUCGAUCGCUCUUGUAACCGCCAGGUAGGGUGAAUGCUGCUGCAAAUGUUACCGUUGCUAUCAGCGCUAUAACUACUAGAUGAGACUCUCUUGCUUUACUCAAACCAUCCUCUUUUUCUUUGUUUUCCUCAUCAUUUCUUUUCAAAAAAUAGAGACGGCGUCCAAUCGGUCCACUGCCAACAUCUUCAAGGGAUUCUAGAAUCUCUUUAUGGAGAAAUAUAUAUUUUGAGUAAAAUAUGUUAAGUUGUUAAAGAGGUUUUAAACAUAAUUUUAUAUUACUUUAUAUAUUAUUUUUUUAAAUAAAUUUUUUUAAACCUUAUUCAUAUUAUUUUGUAUUUAAAUUUUAUUAAUUAAAAUAAAAAUAGUGAGAUUUGAAUUUAUAAUUAUUUGAUCAAUAAUAUUGUAAUACUAUUUUUAAAACCUUAUUCAUAUUAUUUUGUAUUUAAAUUUUAUUAAUUAAAAUAAAAAUAGUGAGAUUUGAAUUUAUAAUUAUUUGAUCAAUAAUAUUGUAAUACUAUUUUUAAAAAACUAAUUAAAUCUAAAAAUUUAAACAAAUAAUCCAUCAUUUUUAGCUAUUUAACAUAUAUCAUAUAUCAAAUUCCGAGCUUUUGUUUCCACAACUAGUUUGUUUGCAAUCAAAUCCUUCUUGUUACUGUAUAUAUUAGCAAGUAACAAAACCUAAUUUGGUUGAAAUUAAACCGCAUGCUUUACAUUAGCCCAACUAUCCCCGAAAAGAAAGCUAAGACGUGGACUUAAUUUUAUAUACCAUUAAUUAUACAUCAUUUCAUUCUAAAAUUAAUUUUCUAUGAGGAGUAAUCCAAUAUAUUAUUGUUUAUUGUUACUCCCCUUAAUUGCUUUUAAGAUUAUGUUAGGUUUCUAUUAGAUUUUCACUUUAAUUCUCAGAUUUUUAAAAUUUUAAUUAAUUGCAUUUUUUUUCAAUCAUUUGUACUACUUUUGUUUUUUUAUUGAAUAAUAUAUGUUUUUAUAAAGCAGUUACAUGCGAUUUAUAUGCACAAUCUGUUAUUGUAGAUAAAAAACUUUGACAAAAUCAAUAAAAUGACUUCAUUUCAAAUAAAAAAAGAUUAUUAAGUUAUUCAGAUUACUUUAUUUUAAUAUUUAGUACUGCGAUAUAAUAGAGUGAAACUGAACAGCAUAGUGAAGGGCUUUCCAACCUCUGUUAUCAACUAGCUCACAACAAGCUGGCCAUCGAGAAACAAUCUUUUUCAUUGCCUUCACAUGUCCUUGAAGGGCUGCAAUGUGAAGAGCUGUUCUCUUCUUCUCCUCUGUCACAGCAAUGUAGGCCGCGGACGCAUCAUAAUAUUCUAGUAAUACUUUCACUAUACGAGCAGAACAGUCAUAAUAAGCAGCGUAGUGAAGUGGUGACCAGCCGUUCUCAUCGGUUGUUUUCGUCAAUUUUUGUUCUUUUUCUAACAAUUUUUUUGUUGUCACUGAAACCAACAAAACAAGGAAUAAAAGUUAUCCUUCAUGAACAACAGAGAUUUCACUUAUGCCCCGUUUAAUAAUUUCAUUUAGAAAACUGGUUUCUUGAUAAAUAAUUUUCUAGAAAAUAAAUUAUUUUUUAAUAUUUAGUAGUAUCAUUAAAAAUAAAUUGAAAAAUACUUUCCAGUAUUUCACUAUAUUAUAAAAAAUAAAUUGAAAAACAAUUAUUAAUAUAUUUUUUUCAUGUUUAGUAAAAUAACGAGAAGCAAAUCUUAUAAAUUUUAAAGUUGAAUGAGAAUAAAAUUAAAAAAAAUAUAUAAUUUUAUAAAUUAUUUCAAAUAAAAUAAAUAAAUAAAAAAUAAGGAUGAAAUCUUAUAGAUAAAAAAAUUCAAUUAUUGAUAAGAAAAAAAAUAAAUAACAAUGAUAAAAAUAAAUAUCAAAGUUGAUACAAAAAUCAAGUUAUAAUAGAUGGAAUUUAAAAAAAAUUCAAAAUAAAAUAUAUAGUAAUUAAAAGUUUAAAGAUCAAAUUUGAUAUAAUCAGUAAAUAACAUGAUAUUUUUAAUUUUUAAAAUCAAUACAUCAAAAUUAUUAAAAAACACUAAUAAAAAUAUAAAUUUGAUUUCAAAGAAAAAAAAACCCUUUUAAAAAUAACAGUGAUGGACACCUUUCUAGAAUUAUAUCAACAAAAUCAGUGAAUUCUCGUUUGAUCAUUCUCGAAGGGACCGAUAUUGCCUUCUUCCGCAGCUUUGAACAAGAAAGGAUCCAUACUAUUUUGUAGCUUAGAAAAACUCACUAAAUGAAAUGUAAACAAAUGAAGGUUCCGCUCCUCAACUGAUCACAAGCUGCUGAUUUCUGUGGUUUGUUGCCUCCCUGGAUAAGGGGGUAUUUGAGAGAGCUUUAAAUCUUGUUAUAUAUAUAUAUAUAUAUAUAUUAUUUUUUUUUGAAAAUAUAUUAAAAAAAAAAAUUAUUUUAAAAAAUUAUUUUUAAAAUCAUCACAAUAAAAUUAUUUAAAAAUAUCUAAAAAAAUUAUUUUAAAAAAAUUAAACGUGAUUGUCUGUGCUGUAAUUCUUCUUGCUUUUUACCGUUAUAACCUAAACAGACGAAAAUGACCUCCUUCUCCCUUCUCCGCAAUUGAGAGACGGAAAAAAAUUAUAUAAAACCAAAAAGGAAUCUCUUUUCUAUGGUUAGAGAAUAUAAUUUAAUUUCAAACUAAAAAAAAUAAAAUUUUAAAAAAACAUGUUUCACGCAUCUGACUUGAAGAUAAGGAGAUUGUGGUCCAGCUCUAACCAUAAGAAAAACGAGUGGACAGAAAUGAUGCAAGUGUAGUAGAGAGAUCGACCUCGAGGAAGAGAAGCUAGGACAAUCAUAAUGAGUUAUGUUCAAGACCUAAAGGGACUGUUUUGUGCGGAAAAGGAAAAUUAAAGGAACGGUUGGUGUGCAUCAAUGUCAUAAAUAGGGUUUGUCUUGUCAGGAAGACUUUGAAAGUUGCAUUAAUACAGCAAAUGCAGGGGGAGGUGAAAACAUUCAAAAUAUGCUACAUUGUAGUAGUAAUUAUUUUUUAAAUAAUUUUUAUAUUAAAAUAAAUAUUAAUAAUAUUUUUUUAUUUUUUAAAAAUCAUUUUUAAUAUUAACACAUUAAAACGAUCCCAAACAUAUAAACUAUAUUAAAUUUUAAUAAAAAACAAAAAUUUAAAUUUAAGAUAGCAAGUGUAGAGAGUUGUGACUGAAUCCCUUCUUCUUCUUCUUUUAAUUGACAAAGUGGCUAAAUUACCAUAGCUUUAAUUCAAAAACAUAUCAUUCAUUGAAAACAUAUCAUUGAAAAUAUAUAUAUACUCUCCUACAACUUGCAAGAUAUUUUAUUGGUAUGCUCGAAUAUGGUAUCACAAUAUUGAUCUUUAUAAUCUGUAUAUUAAGCUAACUUUUUAUUUUAGCACUAGUAUACCAAGUAAAAAUAACACGAUUAAGCUCUUCAUCAUUAUACAACAACAGAAUGAAAUCACAAAGCAUAUAUUUAAAGAUUCAAUAAAUAAAUUGUAAACAUGAAGAAUCUAUGUAAACUUAUUGCCAUUGAGGCUCUAAUAAGUGGAUUCUAUAAAUAUUCAUUAUGGGAAUGCUUUUGUAAUUUUCAUGACAAAACUUUUGUCAAUAUAAAUUAUGUAAUAAAAAAUGAUAUUUGGGUGGAGAAAUCAAGUGUGACUAGAUAAAAAUAUCUUUAUUUCUAGAGAGCAAAAUCUCCACAAUAUCACUAAUCUUCUACUAGGACAUAAAAAAAAGUUACAAGGGAUCCAUUUAUGAUUUCUUAACAUUUUCAAAGCUUUUAGCCGCACCAUUCACCACUAUGCAUACAUAGGUGUUUGAUUCCAUCUAGGAAAAAGAUUUUGUACGAUAUCUAUCUUUUAUGAAGAGUGGUAUUAUUAACGUAAAAAACAUUAAUAAGUUCUGUUAUUUUCACAUCUCCAUGACUAUAAUCAUGACAUUGAAAAAUAUCAUGCCUUGAAAAGAGAGAUAAAAAGGUUGAUAUUCAAGGGAUAUCUCUAAUAAUUUAUGAAGAAUGAGAUGCAAUUUAAACAAAUAAAAAAAAAUCUCCAUAACACAUUACGAAUUUAUAAGAAAAUAUUGCCACCAAUAUCUCCACUAAUAGCAAGCAAGGCACAUUAUCUAAUGACUUAAUUUUCUAUGAAAAUAUAUUUUUUCUCUCCAUAAAAUAAGUUCAGAGACUACACCAGUCUCCAUAUAUAUAUAUAUUUAAGAAAGCCAAAGCUACUCUUAGCCAUUGAAAGCUUUAGCCUUGCAAGAUAUCAGUUUUAAGCCACACAAAGCUAGAGCCAAGUUCUACAGGAGACAAGUACUGGAAAUACAACUAAAAUAGUCUCUUCUAUUCUACACACAAAAACUCUGCACACUCUGCACUCUUAUACUUGCUAAUUUUAGUAUCAAAGAGUUUUCUAUUUAAACAAGGGUUUUAUUUUGUAAAAAAGCUCAUGAACCUGCCAAGCCCGACCACACCAUCAACCCAGGACGACCAUGAAAAACUCAAUUUUUAUCUAAAUGUUUUUCACAAUUUCAUUACCUAUGCUGUUAGUGUUAAGCCAAUGGUAUGGAAGCCAUAUGCCUAUAAUCUUUCUAAAAGUAUUCGUUUUAGACGAGUAUUCUCGCACUUUGAAUGCAAGGACAUUUACCGGUAGCUAGUAGGGGGCUAACUUGCUAAUACCAAUAUCACCACUAAAAGAAAGAGGGCUCUCUUCCACCUUUCCUUUCUUUCACAUCUUGAUUCGGACUUUAUAGUGGUCCCUAGGCCGGCCAUUUCUCCUUGACCUCGCUGUCCAUGGCCGCCACUUCUUCUAUCGUACCAUUUCUUUUUAGCGGUCUUGUCUUAGAGAAAAAAUGUCAUGGCCAUGCACAGGAUAUAUCAUUCAAGUUUUGUCCUCGAUAUGUGAUUCACUCGAGUAUAUAUUUAUCUGCCUUCUUUUUCUAUAUCGUAAAAAGGAAACCUUUCACUAAAAGAGCUUUAAGUUAUGAUAGUUUGGUUUUUUUUUUUAACAAAAACCAGCAAAACUUGUUUUGUUUUUUUUUUAGUUUUUAUGGGAUUUUACUGACUUUUCCUAGGUUUUUUUUUAACCUUUAAUUUUUUCUAGCUAUAUUUAAAAAAAAAUAAAAAUGAGUCUUGAAUGCUACAUGGUAUAUGGUCCCAGAAUGAGACCGUGCAAAGAUUUCUUGGUCCCAUAAAUAUUUCUGAUCGGUUAACUUUACUAGUGAUUUAGCAUUUGAUUGGCUGGCUGCUUUUGAAUUUUCUUCCCUGCCUUUAGCUAAUAAUUUCUGGAACUGAUUUGACUUUUUAUCUUGUAUCGUACGUAGCCUUUGUCAGCGUGUUCACACGGUGGAAAGUAUGAAUGCACUUGGACAAAAAUAAGAGCGAAAGACGAAGAACAGAACUCUGGUCCUUUUCUUUUUCCUAUCACUGGUCUCGGUGCUGUCCCGUCCGUCCCCUCUGCUAUUUUGUCCACAAAGCCCAAGUUCAACUUGUUUCGCAUUGCUCAAGACCUCAUCAUCCGCGGAAAAUGAGGAAUUUACUAAAUUUUUUUUAGUUUUUUUUUUUUUUUUAGUUUUUAUGAUUAGGUUUUUGGUUAAAAAAAUAUAUAUAUAUUUUUUAAAAAAAUAUCACUGAACUGUUUGGUUUUUUUUUAAUAAAAACUGGUAAAACCUGUUUUUUUUUUUUUUAGUUUUUAUGGGAAUUUACUAAAUUUUCAUAGGUUUUUUUUCAAACUUUUUUUUUAAAAAAGUUUUAUGGGUAUUCUUAAAAUUUUUAUAUAUCUAGCUAUUUUUAGCCCAGGUUAAUUAACAAUGCAUGCCAGGAGAAAAGUAUAAAAAUAUAUUUUAAAAAAUAAAAAUAUAUAUUUCAUAAAAAAACAUGCAAUUCUUGCUGUCCCGUCCCCUCUGCAGGUUUGUCUAUACUCUAUAGAGCCCAAGUUUAAUUCUGAUGCAAUACUAGGUUUUAUGGGUAUUCUUAAAUAUUAAAUACCUAUUUCAACUUAAAAAUUUAAAUUUAUUUUUAUACUUUGUUUUAUAUGUUUUGAACAUAUAAAAAUUUAAAUUAUUGGUGAAACUUCUAGAAUCAUUUUCAAAUAUAUGUUUUUAAAAAAUUAAUUUUCAAAUUUCUUUAAGCGUUUCAAACAUUUUUUGUAAAUAAGCUUCCAAAUUAUUUCAUUCUGUCAUUGAAUCUUUGUAAAGGAAUGUUAAUAGGUAUUCACGGGUUUUGAUAUUAUCUAUACUUGCAUUCAAACCCAAAACAUUAUUGAUAUGUAACUCAAAACUUAACAAGUUUAAAUUUUAAAUACCAAAAUUUAAUUCAAUUAAUCCGGUUUUAAUUAUUGAUUCAGAUACUUAUAUAUUACCUAACUUAUACAGUUAUGUUUGUGGAAAUUAAAGAUUUUGAUUAUCUACAUAGCAAUUUGUCACAAAUAGAUUAUUUGAAUAGCUUAAUAUAUGCUUUUAUAAACUAGUAUUGAGAUAGGAUAAAGUUUAAAAUAAUAUAUGGUCAUGCUAUAUUAAAGUAGUGACUUUAAAUGAAGAUAACAAGAGAUUUGACUUUUGGUUAAGAUCAAAGUUUUACAAGAAAUUCAAAAAGUUGUUUUUUUUUUGUAUCUUUUAUUGGACUACUAGGUCUUUCAAAAUUAAGUCUAAGAGUUGCUAUUUAGGCUAAUUUUAUUGUUUUUUAUUUAUUAUUUAAUUUUAGAUUUUAUAUUAAUUUUUUUAUGCUUUUGAAUUCUAAAUUCUUUAUAUAUAUAUAGGGUUUUCUAAUUUAUUUAAACAUCUUAUAAACAUUUUAAGAAGAUAUUUAAUAUAUAUUUAUUUUUGAGAGAAUAAAACCAUGAAUUUAGAAUUCAAAUAUAAAAUUCAUUUUCUUAUCAAAUUCUUGAAGUGGUGGGGGUAAUGGCUGCCUCAUAUUAUGCCAGCAUAAGUGGAUCAGAAAUGGAUUCAGAUGAGUGUUUUGAAUACGGUUAAAUAUUUACACUUGCAUUUAUUUUUUAUUUUUUACAAAAAAAAAAAAACUCAACUGUUUUAGCCUUUAAUUAGAUUAAUCAUUCUUUAUGUGAUUUAUUAAUUCAAAUAUUUUAAUUUGUUUUUUAAUAUAAACAUCAUCAUUUUAAUUUUCAUUUUAAAACUUUUAUAUUAUCACAUUGGAAUGUCCACAGAUUCAUAGCUUCUUGGUUUUUUUUUUCUUAUCUUGAACUACUCCCCCAUCUUUAUAUCUCAAGAGCAGUCUGGUUUGUCAGGUCGAUAAGAUUCUUCGAACCAUUCAUGCACUUCAUGGAACAAUCUAACUAGCGGGCACAAAACAAUUAAUGAAGAAUGUUUUUGGGGACGAGCUCUGCAUCUUGUUUUUUUUUUUUUUUUUUUAAAUAAUUAUUUAAUUUAUUUUAAUAUUUUUAGAUUGUUUUGAUAUAUUAAUAUCAAAAAUAAAUAAAUAAAAAAUUUAUUUUAAUAUAUUUUUAAAUUAAUCACUGUAAUCUCAACCACAUCAUGAGAAUGAAACUUAGCAUAUCUCACUUUUCAUAGUAGUUUUCUUACAAUAUUUUAAGAUGGUGAUAAAGUGUUUUUUAAAAUAUUUUUUUAUUUAAAAAUAUAUUAUGAUAAUUUUUUUUUUAUUUUUAAUAUUAAUAUAUUAAAAUAAUUUAAAAUUAUAAAAAAAUAAUUUAAUUUGUUUUAAAAAAUUCUAAAAUAAUUUUUAAACACAAAAACAAAUACUUUACAAGUACAAACUUGAUUAAUAAACAAACCAUCAAAGCAAAUUGUCCUUGGAAAAUAAAUUUGUCUGUCCAACUACCCUACUACUAGUAGUGUCACUAAAUUUUAGUCAUGAGUAAGAAAAUAAAUAAAUAAAUAAACACAAAAUAGUGUCAGUGUUUUUUACUACUUUACUUGUGAUGCGCAUCAAUUACAAAAUAAAAUAUAAAAAAUUAACAAUUGAUUUGGCAAAGCAAACACAUGAUUUAGAAUUGAUUGUUUCACUAGUAAAUCAAAUAUCAUAAAUCCUUGUAAAUGAACCUAAGACUAAAUACACAAGGAAGAAGAAAAUCAAACCAAUGAGACAAUUAGUGCUUAUAACAAGCGCUCCCAUGAAGGUUUUAGAAAUGCGUAUGUGCUUAUGAUGAAUGCGAUAAUCAUUAUCUCCAUGCCAAUCAUGGUCAACAAUGUUGCAACCGCAAGUAAUCUUAGAGUGGUUUUCAAAUUCAUUUCUUCACCCUUAUUCAUUUUCAAAUCUUGAAUCAACGCCGUCAAAAAAUAGAUAAUUAGAGAUAGCAGAAAUAGAAAGCAUUAUUGACAUUGCAUAUAAUAUGACAAAAACUAUAAAAAUAGCUUUUUUUAGCUAGAAUUGUAGUGCCUCCGUCACUCGGUGAAUGGUGCUACAAAUAUUACUGUUGCUAUCAACACCACAACUACUAGAUGAGACUCUCUUACUUUAGUUAAAACAUCCUUUUUCUCUUUGUUUUCCUCCUUCUCUCUUCUCAAAACAAAGCGCCUGCGGCCAAAUGGUCCCAUGCCAACAUCAUCAAGGCAUUCUAGGAUCUCUUUCUGCAAAAUAUUUAGGAUAAAAUAUUGUAGAUAUCCAUUAUCUUUUGCUAUUUAAUUCUCAGAUUAUUUAAAUUUUAAUUAAUUGUAUUUUUUUCAUUCAUUUGUACUGCUUUUUGUUUUUUUAUUGAAUAAUAUGUUUUUAUGAAGUAGUUACAUGCGAUUGAUAUGCAAAUCUGUUAUCUUAGAUGAAAAACUUAACAUAAUCAAUAAAAUGACUUGAUUUCAAAUAAAAGAGAUUAUUAAGUUAUUUAAAUGAAUUCAUUUUUAUGUUUGAUAUUGCAGUACGAAUAGUUUUUAAAAGGAAAAUCUUUUUUGAAAAUUAAAUCAAUUUUUUUUUUAUUAGAAAGUAUUUUUUAUUGACCAAUUUUUUUAAUAGCAAACAAACACAGUAAAGUUUGAAAAGUGAUUUUCAAAAAAAUAAUUAAAAUAAUAUAUAACAUGUUAAAAUAAUUUAAAAACAUUAAAUAUAAUUUAAUUUCAAACUUUAAAAAAAUUUAAGAUUUAAAAAAACAUGCUUCACACAUCUAAGACUUGAAGAUAAGAAGAUUAUGGUCCAGCUCUAACCAUAAGAAAAACGAGUGAAGACAGAAAAGAUGCAAGUGGAGCAGAGAAAUUUAAAUUGUUUGUGAAACUUUUAGAAUCAUUUUUAUUCUAAUCUCUCACAGAACUCAGACAGCUUCCUCUGCUUUAUUUAUUUAUUUAUUCAUAUUGAUGAAUUGGUAUAAAUAGGCUUACAAGCCUAGCUAGUAAAUGGAACUAGCCAAAAUAGUUACUUCUAUCAACAACCAUUUUCAACAAACAAACAGUCAUACAAGAUGAAUUCCUCUGAUCAACAAAUGAAUAGCAUCACUUACAUGGGACCAGAAUUGUACAAAGCUGCAGCAAAAGGCCAGAUCAACCCAUUUCAGGAGCGUCUUCCAACUCCUCUCAGUGAGCUAUUGACUCCACAAAAAAACACAAUUCUUCAUGUUUACCAGUGGAUGGAAAUGCACUGAUUUUGUUGGCCAAAUUAUUGAUAUGUGCCCGCAACUGCUAUUGCAAGCCAAUACUAAAGGCGAAACCCCACUACAUUUUGCGGCAAGAUAUGGUCAUUCCAAAGUGGUAAAGGUCCUUAUUGACCGCGCAAAAGCUCGACCUACUGAUCCAGAGAGCGGAGUAACAGAAGCAAAAAAGAUGUUGAGGAUAACCACUGAAGAGCAAGAUACAGCGUUGCACGAGGCAGCUCGAAAUAUCCAAGCCCAAGUGGUGAAAAUAUUGACAAAAGAGGACCGUGAGUUUUCAUAUUCCGCCAAUGUUCAUGGAGAAUCUCCACUUUAUAUUGCUGCCAAUAUGAGGUUUGUGAACAUUUUUUUUUAGUCUCAAACAGAGUCCACCAUCUUUUUUUCUUUCUUUUUUUAAUAUAUACUAGAUUAAUCAAUUUUUUACUAAUCUAUUUAUCAAUCUAGAAUACUAUCGUUUUAAGAUUAUAUAAAUGUUAUUGUUGCAUGAUUAAUUUUAAUUUGUUCAGCUUUAUAAUGUUUAAGUAAAUCUGUUUUUAAAAUUAUCAUAAAAGAUAUUAGAAAAGCAAUGCUUCUAUAGUAAUAGGAUUUUACCUGCUUAUUUUUUUUAUUGGAAUUAAAAUGUUAAUAAAAAUCACAUAUAUCUAAUUAUAAUUAUAUUGCUGCCAAUGUAAGGUUUAAUAAUUGGAGGUUUAAAAGACAUGAAGAAAAUAGAAAAAAAGUGAUCGACGAAAUCUUGAGUAAUUGCAAGUUAGUGGAAUAUUGUGGUUCUCAUGGCAGAACGGCACUCCACGCGGCAGCCAUGCAUGGUGAUCAUGGUAAGAUUUUAUUCUGAACUGUAAAGCUUUGAAUUCAUAAAUUAUUAUCGGAAACCAUAACCGUGAGAAGUGUGUUCUUAUCUUAAAUUGGGUUAAAGGAAGAACACUACUAAUGACCUCUCUUGACACGAUUGUUUGAUUUUAAUUUAGCAAUUCUAAAGCGGAUGGUUUAACUAAGCAAAAUUCAGAUAGACAAUGAUAAGAUGACACAACACCAUACAUAACACCGUCUAAUUACACUUCGUCAUAGGAUUAAUAGAAUGUUCCUCUGUUUGCCAUUUUAUUGUACUUUGUAUUUAUAAUCUAAUAGCAAAUUUAAAGUGUUUCUAUUUUUUUACUCAAUACAAACAAAUCCUGAUGUAACUUAUAAUUUUUAAGUAGUCCCUACAUAAUUUACGGUGUACAAAAAAAAACUAAAUUCUUUUUCAAUUCAAGAAAAGCCCUUAUCUGUUCAGUACACAAUAUAUUGUAUUUUUUAUAUUUUAGUUUCUUUUUAUUUAAAGCCAUUUAUUUUCAUUUUCUUAAAAAAUCUUAUUUUAACCUUUAGGAUAUUGUUCUUUUCAUUUAUUUUCCAUUUGUCAAAUUCUUCGUUUACUCUAUCACAUUUAUUUGAUAUAGAAGUUAGUAAAGGAAAAAAAAAACAAAAAUUUUCAUUGUAUGUUUGUUAAAUUAAAGGUUAAAUUGUAUUUAUUACUUAUAUAAUUCAUUGAAAGAUACAAGGGAAAGAAAAUACAUAAUAAGAAGACAAUGAAUUUCCUAGUCUAUUUAAUUAAGGAUUUACAUGCAUGAUUAUAAGAUUUUAGGACCAAAAUGUUCUUAUUCACGUUUGCAUGUAAGGAAUCUAUAUGACAAGUAUGUGUGGGAGUAUCAUUUCCCUUGCAUAAAUAAAAAUAAAAAAACACAAAUGAAUUAUUAAAUUAGUAAGACUAUUAAUUGGAUUCUACGUUAAAAUGAUAAUUUAAAGGCUCAUAAUAAUAUUGAACUUUAUUCUUGUUGUUUAUAGUUUUUCUUAAAAACUUUGGUCAUCUAGUUAAAUGAAGUUGGAGUUGUUGACAUUUCCAUAUUACAGUUAAAGAACGUAGAAAGUAAGAAAGGGCAUUUAUAGCGGUCACCAAGUGAUGUCGUUUGUCUUAUAUGUCCACUUUUUAAAUUUUUCUUUCUUUCCAUUAAAUUGAGUAGUUUGUAGUGAUGUAUGUUGAAUCCUUUCUAAUUUACCAACACUAAGUUGCCAAUUUUGAGUUGACAGACACAAAGGUGGAUGGUACACUUUUUUUAUGAAUAAAAGGUGGCUUAUUGAAGAAUAAUUAGUAAAAUAUAAAUUUAUUAUCUACUUGAUAAAGGGGUAUUGGGACUUUUUAGCAUGACUGAUGUACUUUUACGUUAAGAUGAUGGUUUUAGGUAUGCUAUAGAUUAUCAACUAGUUUUAUUUUUCCCGUGUGUCAAAUAUUUGGAUAAAAAGAGAGAAGAUAUGCGACUUUUUGUUCAUAGCACUGAUAAUGCGAUUGCUUUAAAUAUGUGCAUAAGGUAGAAAACAUCAAAAUAUUUGAGAGUGUGGUUAAGUUGUUUUUAAAAUAUUUUUUAUUUAGAAAUAUAUUAAAAUAAUAUUUUUUAAAAAAUUAUUUUUGAUAUCAGCAUAUUAAAAUAAUUUAAAAAUACCAAAAAAAUAAUUAAUUUAAAAUAAAAAAAUUAAAAUAUUUUUAAAAUACAAAAACAACAGCUAAACUUCAGUGCUAUAUUGUUUUCUGAAUUUCAAAGUAAUCAGAAGAUUGGUCAUCCUCGUACACUUUUGAAUAUGUCAAUUAUCAAUAAAAUAUUUCUAAGAAGUUAGUUGCACAUUUGAAAAGGUGCAGAGGAUUCUGAUGCGAAUUCACUUGUUCAUACAUCGAUUCGAUAUAUGGUUUUGCGAUAGAAAUAUAAUAUAGAAUCUAGAACUUGAUCUUCUUCCGCAGUACUGUCCAAACAUCAUCAAUAAAGAGUGAUUUGGUAGUGGAGAGUGGGACUGAUUCCUGGCAUUUUUUAUCUGAGUCCAUGAAGCGCAAAGGCACUCACACAUCUUUUCAUGGCGGUGCUCUCCAGUAGCUAGAGACAAAUUAACAUUUAAAUAACUCAGGGUAAGUACACGAGGAUUGUUAGGGAAAAUUAUUUAUUUUUUAGUUAUUUUAUUUAAUUUAGAAAAGUAUUUUUUGUUUAUGGUGUUUAUUUUUUUAUUUAGUUUAGAAAAUAAAAAAAUAGAUAACAAUAACUACUCUCAAUCAAAUUUACAAUUAACAACAAAUAUCUUUAUAUUUUAUAAGAAUAACAAAAUAAUUAUUACGGUGAAUAAAAAAAUAUAAGAAGGGUUACAGUGAGUCCUCCUUAUGUUCAUUUUUAAUGCCGUAAAAGAUAAUAAAUGUUUCCUAAUUAAUUAGAUGGCCUUGUCUCGAGAGUCACUUUUUCCUCGCGUUCAUAGCAUGGACUUCGGAGUCAUUUUCAAGCGAUUUAUUAAAGAAAUCUUUAACAAGUCCCGUAUAUUAAGGCUCUGCAUUGAUUUUUACUGGGGUAUUUUGGCAUGUUUUUUUUGGGGUUAUAAAUAUAUAAUUUAAAAUAUUAAUUUAAUAAAUAUAAUUUCAAUUCAAAUUUAAAAAUAAAUUAACUUAAAAUUAUAUAAUUCAAAAUUUAAAUACAAGUAAAAAGAUGAGAGUUGACAUGAUAUAACUCAUCAAAAUAUAAUAUGAACAACUAAUAAAAAUAUAAUUUUACUCAAAAUAAAUUUUAAAUGUUUAACGACAUGUGGAAUUCAAAUUCAAGCUUUCACACUCGCUUGCCUCUUGAAUUCUUAUAGUAUUCUUUCCUCUUCCUGCCUAAAAUAUGAACAACAGAAAGCUGUUCACACUGGCGAUGGUUUCUGUAUUCCUUUUUUUUUAAUCUGUCAAGAGAGGACCACCUGACAAUUAGCACAAAUAAACAAUUAUAAUGAUCUGUGUGAGGGCCAAUCCUCUUGUUGCUUUCCUUGAAAACCUCCAAGAACUACCAGUCAACUUUCAUGGUAUUUGCUGAGCCAAUCCACUUGCUGGCUUCCUUGAAAACCUCUCAGAUAUACCAGUCAACUCGAUGGUUAAUUUAAGCUCAUGGUGUUUCUACUUUUAAGCUCUCUUUCUCUCUCUCGUCUUUUUAUUGACUGGUAAUAACCAAGAGUUUGAUUAAAUAAACCUUCCAUAAAUUUGACAGCACAUGUUCUUGCCUCGACAAAAUAUACAUCCUUAAAUUAGUUCUGUACGUCAAUUAAAUAAGUUUUUUUAAUCAUUUUAAAAAUAUAUUCUUGUAUUAGAUGGAUUUAAUGAAAGAAAAAUUACAUUCAGCAUGGUAUAGUUUUGUUGUUUCUUCACUUUACAUUCAUGGUUUGAAAAAUUAUUUCUGGGGUUAUAUAUAUAUAUAUAAUUCAAAAUAUUAAUUUAACCAAUAUAAUUUUAAUUCAAAUCCAAAAAUAAAUUAACUUGAAAUUAUACAAUUUAAAUUUCAAAUAUAAGUAAAAAUGUGAGAGUUAACAUGAUGUGACUUGAUUUAUUUGACAAGUCCAAAAACAACAUGAACAACUAGUAAAAAUAUAGUUUGACUCAAAAUAAAUUCAAGGCAUCUAUUUUUAAAAAUAAUAUUGAGACGAUAACAUAUUAGAUCAACUCAGGUCAUUAAACCAUAAAACGAUCUAAGUCUACUCGGGUUAACUUGUAAAAUUAACCUCGGUCAUUAGACUGAAAUAAGUUCAUAGAAAAUAAACCAAAAUAAAUGACAAAGUCUAAUUCAUAAUCAAUCAAAUAUUAAAAAUAUUUAAUGAUGAAAUUGAAAAAAAAAAGAUCAAUUAAAAAAAAAAAAUAAACUCAAGUCAAUCAGAUUAACCCGCCAAACCCAUGAUAGAAGUAAUGAGACUGAGAUAACCAAACAAAACAUGAAGAAAACCAUGAUAAAUUAUAAAGACUAAUCUUCAAUAAAUCAAGUGUUAAAUGAUAAAAUUAGAGAAAAACACAUGGAUUUUUUUAAGAAAAAAACAACAAAAAAAAAUUAUUUAGCUAGAAUGGAACUAGAACAUUUUAGUUGGAAUUUCCAAAACAAGCUGAGAUUCUGAGCAAAAUUAAAUUUGUUCAAGUUUGUUUUAUUUUUUAAAUUAAAAUAAAAUAUAUUUCAGUCAUUUUAAAUAAACAUAGUGAAAUUCACAACCUUAAUUUGGAGUUACUUUUUUUCUUGCAAUCUAGUCAUUUAAACAAGAUGAGAAUUUUUUUAAUUUUGUACUAUAAAAUGAAGGCAUUUUUAAUUACUUAAAUUAUAGUAAAGGUAUCUUAAUUAUCCUUCUCAUAAAACAGCAUGCAAUUCAAUCAUUUUCAAGCAAGUUGAGAAUUAUUUAAUUUUGUCCGAUAAAGUGGUGGCUAAUUGGCUCGGAAUUUUUCCACCCUUUUGGCGUUGUCCUAUCGCUGUAUAAAAUAUAUAAAAGCCCCGUAUAUAAUAAACGUGGAGUCAUUUUUAAUGUCUUAAAUUAUAAUAAACGUCCGGGUUGUCUAAGGACCUGGGAGUGCUUUUUAAAAAAAAUUUAAAAAAAAUUUAAAAUUUUUUUAUAUAUUUUUUUACUUUAAAUUAAUAUAUUUUUGAUGUUUUCAAAUUAUUUUGAUGUGCUGAUCUCAAAAAUAAUUUUUUUAAAAAUAAAAAAAUAUUAUUGACAUGCUUUUCUAAGUAAAAAACACUUUGAAAAUCAACAACAACCACACUCUCAAACACCCUCUUAAUUUAGUUGGCGUGACCCUGUCUAAUCAUUUUAUAUUCUCAUGUAUAGCAUAAGUUUUAAUAGCCGUGUUUUUUAAAAAAAUUUUUUAAAUUAUUUUAAUUUAUCGAUAUUAAAAAUAUUUUUUAAAAAAUAAAAAAAUAUUAUUUUAAUAUAUUUCAAACAAAAAAAUACUUUAAACUAUAAUUACUAUUACAUUCACAAACACAUGAGUUAUUCAAGAAUCCUUUAAUAUUUUCUAUUUAAAUAAUUUAAAAUUAUUUUAAUAUAAUGAUAUUAAAAAUAAUUUUUAAAAAUAAAAAAAAUAUUUUAAUGUAUUUCAAAUAAAAAAAAUAGUUUAAACCAUAAUCACUAUUACAUUUAUAAACACAUGAGUUAUUUAAAAAUCCUGUAAAAUGUCCUAUUUAUUUAUAAAGGAAUCUGGAUUGUUUUUUUUUUUUUUGGUUCAAUGUGGAGUCAUUUUUAAUCUAUAAAAUUAUAUAGUAAAUGUAUCUUUCAUAGCUGUUGAGGAAUCUGUCUGGAGUCAUGUUUUUCGUCUCAUAAAACAGCGUGCAAUUUUGUCAUUUUCGUGCAAUUUGAGAAUUCUUUAAUUUGGUCCUAUAAAGUGGUUGCUAAAUGGCUCGUAGUUUUCUCAACGUGUUACCGUUGUCUUAUUUUAACGACAUCUUACCUGGCUUUACAUCAUCUUGUCUAUAAUCUCAUGAGCAGAAAGCUGUCCUCCUCAUCCAAUAUUAAUGAUCUUAAAAUAAAAUUUAUGAAUUAAGUAUGCCAUUUUUAUUUUAAGAUUAAGAAUUCUUUAAGAAUUUGGAGUCAUUUUCAAGCAAGUUAAGAAUUCUUUAAUUAAGAAUUCCUAUUUAUAAAGGAAUCUGCAUUAAUUUUUUGGAGUCAUUUUUAAUUAGCUGGCGAGGAAUCUGUCUGGAUUCGUUAUUUAUUCUAAUAAAAUAGCAUGCAAUUUAACCUUUCUCAACCAAGUUGCAAAUUGGCUCUGAAUUUUCUAAACUUUUUGGCGCUGUCCAUCCUUUACAUUAUAAACUACCUAUAGAAUAUAAACCCGCUAUUUGACUCGGGGUUUUAUCACGGAUUAAAUAUAUUUUCUAUAAAAAAAUUAUUUAUACUAAUUUUUUGACGUGUUUUUAUAAAUUAAAAAUUAUAUAUAUUAAGAAGUUUAUACAUACAUGUAAUUAAAUAAAUUAAAAAUUAUAUAUGUUAAUAAAUGGGAAAAAUAUCAUUAACAAUAAAUAAAAAUAAAAUUAAAAAAAUCAAGAAACAAGAAUAAAUCAAUACAUUUAAACUUGUAAAACAAGAUAUUUACCUGAUUGCACUUGCUAAAUUUGAUUAUUAAAAUUAAUUCUUUAUUCAAUCAAAUGAUAAUAAAAAUAGACACACAUAUUAAAUUGAUUGAAUAAAAAAAAUAAAAUAUUAUGCAAUGUUGAUCGCAAGAUGAAAUAUUAUUUUAUGAAAAUAAGUAUUUUUUAUGUUAAAAAAUAAAGUUCAUUUAUAUAAAAGAUUUUUAAAAAAAUGAAUUAGAAUAGUCUUUCGAAAAACUAAAUAUACACAACACCAUUAAAAAAAAUAUGUAUAUCCAAAAAAGGUUAAAUAAAAAAAUCAUAAAUGAGGGAUAUUAAUUGAAUCAUAAAAUUUAAAAAAUAUUUAAGAAAAAAAGAUAUUCAAAGAAGAUAUCAAUUAAAAAAAGCAAGAUUAGGAAAAAAAAAAAAAAAAAAGCUCAGAUAUUGUUGUUUAACUCUUCAAACAUGUAUUAUAAGUCAUGGAAUCAACCUGGUUCAAUAAUUGUUUUUCUUAAACUUCUAUCUAACCCUUAAAAAAGGCUAGAAAUAGCCUAGGCUCGUAGCCCAGCGUGCCUGAGCCAUUGUAGUGACAAGCCCAGCCCAGCCCCGUACCCUCACCUCAGGAUCAAAGGGCUUGUUUGAGAGCUGCGCUAGAGGCACCGCAGAACAGAGAGUGUACAAGCGCCCCUUUGCUUUGUUGGGCUUGAUUUCAAUUUUUUAAUUUGAAAAAAAAAAACACAUAAACUACGUGUCGUCUUCAAGUCUAGAUUUUGGCCACUAUAAUGGUGACUGGAAAAUCAAGGCAGCGCCUCUUUUGGUCAAAAAACUUGAUUUUUAAAUCAUUGCAACCCCAAAACACCUUAGGAAAAUGCCUCUUUUGGUGGAAAAAAAAACACUUUUUUUUAAGCGAUGACAACUCAAAAACACCUCGCCAACACUCUUAUAACACCAAAAAAUUAUUUCAUCAACUUCAAAUACCCAAACAAUAGCCUAAAAAUCUAAAAUCAAAUCGGGUUAGUUUUAGUUUUCUCGGCUUAGAUCUAGAAGUUCUAAACAACCACCAUAAAGCCCUUUUUAUAUCUGAGAACCCGUAGACACCAAUAAAACUCAUUUUAAUGGUCGAAAAUAGAGUGAAUAAUGACUUUCUCUUAUUGUUAGAAUCUGACAACACUUAUCUCUCUCUUCUCUCUAACCUUACAUUGAAGAAUAACACAGAUAAACUUGUGUAUCAAAACUGAUUUUUUAAAAUUUCAAGAGACCUAAAUUGAUGUUAUUUUUAAAUAACACAGAUAAAUUUAUAUGAAUGAUGUUAUUUUUAAAGAUCAAGGACAUUAGUGUAUUUUGCCUGAAGUCUCUGGUAUGUCAUCCAUAUUUGGUGUCCUUUUCAUUUGAGUCUUCAUUUUUUUAAUUUCGACUAACAAAUCAUACGUAAUUAGCAUUUAAUUAUGAUCAAAUUUUACAAAAUAAAACUUUGUGGUUAAAAUGAAUUAUUAUUAAAAAAUAAUAAUAAAUUCAUAGUGUUUUGUGAAUGCAUGAAUAAUACCCAAUCGUAGUAAAAAAAAACACGGUUUUAGAGUUUGUUAUAAAUCCAUCAUUUAUACCCAUUAUACUCAAAUUAAAACCUCACAGAAUAGGACAGAUUCAUCACGAGAUCUCUGCCUCACCUCUCUCGCAGAACAACUAAUUAUGAUCUCUCAUUACGGGAUAAAUAAAUUUAUCCUGAUAUAAGAAACUUUUCAAUAUUAAGUUAGUAUUUAUAGAGAAGAAAAAAAAUAAUAUAUAGAAAAAGAAAAGUAAAGGUAUGUUGUGUGCGAUAUCUCCGGACUUAGCCUAUGUUUGGCUGUGUAAAAAAUUGGUCCCUUCUCUACUAGGUGUAUUUAUAUAAAGUUAAAAAAGUUAAUGUCUUGAUAAAGUAAUGUUGGUUCUAAUUGGAAAUCUGAUCAUGAACAAAAGUCAUAGUCAAACUCUCAUAACCAAUUUUUUGAAUUUUAAAAAAAUGAUAAUGAAUAAAUAAAUAACUAAUGAAUGAAUGAAUGAAAAAUACUUUAAGAAUUAGUUUAAGAAAAUCCGAAUUGGAAGUUUGAGGACUAAUAAGAAUGAAAUUAUAAAUUUGAAAGUCAAUUUGGUCAAAGAAUUGGAAGAAUUGAUAAGUUUUGAGAUUUAAUUAAUAUUAAAAUUAAUUUAAUUAAUGAAAUCAGGGACUUAAUUGAAGAUGUACCAAGUUUGGGGCUGAUUUAGAUUGAAAUUGCGAGACAUAAAGUACAAGGACAAUAGAUGGUGAUACCAUAGGGGGGUUAACUGAUUUUUUCAGGGGUAAUUUUAAAAGCAUUAAAAGUUGAAAAGCCAAUUAAGAAUUGAAUUGAUUAAAUUGGAAAUCAAGGACUGUUUUGUAUAUGAUGCUAAAGUCUAGGGGUUCAAUUACAAUUGAUGUAGGGGUAAGAUUAAAAAGUAAAGAGGAGAUUUUCCAUGAAUAAGGGAUCAAUUGCUAAAUGUCAGAACUUCAGGGUAGAAAAUUAAAAAUAGCUAUUUCCGUUGAAAACGGCGCCAUUUCAAAGUAAACUGUUCAUACACCUUCAUUCCACAUUUCCACCGAUUCUGCAGAAACUGCAGCAAAACCGUUCGGGUCACGUCUCCUACCAGCUGCCCACCUCACCCCCACGAUGCCAUCUCCAAAUGCUAAUAUGUCGUGACCAACAGUCUUGCAAUGGCAGGACUGUUGAUCCCUGUUUUUUCUCAUAACAAAGACGAACAUGCCUCAUUGAGUAUCUUGAGGCACGAACGCACGGCAUUCUCUAGCUUUAUAAAAGCCAGAGAAAGGCCAGAAAAGUGGGGGGGACGAACGAACGAGAAGAAGAGGACAAGAGUGGAGGAACGAACAAAGAAAACCAGGAAGACAGAAAAAACGAACAGAGACUCAGAAACGAAAACAAUGACAGAAAGAAAGACAAGAGGACGAAGAAGAAAAACACAGAGGACAAACAAGAAACAGAGAGCAGAGGAGAAAGGCAGAAGGGGAGAGACCGAGAGAGAAUUCAAAGAAGUAAGACCAGAAGAGAAGCACACGAAACACAGAAGUACAGGGAAGAAAGUAGCUUUGGCCAGCCAUUACACCUUCGCCAUCGUCUUCUCCCCCAAGCACCAGGUAAGCUACGUACGUUUUCCGUCCCCUUACAUUUUAAUCACCCUUUGACUAUAACAAGUGUGCGUGAACAAUUCACGCCCGCCUGCUAGUAAAAGUCCGUCCGUUACUGGUUUGGGCUAGUAAUAAUGCUGGACUGAUUAAGUCCAACCCAGCCCAUAUAACUAGGCUAGAUGGCACUAAAAAAAUAAAACAAAUAGCAACUGAGGUUCGGCUGGGCUUGGAUUUCAGGCCCAACCGAUCUAAUUUGUUUUGGACCAAGGAUGUGUUUAGCAAAACACAUCUUUAUUUUUUCCUUUUUUAUUUCAUUCUUUUUAUUUUGGUAACUAGUCAAACAAAUCUUUUUGGAUAUGAGAGAAAAUUCUAAAAAAAGUCGUGGACCCUUUUAAAUUUAUUUACGGCUCCCUCACGGUUUUUUUUUUUUAAUGUUUUCAUUGUAUAUUUGAUUUGUGAAUUUGUACUAUGAAAUGUGAAUAUGGUAUGCGACACAUGUCUUUUUUUUUCAUAAAAAAUAACAAUAAAAAAAUAUAUAUGCUUUAUUUUCAAUUCAAUUUUUACUGGUUUAUUCAUUGGCGUCAGAGUUAAAAAUAAUAUGCUUUACAGUGUUACAUAAUAUUUACCAACACUAGAAUUUAAAGUAUUUAUAUCUGAAUAUUCAUUAGUGUUAUAGUCAGAAAUAUUACAAGUAAACCAUUAGUAGCAUAAUACAACAAACUCUUAGCAAUUUAAUACAAAACCAGCAAUGCAACCUACCUUAAAUAAAACAUUUAAAAAAUAAUAAUAUUUUUUAUUUUACAUAAUUAAUCUCGCACCAUAAAAUCAUUAUUAACCGGUUAAUAUUCCGGUUACCAUAACAACUUCUUCAGUUAGAACUUUCUCCUAAUAAAAAGUCAAUUACCUGUUUUUUUUCAUAAUUGAACUUUUAAAGGUUGCCACGGUUGCCUCGAAUGACAGCUUUCCUGUUUAUACUACAAAGAAGGUCAUGUCUUGCUAAAUUAAGUCAUAAUUAAAAAAUAAAAAACCUUAGGCCACAAGCUACGAAGCACCAAACCACAAAUAAAAUACAAAUAAUCAAUAUGAAUAUAUGACAAUUAGCUCUUUUGUUUAUUGAAGACAAGAGGCCCUUUUCCUUAAUUGAAGCAUCAUUUAAUUGAUAGUUGAUUUCUUGUGCUUCUGUCAGUUGUGAGUUCCGGUCGCCAUAAGACUCUAAGCUCUAAAGCAAAAUUACUGCGACCCCUUGUGGAUGACAUUGGUUGAUUUAUGGCCCAACUGCAGUGGCACAAAAGCAAAGUGUUAUAGCUAAGAAAGAGGGAAGGCUGAGUAGCCGAGAGAGACAUUAACACACACGUACUGCUGCAAUAUUUCCUGAAUGGGAGAGGGCGGCAAGUACACUUUGCCAACAACAAUCCUUUACAUGAUUAUGGCAGGAACGGCAUUUUUUCCACUCAUGAUCACCUGUAAUUGCAGUACGUCGAUGAGUUCAUAUAAUUAAUUAAAUAGUUUGAUUAAUGGCAGAAAGUUAACACAGACACAACGCCCAUCAAAACCUAAUGCAUCAGGUCUUGGUUUAAAACAUAAAUUGGAUUUUUUAAAAUUUUUAUUAAAUAGACGGUAAAAAAUCGGGUAACAACAUUUAGUUUAUUUAAACAUUUUAAGAAAACACUUAAUAUAUACUUAAUUUUUAGAGAAUAUAACCGUGAAUUCAAAUCUACAAUUCAUUUUCUUAUCAAAAUUCUAUUAUCAAAUUCUUGAAGUGGUGGGGGUAAUGACUGCCUCAUAUUAUACAGCAUAAGUGGAUCAGAAGAAAGGGACUCAGAUAAGUGUUUUUUUUUUUAAAAAAUCAAAAUUGGUGUCUUUUUCGGUUUCACUUGCAAACGGAACACCUAUCUCCAAAACCCAUGUUUGCAAAAAUGUAUGCUAAGCGUCAAAAGAUGAAAUCUAUGUGCGAUAGUAUUAGCAAUUUACCUGAUGCACUCCUCCUUCACACACACUCUUUUCUGAGAUGCCAAGAAGUUUUGAUUGGAUACAUUGUUCACUCUUUAUUUCAAAUCAAUUCAAUUUUUCUAAUUUCUAUUUUAGUUUUCUUUAUUUUUUAUCCAAUAAACUUUAUUUCUAUUAGAAAAUAUUUUUUUUUCAAAUUAAAAAAAUUAACAUUAAAAAAACAUUUAACUAAAAAUAUAUUUUUUUUCCCGAGAAUUCAAAUAACUAUCUUUAUUAAUGAAUAUUCAUUUUUAUUUUUAUAUAAUUAAAUAAAAAGAAAAAGCAACCAUGUUAUUCGAUUAAAUAUUUACAUUUGCAUUUAUUUUUUUAUUUAUUACACAAAAAAAAACCCAGCUGUUUUAGCCUUUAAUUAGAUUAACCAUUUGAUUUAUUAAUUCAAAUAUCUUUAAUUCGUUUUUAUUUUAAAAAAAAUACAAACACCAUCAUUUCAACUUUGAAUUUAAAAAUUUUAUGCUAUCAAAACACAACUCCACAGAUUCAUAGCUUCUUGUUUUUUUUUGUUUUACAUUACAACUUAGUUUGGAAUGUUACCCGUAACUAGUUGGUAUCUAAUGUCUUGAACUAUUUCCCCAUGAAUUUGUAUCUCAAGAGCAGUCUGGUUUGUCAUGUACAUGCACUUCAUGGAAAAAGCUAGCUACCUGGCACAGGAGCCGAAGAAGAACGAAACUUGGCAUAUUCCACUUUUCAGAAUAAGUUGUGCUUAAGAGUUGUUUUUUAAAAUAUUUUUUAUUUAAAAAUAUAUUAAAAUAAUUUAUUUUUUAUUUUAAAAAAAUUAUUUUUAAUAUAUGAUUUAAAAUCAUAAAACAAUAUUAGAAAAAUUCAAUAAAACUUUUUAAAUAUAAGCAAACACUUUAGAAGUACAAUCUUAAUUAAUAAACAAACCAUCAAAGCAAAUUGUACUUCAAAAAUAAAUUUAUCUGUCCCUAAAUUUUAGUCAUGAUUAGGAAAAUAAAAAUAAAUAAAUAAAUAGUGUCAGAGUUUUUAACCACUUGACUUGUGAUGCACAAUUGCACAUCCAUUACAAUAAUAAUAAAAAGAAUGACAACUAAUUUGGCAACCAACCACAUGAUUUCUGAAAAUAUGACGUUACAAAUUUUUUUCAAAAACAAUAAAGAAUUUUUUAAAAAAUACAUCUGAAUUUUAUUUGAUAGAAAAUUUAGAAUUGAUUGUUUUACUAUGUGUUAUCUUUUACAAGCUUGUAGAAAAACAAAAACACUAAAUACACAAGGAAGAAGAAGCUCAGACCAAUGAGACAAUUGCUGAUGGCAAGCCCCAAGGAAGGUUCUAGAACCGCAUAUGUGCCCGUGAUGAAUGCGAUAAUCAUUGUCCCCAUGCCAAUCAUGGUCAACGACGUGGCAAACAUAAAUAAUAUUAAUGGCAACCCCAUCUAUCACUUCUUCCCUAUCUAUCACUUCUUCACAUUUAGAACCAUGAAUAAACGCAAUCAAUAAAUGGAUAAAAACAGCAAAAAUAGAGAGCACCAUUGAUAUUGUAUCUGAAAUGACAAAUACUAUAAAAGCAUCUUUUUUAGCUAGAAUUGUUGUGCCUCGAUCGCUCUUGUAACCGCCAGGUAGGGUGAAUGCUGCUGCAAAUGUUACCGUUGCUAUCAGCGCCGCAACAACUAGAUGAGACUCUCUUGCUUUACUCAAAACUUCCUCUUUCUCUUUCUCUUUGUUUUUCUCUUUCUCUUUCAAAACAAAGGGACCGUGACCAAUCGGUCCAUUGCCAACAUCUUCAAGGGAUUCUAGGAUCUCUUUCUGCAAAAAUAUAUAUUUUGAAUAAAAUAUGUUAUGAUAUUAAAAGAGGUUUUAAAAGUAAUUUUUUUAUUACUUUCUAGAUUAUUUUUUUAGUGAAAAUUUUUUAUUUAUUUUUCAUAUUAUCUUGUACUUAAAUUUUAUUAAUUAAAAUAAAAAUAGUGAGAUUUGAAUUUAAAAUUGUUUGAUCAAUAAGAUUGUAAUACUAUUUUAAAAAAACUUAACUCAAUCUAAAAAAUUUAAACAAAUAAUCCAUCUUUUUUAGCUAUUUAACAUAUAUCAUAUAUCAACUUCCGAGCCUUUAUUUCCACAACUAGGUUGUUUGCAAUCAAAUCCUUUUUGUUACUGUAUAUAUUAGCAGGUAACAAAAACUAAUUUGGUUGAAAUUAAACCGCGUGCUUUACAUUAGCCCAAUUAUCCCUAAAAAGAAAACUAAGAUGUGGACUUAAUUUUAUAUAACAUUAAUUCUACAUCAUUUCAUUCUAAAAUUAAUUUCCUUGGAGGACUUAAUUGCUUGUAAUAUUAUGUUAAGCUGUUAAAGAGGUUUUAAAAAUAAUUAAUUUCCUAGGAGGAGUAAUCCAAUAUAUUAUUGUUUAUUGUUACUCUCCUUAAUUAAUUGCUUUUAAGAUUAUAUUAAGUUUCUAUUAGAUUUUUAAAAUUUUAAUUAAUUGUAUUAUUUUUUCAUUCAUUUGUACUACUUUUUUUUUUAUUGAAUAAUAUAUGUUUUUAUAAAGCAGUUACACGCGAUUUAUAUGCAUAGUCUGUUAUUGUAGAUGAAAAACUUAACAAAAUCAAUAAAAUGACUUCAUUUCAAAUAAAAAAAGAUUAUUAAGUUAUUCAGAUUACUUUAUUUUUAUAUUUAGUACUGCGAUAUAAUAGAGUGAAACUGAACAAAAGUUACGUGGACCCAUUUGGUGGACAUGAUUAAGAUGCAGAGCUAAGAGAAUCUUAGAUGCAAAGUAAAACCAGUUUGCUUUGAUUUAAUUGAUUCAUUAAUGGAUAUAUAUUGUGAAUCACAACAGUUAAUUCAUAGAGGAUUGAUUACCUGUAUCUCUUCCAAAUUUCCUUCACUAAGGUCGUCGACGCUUAGCUUAUAAAGGAAAUCCCCUCAGAUUCAGCCAAUAUUCAAAUUUCCCCAGAUUCAGCCAAUAUUCACUUGCCUCUUGCCCAUGAUCCUGCAACCAUCAUUCAAGCAUAAUAUCAAGCUUGUAAUGGCAGACAAAUCUUCAAUGUAAAUGCAGUGUAAAUGUCAAGACGUAAUCUUAGCUUACUUUCUAAAUUCAAACCUGCAAAGCUGUGUAUAUAUAUGUUAACAAUUGUAUUACUCAAUGUGUGGUGAAAUAUACAAUUCUGAAGUUUAUCAAAUAGCUCAACUCUCUGAAAUUUCUUAUCUUCAUCAUGGUAUCAGAGCAACAAAUCUCCAACAAGAAUUUGAUCCCUUAUAAUCCUAUCUCAACCCCAUCCUCUCCAACUGAAACACCUCUGAUUGCCCUCAACAUCACAUCCCAGAUAAAUGAUAAACUUACCCCCUCUACAAUCCUUCAAUGGCGCGCUCAGUUUGAAGCCUUACUCAUCGGGUAUGAUCUCCUUGAUUAUGUCACUGGAGAAAAAAUAUGCCCCGUAUCCACCAGUACAGCAGUCUGUGCCAUCCAACGAACACACUGGAUAAGGCAAGAUAAGCUUAUCCUCAGUGCCAUUUUGGCAUCCACAUCCACUGUUAUUACUCCUCUCAUCUCCAUGGCCAAGACAUCAAAGGAUGCAUGGCAUAAAUUGCAUACUCUGUAUGCAAGCAAGUCCAGAACCAGAGCAAUGCAACUUAAGGAAGAACUCACAAUGAUAAAGAAGGGCAACCAGUCAAUUCAAACUUAUCUUCACUCUGUAAAAUCGUUGGCAGACGAAAUCUCCCUCAUAGAUCACCCAAUCUCUGAAGAUGAUCUAACACUCUAUAUUCUAAAUGGCCUGGGAACUGACUUUCAUGAAAUUGCAGGCCCUAUUCGCGCCCGAGAACGACCACUCACUUUUGAGGAACUUCAUGAUCUCCUUGUAAGUCAUGAUGCAUAUCUUCACCGUCUUGAUGCCUCCUCCCAUCCAUUGAUUGCUUCUGCAAACUACACGCACCGACGGGCUUCGUAUAAUCAAGAAAAUCAGUCUUUUAAAUCUGCCCCAAAACCCCACUUUUUUGACAGAUCAUAUGGCCAAAGAAAUAAACCUCCAGCUCACUAUCGCCAGCCUGGCAAUCCGAGAGACAGCAACAAAAAUCAUGGACCACGUCGUUUUCCUCCAGCUCCAAAGUGCCAACUAUGUGACCGCAUGGGUCAUACUGCCAAACACUGCAGUCGGUUUCAGUAUACCACCCCAACAGCGAAUUGCACUUCCACCUCACCCGCACAGGAUACAAAAUGGCUUAUAGACUCAGCCGCGUCUCAUAAUAUUACUGGUGAUCUUGCUAAUCUAUCUAUUCAUUCCGAAUACGAUGGCACUAACGAAGUUAUCAUUGGUGAUGGUUCAGGUUUGCCUGUUUCUCAUAUUGGCUCCUUACAUCUUCAUUCCCCCACACGUACUUUCCAUUUAAAUGACACCCUUUGUGUUCCUAAUCUACAAAAAAAUCUCAUAUCUGCUCAUCAAUUUACUUGUCAAAAUCAUGUCUUUAUUGAGCUUCACCCCUCUUUCUUUUUUGUUAAGGACAAGAUCACGGGAGCGGCUCUAUUCCGAGGAGCGUGUGAGAAUGGUGUUUACAUCCUUCCGAAGUCAAUGGUGCAGCCUUCUCAUCCUAUUGUUGCUAAUGUGCAUGAAAGGGUCUCCAUGGACGGAUGGCACAAACGCCUUGGGCAUCCCUCUCCUAAAUUGGUCACUCACCUUAUCAAAUCAUUUUCCCUUCCAACAAUAAAUAAAAAAAAUAUUUCUCUUUGUUCCUCAUGUUCUAUUAAUAAAGCUCAUCGUCAACCAUUUCGUCAAAACAGUCUCUUGAGUCAUGCCUCUCUUGACUUACUUUAUACUGAUGUGUGGGGUUCCUCAAGUAUAAUUGGCAUUACUGGGGCUCGUUACUAUCUCAUUUUUGUUGAUCAUUUCACGAAAUACAUUUGGUUUUAUCCUAUGGAGACUAAAUCUAGUGUCCGCAUCAUAUUUCCUCAAUUCAAAAAUCUUGUUGAAAAUCGGUUUCAGUUAAAAAUUAAAUCUGUCUAUUCUGAUAAUGGUGGUGAAUUUGUUGCCUUAAAACAAUAUUUUACAACAAAUGGAAUCAGUCAUUACACCACAGCUCCUCAUACACCGCAACAAAAUGGUGUUUCUGAGCGUCGUCAUCGUCACUUGGUUGAAACCGGUCUCACAUUACUACAUGAUGCAUCCCUUCCCCUUCAGUAUUGGCCCUAUGCUUUUUCCACUGCUGCAUAUCUUAUUAACCGUCAACCCACACCUCUCCUCCACCAUAAAUCUCCGUUUGAAACUUUGUUUACACAGCCUCCAAAUUAUAAAAAGCUAAAAAAAUUCGGUUGUCUUUGUUUUCCUCUUGUUCGGCCAUAUAACACAAACAAGUUACAACCAAAAUCAAUUCCAUGUAUUUUCGUAGGCUACUCCUUAACCCAAAAUGCAUACAGCUGUCUUGAUCCCAUAACCAACCGUCUCUACCAAUCACGCCAUGUCAUCUUUCAUGAAAAUGAAAAUGGUUUCUCCUCCAGCCAUCCUUCCACACCCAGCCCGACAAGCGACUCCUCUGUUCAUGGUCCUCUUUCAUCUCCUCCUGCACCUCCACCAGUGACUUCGGCAAGGAUACCCACUCUCACUGCUUCCUCAGGUAAUGACUCCCCCACUGUAUCUUUUAAUUCACGUGCACUCAUACCUUCAUCUUCUCCUGCUUCUCCCAGUUUUCAGCCUGCCUCAUCUCCACUGCCAAAUCCCAGUCAUCCACCCUCAUCAGUUAUUUGUGCACCUUCUCCAAGCUCCCUCCCUCAUCACCCAAUCCUGCACCCACCCGGCCUCACUCCAUGGUCACCCGUUCCAUGAAUAACAUUUAUAAACCCAAACAACUUAACAUCACCACAAAACACCCCAUCCCAAAAACUGUAGAACCAACCUGUGUGGGACAGGCUCUUCGUGACCACACUGGAGAUCAGCAAUGUCUGAGGAACUCACAGCCCUCAUGAGGCAUGGCACAUGGGAGUUGGUACCGCCUCCUCCGGACUGCCAACCAGUUGGGUGCAAAUGGGUUUUUCGGAUCAAACGACAUCCUAAUGGCUCCAUUGCUCGGUUCAAAGCCCGUUUGGUUGCAAAGGGAUAUCAUCAGCGGCCUGGUCUAGACUACAAUGAAACGUUCAGUCCAGUUGUGAAACCUGCCACCAUCAGAACAGUUCUCACCGUGGCUGUCACACAGGGGUGGCCAUUACGGCAGCUAGAUGUAAACAAUGCCUUUUUGCAUGGGAACCUGCAGGAAACAGUCUACAUGUUACAGCCACCGGGGUUCCAUGAUACCUCCACUCCCCAUCAUGUCUGUCGGUUAAACAAGGCUAUUUAUGGCCUCAAACAGGCCCCUCGUGCCUGGUAUUCUGCUCUGCAACAAGCCAUUCUGAAACUGGGAUUCACCAGCUCCAAAGCGAUCCUUCUCUAUUUAUCUUUCACAGUGCAGAUGUUUUGUGUUACUUGCUGGUCUACGUGGAUGAUCUCGUUCUCACUGGAAACACUCCAUCCUUCCUGACUCAUGUGAUUGAUCAACUUAGCAUCCAAUUCUCAUUGAAAGAUAUGGGUGCACUUCAUCAUUUUCUGGGGCUAGAUGUUAUACCCACCAAAAACGGGUUGUUCUUAUCUCAACAUCAAUACAUACGGGAUCUUCUCUUCAAAACUAAUAUGCAGGGUGCUAAGGAUGUCUCUUCUCCUAUGUCCACUUCGGUCCAGCUCAAGCUUAUUGAUGGCACAGCUCCCUGUGACAGCACUGCAUUUCGAAGCAUCAUCGGUGGAUUACAAUAUUUGUCUCUUACUCGUCCUGAUGUUUCCUUCAUUGUUAAUAAGCUGUCACAAUUCAUGCAUCAACCUACGGUCACUCACUGGUCAGCUGCCAAACGCCUGCUCCGCUAUUUGAAGAAAACCAUCUUCCUUGGCAUUCACAUAAAUCGUCAGUCUUCAUUUGAUAUCACCACUUUUGCUGAUGCUGAUUGGGCUGGGAAUUAUGAUGAUCGCACCUCCACCUCAGCUUACAUUACAUUCCUUGGGCUCAAUCCCAUCUCGUGGAGCUCAAAGAAACAACGUGCAGUCGCCAGGUCCUCCACAGAAGCUGAGUAUCGUUCCCUUGCCACUGCUACGUCUGAAACAGUUUGGCUGUUGUCCCUGUUCAAAGAACUGUGUCUCCCAAUUUCAUCUCCGCCAAGGCUGUUGUGUGACAACCUGGGAGCUACCCACCUUAGCUUCAAUCCAGUUCAGCAUUCCCGGAUGAAACACAUUCAGAUAGACCUUCACUUUGUCCGUGAUAUGGUUCACAAGAAGAUCCUCAAUGUUCAGCAUGUCAACACUCAUGACCAACUGGCAGACUUUCUAACGAAGCCUCUGUCUUCCCAGCGUCUGCAUUCCUUACUGCUCAAGAUUGGCUUAGCUGAUGGCUCAUCCAUCUUGCGGAGCGUAUAAAGGAAAUCCCCUCAGAUUCAGCCAAUAUUCAAAUUUCCCCAGAUUCAGCCAAUAUUCACUUGCCUCUUGCCCAUGAUCCUGCAACCAUCAUUCAAGCAUAAUAUCAAGCUUGUAACGGCAGACAAAUCUUCAAUGUAAAUGCAGUGGAAAUGUCAAGACGUAAUCUUAGCUUACUUUCUAAAUUCAAACCUGCAAAGCUGUGUAUAUAUAUGUUAACAAUUGUAUUACUCAAUGUGUGGCGAAAUAUACAAUUCUGAAGUUUAUCAAAUAGCUCAACUCUCUGAAAUUUCUUAUCUUCAUCAUAGCUUUCGCUUAUUAAGACCAUAUUUUAUCUUCCAUCCAAAAUAACAAUAUUGAUUUAAAACACGUCUCCAUUGCUUCUGCUCGCGCGCUAAAGCAGCAAUUAGAUGGAAGGGCGUGUUCCCUUUGUCAUCCUUCUUCGUUCCAAGUCUUGCAAGUUCUGGAAUAUUCUCCAGACAUUCCUCGAAUACUGCUAUAUCUUUACUGGCCACAGCAUAGUGAAGGGCAUUCCAACCUCUGUUAUCAACUAGCUCACAACAAGCUGGGCAUCGAGAAACAAUUUCUUUCAUUAUUCCUACACGUCCUCGAAUGGCAGCAAUGUGAAGAGCUGUUCUCUUCUUCUCUGUUUCAGCAAUGUAGGCCGCGGACGCAUCAUAUUCUAGUAAUACUUCCACUGUACGACUAUAAUAGGCAGCGUAGUGAAGUGGUGACCAGCCGUUCUCAUCGGUUGUUUUCGUCAACGUUUUUUCUUUUUCUAACAAUUUUCUUGCUGUCUCUGAAACCAACAAAACAAGGAAUAAAAGUUAUCCUUCAUGAACAACAGAGAUUUCACUUAUGCCCCGUUUUAUAAUUUCUUUUAGAAAACUGGUUUCUUGAAAAAUAAUUUUCUAGAAAAUAAAUUAUUUUUUAAUAUUUAGUAAUAUCAUUAAAAAUAAAUUGAAAAAUACUUUCCAGUAUUUUACUAUAUUAUAGAAAAACAAUUGAAAAAAAAUUAUUAAUAUAUUUUUUUCAUGUUUAGUAAAAUAAUGAGGAGCAAAUGAGAAUAAAAUUAAAAAAAUAUAUAUAAUUUUAUAAAUUAUUUCAAAUAAAAUAAAUAAUAAAAAAAUUCAAUUAUUGAUAAGAAAAAAAAUAAAUAACAAUGAUAAAAAUAAAUAUCAAAGUUGAUAUAAAUAUCAAGUUAUAAUAGAUGGAAUUUAAAAAAAAUUCAAAAUAAAAUAUAUAGUAAUUAAAAGUUUAAAGACCAAAUUUGAUAUAAUCAGUAAAUAACAUGAUAUUUUUAAUUUUUUCACAACUUUUAAAAAAUAUUUUUCGCCUAAAAUAAAAGGAGAUCAUUUUUUUAAACCAAGUUAAAUUUUCUUUAAUUUGAAGGUGUUCUUCGUUGAUCAAUAUUUUUAAUAACAAUUAAAUACAAAAAAAUUUUAAAAAUAAUUUUUUAAAAAUUACUUUUCAUAAAAUAAAUGCAUGUUAUAUAUCCAAUACUUAAACUCACAAAGUUUCUUAAAAAAUAAUAAAAAAAGCUAAUUAUGAAGCAAACUAGUACGGAUAUAUAAAAUCAAAUAUACGUGGAUUUUAAAUUAUAGUUUACACUAUUAUAUAUAAAUUAUUUAAUUCUCCAGACUUGAGCACAAAAUCCUACCAUUAUCUCCCACCCUGAUUGCCGCGUGUAGAGCAGUUCUACCAUUCGGGCCGCCGUAGUCCACUGAGAUGCAAUUAGUUAGGAUUUCAUCGAUCACCGUUUCUCGUUCUUGACCCCUUCUGGAAGCAGCUGCAAUAUAAAGUGGAGUUUCUCCAUGAACAUUGGCGGAAUAUGAAAACUCAGGGUCCUCUUUUGUCAAUAUUUCCACCACUUGGGCUUGGAUAUUUCGAGCUGCCACGUGCAACGCUGUAUCUUGCUCUCCAUCGGCCAUCCUCAACAUCUUCUUUUCUUCUGUUACUCCGCUCUCUAGAUCAGUAGGUCGAGCUUUUGCGCGGUCAAUGAGGACUCUUACCACGUUGGAACGCCCAUAUCUUGCCGCAAAAUGGAGUGGGAUUUCACCUUUCUUAUUGGCCUGCAAUAAUAGUGGUGGACACUUUUCAAGAAUUUUAUCAACAAAAUCAGUGGAUUCUGAUUCUCUACGUUGGUUUUCUAAAGUAGACAUGAAGAAUGGUGUUCUCGUCUGGAGUCAAUAACUGAUCAAGGCAGGUUUGAUAUUUCUCAAAGGGACCGAUAUCGCCUUUAGCUGCAGCUUUGAACAAGACAGGAUCCAUAUAGGGCGUCAUACUAUUUUGUAGCUUAGAGAAACUCACUAAAUGAAAAGUAAACAAAUGAAGGGGAGGUGAAAUUAACCACUGUGGCUCAAAGGCAAGAGGUUCCACUCCUCAACUGAUCACAAGCUGCUGAUUUCUUCGGUAUUUAAAGGAAGAAAAAGCGUUAAGAACCACAAAUUACAUUUAUUUUCCAUUUUGAUAUUGUGUCGCAAUAUCUUUGAUUCUGAAACACAGAAUAAAAGGAAAGGAUUAUCAUGCUGACACUCUUCUUUUUUUAUCUGAUACUUAGACACUUGUAUAUAUUAAAGUAUCUCGCUACAUCAAACUUAAAAAGUGAAUUAAAAACAAACACAUGCGCAAGCAUAUGCCUGCGCGCGCACAUAAACUAAAUCAGUAUUUCACUGUAAAUAUUGGAUAUACAUUCAUAAAAACAUUAUUUAGCAAAGAAACUAAAACAUUUUAUCACAAUUUUAAAAAAAAAUAUAUGAGUAUUUUUUCCUUCUUUUAUAAGCAGAGAAUAUUGAUACUUUAACAUAUAUAUAUAUAUAUAUAUAUAUAUAUAUAUAUAUAUAUAUAUAUAUAUAUAUAUAUAUCAAAGUAUCUCGCCACACCAAUAUUUUAAUUUGGGACAUUAAAAAAUUAAUCGAACACAUUACCUAUAAUUUAAAAUAUUAUGAGAAAGUACAAUGACAAUAAUACUUUCCCCACAUUUUCCCCGCAUGUUUUUGUGUGGCUCUAAAAAAUAUGUUUGCUUUUUUUUUUUUCAAUUACUAUUUUUUUUAAUUUUAUCAUUUUAAUAUUAGUUUUUUUUUAUUGGGUUAUCUCACUCACAAGAUAUGAAUCGUGAGUUUGGCAAAUUAACCUAGUUGGCUGGGAUUUUAUUCUUCAUUAUUUAACUUUUUUAUAAUUUUAUCAUUUAAUAUUGAUUUAAUUAAGAAUUAGACUUUAUAAUUUAUUUUAUUAGGUUAAUCAAUUCUCAUAACCCAAGAAUAGAUCUUAGUAGAUUAAUCUUGAGUUGAUUUGAUUGUUUUUUAUGUUUUAUGUUUAAUUGAAUUUCUUUUCAAUUUUAUCAUUGAAUAUUAUGUCAGUUAGAAAUUAAGUAUUCAUAAUCUAUUUUGAUUUCUUUUUUAUUAGGAUAUCUUGGUCUCAUGAUCAAGGUCGCAAGUUUUGGUAUUUUAACCCUAGUUAAAUCAAGUUGUUAUUUUUUUUAUUUUCUUUCAAGAGGUCAUCUUGGUCUCGUACGUGUCCUUCAACAUUAUAUUUGUUUUUUAUUGGGUUGUCCAUGUUUCAUGACCUAAAUUGCGUAUUUGACAAAUUAAUCCAGUUGACUCAAUUUUUUUAUAACUGACUUUUUUCUCAAUUUCAUUAUUUAAUAUUGUGUUUGAUUAAGAAUUAGGCUUUAUUAUUUAUUUUAAUUUAAUUUUUAUGAGAUUAUUUUAGCUUGAUGACCUAAAAAUAGUGCUUAACAGGUUAACAUUUAUUGACUUAGCUUAUUUUUUUAAUUAAUUUUUUUACAAUUUCAUCAUUUAGCAUUAGGUUCGAUAGGAUCGAUUGAGUAUGUGUUGGAUUAAUCAAUAUUUUAUUGAUUGAUUUAUUAAUAAGAUAUUUUAAUCUGGAAUACUUUGAAGCUAAGAUUAUAUAAAUUAUAUAAAUGUAAUUGUUGAUUAAUUUAUAAUGUUUAAGUUUUUUUUCUUGUUUGGCUUAUCAUAAAAGACAAUAGAGAUGAAAUGCUUUCUAUAUGCUCUUGAACUUGACAAAUGCUCAAAUGUGAAUAAAUCACUCGUCAACAUAACUUCCUAGCAAGGCAUGUUGUUUUUUGGGACAAUAAAAAGUUUUCAAAAAAUCUUUAUUGUUAAUUCCCUAAGCAUAACUUCCUAGCAAGGCAGAGGAUUUUGAAACACGAAAGAAAAAGGAAAGGAAGACCAUGUUGUAAUUCAAAGUAUCUCGUUAAAUCAAUAUUUAUCAAACUUCAAAAGUGAAUUAAAAACACUCAUAUAUGUGCAAGCAUAUGCACGCAUCCAUUUACAUAAACUAAAUCAACAUUUUACUUAUUAGAGAUUAAAUUUUUUAUAUAUUUUUAUUAUUUUUUUUCUAUAUUGUUAUCUCAGUUUUAUAACCUGAGUCGCAAGUUUGAUAAAUUAACUUGGAUUUUUUUUAAGUUCUUUUUUUAAUUGAUUUUGUUUUUAAUUUCAUCAUUUUACUUUGAGUUGAUUGAAAAUUAACCUUUAUAAUUUAUUUUAAUUUGUUUUUCAUGGGGUUAUCAUAGUCUUAUAACUCAAGUCACAGAUUUGACAUUUCAACCUAAGUUGAUCUAAGUCAAUCUAAUAUGUUAUUAUCUUAAUAUUAAAAAAAAAUAUCAUCUUGAAUUAUUUUUAGUCAAAUUAUGUUUUUAUUGGUCGUCCGAGUUAUUUUUGGACCCUCAAAAUCAAUCAUGUCAUAUUGAGUCAACACUAACACGGUUUAAAUUUCUUUUCCACUAAAAUAUACAUUAGCAAUAUCUAAAUAUUUUUUUAUGUUCAAGAAAAAUUUGACUCAACCUACAAUGUAGCUAGCGCGGGUCAAUAAUCUAGUACACACACUAAACUAAAACAAUAUCUCAGUAUACAUGUACAUACAUUCAUAAAACACUAUUAAGAGAAUCAAACUAAAAAAUUCAAUCACAAAUUGUUUUAAAAUUCUUUAUUUUCUAUUUGUAACUAACAGUUUAUUCCAAAUAAUGAAUGUUUUUUUUUUUUAAUACAACUGAAUUUUAUUUGAUAGCAAAUCAAGGACUGAGUAUUUUAGGCAAAAUUAUUAUUAUUAUUAUUAUUAUUAUUAUUAUUAUUAUUAUAUGAAAAUAUACUUACUAUGAUAUUAAUUAUUAAUAACUAUCUAAUUAGGAAAAUUAAUUAUUCAUACUAAAUACAAAUUUAAUAUCAUUAUAUAUAUUGUUUCAAACAAAUUCCAAAUUUGCAUUAUUGUGAAAAAAUAAGAUUUUUGUGAACAUUUGUUUGUAGUAUAUGCUGGAUUAAUCAAUAUUUUAUUGAUUAAUUUAUUAAUGAAAUUCAUUAAUAUGGAAUACUGUCAAUCUAAGAUUAUAUAAAUUAUAUAAAUGCAAUUAUUGAUUAAUUUAUAAUUUUUAUGUUUUUUGUAUUUUUUUUCUUUGUUUUCUUAUCAUAAAAAACACUAGAGAUGAAAAGUUUUAAAAAACAUUUUAUUGUUAUUUCCCUCUUCUAAAGCAUAACUUGCUAGCAAGGCAAAGGAUUUUGGAAUACAAAAGUGAAAAGGAAAGGAUGACUAUGCUAACACUUCUUCCUUUUUUAAUGUUCUUUAUAAUACUUAGACACUCGUGCACAUCAAUGUAUCUCACUACAUUAAUAGUUAUUGAACUUAGAAAGUGAAUAAAAAACACACAUUUAUGAAAUUUUAUUUGAUAGCAAAUCUGGAAUUGACUGUUUUUGUUUGAAAUUUUUUUCACAAAUUUUGGCUAAAAUUUAAAAUUUGUCUCAUUAUUGAAAAGCAUCAUCAUCAUUAUUAUUAUAAACCCAAUUUUUUAAUUUAAAAAAAAAAACAAAAAAAAUAAAUGGAUUAAAAAAUAAUUUGAGAAUUGGGUUAAAACAACACAAAUUGAAAGUUUGAGGAUUAAUAAUGAUGGAAUUAUAAAUUUGGUAGUCAAUGUGGUAAAACAUUAGAAGAAUUAAUAAGUUUGGGGACUUAAUUAAACUUUGAUUUAAAGUUCAAGGAUCAAAGUGCAAGCAAUUAAAGUUCAAGAAUCAAAGUGAAUAAGCAGUUACACUAUAGGGGUUAAUUGAUUUUUUCAAGGGUAAUUUUGAUUGAAUUAAAAGUUAAAAAGUCAAUUAAGGAGUGAAUUGAUUAAAUUGGAAACCAAGUACUGUUUUGUAAAUGGCUUUGAAAUUUAGGGAUUCAAUUGCAAUUUGAUUUAGGGGUAACAUUAAGGAAAAAAUAAAGAUUUUUCUUGAUUAGAAUCGUAGUUAUUUAGUGUCAAAAGUUUAAAGGUCAAAUUAAAAAUAGUUAUUUCGAGUGUAACAGUGUCAUUUUCUUAUCAUCUCUUCAUCCUCCUGAAAACCGGAUUCACAGGAAACACAACCAAAAAAAUUAAAGCUGCCAAUAUCCCCACCCCACCCACACGAUGAAUCUCCUGUUCAACUCUGAGAACCAUUGUAACGCAAACAUAAGAAAUGAAUUAGCUAAUGUGUUCAUAAGAAACAGAUAUAAAACUGUGGUACAAGGACCACAUGCAAUCGACUUUAUUCCUGCGUUUAACAGUAAAAACAUCAUAAAACCCGCAGAAACCUAUGACAAAUAAUAUCGAUUUAUGGCAAACUUCUUAUAGUUGUAGUUAUAUCAUAUAUAGGCUUUGAAGAGGUAACUAGCUUCUUAUCAGCAAAAGAUAUAUAAACACAAUCAGCAAACAAGCCACUUCAAGAUUUUACGAUUUAGGAAAUCAAAACAACCACAUGAUUUCUGACCAUAUGAUGUCACGAAAUUUUUUCAAAAACAAUAAGAAUUUUUUAAAAAGUACAUCUUUUAUUUGAUAGGAAAUUUAUAAUAGAUUGUUUCUCUGGAAUAACUUAUCUUAAAAAUCCUUGCCUAAACAAACUAAACAUUAAGAGCGUGAUUGAGAUUAUAAUAAUGAUUUAAAGAAUUUUUUUAUUUGAAAAUAUAUUAAAAUAAAAUUUUUUAUUUUUUAAAAUUAUUUUUGACAUCGAUAUAUAUUAAAACGAUUUAAAAAUAUAUAUUUUUUAUUUUAAAUAAAAAUAAAUUUUUAAUUUGUUUUUUAUAAAUAUAAUUAAAGAAGCUUAAACCAAUGAGUCAGACAUUGAUAGCAAGCCACAAGAAAGGUAAUUAAUAUCCUAUCAUGGUAAACAACGUGGCAACCCCAAAUAAUAUCCUAGUGGUUUCCUUGUCUAUCUUUUCAUCCUUGACCAUUUCCGAACCUUGAAUCAGCAAAAUCAAAAAGUGAAUGAAGACAGCAAAAAUUGAGAGCACCAUUGACAUUUCAUUUGAUAUGACAAAUACGAUAAAAGUAGUUUUUUUUAGCUAGAAUUGCAGUGCUCUGAUAUGACAAAUCAUCCCCUUUCUCUUUAUUUUUCUCAUCAUUCCCUCUUCUCAAAACCUGGCGCCGGCUGCUAGGCGGUCCACUGCCAACGUCUUCUAGGGAUUCUAGGAUCUCUUGCUGCAAAAAGCUUAGGGUAAAAUAUCGUAGAUAUCCAUCAUUUUUAGCUAUUUAAUAAAUAUCAUAUAUCAACUUCCGGGCUUUUAAUUUUCAGAUAACCCAAUAUAUUAUUGUUUAUUGUUACUCUCCUUAAUUGCUUGUAAGAUUAUGUUAAGUUUUUAUUUGAUUUUUCAACUUUAAUUUUCAGAUUUUUUAAAUUUUAAUUAAUUGUUUUGUUUUCAUUCAUUUGUACUACUUUUCGUUUUUAGAUGGAAGGGCUUGUUUCCUUCGUCAUCCUUCUUCGUUUUAAGUCUGUCAAGUUAUGGAAUCUCCCAUAGUUAUUGCCGCAUGUAGAGCAGUUCUACCAUUAGGGCCGCCAUAGUCCACUGAAACGCAUUUUCCUAUGAUUUCAUCGACUACCUUUCCUCGUUCUUCGCUCCCCCAUGGGAUGAUGGAAGCAGCAAUAUAAAGUGGAGUUUCUCCAUGAACAUUGGCGGGAUAUGAAAACUGACGGUCCUCUUUAGUCAAUAUUUUCACCACACGGCUCUGGCUAUUUCGAGCUGCCUCGUGCAACGCUGUAUCUCCUUCUCCAUUGGUCAUCCUCAACAUCAUUUUAGCUUUAGUUAUUCUGCUCUCCGGAUCUGAAGGUAGAGCUUUUGCACGGUGAAAGAGGAGUUCUACCACAUUGGAAUGGCCAUAUCUUGCUGCCAAAUGGAGGGGGGGUUUCUCCUUUUUUAUUGGCUUGGAAUAACAGUGGUGGACACCUUUCAAGAAUUUUAUCAACAAAAUAAGUGGAUUCCGGUUCCGUUGUUUGGUUUCUUAAGUAGACAUGAAGAAUGGUGUUCUCGUCUGGAGUCAAUAACUGAUUGAGGCAGGUUUGACAAUUCUCAAAGGGACCGAUAUUGCCUGCUUCUGCAGCUUUGAACAAGAAAGGAUCCAUAAAUGAAAUGUAAACAAAUGAAGGGGAGGAGAAAGUACUGUGGAACAAAGGGUCCACUCAACUGAUCACAAGCUGCUGAUUUCUUUGGUUUUUUUACAAAAGAGAAAGCAUGAUAUAUGAAUCAUGUUUAGGACCUUUUUAAAAUCAUUGCCAUAUAUAUAUAAGAUUUGGGGUUCUAACAAGAUAUUCAUGUUAAUCACAAAUAGAAUCAUAAUGCAAAUAACUUCAUCUUUUAGGUGAUUGUUGAGCAAAAUGGCUAUGGAUGGAGUUGGCUAUUAACAAGAAGUGGAAGUGUAUUUCCCACAAUUAUUACAAUAUUUCUUCAAGCCAAAAUGAACUUGCUGACAAAUUAGUAAGUAACUGGCAGCUGUCAUCAAAAUAGAGUAUUAAUAAGAACAGGGGAAUUGGUACCCGUCGCCAGAGAAAGGCCAGAAGAGUGGGGGGGACGAACGAACGAGAAGAAGAGGACAUGAGUGGAGGAACGAACAAAGAAAACCAGGAAGACAGAAAAAACGAACAGAGACUCAGAAACGAAAACAAAGACCGAGAGAAAGACGAGAGGGCGAAGAAGAAAAACACAGAGGACAAACAAGAAACAGAGAGCAGAGGAGAAAGGCAGAAGGGGAGAGACCGAGAGAGAAUUAAAAGAAGUAAGACCAGAAGAGAAGCACGCGAAACACAGAAGUACAGGGAAGAAAGUAGCUUUGGCCAGCCAUUACACCUUCGCCAUCGUCUUCGUCCCCAAGCAGCACCAGAAAAACAUAGAGGACAAACAAGAAACAGAGAGCAGAGGAGAGAGGCAGAAGGGGAGAGAACCCAGAGAGAAAAGAAGCAAGACCAGAAGAGAGCGCACGAAAAACAGAAGCAGAGGGAAGAGAGUAGCUUUAGCCAGCCAGUACACAUCCGCCAUUAUUAAUAUUUAAUAAUAAUAUUAAAUGUCGCCACGAUCUCGAUUGCCUCAAAAGACAGCUUUCCUGUUUACACUACAAGGAAGGUUAUGUCUCGCUAAAUUAACUCAUAAUUAAAAAACCAAAAACCUUAGGCCACAAGCUACGAAGCACCAAACCAAAAAUAAAAUACAAAUAAUCAAAAUGAAUAUAUGACAAUUAGCUCUUUUGUUUAUUGAAGGCAAGAGGCCCUUUUCCUUAAUUGAAGCAUCAUUUAAUUGAUAGUUGAUUUCUUGUGCUUCUGUCAGUUGUGGGUUCCGGUCGCCGUUAGACUCUAAGAUCUAAAGCAAAAUUACUGCGACCCCUUCUGGAUGACAUUGGUUGAUGUAUGGUCCAUCUGCAGUGGCACAAAAGCAAUGUAUUAUAGAGGGGAUUAAUUAAUAUAUCGGCUGAGUAGCCGAGAGAGACAUUAACACACACGUACUGCAGCAAUAUUUUCUGAAUGGAGGAGGGCGGCAAGAACACUUUGCCAACAACAAUCCUUUACAUGAUUAUGGCAGGAACGGCUUUUUUUCCACUCAUGAUCACCUGUAAUUGCAGUACGUCGAUGAGUUAGUACACUUCAUAUAAUUAAUUAAAUAGUUUGAUUAAUGGCAGAAAGUUAAUACAGACACAACGCCCAUCAAAACCUAAUGCAUCAGGUCUUGGUUUAAAACACAAAUUCUUGUUAGCAAAAAUUGCUAGGAUUUAUAAAUGUUUUUGUUUGUAAAUGGGCAUUGUAUAUUUCUCAAUUUUUCUAAAAAAAACUGAAGAGGACUAAAAGCUAUUUCCAAGUGCUCCACUAUAAGAGAAAAAUUUGAAAAAAAAAAUGUUAAGAGAAUAAGAAUUAAAAGUGAAUUAUCAUAUUUGAAGAAAUUUUAAUUGAAAAUCGAUUAACUUGCUAAUUUCAAUUGUAUUGUAUGUGAUAAGGAUAGACCUAAAUUUGCUUCAUACGUAUGUGUUAUUGACCGGAACAGUUUGAUUGGAUUAAAACGAAACAUGUGAAAGUAAACACGACUAAUUAAAUUAAAUAAAAUCAACUAAGAAAAAUAUUUUAUGGAUAAUAGUAAAUGCUAAUAUAAAUCAAGUCAAAAUCUAAAUUAAAUAUAAUUAUAAAAAAACUUAAAAUCACUUAUAUAAAAUUUAAAAAUAUAUUUAUGGUUUUAAAUGAGAAAUGGAAUAAAAAGGGAGGGACAUAUACCAGAGCAAAGAAUUUUUCCCCUUCAAAAUUUCUUUAUCCCCUUACCUUUCCUCCACGAAAUGAGGGUUAAAUGAUAACCUCGUUAAAAUGAUUCUCUCUUUCUAAAUUUGUACCAAACAUGAGGGAUGAAAAUUGAAAGUAGGGAACCUCUCUUACCCUUAACCAAAAUUAACCUAAAAACCAAGUUUCUUGUUUGGUUCACUUUUUUUUUUUUUUUAAUUUUAAUGUAAAACCAAACGAUAACUUUUAUUUUCUAUUUUAAAAAAUAGAAACACAAAAAACAAAAAAAUAAAUCAAGUAAAGGCAUCCUAGAAGUCAAAACCUCAAGAACAACAACACUGACAGGAAGAGCAAUAAUUAAAGAGCAUAUUUGCUGACUACGUACAGAGAUGAUCACAUAUUAUUAUUUUUUUUAAAAAGGAUGUUUACUUUUUGUAGUACUUUAUAUAAAUCUAUCUAUAACUCCUCCUCUUUUUUUUUAACAUGCAUCAAAACAAGAGUUAUUAAAAUUCGAGCUUUGAUUUAAUUAUUUUUUGUUCAGAGAUAAUGAUGUAUAAACUGAAGUCGCUGUAAAUGAAGAGGGGAUAACUUCAGAUAUUUCACCAACUCAGAUUUUAUACAUGGGAUCGUACCAUGUGCUGUAUCACCAGGCAAUUGGGAUGGCCGACUGGUAGGUGUUGUAGACAAUGUUGCUGGUGAAGAAGUUUUCGCUGUUGCUGCUGUUAGCGGCCGCGUCAGUGAUAGAUGAUGGCUUUGUCGUUUCAACAAGUGAAGUAAUGGUACCAAAACUAAUUAGAAAACCCGCAGUACUACUCGAAGAUGCUGAAGGGUCUGAAAUAUGAGUUGACGUUUUCGUUCCAUUGUUUUUAGAAGGUUGAGUUUGUGAAGAUGAGAAUAUGUCUGGGGUUACAGAUGGUUGAAUUUGUGAUGUUGGUGACAGUGGCAGCAGCUGUUGUGAAGGUUGAGAUGGCGGCUGUUGUGAAUGUUGAGAUGGCGGCUGUUUUGAAGGUUGAGAUGCAUUGUUGUUCAUCGACUCUUUGUUAUUACGCGUAUCCCGGAAGGUUGAGAAUAUGUCUGGUUUUUCUCCCUGAUGAUCAGGGGUUACAGAUGGUUGAAUUUGUGAUGUUGGUGCUGUGGCCGCAGCUGUUGUGAAGGUUGAGAUGCGGCGUUGUUCAUCGACCUUUGUUAUCACGCUUAUCCCGGAAGGUAUUGGGUGGAAGAGGAGGAAAGUCUCGUGGAGACUCGAUAGCAUAAUUUUUAUAUGGAGGCUUCCUAGCAAAGUUAUCAUGGUGGGAAGGUACUUUUGAUCUUGAAGAUGGAUUAUUGUGAUACCAAUUUGUGUUAGGAGAGUAAUUGGCAGCACUCUCGCGCACCAUUAUGACCAUGUUCACCGUCUCAAAACAAUCCAGCCUUUUUUAGAUAGGACAUAUUUGGGAUGCUAAUACCUUUUAUUUAUGCAAUCAGUCCUCGUACACAAUCUCUUAAACCAGUUAUGAUUUCUAAUGACUAAAAUACUAGAUGGCGACUCUCAUUUUAUUUUUCCACUCAUAAAAGAUAAGAAUUCUUUGUCUUCCUACACAUUUGCCAGAUCAAUAGAAAAUAAUAAUUUUGAGGGUGGAUGCUUUCGUCGGGACACCGUGUUAAAAAUUAUACAAAACACAUAUGCUAAUCAUCCGCUGCAGAUAAAGGAAACCAUGUAUGGUGCAUACAUAUCCUCUGAAGACUCCCUGUCAACAUACAAUUCCAGCUGAAACAAACUUCUAGUCAUUGUAUUUACAUUACAUACAACUUGUAAUCUAUCCUAUAAAAAGGAACUCACAUUAAUAAAGAAAGUAUGUUCAACAAUUUUCUAUAUGGUAUCAGAGCCUACCUUCUCUCACGAGACUCUCCAAUAUGGCCUCAACUAAAGAUGCUGUCAUCAUAAACUCUGAAACUCAUAGCAAUGGUGAUACUCACCUCAUUGCAUUCAAUGCUAGUUCUCAACUUCCCCUGAAACUGACACCCUCAAAUUUUCCCUCCUGGCGUGCUCAACUAAUGUCCUUGCUAAUAGGUUACAACCUACAAGGACAUAUUGAUCGAACCACUAGUUGUACAUCUCAAACAUUACAUGAUCCAAAUACUGGAUUAUCUACUGCAGGUGAUUCAAAUCCUGCUUUUUGGCGUUGGUUUCGGCAAGAUAACUUGCUCCUUCAUGCAAUCCUUGCAUCUGUUUCAGAACCAGUUUUGCCACUAAUCGCCACUUCCACCACUGCUCGUGAUGCAUGGGUAAAAAUACAACGAUUGUAUGCAAAUCGAUCAUGCACGCGUGUCAUGCAACUCAAGGAAGAGUUGACACUUAUACAAAGAGGAAGCCAACCAGUUUCAGAUUACCUCAACACUGUCAAAAGGCUAGUUGAUGAACUCACUGUCAUUGAUACUCCCAUAUGCAUAGAUGGCAUUACGUUAUAUAUUCUCAAUGGAAUAGGAGCAGAAUUUCGUGAUAUAGCAACCAUGAUACGAACCAGAGAAACAUCCCUCACAUUUGAGGAACUCCAUGAUGUAUUAAUCAGUCAUGAAAAUUAUCUCAAGCAUAUUGAUGCCUCCAACUCCAGAUUAAUAGCCACUGUUAAUGCAACACAACACAGCAGAUACUUCAAACCAGGACGCUCUUCAAACCCUCCUACUGGUUACUACAGGUCCAACCAACGGAGAUACGUCCCCAGAGACAAAUCCAGUCAGCCUCCACUAAUUUGUCAACUAUGUGAUACCAAAGGACACUCAGCCAAAACAUUGUUGCUACCCAAUUUUUGACCCUUGUUUUUGAUAUGUUUUCAAAAAAUCUAAAAAAUUGAGAAAAACAAAGAAAAUCCAAAAAAUAUGUUUUUUAAUAUAUUUUUGUCAUUUUAGCAUUUUCAACGUCGUCUAAAAAGAAUUUAAAUUGUUAAAAUAUUUUCAAACGCGUUCGACUUUUCACGCGUCAUUUUUAAAAUCAUUGAUUUUCCGCAUUUGAGUCGACGUUGAUAUUGCUCGUUUUCAAAAAAUACAAAAAAUAAGAAAAAUCUAAAUUUACAAAAAAAAAGAAGUUGAGGGACCAAGUCGAAAGACCUAGCAACAUUUUUGCCUAUAAAUACCAUGCUAAACUGAUUUUUAAGGGGGGGGGUAAUUUUGACACUUUUAGAAGAAAAAAAUACAGAAACCCUAACCCUAAAAAAAAAAAAACUUUUUCUUUCACACCAGCCGCCCCCCUGGUUUUCAUUUUUGAUCCCCCGGAGUUGCUCCUCGGUUUGAUUUUUCUGACCCAAAAAAAACCGGCCACCCGAACCAGCCUCCCCCUGUUUUCAUCUUCUUCUCCGCCGUUCCCUUUCUCUCGGCCACAAACAAAUCCAAAACGCAGCCCCUUUUCUUUCCAUUUCUUCUCCCUCACCGGACCCAAACCAGCCUGCCAAGACAGCUCCCUCUCAGUCGUUCCUCCUUCUUCAUCGUCAGCGACCCGCAACCAUCAAGGACUCAGCUCGGACUGACCUCCUUCUCAGCCACCAUGAGCUGACCACCAUCUCUUCUCCGUUCAGCCUCCAACAGCAGCAGCGCCGUCCUCGGCAGCGGCCACAGACCCAGCUCACCGCCUCCAGCAGCGGCACGCCCACAGAUCGCGAUCUGUUCGCUCCUCCGCCUCAUCAUCAACAGCGCCUUCUUCCUCUCCGCAGUGGCCACCGCAGCCGACCAUCACCGGAUCUGCAACCGGCGAAGGAAGAGAGCAGACCUGCAAAAAAAAAAAAACAGAUCUAAAAAACGAAACAAACAAACAAAAAGUUAAAAUCGACUGCCGUGUGUGUUUCUUCUCUUGUUCUGCAGGUCGCCGGUGGUUUAGGAAGACAAGGGAGAAGAAGCCGGUCCGAAGCCUCCAUGUUUCUGGUUUUUUUCCGUGGUGGCGCGUGAACCCACGCGCCGCCAGUGGCGGGGGUGCGUGAGGUCCACGCGCCGGAACUAUUCAUUCAUCCCCAGAAGUCUUUCCGUACAAAUUCGGGAGUUUUGAGGGACCAUUUUGUAAAUUUUAAAGUUUUAAUGUAAUUUUUGUUUAUUUAUUUUAAAUUUGUAAUAUGUGAAUGUAAAAGAAAAAAAAAGAAGAAAAAAAAAAGAAAAUAAUAAUAACAAAGGGGAUGUGUGUGUUGGUGUAUUUUUAUUUAUUUAUUUUGAAUUUGUAUUUGUAUUUGUAAAAGAAAAGGAAAAGAAAAGAAAAAGAAAAGAAAAGAAUAAAAAUAGUGAAAGUGUAUGUGUGUGUUUGUAUUUUGUUUUAUUUAUUUGUAUAUAUUUUUAAUGAUAAAAUUGCAAAUAUAUUAAAGAAGAAUUUAAUAUUUUGAUUGGAUCACGGUUAAGAAUUAUUAACUUAUACGUAAGUGAUAUUUCUAAUUUCCGAUGAAAAAAACAAUUAUUAAAACUUCUUUAACACGUGUAUGUGUGUGUUUGUAUUUUAUUUUAUUUAUUUGUAUAUAUUUUUUAAGGAUGAAAUUGCAAAAUACAUUAAAGAAGAAUUUAAUAUUUUGAUCGGAUCACGGUUAAGAAUUAUUAACUUAUACGUAAGUGAUAUUUCUAAUUUCCGAAGAAAAGACAAUUAUUAAAACUUCUUUAACACGUCAAAGCCACGAAGCAGCUUACCUCAGGUAGGGUGCGUUAGGGGUGCUAAUACCUUCCCUAACCACAACCAGUCCCUUACCCGCGAAUCUCUGACAAGACCAGUAUAUCCGGUUUCCUAGUAGCCCGCAAUCAAUUACUAGGUGGCGACUCCAACGUAUGAAUUCAAAGCAAACACAACAACGAGACUUAAAUCGCCAGCCGAUGCCGCGCGCUGAUUUUUUUUUGGGGUGCGACAAACAUGUCGUAAGGUAUCAAGGCCAAAAACUGCAAAUUGUGCAGCUACAAAUGGCACACAGGAGAAGAAAUGGCUCAUGGACUCAACAGCAUCACAUCACAUCACCUCUGAUCUUACAAACCUCUCAAUUCACUCUGAAUACGAUGGAACAGAUGAAGUAGUCAUCGGUGAUGGCUCAGGUUUGAAAGUAACACAUGUUGGCUCCAUGUCAUUGAGCUCAUUGUCAAAAUCCUUUCUUUUGCAUAAUACUCUUUGUGUCCCAGAUAUACACAAGAAUUUAGUCUCUGUUCAUAACUUUACCCGUUCAAAUAAUGUCUACAUAGAAUUUCAUCCAUUCUAUUUUCUUGUGAAGGAUCGGAACACGGGGACAACAAUACUUCGCGGUGAUUGCCAGGAUGGUGUCUAUCCACUGCCACAACUAUCAUCAAUCAAGAAGCCUUCAGCACUUGCACUUGUUGGUGAAAGAACCUCCCAUGAUCGCUGACACACACGACUUGGUCACCCCUCCACCAAAAUCUAUCGUUCUCUAAUCAGUCGGUUUUCCCUUCCAGUUCUAGGCUCCACCCAAACUUUGUCAUCUCUGUGUUCAGCUUGUCAAUGCAAUAAAAGUCAUCAAUUAUCGUUUUCCAAAACAUCACUCACAAGCACACAUCCUCUACAAUAUAUCUACACAGAUAUAUGGGGACCAGUAGCUUCAACCUCCAUCGAUGGUUAUCGAUAUUAUGUUCUAUUUGUGGACCACUUCACAAAGUACUGCUGGUUCUUUCCAAUUCAUCACAAAAAUGAUGUUCAUCCCAUUUUCAUUCAAUUAAAAGGAUUUGUUGAAAAACAGUUUGGUUUUCAAGUUAAAAAUCUAUACUCUGACAAUGGUGGUGAGUACCAGAGUUUACGUCAGUAUCUAUCAGACCAGUCCAUAAACAUGCUCACCACUGCUCCACACACACCACAACAAAAUGGGACAAGUGAACGACGACAUCGUCACAUUGUUGAGACAGGUCUCACAUUGCUUCAUCAAGCACAUCUUCUAGUGUCCUACUGGACACAUGCCUUUCAAACUACAGUUUAUCUAAUUAACCGCAUGCCAACUUCAAUUCUUCAAAACAAAAGUCUGUUUGAAAGCAUCUUUGGUCGUCAACCAAAUUAUCACAAACUGCGCACCUUUGGGUGCCAGUGUUUUCCAUGGCUCAAACCUUACAAUCACAACAAGCUGCAACCAAAGUCCAAAGCAUGCAUUUUUCUUGGUUACUCAAGCACUCAAAACACAUAUAAAUGCAUGGACAUUCACUCAUCCCGGAUUUACAUCUCAAAACAUGUUGUCUUUGAUGAAACUGUUUUUCCCUACUCUGCCUCCACUAGUGUGUCAUCACCAUCACAUGCAGGGAAUCCCACAAUCAUCUCUACCAUCCCGGUGGUUCCACCCUCAAGAUAGAUACCAUCCAGGCAAUCAUCAGAGACACCUGUUGCUCCUGUUGUUCCUCCAACUUCACCACCAACACAGAUUCCUGAUCCACCCCCUGCACCAUCAGAAAACAGGUUAGUAAUACAGCCACCAUUGUCACAAUCACCCACAAGACAACAUAACAUGAUCACAAGAUCCAUGAACAACAUCUAUAAGCCAAAACAAAUCCACCUCACCACCAAACACCCCCUCCCACAACCCAUAGAACCAACAUGUGUCUCUCAAGCCCUGAAAGAUAAAAAAUGGCGACAUGCCAUGUCUGAAGAGUUCAACGCCUUGGUUAAACAUGGCACCUGGGAACUGGUUCCAUCCAACCCAUCCAUCACUCCUGUAGGUUGCAGGUGGCUCUUUCGCAUUAAACACAAUGCUGAUGGCACAAUAUCAAGAUACAAAGCACGUCUGGUAGCUAAAGGAUAUCAUCAACGUCCUGGCCUUGAUUACAAUGAGACCUUCAGUCCAGUCGUCAAACCAGUAACAAUCAGAACUGUGUUAUCCAUUGCUUUUCAACAUCGCUGGUGCAUGAAACAACUGGACGUAAAUAAUGCAUUCCUUCAUGGGUCCCUACAAGAAGAUGUUUACAUGAUUCAGCCCCCAGGAUUUGUCGACUCCACAGUGCCCACCCACAUCUGCAAACUACACAAAUCCAUCUACGGCUUAAAACAGGCACCACGUGCCUGGUAUGACAAACUCAGCUCCUUUCUUCUGACACUGGGAUUCAAGCAAUCAAAGUCUGACUCUUCCUUGUUUAUCUACUCAAAGCAGGACAUCAUCUUAUUUCUACUGGUAUAUGUUGAUGAUGUGUUACUCACAGGUACUGAUUCCCAGGUUAUGGCCGACAUAAUACGUCAACUUGGUGCCCAAGUCUCACUAAAGGACCUUGGUGACCUGCACUAUUUUAUUGGGAUCGAAGUGCAGCCAACUCAUGAGGGAAUCUUCCUAUCUCAACAAAAAUACAUCAGAGAUCUUCUCAAGAGAACUAACAUGGAAGGAGCCAGACCAAUUCACACACCUAUGUCCACCAAACCAACACUUCAACUCAAUGAUGGUCAUCCCCUUGCAGACCAGAAACAAUAUCGAAGUGUCAUAGGAGCCCUACAGUACCUAGCCAUCACCAGACCAGACAUCGUUUUUGCUGUGAAUAAACUUGCUCAAUUCAUGCACCAACCCAGUCAACUUCACUGGACUUCAGCAAAACGGGUACUUCGGUAUCUCAAAGGCACAAUCACUCAUGGGAUAUCAUUAACACCCUCUGUCAAUCCUCAUCUCUCCGGAUACUCAGAUGCAGACUGGGGCACUGAUCCAGACAACAGACACUCUACCUCUGCCUAUCUCAUAUUCUUUGGCAACUGUCCAAUCUCAUGGAGCACAAGGAAACAACAUUCAGUUGCCAGAUCCUCCACAGAGGCCGAAUAUAGGGCCCUAGCCUCAACAACUUCAGAACUCAUAUGGAUUCACAAUUUACUUCAUGAACUGGGAAUCAAGAUGUCCCAACGUCCUAGCAUAUUCUGUGAUAACAUUGGAGCUACUCAACUGAGUCAAAAUCCAGUACUGCACUCUCGCAUGAAACACAUCGCCAUUGAUCUGCACUUUGUUCGUGAUCUGGUAAAGAAAGGCGUUUUAGAUGUCUCCCAUGUCAGUACCCAUGACCAACUUGCUGACUUCCUCACUAAACCCCUUCCACGUAUCAAGUUUCAAGCUAUGGUAAACAAGAUAGGCUUACUCAUUAGCCCGCCUAUCUUGAGGGAGCGUGUUAAAGAUUAUACAAAACACACAUGCUAAUCAUCCGUUGCAUAUAAAGGAAACCAUGUAUGGUGCAUACAUAUCAUCUGAAGACUCCCUGUCAACAUACAAUUCCAGCUGAAACAAACUUCUAGUCAUUGUAUUUACAUUACAUACAACUUGUAAUCUAUCCUAUGAAAAGGAACUCACAUUAAUAAAGAAAGUAUGUUCAGCAGUUUUCUAUACACCACACACCUACGAUAGUUACGAAGAUUGUGUACUCCCAUGAAUUCUCCGCUUUGUAUGGUAAAGUGUAAGAGUUAGGCUUAAAGCCACGACUUGAGGUAUACUUGUAUGGUAACACGAUAACAAUGACUUGAAUAGCUUAACGCGUACUGUCGGACCAAAUUAGUUUUUUACGAAUCUCAUUUCCUUAUUAAGUAUUUAGAAUCCAAAAAAGAAAAAACUAAUUAUUUGAUCCAAUGUUAUGUGUUGGGUUGUCCAAGUUAUUGUUAAGAUAAGAUCAUGCAAUUAAAUCUCAUGCUGAAUGGAAGUUGUUAAAUGUUAACAAGAGACUCAUAACAGUUGAAUUUCAUAUGUGAGUAAGGAGUUUUGUAGCAAAUUUUGAUAUGAUCAAAUACAAUGAUGAAUUUAUAUCUCAAUAGCCUGGAUUUAUGAUUUAAAGAAAGCAUCCAUCAACGUGUAUAAAUCCUUACGUGCAUCUCAUGUGAAGACAAAGGUGAUCUCAAGUGCAGAUUCUCCCCAAUACAUAUAUACGAGGUACAGCUUCUUAAAGACAAUCAGACCACAGAUGAGUUCUGUUGGUUGUAAUAUUGGAUUUUGGAACCGAACUAUGUAGAGAUGUCCAAGGACUGGCUUCCUGAGAAGUUUGAGACGGAAAUGGGGCUGAUGAAGUUCUUGAUGAAGAAUAUACCUAUUUCUUGGAGGAAAUAAUCAUAUGUACAUCAACAGUAGAGAGAAUCUUGAACGGAAGAAAAAGAGAGUAAAUAUUUAUAUCUUCGAAAACAUGUUCAAGUGCCCUUCUGCCGCACAUAAUUCUGAUCCUGAUGCCAAAAUCGUUUCCUUUUAAGAAUUAGUUUUGAUUUUUUUUUUUUAUUUUGGGUGAAAACUGAAAUACAUGAAAGAUUGUCUGUAAGGUUUUCGUAUAUUUAGACACAUAUCAGAAGAUUAUUUUGCUAAUUAUCUUGAUCUAAUUUCUUUAUUUUUUGUAAUUAGGUUUUGUUUUUCGAUUCAUAAAUGUUUUCUAUUAUGAUAUAUUUUUAAGAAAACAGAAAAUAAAAUAAAAAUAUAUUAACUUGUAAAUUUUCACUAAUAUAUUCUUGUUAGUACUCACAAAAUUAAAUAGAUUCAAUUAGAGGAAAUUCAGCAUAUAAUUUAUAUUGUUUUUUUUAACUAAUUACUGGUAUAACAAUCAAACACUAAUUCGAAUUAAAAUAAAAUAAAAUCAGUGACAUUACUUCUUCAUGAGAGAAUGAAAAGAACAGGAUCCGAUGGAAUCGCUAUAUAUCAUGUGAAGUUUACAAUUUCCACCAACGGUCAAGUGACAUGGUUAAUCAUACUCUUUUAAGCAUAUUAAUUGUAAACUUGCUUUGCACUUCUAUAUUAUGUAAUUAUUUAUUUUUGUAAUAUUUAUUAAUACCAGGCUGCAAAGUCAAUGCUCAGAGGAGAAUGAUUAACUACGUGCACGCCCUUGCAUUAUGAAUUUGUCUAUGACGACGUCCUCUUUAACAUGAUAGAGUGUAAUUUUCUUAGAUAAUUAAUUAAUUAUCUUGGUCUUUCCUUCAAGAUCUAACAUCCCAUUUGCAAAAUAAUUAUAUGAAAAGAAAGUCGGUCCAAUAUUAAACUAUAUAAUAAGUUACAAGUCCAAUCAUUUCCCAUUAUUUUAUCAAAUUACAUGUUCUAUUUCUAGAGAGCAUAUAUAUAUAGCACCGUGUUAGACAUAUUCAUACUAUCAUACACUUCAAUUCAAUCGUUCUUCUCUACAGUCAAAUUCAGGCUUCAGCAACAAAAGUUACAAUGGCGGUAAGCGUGUCUAGAUGUAGUGGAUGAAAUUAUAUAACCGUAGGUUAAUUAAUAAGAGUCUUCUAUUUAUUAAUAUUUUCUCCUAUCAUAUUACAACUGAAAGGAAAGAAUGGCACAAUUGUAUUGAAAAUUUUCAUUGUAUUUUACUCAGAUCAUAGAAAUGAGAGUGCAUAUGGAUUGUGCUAGAUGCGAGAGCAAGGUGAAAAAUUCUCUGGAAAAAGUCAAAGGUAAGAAAUUGGUCCACUAAAAACUUUCAUGCAUGCUCCUACAUAAAUCUCCAAUGUUCUUGAGAAACAUAAUCUAAAUGUUGUUCCUUCCUACAUAAAUCUCCAGUAUUUAUGUAAUAAGUACUUGUUGCUUUCACAGUUUGCUUCCUCUUCAAGAAAGGAGAUUACAUUAUGUUAGGAUACUGGCAUGCAAAUCUGACAAAACAAAAGAUAAAGGAUAGGAUAAAAUUAGAAAUGAGACACAAGAAUUUACUUGGUUCACCCAAUUAGGCUACGUUCACGGGCAAGUAUAGAAGGAUUUUACUAAGUAAUAUGAGAAUUACAACCUCUCUCUAAUAAUAGGAGAACAACUGAAAUCUUUUUAUUAUUAGGAGAAAACACCUCACUUACUCUCUCACAAAUACCUCACAAUUUUGUGGGAUUACUUUCCCUCUCUCACUCUCACUCUCCUCUUGCUCUCUCUUAUUUUUUCUUGUGAUGCAUAUGAGGCAAGGAAUGCAAUGGCAUCCUUGCCUUUGCCUUGCAAAAGGCAAGAGUAAGGCAAGUGGGCAAGUGGCAAAAGGGUACCAAUUAUCAAGUGCACAUUCAUUUUCCACUUUGCCAACAAUGUUUAGCUGGCUUCACACAUGGAAUCACAGAAAGCAUCUUUUCGGAGUCUGUCGCAUGAGCUGAAGACUAUCAAAGUACACAAUAUUAUUGGUUGCAACUUCAAUUUGUAAUCAAAAUAUUUAGAGAUGGAUGGAGACUGGCUUACUAAGAAGUUUGAGAAGGAAAUGGAGCUGGUGAUGUCAACAAAAGAGAGGAUUUUGAAGGGGAAAAAGGAGAGUGAUGUUCAACAUGUUCGAAAACCUGUUUUAAGUGCCACAGAGCUUCUCCUCAUGCCGAAUUCUUAUUCUUAUAGAUUUCUCUUGUCAUUUCCGGUUCUCUAAGCAUUCAAUGUAUCUCUGUUAACUCUUGCUUAUAAAUUGAUAUUUGAUACAACUGGAUGAUGUCUACUUUGUAUUGAUUUUUAUUUUCAUUUUUCUUGGUGAACAUUACUACCGAUCCUUGAAUUCUAAAAUCUAGAUUUUCCAUAGAAUUCAAUUCAAAUGGCAUCUUAAAUUCCCAUACCAUGUUUACCAAGUUGCGUAAGGUGUUUGUUAUUCCCUAUAGAGCAUGGUUGUCUCUAUGUUUCGUCAGUAAUGGACUACCUACCGAGAGAUCAUGAUGAAGCAUACAAUUUUUGUGCCUUUCUUCUUCAAAAAUUUGAAAGAUGCUCAAUCAACCACAUUCGCUAGAUGUUUUACAUUGCCAUUCUUUUGUCAGCUCAAACACUUUUAAGAUGCCUAAAUUCGUGUAAUUUUUCACUGUCCCUGCAACAAUUCAUGAGUACAAAAACUAGCUAGAUGUAUUCCCAAGCAUGCGUCGAGGAAGUAAAAUUUUAUCAGUUCACAAACUGCCAAAUACUUAUAACGGGCUUGCAGAUUUUGAGUCCAUACAAGGAUGUUUAGGAUUCGAGUAACACAAAACUUACUCUGUGGCAGCAGAGUUAUUCAGCUGCAUCAUUUUUCACCUCAAGUCCGGCACUGGCUUCACGGUCUAAUGAAGCAUCUGUUCUCUUAUUUUUUUGGACCAUCUUCUGAGUAACCAGAAGCUGAAGCGAAUUAAGUCGACCGAUACUACAAUUACUAUUCCCAAUAACGCGCUACGGGUGAUAGACACGCUAGUCGGACCAAUAAGAAGAACCCCAGAAAUAUAAUUUGCCACCAUACAACGCAAAGCUAGCCCCAGUAAUGACUUGAGUGGAUACUCCUGAAUAAUUAAAUUGAUCACCACAAUCGACGCAAAAAAGCCUAUAGUGUUGGAAGCCAUGAAGAAAAUAAACUCACGCCCAUUUCCUGAAGCCAUCCAAGCAUAAUAGUAAAACGUCCCAUCUUCAAGUUCUUCGGUGCGAAUGCCAGCAGGAGGGUUUAAGAUGGCUUGGUAUGCCAUACCUGCAAUAAGUACUGCCACAACCAACAAUACGUUGUGUUGCUGGGGGAGCCUGUUGAACUUCCUUAGCUAGUUUCUUGUAGUGCUUCACUGGAUUUAAAUGUUUAGCCACCUUAAGUAAGAAAUGCUCUGAAUUUUGACUCAAUGAUUCUGAUACGGUGCUAGAGAUUCGAGUAACUUGAACAUCAACAACAGUUCCAAGUUCCCUUGCUCUUAAUGCUCCAGCACCGUGAAGCAAUUCCCUGAGCAUGAAAUCACCAGCGUCAGCCUGCAUUUUUUGUGAGACAUCUAACAUGUCCCUAGCAGUUAAUCCAAUCUUGUUGACGACAUUCACAUUGAUUGUACCUAUGUCAAUACCUUGACCGCCAAGAAGUGAUUUCAGGGUCUGUAACAUAAGAAAAGAAAAGAGAUUACGUAAAAACUUCUUUUUCCGUUGUGUAAUCAAAGAUUACUUAAAAAUUAAACAUAAUACUAAUCCAGAACUCUGAUGCUCCGAAAGCAUCUGGAUCAACACGACAUGACAUAGCUGGUAUGAAUAUGAAAUACGGGUCAGACAUCCCAAAAACUCCACAUAUUUGAAGGAGAAAAGUAAUGGGAACAUGGGAAGCAUGAUGAAAUACAAAUCUUAUUCGUAUUACAUUAAUUACUCCUUUAAAUAGUAAGUCCAUAUAGAUUUAUACUUAGAUUUACAAUACUUUAUCUAUAAUAAUCUAGGAUAAUUCAAAAGACUUAAAAGAUAAAUACAUCUUGGAUAGUUACAUGCAUAUAUCUAGAACUAAAAUUUACUUUAAAUAAAAACUUCAAAAUUAUUUCCAACACUCCUUAACUUUGAAACUCUCACAUAAAUUUGAAUUUUGAUUGAAAACCAUCUUGUCAUGACUAGCUAAUGGCACCUCAUUGCCAUCUUUUCAAUCUUUCUUUCCAUAAAAAUGGUCUAUAUGAACAUGGUUGUUCCUAGCCAUUUUUCUCCUUUCAUGGUUGCCACCAUAUUUCUCUAACCAAACACUUCUUUUAAUAUUUGGCUCACUGUAUUUUAGUCCGGCUGCUGUCUUCUUCUUAUCAUGGCUCUUUAGCCACUUCUCAUGUCAUGUAAGAAGAGUUCUCUAGAUCUCUCCUCGGCCUCUCUUGUACAACAUCUUAUCUUUCGUUGCAAGAGGUUUUAGGUGUUUUUUUUUUACUAUUUUUUUAUGCAAGGCUAGCUAUGAACCUGUCCUCGACUCUAAAUCUAAAUAUCCUAUAAAUAACUAUGUAUCCUACCAUAGAUUAUCAAAGAAAAGCAUGACAUUUAUGAAUCAAUUAUAUGUUAUAUCUAUUCCUAACAAUGUGCAACUAUUUCUAACAAUGUGCAAGAAGCUUUGAAAGAUUUCAGGCGGAGGGAGGCAAUGAAUGAAGAGAUGAAGAGCUUUUGAAAAAACUCAACAUGGAAAGUUGUUGACGAAACUCAAAGAAAGUUACUUGUUGGAUGCAGCUGGGUUUUCAGCAUUAAAUGCAAAGUCGAUGAAACUAUUGAAUGAUGCAAAGCAAGACUUGUCACCAAUGGAUAUACUCAAACAUAUGGAAUUGAUUAUAUGGAGAUAUUCUUAUUAGUGGCCAAAAUUAAUACUGUUCGUAUUUUAUUAUCUCUAGCAGUAAAUCUUGAGUGGCCAAAAUUGAUUGGCCAAAAUUUAAAUGGAAAUCUCCAAGAAAAAGUGUAUAUGGAGUUGUCCCCUCGCUGUAAUCGGUAGACUAAAGGUAAUAAACAAGUUCGUAGGUUGAGAAAAUCCCUAUAUAGUUUGAAGUAGUCUCUUAGAUCAUGGUUUGAAAGGUUCACAAGUUUUAUGAAGUCUGUUGGUUACAAGCAAAGUAACUUAGAUCACACUCUAUUCUUGAAGCAUAAUAAAAACAAAUCACAGCUUUUAUUGUGUACGUUAAUGAUAUGAUAAUGAUUGGAAAUGAUCCUGAAGAAAAGAAAAUACUAUAAGAGCAUCUUACCCAUGACUUUGAGAUGAAAGACCUUAGUGAAUUAAAGUAUUUUCUUAGAAUUUAAGUGUCUAGAUCAAAGAAAGAUAUUUUUCUGUCACCAAAAAAACAUGCCUUAGACUUUCUAAAUGAAACUGGUAUGACAACAUGUAGUCCAACUAACACUCUCGUUGAAGAAAAUUUGAAACUAUAGGUGUAUUCAAAUCAAGUUCCUACUAACAACGAACAUUAUUAAAGGCUGGUUGGAAGAUUAAUAUAUCUUACAUGUACUCUGCCUAAUGUAGCUUAUGUGUUGAUUAUGGUUAGUCAAUUUAUACACUCCCUAAGUGAAGAAUAUAUGAAUGUUGUCAUCCGUAUCUUACACUAAGUUAUCUUUAGGAAAGGGAAUUUUAUUCACAAAAGAAGACAAUUUGGAUAUUAAUGACUAUACAAAUGCUAAUUGUUUUGGUCGAUUCAAGAUCGACAUUUUAUAUCUAGCUAUUUCACAUUUGUAGGAGGGAAUUUAGUUAUAUGGCGAAGUAAAAAACAUGAGGCAAUUGCUAGAUCCAGUGCUGAAGCAGAAUACAAAUUAAGAAAUGACUAAGGCAAUAUGCGAAUUGUUGUAGAUUAGAAAUUAGAUGCAAGAUUUACAUACUAAGCAAGUCAGCUCUAUGAAGUUAUAUUGUAAUAACAAGACAACGUGUGAUAUUGCUCAUAAUUUUCUCCAAUAUGAUCAAACUAAACAUGUUAGCAUGAUUAAACUAAACAUAUUGAGGUUAAUAUAUAUUUUAUCAAGGAGAAACCAGAAGAAAAAUUGAUUGAAGUUCUUUAUGUUCGAUCUCAAGACUAGCUUGCUGAUGUGCUGAUCAAGACAGUGACAAACCAAGCAUUUAAUGACUGUCUCAACAAACUAGACAUGGAUGACAUUUAUAAGGGAGUGUUGAUAAUUAUGAGUAAUUAUCUUCAUAUUUUAUCUCUACUGCUAGCUACAGAGAUAUAAUAGAAUUACUAGAAUUCCUGUGAACAUGUGAUUGUAUCUUGAUAGCUAUAGGUUUACAUAUAAUUAGUCAAUCAGCUGUCCUAAACUAUAGGAUAUAAAGAGGGCUUUGUAAAGUGGCUAUUUUAUGCCGUGCUAGAAAGAGGAACAAAUUAUUCUCUUCACAAACUCUGUAUUUAUCACUGUUAUAUGCAUAUAUUUAGAAGAUACUCAGGAGAACUAAAAGAUAAUUUGAAUGAAAAAAUCAAAAUUAAUUUCAACAUGUAAAACACAUAUUUGGUGAGUUUAAAACAGUGUUUCAGUAUCCUAAAUUUAAAAUUUGAUGGCUCUGAUUACGAGCAACAUAAAUUCUCCUUGUUUUGAAGGUUUAACUAAACCAGAUCAAAAUGAAUAGAAAAUAGGAAAUUCAAGUACGAAGGGAAAAUGACCAUCUGGUUUCGUAGUUGAGUUUUAUGUCUACCAUUAUGCAGAAAAUCAUAGUUGUAGAAAUAUAAUUCGAAAUUUAGAAAGUUAUACCCGAUCAUGCCCAUCCCAUGGCACCCCAAAAGAUAAGGAGCAAAGAAAGAAGGGAAAGCGGACUUGCCUGAGUCUGCCUCUUAGCUGUCGCAAGGUGUAAAACAGUAUUGCCAUCUUCGUCCGUCACAUUCAGAAGCUCCUUAAUGUUAUGCGGCUGGAGCACAUCAACCAUGACUUUGAAAGCCUCAAACUGAUUAUUUCUCAAAGCAAGGUGAAAUGCGGUUUCCCCUUUGAAUGUCACAAUGUCCUUGCUUGCAGGACAAAACUUGAGCAAUUCCUAUUGGCAGAUAUAUGUAUAUGAUCUGAUACGAUCCUUCUUUCCUUUUCUGUCAUGAUUCUUAUUCCUUUUAUGAGUUGAUUCCAGUAUUAUUCUUAGGAGAAAUAUCAGGAAUGUAGCUAGAAAUAUUCUUGUAAUCAAUGCACUUUGUGUAUAUUGUCGCACCCCCCCCCCAAAAAAAUUUUUUUCAAAUACGCAUCCAUUGCGGGUUCGACUGGCGAAAAUUUGUUUAUUUUAUUUUUAUUUGGUUCUUUGGAGUCGCCACCUAGUAUUUUGGUCACUAGGAACCUAACUGGUCUCAGAGAUCGGGUACGGAGACUGGUUGCGUAAAGGGAAGGUAUUAGCACCCCAAAUACGCCUUACCUAAGGUAAGCUGCAUUGUUUUAAAUGUCUGAUAAAAAAACUAAAGUGUUAUUGUGUUUUCCUAGUUGUUGGUCUGUCUAUGGUUCAAGAAAAAUCCCCCUCAGUAAGGAGGUCUUUAUCUUAUCGGGUAAAAAUCCUAACCGUUCUAACGUCCAUACCAAAACUUUACUAAUAAUAUUUAGGAAUACGUUUUACGUAUAAAUUCGUAAUCCCAAAUAUUAAAAGAAAACAAAAAGAAUUUUUUAGAAUUUUUGAAAUAUUGGCCUAGUUCUCAUGGCUUGAAUAAAUUGGUUAUUAAAGCCAAAAUGCAUGUUAAUACAUAUAUUGUUUUGCAAAUUUUCUUUGUUGUGUGAAAAUAUGAUGUUAUAAUAUUUAUGAAUAUAUAUUGGAGAGACUAGGCCGUAUUUUAAAACAAAAACAAUUUUUAGAAAAUAUUAUUUUUUAUGCUUUGACGAAAAUCGGGUAUUUUAAUACUGAGCUUGUAUCCUUACGGUAAAAAUACAACCCAAUAUUAAUUCCGCUUUUAAAAAAACAAAAAUGCAGAAAAUCAAUAACAUUUUUAGGGAAUUUUUUAGAAAUUUUUUGAAAGCAAAAACAUUUUUUAUUCUGAAAAUCUUUGAUGUUUUGACGAAAACCGGUAUUUAUAACACUGGUUUUGUAUCUUUACAGUAUAAAAAUACAAACCAAAAUUAAACCAUUUGAUAAAAAUAUGCAGAAAAAUCAACAACAUUUUUAGGGACUUUUUAGAAAUUUUUUUGAAAGCAAAAACAUUUUUUAUUCUGAAAAUCUUUGAUAUUUUGACGAAAACCGGGUAUUUAUAACACUGGUUUUGUAUCUUUACAGUAUAAAAAUACAAACCAGAAUUAAAACAUUUUUGACAAAAAAUAUGCAAAAAAUCACAAUAUUUUUAAAGAUUUUUUUUUUAUAUUUUUUUUUAUAAAUAUAUUUUAUAUAUAUAUAACAUAUAUACACACAUAUAUAUAUAUAUAUAUUAUAAUAAUAUAUAAUAUAUUAUAGGGCUGGGCCGGCCCAAAUAAAUGGGCCAGGCUCAGCCCAAAAAAAAUAAUAAAAGGGGGCGGGCCGGUCUCGGCCCGCAAUGAUAUUGGGCCGGUCUCGGCCCGUAACUAAUGUGGGCCGGUCUCGGCCCGUAACUUCUACAGUCUGGGCCAAGACCGGCCCAGACUUACAAGGCUGGGCCAGCAUCGGGCUGGCCCAGUGCCUUAAAACCCAGCGGGGGGGGGAGAAUUAUUUUUCUCCCCCCCCCGCCUCCUGCAUGCAACAUGCAGGAGGCCAGGCGAAAACAAAAAAAAAAAAAUGCAAAGGGGGAGGGGGUGUGCACCUGGCGUGGAGGCGACCGUUGGGGAGCUGCGGUGUCGUGGCCUCGAGGACGGCGGCGCUGUGGUGUUGCUGCGGCGGAGAGAAAAGAUUUCCUUCCUUCCCCUCUUCUUUUCCUUCCUUUCUCUUUGUUUUCUUUUUUUUUUUUUUUUGUUUUUUCGUUUUAUUCUUUUCUCUUCUCCUCUAUCUCGCUGGUUCUAUCUCUCUCUUCGGUCUCGUCUCUCUCUUUUUUCUUCUCUCUCUCCGGUCCCUCUCUCUCCUCUCGGCCUCUCUCUAUUUAUAAGCAAAAAGGAAACGGUUAGUGCGCCUUCAAUCACGCAACGGCUGGUCGGCCACUCUUGCUUUCGGUGGUGGUGGUGGGGGCGAGGAGAGAGAGAGAGGCGGGAAGUUUUGAAAAAAGAAAAAAAAAUGGUUUCGUCUCUGUUUCCGCGGGGGGAAAGGAAGAAGACGAACAGUGUCGUUCAAAACGACACCGUUCUGUCUUCUUCUUUUUUUUUUUUUUUUUUUUAUUAUAUAUAUAUAUAUGAAACGGCGUCGUUUUGGAUAAAACGCGCCGUUUCAUUUAAACGGGUCAAACUUCAAAACAGUCCUCCAAAUCGGUCCCUGCCCCUCUUGUUGGCCGCCUUUUUCAUUUUGGUCCUUGGCAUCUGAUUUAUGCAAUUUAGCCCUCAAUUGAUUAAUAAACUUUCAAUUUCUUCAAUUAGGCCCCUGAAACGAAAAAUUAGCAGCCCCUCCAUUUACGCGCCUCUUCCAAUUUGGUCCCUGGUUUCGGAUUUUCACAAUUAAGUCCCUAAUUGGCCCUUAAACUUCAAUUUUUAUGCAAUUGAGCCCCUGAUUUGACCCAAUAAAUUCCUAAAAAAUAUAUUUUGGCCCCAGAACUUAAAUUUCUCCAAAUUAAAGCCCAAAUUGACUUAAAAAUCAAUUUUUCUUGGAAUCAAAUCUUCUAUAAAUUCAAAUAAAAAUCCAAUUAAGUCCAUAAAAAUCCAAUUAAGCCCAUAAAAAUCCAAAUUUGGGCUUUUCUCCCUAAAAUUCCAAUUUUUCUUCUCAAUAGGGCUUUCAUCCUUCAAGAAUAUACUGUCAAAAAUUCAAUCCUUGUAUUUUUAAAUUCCUUGACCAAUUUUCUGACUGUUUUCCGGGCGCUUCUGCCUCCGGUUAUUUUUCUAACCUCUUUUGGCUAUUUAUUUUAUUUUUCAGGGGGAUCCAAAAAUGGGUUACAACAUAUAUAAUAUAAUACAAUCUUUCUCUGUUAUUCUUUCCGUGUCUUCUUUUCUUCAUGGUAUCAGAGCUGGUUCAUAUCAACCAGUCUCAUAUAAUAAUUGUUUAGAUGGCUUCUCGUGGAUUGGAGAAUAUUGAAGGUUCUAUUGCUCCUUCGUCAUUCAACCAACACCUGUAUUCUGAUUUGAAUAUUCCUGAUAUGAAUUCAAAUCAACGUCUGUGUUCUGUUCAAUUGAAUGAGUUCAAUUAUCUCCCUUGGUCAAGGGCUGUGUCUUUAGCGCUUGGUGGGAGAUCAAGAAUCGAAUUUAUUGACAAAAGUAUUGCUGCUCCUGAUGUCAACUCUCCGCAGUACAAAUCAUGGUUUGCUAGUGAUUAGAUGGUUCAAUCGUGGCUGCUCAACAUUACGGAACCACACAUUGCUGAAAUCUUCAGCUAUUUUGAAUCUGCUGCAGAUUUAUGGGAUGCAGUCAAAGAAAUGUAUGGAAAUCAGAAUAAUGUUGCCCGUGUGUUUCAGCUCAAGAAAGAUAUUUCAUGCUUGCACCAGGAAGGAAAAUCAUUUGUCCAAUACCUUGGGAAUAUGAAAAACAUGUGGAAUGAAUUGGCAAUCUAUCGACCUCACACCAUAGAUGCUGCAACCUUACUGAAACGAGCUGAAGAAAAUAAAAUCUUCCAACUUUUGGCUAAUUUAUCUCAUGACUAUGAAGAUCUUCGUAGCCGUAUUCUCAUGAACUUUGAAUUACCAUCCUUUGCAAAUGUGUGUGCGACUAUUCAACGGGAGGAAACUAGAAGAAAGGUUAUGAACUUGAGCAGCAAAUCAGAUUUCUCUGAACCCGAGCCUUUGUAUCCCAUCAGAGACGUUAUGAAGAGAAAGGGUACAAGAGUAGAAGAUCUGAUUUGAAAUGUAACCAUUGCAACAAUCUUGGACACUUGGUUGAACGAUGUUGGGAUCUUCAUCCUGAACUAAAACCAAAGUUUUCAAGAGACAACAAGGGAGGACAUAAGCCUUUUCAACCAUCAAGGUAUAAAGCCAACUCUGCAAACUCUGUGACCAACCAAUCUGCAAAUGGAUUAUCAACAUUUACUUCUAGUCCAGUCGACCUCAUCAACGAAUUUGCAUCAUAUCUUCAUGCAAGGCAGAGUGCAAAACAGAGUGGAGGUGAUCUAGAGGAGAACAAAGAUUCAUCAACACUGAUUGGUCAAUUUGCAGGAUUUCUAGCUGCAAAUAAAAAUGUCUCAGCUCCGGAUUUACCAGGUAUUUUGAAUGCCUUUUCUUCUGCUCUUAUUGUAAGUAAUGUGCAUGAUUUUUGGAUCAUAGAUUCAGGUGCCACUAAUCACAUAACCAACAAAUAUAAUCAAUUGCUUGACUUUACCAAUUUUUCUCCACCAUCUCAAAUAUCCGUUGCCAAUGGUAAAUUUGCACCAGUUUUUGGGGAAGGGAAGAUUAAGUUACUCUCUCAAACAAUUGCAUCUCCAGUUUUGUAUGUUCCCUCCUUCCCGUUUAAACUACUCUCUGUUGGAAGAAUUACAACAUCACUAAAUUGUCGGGUUGUUUUCUCUCCUUACAAUGUUGUAUUUCAGGAUCUAGUCACCAGGAAGACGAUUGGUGAAGGAUUCUUCUUUCAAGGUCUCUAUUACUUUUCUAAAGAUUUUUGCAUACCCAAGAGUUUUCAAGUCACUGGUUGUUUAGCUUCAGAAUCACAGUUAUGGCAUCAGCGUUUGGCACAUCCUUCAGAGCCUAUUUUGGCAAAACUGUUUCCGAAUUUGAACAGCAAAUCAAUAAACUGUGAUGUUUGCCCUUUGUCAAAAUCUACUCGUUUACCAUUUCCUUCUCCCAUAUCGUACUCAGUUAAACCGUUUGAUUUAGUUCAUUCCGAUGUUUGGGGUCCUGUCAUUGAGUCUUUUGAUGGUUAUAAAUACUUUAUUACAUUUGUUGAUGAUUUCUCUCGAUUUACUUGGCUAUACUUGUUAAAAGCAAAAAGUGAAGUUGCCACUGCAUUUCAAGAUUUCCAUCAUUUGGUUCGUACUCAAUUCUCAUCCCAAAUCAAAAUUCUCCGAUCAGAUAAUGGCUCUGAAUAUAUGUCUAAUGUCGCACGUGUGCGGCGUCGCGGCGAAAAUAAUAUGGUUUUUCCAUUUUUCUUAAAUUUGCAAUGUAAAUAUAUCUAUAUCUAUGGCGAUACAAGAAAAUAUUGUCUUUUAUUGGUAGAAAAUGGAAUGGGAGUCGCCACCUAGUGUUUUGGUCACUAGGAACCCUAACUGGUCACAGAGAUCGGGUACGAGGACUGGUUGUGUAAAGGGAAGGUAUUAGCACACCAAAUACGCCUUACCUAAGGUAAGUCUGAUAAAAACUAAGGUAUUAUUGUACUUCUAAUUGUUGAUCUGUCUAUGGUUCAAGAAAAAUCCUCCUCGGUAAGAAGGUCUUUACCUUAUCGGGUAAGAAGGUCUUUACCUUAUCGGGUAAAAUCCUAACCGUUCUAACGUCUGUACCAAAACUUUAUUAACAAUAUUUAGGAAUACGUUUUACGUAUAAAUUCGUAAUCCCAAAUACUAAAAGAAAGAAAAAAAAACAAAAAAACAAAAAAAAAAAAUUUAGAAUUUUUGAAAUAUUGGCCUAGUUCUCAUGGCUUGAAUAAACUGGUUAUUAAAGCCAAAAUGCAUGCUAAUACAUAUAUUGUUUUGAAAAUUCCUUUUGUUGUGUGAAAAUAUGAUAUGAUAUUUAUAUAUAUUGGAGAGACUAGGCCGUAUUUUAAAACAAAAACAUUUUUUGGAAAAUUAUUUUUUUUUGAUGUUUUAACAAAAAUCGAGUAUUUUAAUAUUGGGUUUGUAUUCUUACUGUCGCACGUGUGCGGCGUCGCGGUGAAAAACUAAGUUUUUUCCAUUUUUAAAUCGACGAAGUAAUAUAUAUAUGGAGAUACGAAAAAUAUUAUUUUUCAUUGGUAAAAAUGGAGUGGGAGUCGCCACCUAGUAUUUUGGUCACUAGGAACCCUAACUGGUCUCAGAGAUUGGGUACGGGGACUGGUUGCGUAAAGGGAAGGUAUUAGCACCCCAAAUACGCCUUACCUAAGGUAAGCUGCAUUGUUUUAUUGUCUGAUAAAAACUAAGGUGUUAUUGUACAUUCUAGUCGUUGGUCUGUCUAUGGUUCAAGAAAAAUCCUCCUCAGUAAGAAGGUCUUUUAUCUUAUCGGGUAAAAUCUUAACCGUUCUAACGUCUAUACCAAAAUAAUAAUAUUUAGGAAUACGUUUUACGUAUAAAUUCGUAAUCCCAAAUACUAAAAAGAAAACAAAAAGAUUUUUUGAAUUUUUGAAAUAUUGGCCUAGUUCUCAUGGCUUAAAUAAACUGGUUAUUAAAGCCAAAAUGCAUGCUAAUACAUAUAUUGUUUUGAAAAUUUUAUUUGUUGUGUAAAAAAAAUAUGAUGUUAUGAUAUUUAUAUCUAUAUAUAUUGGAGAGACUAAGCCGUAUUUUAAAACAAAAACAAUUUUUUGAAAAUAUUAUUAUUAUUAAUUUGUUUUGCUUUUUGACGUGAAUCAGGUAUUUAAAUACUGAGCUUGUAUCCUUACGGUAUAAAAAUUCAACCCAAUAUUAUUCCACCUUAAUAAAAAUAUGCAGAAAAAUCAACAACAUUUUUAGGUAUUUUUUAGAAAAAUUUUUUGAAAGCAAAAACAUUUUUUAUUCGGAAAAUCUUUGAUAUUUUUAGGAAAAUCGGGUAUUUUUAACACUGGUUUUGUAUCUUUACAGUAUAAAAAUACCAACCAACAUUAACCCAUUUUGACAAAAAAAUAUUCAGGGAAAUCAACAAUAUUUUUCAAGAUUUUUUCGAAAUAUUUUUUUUUAGUAAAAAUAUAUAUACACAAUAUACACACAUAUAUAUUACCAAAUACUAUAAUUCAUAAUAUAUAUAUAAUAAAAAUUCGGGUUGGGCCGGCCCAAAUGAAUGGGCCGAACCCAACCCAGCUGGAAUCGGGCCGAUCUCGGCCCGCAAGGAGGAUGGGCCGAUCUCGGCCCAACAAAUGCUGGGCCGAUCUCGGCCCGCAAGGAGGUUGGGCCGAUCUCGGCCCGCAAGGAGGUUGGGCCGAUCUCGGCCCAACAAAAACUCUUUAGACUGGGCCAGACUCGGUCUGGCCCAAAAUAAAUAAUAACAAAACUGGGCCGGAAACCCGGCCCAGUGUAAAAAAAAACCCACGGGGAAGGGAAAAUAAUUCCCUUCCCCUACCUCCUGCAUGCAGAACGAUUCUGCAUGCAGGAGGAUAACAAAUAUAAACAAAAUGAAAACGCAGAGGGGGAAGAAGAAUACCUGGCACGACGGAGGUGAUGUUGCUGGUCGACGGUGCUGCAGCGGAGGUCGGCAGCUCACAACGACGGUUCCCAACAGUCCGGUGUCUCUCGGGUCGUGCUUGGUUUUUUUUCUUUCCACUAAGCUUUCCCAACGGCUUCAGUCUUCUUACCCCUUCUCCCAGCUUCGUUUCCUUGAAUUUUAUGUGUUUAUUACUUUAGUCCACUGUUUCUCUCUCCUUCAGUCUCUCUCUCUCGUGGUCUCGGUUAUUUUCCUUCUCUUUUCUCCCCCGUGCUUCCAGUCUCCUCCUUUCUUUUAUAGGCGAGCAACGGAGCGGGGCUGCAUGGGCAGCGUGGGGAGCAGAACAACGUGGGUUGAGCUGGGCAACGUGGGGAGCAGCACAGCGCCGGUCGGCUGGUCGGUGAGCGUGGUCGAUCACGGCGUGGCCCUCCUGGCUUCGCGUCGUCCGAGGUGCAUGGGCCUGGUCUGUCAGUGCACGCGAGGAGAGAGGGGCACCGGCUGAUUAAACAAAGGUUUCGUCCAUGCUGCUGCACGUUCGGGGAGGAAGAAGAAAGGGGAACAGUGCCGUUCAAAACGGCACCGUUCGGUCCUCUUUUUUUUUUUUUUUUUUUUUUUUAUUUUUUUAUAUAUAUGAAACGGCGUCGUUUUGGGGAAAACGCGCCGUUUCAUUUAAAAAAAGGCGCCAGAAUACGCAAAAUUUCAACUCAGCCCUCAAUUAUCUUUUGAUUCUUUCAAUUGCGUCCCUGCCAAUUUCGGUCCUCGCCCCCAUAGUUGGCCGCGUUUUUCAUCUUGGUCCUUGGCCUCUGAUUUAUGCAAUUAAGCCCUCAAUUGAUCAAUAAACUUCCAAUUUCUUCAAUUACGCCCCUGGAUCAAAUCAAGACAGCCCCCUCUAUUUACCCGCGUGUUCCAAAUUGGUCCCUGGUUUCGGAUUUUCACAAUUAACCCCUAAUUGGCCAUUAAACUUCAAUAUUUAUGCAAUUAAGCCCCUGAUUUGGCCUAAUAAAUUCCAAAAAAAUAUAUUUUGGCCCCAGAACUUAAAUUUCUUCCAAUUAAAGCCCAAAUUGACUUAAAAAUCAAUUUUUUCUUGCACUCCAAUCCUCUAUAAAUUCAAAUAAAAUCCAAUUAAGUCCGUAAACAUCCAAAUUUGGGCUUUUCUCCUCAAAAAUUCAAAUUUUCCUUCUCAACAGGGCUCUCAUCCUUCAAGAAAUACUGCCAAAAAUCCAAUCUCUGUAUUUUUUAACCUCCUUGACCAAUCUUUCGACCAUUUUCUGAGCGCUUAUGCCUCCUGUUAUUUUUCUAACCUUCUUCGGCUAUUUAUUUAUUAUCAUUUUUAUUUUUUGUGGGGACCCAAAAAUGGUUACAACACUUACGGUAAAAAAUAUGACCCAAUAUUAAUCCACCUUAAUAAAAAUAUGCAGAAAAAAUCAACAACAUUUUUUAGAGAUUUUUUUAGAAUUUUUAUGAAAGCAAAACAUUUUUUAUUCUAAAAAUCUUUGAUGUUUUAACGAAAACCGGGUAUAUUAAUACUGGAUUUGUAUCUUUACGGUAUAAAAAUACAAACCAACAUUAAACACUUUUGACCAAAAUAUGCAGGAAAAUCAACAAUAUUUUUAAAGAUUUUUUAGAAUAUAUAUAUAUUUUUUUAUAAUAUAUAUACACACAUAUAUCAUAUAAUAUAUAAUAAUAUAUAAUAUAAUAUAUUAAGUGGGCGGGCCGGCCCAAAUAAAUGGGCCGGACAACCCAGAAGAAAAAAAAGUUGGCCGACCUCGGCCCAAAAUAAAACUGGGCCGAUCUCGGUCCAACUAAAAAUCACUCCUUAGUCUGGGCCUGACCCGGCCCAGAUCGCAGGGCUGGGCCAGAACCAUUCUGGCCCACCCCAAAAAUAUUUCUGGGCCAGAACCCGUCUGGCCCAGAGAAGAAAAAACAACGCUGGGCCAGCAUCAGCCUGGCCCAGCAAACUGAAUGGGGGGAGGGAAUUAUUUUCCCUCCCCACCUCCUGCAUGCAGAAACGAUUCUGCAUGCAGGAGGAAAUCUUAGGCAGCGAAAGAAAAAAAAUGCAGGGGGAUGGAAUGUACCUGGCGAGGAGGAGGCGGUUGCUGGUGGCGCUGCGUGACGUGGCUCACGAACGGUGGCUCCGGGCAGUGCUGCGGCUGUUCGAACGGUGGAGGGUGCGGUUGUUGCUCUUCCCUUUCUCCUCCGUAUGGCUUCCUCUUUUUCGGUGGUUUCCUCCCUCUCAGUACAGUUUGCUAGCGUUGUUUGUUGUUCGGUUCUUUCCCUCCUUUUACUCUCUCUGGUUCGUUCUCCUCUUCCCUCUCUCUCUACCCUUCAAUCUUUCCUCUCUUUUUCUUUUUUUUUCCCUCUGCCUCUGCUUCUCUUUUUCGUCCCUUUUUCCUUCGGGUCACCUACUUUUAUAGGGGGAGAAGGAGCCUUGGGAGCGGACCAAUGCGGAGGCUGGUCGGCCAUUGGGCGCGACUGCCAAGGCGCAGCUCCCUUGAUUCCGGUGUGGUGCGCGGCGGGUGGUCGGCCAGUGUCUUCGGUCGGUGGUCCAACGGCGUGUGGGCUUCGGUCUGGUCGGUAGGAGAGGGGGACAUGCACCAUUAAAAAAACUUUCUUUUUCCUUCUUCCCCGUUGCCUAUUCGGGGGGGGAAGAAGAAAGGGGAACAGUGCCGUUCAAAACGGCACCGUUCGGUCUUCUCUUUUCUUUUCUUUUUUAUGUAUGAAACGGCGUCGUUUUGGAGAAAACGCGGCGUUUCAUUUAAAAAAAAGGCGCCAGAAAUAUGUUUUUUUCAAAUCAGUCCUUAAUUUAUCCUUUGUUCUAUUAAGUCCUCAAAUCUAAUCCUGAUUUUAAGAAUAAAAUUCAAUUGCAUCCCCGCUAAUUUCGGCCUCCACCCCUCAAGUUGGCCGCGUUUUCUAUUCUAAUCCUUGGCCUCUGUUUUGUUCAAUCAAGCCCUCAAUUGAUUAAUAAACUUCCAAUUUCUUCAAUUAGGCCCCUGAACCGAAUAAUUGCAGCCCUCCAUUUACGCGACUCUUCCAAUUUGGUCCCUGGUUUCGGAUUUUCUUAAUUAAGUCCCUAAUUGGCCAUUAAACUUCAAUAUUUAUGCAAUUAAGCCCCUGAUUUGGCCUAAUAAAUUCCAAAAAAAUAUAUUUUGGCCCCAAAACUUAAAUUUCUUCCAAUUAAAGCCCAAAUUGACUUAAAAAUCAAUUUUUUCUUGCACUCCAAUCCUCUAUAAAUUCAAAUAAAAUCCAAUUAAGUCCGUAAACAUCCAAAUUUGGGCUUUUCUCCUCAAAAAUUCAAAUUCUCCUUCUCAACAGGGCUCUCAUCCUUCAAGAUAAUACUGCCAAAAAUCCAAUAUCUGUAUUUUUUUUUAACCUCCUUGACCAAUCUUUCGACCAUUUUCUGAGUGCUUAUACCUCCUGUUAUUUUUCUAACCUUCUUCGGCUAUUUAUUUAUUAUCAUUUUUAUUUUUUGUGGGGACCCAAAAAUGGGUUACAACACUUACGGUAUAAAAAUAUGACCCAAUAUUAAUCCACCUUAAUAAAAAUAUGCAGAAAAAUCAACAAUUUUUAGAGAUUUUUUUAGAAUUUUUAUGAAAGCAAAACAUUUUUUAUUCUAAAAAUCUUUGAUGUUUUAACGAAAACCGGGUAUAUUAAUACUGGAUUUGUAUCUUUACGGUAUAAAAAUAUAAACCAACAUUAAACACUUUUGACCAAAAUAUGCAGGAAAAUCAACAAUAUUUUUAAAGAUUUUUUAGAAUAUAUAUAUAUUUUUUUAUAAUAUAUAUACACACAUAUAUCAUAUAAUAUAUAAUAAUAUAUAAUAUAAUAUAUUAAGUGGGCGGGCCGGCCCAAAUAAAUGGGCCGGACAACCCAGAAGAAAAAAAGUUGGGCCGACCUCGGCCCAAAAUAAAACUGGGCCGAUCUCGGUCCAACUAAAAAUCACUCCUUAGUCUGGGCCUGACCCGGCCCAGAUCGCAGGGCUGGGCCAGAACCAUUCUGGCCCACCCCAAAAAAAAUUCUGGGCCAGAACCCGCCUGGCCCAGAGAAGAAAAACCAACGCUGGGCCAGCAUCAGCCUGGCCCAGCGAACUGAAUGGGGGGGAGGGAAUUAUUUUCCCUCCCCACCUCCUGCAUGCAGAAACGAUUCUGCAUGCAGGAGGAAAUCUUAGGCAGCGAAAGAAAAAAAAUGCAGGGGGAUGGAAUGUACCUGGCGAGGAGGAGGCGGUUGCUGGUGGCGCUGCGGUGACGUGGCUCACGAACGGUGGCUCCGGGCAGUGCUGCGGCUGUUCGAACGGUGGAGGGUGCGGUUGUUGCUCUUCCCUUUCUCCUCCGUAUGGCUUCCUCUGUUUUUCGGUGGUUUCCUCCCUCUCAGUACAGGUUUGCUAGCGUUGUUUGUUUGUUCGGUUCUUUCCCUCCUUUUACUCUCUCUGGUUCGUUCUCUCUCUUCCCUCUCUCUCUACCCUUCAAUCUUUCCUCUCUUUUUUCUUUCUUUUUUUUCCCUCUGCCUCUGCUUCUCUUUUUUCGUCCCUUUUUCCUUCGGGUCACCUACUUUUAUAGGGGGAGAAGGAGCCUUGGGAGCGGACCAAUGCGGAGGCUGGUCGGCCAUUGGGCGCGACUACCAAGGCGCAGCUCCCUUGAUUCCGGUGUGGUGCGCGGCGGGUGGUCGGCCAGUGUCUUCGGUCGGUGGUCCAACGGCGUGUGGGCUUCGGUCUGGUCGGUAGGAGAGGGGGACAUGCACCAUUAAAAAAACUUUCUUUUUCCUUCUUCCCCGUUGCCUAUUCGGGGGGGGAAGAAGAAAGGGGAACAGUGCCGUUCAAAACGGCACCGUUCGGUCUUCUCUUUUCUUUUCUUUUUUAUGUAUGAAACGACGUCGUUUUGGAGAAAACGCGGCGUUUCAUUUAAAAAAAAGGCGCCAGAAAUAUGUUUUUUUCAAAUCAGUCCUUAAUUUAUCCUUUGUUCUAUUAAGUCCUCAAAUCUAAUCCUGAUUUUAAGAAUAAAAUUCAAUUGCAUCCCCGCUAAUUUCGGCCUCCACCCCUCAAGUUGGCCGCGUUUUCUAUUCUAAUCCUUGGCCUCUGUUUUGUUCAAUCAAGCCCUCAAUUGAUUAAUAAACUUCCAAUUUCUUCAAUUAGGCCCCUGAACCGAAUAAUUGCAGCCCUCCAUUUACGCGACUCUUCCAAUUUGGUCCCUGGUUUCGGAUUUUCUUAAUUAAGUCCCUAAUUGGCCAUUAAACUUCAAUAUUUAUGCAAUUAAGCCCCUGAUUUGGCCUAAUAAAUUCCAAAAAAAUAUAUUUUGGCCCCAAAACUUAAAUUUCUUCCAAUUAAAGCCCAAAUUGACUUAAAAAUCAAUUUUUCUUGCAAUCAAAACCCCUAUAAAAUCAAUUAAAAAUCCAAUUAAGUCCAUAAACAUCCAAAUUUGGGUUUUUCUCCUCAAAAUUCAAAAUUUCUUAUCCAUCAGGGCUCUCAUCAUCCAAGAAUAUACUGUCAAAAAUCCAAUCUUGGUAUUUUUUAACCUCCUUGACCAAUCUUCCGACCAUUUUCCGUGCGCUUCUGCCUCUUGUUAUUUUUCUAACCUUCUUUGGCUAUUUAUUUUAUUUUUUUGUGGGGACCCAAAAAUGGGUUACAACAUCUAAUAUCAUGAUAUAAUACUUGAGCAUGCAUGGCAUUAUUCACCAAACUAGUUGUGUUCAUACUCCACAACAAAACGGGAUAGCAGAGCGAAAGAACCGAGACUUACUAGAGAAAACGAGAUCACUGAUGUUUCAAAUGCAUGUGCCCAAAAUAUUGGUCUCAAGGAGUACUCACAGCUGCCUACCUUAUAAACAGAUUGCCUAGUAAAAUUCUAAUGUUUAAUUCUCCAGCUGAGUCAUUGACAGGGAAGAAGCCAUCUCUAUCACAUCUUAAAGUCUUUGGAUGCUCUUGUUAUGUGCACAUUCCAUCUUCUCAGCGUGACAAAUUGGAUCACAGAGCAGUCAAAUGUAUGUUCUUGGGCUAUUCUCCAACACAGAAGGGAUAUAAGUGCUACAAUUCCACUACUCAUAAACUUGUUGUUACCAGGGAUGUUCGGUUUGAUGAACACACAUCUUAUUUCUCUUCCAGUGAGAACUUCAAUCAGGAGGAGUCUUCAUCAGCCUUAUUUCCAUUGCCAACUCCAGUAGUUGAGGCCUAUUGCCCAGAACAAUCUCACUAUAAUGCAGGAAUGGACAUCCAUACUGAUCCUAUUUCAGUAGCAACAGAGGGGGCUGAUCUGCAAGUUGAACAUCAGGAGCACCUUCAUCCCUCCUCCAGGCGUAAUCCUAUUCGUAACCGUAAACCAUCAUCUAGGCUUCAUGAUUAUGUGACGUAUACAGUGAAGCAUCCUGUCACCAAUGCUCUAGCUUAUCAUCGAUCGUCUUCAUCUUUUGGAGCUUAUCUCAGCACAAUCACCAAAGCAACAGAACCAUGCAGUUUUAAUGAAGCCUGUCAUCAAACCGUUUGGCAGAAGGCUAUGCACGAGGAGCUUCAAGCUUUGGAUGCCAAUCACACUUGGAGUAUUGUGUCACUUCCAAAGAAUAAAAAGGUUGUUGGUAGUCGUUGGGUAUACAAGAUCAAAUUCAAGACAGAUGGUUCCAUUGCACGACAUAAAGCCAGAUUAGUCGCUCAAGGCUUCACUCAAACCCUAUGGCAUAGACUACAAGGAAACUUUUGCACCAGUUGCAAAAAUGAACACCAUUCACACUCUGCUCUCAGUUGCUAUAAAUUAUGGCUGGUUUUUUAUCUCAAAUGGAUGUCAAGAAUGCUUUUUUACACGGCGACCUCCAAGAAGAAGUGUAUAUGAAGUUACCACCCGGCCAUCCUCAGAGUAAUGAUCCCAAGCUGGUCUGCAAAUUGCAUAAAUCUAUCUAUGGCUUGAAACAAUCUCCCCGUGCUUGGUAUGCUAAGUUGAGCACUGUUCUUACUGACCUUGGGUUUACCAGAAGCAAUGCUGACCACUCACUAUUUGUUCGUAUCAAGGCUAAUGAAAGGUUGGUGGUUCUAAUUUAUGUUGAUGACCUUAUUGUUACCGGUAAUAAUCAUGCAGCUAUUGCCACUCUUAAGAGCAUUCUUCAUCAGCGAUUUGCUAUUAAGGAUCUUGGUGUUCUUAAAUAUUUUCUUGGCAUAGAGAUGGCUACUUCUCAUAAAGGAUUGUUUUUGAAUCAAUCCAAAUAUGUGUUGGACUUGUUGCGUGAAGCUGACAUGCUUGACUGCAAACCUGCAAAGACACCUCUGGAUAGCAAACUUCAGCUGACUUUGAAUGGGGACCUUUUUUAUCAACCUCAGCUUUAUCAGAAAUUGGUGGGCAAGCUUAUCUAUCUUACCAUCACCCGGCCUGAUCUGAGUCAUUCGGUUAGUAUUGUCAGUCAAUUCAUGCACUCACCUACAGCUCAUAUGAUGAUGUCAAACGAAUUCUUCGAUAUCUCAAGGCACUAUUGGACGUGGAAUUCUUAUGCAAAACCAUGGUCACACACAGAUACUUGGUUACACUGACGCAGAUUGGCCAGGAAAUACUCUUGAUCGCAAAUCUACUACGGGGUAUUGUAUCUUUGUUGGAGGAAAUCUAGUUUCAUGGAAAAGUAAGAAACAAUCAGUCGUUGCCCGUUCCAGCGCUGAAGCCGAAUAUCGCUCCAUGGCUUCCACUGCAUCUGAUCUUAUAUGGCUGAAAGCUUUGUUAACUGAUUUAGGUGUUUUUCACCCUCAACCUAUGUCCCUUUGCUGUGAUAAUCAAGUUGCAAUGCAUAUUGCUUCCAAUCCAGUAUUUCAUGAACGAACCAAACAUAUCGAAGUUGAUUGCCAUUAUAUUAGGGAGCAGGUUCAGUCACAGCUGAUUGUUACUCAAUAUACUAGGAGCGAGGAUCAACUUGCAGACUUAUUCACCAAAGCCUUGUCCUCUGCCCGUUUUCAAUUGCUGCUUUCCAAGCUGGGAUCAAUCAAUCUUCUUGAUCCAGCUUGAGGGGGAAUAUUGGCAGAUAUAUGUAUAUGAUCUGAUACGAUCCUUCUUUCCUUUUCUGUCAUGAUUCUUAUUCCUUUUAUGAGUUGAUUCCAGUAUUAUUCUUAGGAGAAAUAUCAGGAAUGUAGCUAGAAAUAUUCUUGUAAUCAAUGCACUUUGUGUAUAUAUAUGUGAUGGACUGUAAUACAGAAGAUACAAUAUAAUACAAUCUUUCUCUGUUAUUCUUUCCGUGUCUUCUUUUCUUCAAUUCCUUGAUCACAUGUACCAUCCCAUUUAUAGCAGCACAAUGAAGAGAAGUUCUACCAUCACUGCUUUUAAGCCUGCCAAGCUCGCUGUUAACCAUCAAUAGCUCUCUCACUAUCUCCAAAAACCCAUUUGCAGAAGCUAUGUGUAUUGGGCUAAACCCAUCUGGGUUGAGCCUUGUAGCUAAAUCUAUUUUCUUCUUCAGUAGCUCCUUCACGAAUUCUGUUCGUCCGGCUAAGCAGGAAAUAUGUAGGAUUGUCUCGGAGGAGUCAUGGAGACAACUUCUUUCUAGAAGGUAAUCGUUUACUCCGAGCAGCUCCUGUAGUUCAAUGACAUCUCCUCUCCGUGCUGCCUCCAACAAUCUUGGAUCCAUGUUAUUGAUGGAAAUAAUCGCAAACUGAGCAAAGUUAUUAAUGACUCGUGAAAAAUACCAAACAAAAAUUUAUAGAAAUGUACCUGUGAAAAAAAUGUUGUUCAAAGUUAUAAGACUAGAAUAGUGAGAAUAGAGAAGUAUAAUUUAUAUACAUGCAUUAUAAUAUCAUCAUUAUAAGAUUGCAAUUAAAGACAAUAUACAACUUUCAUAUUAAGCAUGUAAUUAAAUAAAAACAUGUAUAGGAUAUUUACUUGUAGAAAUACUUAAAAAAAUAUUUAUCUAAAAAUUUAUUGUUGUGAAUGAUUUUGUAUUGAAGAUUUUAUUACUUUCUACUAAAUACAAAAAAGUUAAUUUUAAUAAGUUUCUUAGGAUUUCAAUAAAAAUUAUAUUGUUUAAAUACACUCCUAAAUAAAAUCAAACGAACUCAAGAAUUGUAUUCAAAUAUCUCUCAUUGAAUCUAAGCUUUUGUGUAGAAAAAAAGACUAAAAAAUAACACAAAGCUUAAAACCGAGUAAAUUAUGCUAAAAAUUAAGGUGAGAGAGUAUUAAAAAAUUUACAAUUAUUUUUCUGAACACUGUCCAGAAAAAAUCAGUAAAAAACAUUAUUCUUCACUCCAUUUUUACUAAGGAUUUUUAAACGAAAAUUUAUAUAGAGUUAAUUUUAAUAAUUACCAUAAUAAUUUUUCAAAUUUGUUUUAAUUAAUGUAAGUGUCUGGAUCAGUUUAUGUAUACCUUGACUAAUUCUAAGGGUCUUGAAGUUAAUAACCAUGUAAGCCACUAGUGGUCCUGAGGGGACUCGAACUCAUGACCAUUAGAAAGCAAACCCAAGAUCUAACCAGUUGAACUAACUCUCAGGACUCAUAAUAAUUUCUCAAAAUUGAUUUUUAGAGUCAAUGUGGAGUCAUUUUUAUUGACUUGAAUUAUAAUAAACAUUUCUUAAUUAGCUAGCAUGGACUCUGAGUCAACAGUCAUUUUUAAAUUCUCAUACUUAGUGUUAGAAAAUAAUAUAAAUAAUAUCUUGGGACCUCACCUAACAACUUAAAUUUUUAGGUUGAGAUGGUUCUUUGACAUGGUAUCAAAACUUUAAUGACCAAAUGCUCACGAGUUCGACUCUCACCACCCCUAUAUAUUUGAUAAAAAUCAAACAUAAGGUAAUAUGAGCCUGUGCAAGUUUCAAGCUCAAAGGGCUUUUAUUUGAGAGGGUGUGUUAAAGAAUAAUAUAAAUCAUAUCUUUGGACCUUACCUAAUAGUUUAAGCUUUUAGGUUGAGAUAAUUUUUUGACGCCUCCUUUUAUAGGCCAAAAUUUGAAACUAUUGAUUUGAUGAAUAAUUGUUGAGUGGGUAGCCACAUCUUGACUUGGUGAAAAUCCUUAUCUUUUUGUCUGAAUAAAACAUCAUUGCUAACAUCAGAACUAGAACCAUAUGAAAUCAUGAAAGUUCUAGCAAAUUCUCUUAGCUUUCCAGGAAAAAAAAGUUGAGGUCAUUUGGACUUCUAGAACUCAAGAUAUGGGUUGAACACUUAAUAGUAUCCGGGCUGCAGGACAGAUUCAGACUUCUCCGUUGUUGCUAUAAUUUGGACUUGAAAACGGCCUUGUUAGAUCCUAGCCUCCCAUGAAAGUUGUAGGCCUAUGUCUUACCAAAUCUGUGUAAACAUUUGAGGUCAUUUGGACAUCUAGAACUCGAGAUAUGACCCAAUUACCAAACAGUGUUCCAGUUUGGACUGCACCAACAUCUCUUUUUUAAGCUUCAUCCUCUCUUUAUCUUCACAAAUUUCAAUAGUUGAAUUCAUCAAUCAAUCCUUUGAUUUAUGUGAUAUGCCUGCAUUUAAGAUGAACAUUUACCAUAUAUUAAGGUAUCUUAUAGUAUUAGACUUGUUAUUAUAAAACAUGCUUUAGUUAAGGAGUUAUUGAUACUUCAAGUACAAAAUAAUGAUAUAAAACAUUGAUAAACAUGCACUUUUAAGUACUAAUCACCAAGAAAAACAAACCCACACUAAAUCAGAAAUUAAGCAGACCAAGCUGAAAUGCAUUCAUGAUUUCUGUACAGAUCAGCAGCGGUAUACCAAAAGGAAGAGUUGAGAUUCCUGAUCCAACCUGCAACAAAGUAAAACAAAAGCCAUAUGAUAUCUUUCCAUAUUGGCUUUUGUUCCUCAAAUAUAAAGUUGUUCCUAGCAUUCCAUAUAGUCUAGACAAUGCUAAACAUAAAGCCCCCCAAACAGAUCUUUCAAACUUACAGUGGUUGCCCUGCAAAAGACCCAGCCAUUGACAUUGAAGGUCGUCAAGGCCAUACGGCAUUACCCAGCUCAGUCCUCUCCAAGCUACAAUUUUGUUCUAUAGUUUCCAAACCACUAGGCAAUGCAAGAGGAUGUGGGAUACAGUUUCUGAAUGUUGCUCAUAAAAGGACACCUGUGCUCUUGAAGGCUUAGAACGUACCUCUUCACCAUGAAGGCUUUUGUCAAAGGCCCUCAUUUAAGGCCAGCCAUAAAGUCUUUUUUUUUUUUUAGGGAAAAUGGAUUUCCAUACAUUUGUGACAUAAGUUGUAGAACUAGCAUACAUGAUCCUUUCAAGGGCAAGCAUACAAGAGUCUACAGUAUAGUCUCCGACUUUCCCCCAUUCCCAAAUUAACCUGUCUUCUUUCAAUCGAUGAAUAGCUGUAAGAUUAAGAUCAGACAUUAAUCUUUGAAUCAUCAAGGUCUCACUAGCUUUGAGGGGUCUUCUCCAUUUCAGAUUCCAAUACCAAGUAUCCUCUAACCAGUAUCCCAUCUGACUAACAAACCCUAAUUUGGAGGAGGAUAGUUGGAAGAGGGUUGGAUAAGAGUUAGCUAAGCAGAAGCCAGUCAACCAAGUAUCUAACCAAAAUUUAACAUGAUUACCAUUACCCAUUUUAAGUUUACAACCAGCUUGAAUAAGAGAAUUAUCAAGAUCCGAGCUAGUAAUAGUAGAGCUGAUUCCUCGCCAAAUCCCUAAAAGUUUUUUAUUGAAUGUGGGCUUCCCACUUAUGAAUUGAGGUCUGUAUUUUGCCUUAAUGAAAUCUACCCAACUAGCUUUAUCAUUGCUUCCCAAUUUCCAAAUCCACUUGAAGAGGAGAGCUUCUUUUUUUGCUGAUAUAUUCCCAACACCUAAACCACCCCUGUCUUUUUCUUUGCCACUGUAUCCCAAGCAAGCCGAUGAAUUUCCCUAUUAUCAACACUCCCACCCCACAAAAAUUAAGACUGCAUGGCUGUGAUUUUGCGUGCCACUGUCUUUGAAAUGUUGAAGAUGGACAUGUAAUACAGAGAAAUGAUAAAGAUUACACUUUUAAUCAAUAUUCUUCUCCCUGCUAGUGAUAAUAACCAACCCUUCCAAGAGUUGAGCCAUCCUCUAAUAUGAGAGAGAACAGUGGCAAAAGAAAAGAUGCCAUGGCCAUGUAGAGAAUCAGUCAAGUUUUGUCUUUGAUACGUUACUCACUCAAAUAUAUAUUAAUUAUCUGCCUUCUUUUUUUUAUAUCAUAAAAAGAAACCUUUCACUAAAAGAUCUUGAAGUUGAUGACAAAGAAGAUUUAACCAUACAUUGACUAAAUUAAACUAAAUUAAAAUAUGAGAAAGAUAUUUUGUAAUAAACUUUAAACCAAGAUUCCUAUAAUAUUCACAUUGUUAAUCGGUUUGACUUAAUCGAAUACAAAUGCACAUUGUUAAUUGGUUUGACUUAAUCGAAUGCAAAUUCCACGCAUGUUUUUAAGAUUCACUAUAUAUAUAUAUAUAUAUAUAUAUAUAUAUAAUCAUAGGAAAAAAGGAUGCUACCUGGUGCAUGCAUGAUGUUAUAUUUAAUGAUGUUUUUAAAAUAUUUUUUAUUUAAAAAUAUAUUAAAAUAAUAUUUUUAAAAUCAACCCAUUAAAAUUAUUUAAAAAUAUUAAAAAAUUAUUAAUUUAAUUUAUUUUUAAAAAAUAUAUAAAAAUAAAAACAAUUUUUUUCGUAUGAUUAGAAUUACCAAAGAUAAUUUGGCUUUGAACACAUGUUUGAAAAGUAUAACAAAAAUUAUUUUUUAAAGUAUUUUUUAUUUAGAAAUAUAUAUAAAAACAAUAUAUUAUUAUUAUUAUUAAAAUAAUUUUUUUUAUUUUUUAAAAUUUAAUUUUGAUAUUAGUAUAUUACAAUAAUUAAAAAUAUUAAAUAUAAUUUUAUUUUCAAACUAAAAAAAUUAAUUUUCUUUUAAAAAAAACAUGUUUCACGCAUCCAAGAAUUGAAUAUAAGUAGAUUGUGGUCCAGCUCUAACCAUAAAAAAAAAAAAAAAAAAAAAGGAGUGACGGCAGAAAAGAUGCAAGUGGGGCAGAGAAAUUGACUUCGACGGUGCAGCUUGAUUUUUGCAAAUUUUCAAAUUUUUUUUUUUACUAAAAUUAAGUUUGGUUUGUAUUUUUUGUAUCGUUUUGAUGUGCUGAUAUCAAAAAUGAUUUUUAAAAAAUAAAAAAAUAUUAUUUACAUGCUUUUCGACAUGAAAAGCAACCGCUACCACACUCUCAAACACCCUCGAAGACAAGCUAGGACAAUCACAAUGAGAAAUUGACUUGAAGUAAAACAAGGACAAUCAUAAUGGGUAUGUUUAUGUUAAAUAAUAUUUUUUUUUAAUAAAAAUAUUAAAAUUAAUUUUUUUUAUUUUAAAAAAAAUUAUUUUUAAUAUUAAUAUAUUAAAAUAAUUUAAAAUAUAUAAUAUAAAAAAAUUAAUUUUUAAAAUAUAAAAAUAAACAAAACCAAAACAAUUCAAGCUACUUAAAAAAUUUAGUAAAAAAAAAAUACUCAUAAUAUAAAUAACCACAGCCACAUUAUUCGAAUUUAAAAUAUAAAAGAAACAAAUAUUUUAAUGCUAAACUACUACUAAUAGGCUACCUACUGUAUGAUUACAAGUACAUAUUAUUUGAUAACUCCGAUUACCGUUAGUUACUGUAGAAUGAAGAAUGGUGUUCUCGUCUGGAGUCGAUAACUGAUCAAGGCAGGUUUGAUCAUUCUCAAAGCGAUCGAUAUCGCCUGCUUCUGCAGCUUUGAACAAGACAGGAUCCAUAUAGGUCGUCAUACUAUUUUGUAGCUUAGAGAAACUCACUAAAUGAAAUCUAAACAAAUGAAGGUAAGAGGUUCCACUCCUCAACUGAUCACAAGCUGCUGAUUUCUGUGGUCUGCUACAAGCGUGUUAGAUAUUGUUUUUUUUUUUUUAAAUAUUUUUUAUUUAAAAAUGAUUUUUAAUAUAUAUUAUUUAAAAAUAUUUAAAAAAUUAAUUUAAAAUCAAUUUUUUUUUUUUACGUUUUGAGCAGAAACACGAAUUAUAGUGUUUGGUUUUUUUAAAAAAAGAAGCUUAGUUUUUAAUUGUGGGGGCACACCAAAAUAUCAUUUAAUUUCAAAAUAAAAAAAAUAAAAAUUUGAAAAACAUCUUGGACUUGAAGAUAAGGAGAUUGUGGUACAGCUCUAACCAGAAGAAAAACGAGUGAAGACAGAAAAGAUGCAAGUGGGGAAGAGAAAUUGACCUCGAGGAAGACAAGGAGAUUGUGGUACUGAGUAUGUUCAUGUUCAAGAACUUCUGCAAUACACGAAGAAAAAAGGCUAAAUAAAUAUAUAAAAAUCAAAUAAGAUGUGGCACUGAAAACCUCAAUUUUUGCACUCAUUGUAGAUCAUCAUGCAAUUAUUCUCGCCCUUUCUUUCCUCAACAGACCACAUAUGGAUCUGGGAUGGUUUCUUUGAGCUUGGAACCACCUCAGGUCCUCAACUGCCAUCUCUUAAAAUGCCAUUGUGUGCUUAAAAUGUCUUUUGCCCUGCUACAAAGUUCUGCUUUACAAAAUGGAACCGAUAACAACAAAUUUUUGCUUUGUCCUUGAAAGAAAUAGAAUUUUAUUUGUUCUUCUUCAAUCAUCUAUACAAUCACUGAAUAUUUUUCGUAAUUUGGUGUAGUUACUAAUUUGAAGUCGGAGUAAAAAUGUAUUGAUGGUCAAAAAAUCAAUUCCUAAUGUUUUGAGGAGCAGAGAAAUAUGUCCUUCCGAGUACACAUUAUUAUUAUUAUUAUUAUUAUUUAUUAAGAUGUGUAUUCGGGUCAGUUUGCAUGCAUCUCGACUAAUCCAACAAAUUCUGAAAUUAACAACAAUGUAAGUUUCCAGUGAUCAUCAUAUUACCAACUAAGGGUUCGAACCUGAAACUAUAGAGAAAGUAAAUCCUUUGAUUUUAAACUCUUAUCACUACCUACUAGGUGAUUUUAAAUUAUCAGGGACACAUUAUUUGAUAACCCCGAUUACCGUUAGUUACUGUAACGUAGCUGGCUCAAGCAACCAGUUACUAGACAAAACUGCACCCAACUUGGCAUGAAUCUCUUUCCCGUGGUUUUGAAUUAUCAGGGACAAUGUGGCUUGAAGACUUGAAGAUAAGGAGAUUGUUGUCUAGCUUUAACCAUAAGAAGAAAGAGGACAGAAAAGACUCAUAAAGAUGAGUAUUGAUGAAUCCAGUUUUAAGGGUCCCAACAAACCUCUCUUGGACUUGGUCAAAGGAAGGACCUUGAGCUGAGUUAAAGAGCUGAGGUAUCAGACACUAGCCUCCAUCCACCUCCAAAAAAAGAAAAAAGAAAAUAGAUCAGAUUUUGAGAGAAAAACAAAUUCUAGCGUUUUAAGCACGCACCUUCAGCAACCAUAAAAUCAGAUCUUAUUGCAUAACUCUGAGCCAGAGGAUACAAAUUCCAAGACAAGUUGAUACAAGAAAAAGAAUAAAAUUUGUCCCAACGCCAAGAGAAAGGAAAUUUCAACCACCCCUUCUUGCUAGUCUACACUGUCACCACCUUAUACGACGGUUGUCUAUUUUGUUCUGGGUGGCAUUUUAUUUGGUUCGGAUUUUUCUGCCACUUUGAAUUUAAGAAUAUACCUGGCUGAUUUGCCUCUGAAUUUAUUGUAAUUAAUCAUCCAACUUAAUAGAUCAUCCAAUUUUAUCUUGUCUCGUAGCCUUUGUCACAUGUUCACACGGUGGAAAGUAUGAAUGCACUUGGACAAAAAUAACAGCAAAGACAAAGAACACAGGUCUGGUCCUUUUCUUUUUCCUUUCACUGCUGUCCCGUUCCCUCUGCAUUUUUGUCGACAGAGCUCAAGUUUAACGUGUCAUCCGCGGAAACGAAGACUUUCAGGUAGAAUUUGAGGUUUUUUUUUUUUUUUUUUAAUAUUUUUUAUGUUUUUAUAAAAAAACAUUAUAUUAAUGUAUUUUUUAAAACAAAUUAAAUGCUCACGAAAUACUUUUUGUCCCGUCCCGUCCCUAUGCAGUAUUGUCCAUUGAGCCCAAGUUUAAUUCUGAUGCAAUCCUGUCUCAGUUUGUUUGAGGGAGGUCCAUACUUUUAAGUGGUAGUAUAAAUCAUGGUUUCCACACUUGAUUGAGUAAAGCAGAUUGAUUUAGAGUUUAAUCGGAUUUUAAUUCGAAAUUAAAUUAGUUAAGGAGAUGAUUGUUUAACUUUUUAAAAAAAUAUUUAAACUAAGAAUCAAAUCACUACCAGAAAAUCAAUAAAUACAAACGGAAAUACCGAGGGAAUAUUUCCGUCGGUCAAUUUCUGAGGGAUUUUAUCGACGCAAAUAUUCCCUCGGUAUAUACCGAGGGAAUUACCGUGGGAAAAAAAAAUUAAAACAAAGCAAAAAAAAAUAACGACGUGUCAUUUUUUACCGACGGAUUAAUAUUCCGUCGGGAAAUCCGUUGGUAAACUGUGAACAAUGUUCAUCAUGUCAAUUACAAAGGGAAUUACCGAUGGAAUUUUCCGUCGGUAUUUUCCAGAGAACUCCAGAAUUGUUCAUCUUCCAAUUGCACUGUUAAUUGUUUUACUUUACGGACAAAGUCACCGACGGAUUGAAAAUUCGUCGGUGUGUUUUGGCGGUUUUCUGAAAAAAUUCAAUUGAUUUAAAAUUUUCAUUUAAAUAUUACAUACAGAAUCACCGACGGAUUGAAAAAUCAUCAGUAAUUUUUGGCGGUUUCUGAAAACUUUUUACGAAAUUGAAAAUUUAAAUUAAAUAUUACCGAUGGAAUUAUCGACAGAAUAAUUAAAAAAUAUUAAUAUUCAAUUAUCCGUCAGUAAAUCCAUCGGUAACGCGCCCCAAUAAAAAACCUAAAUCUGCUUAUUUCAUAAGAGACAAACUCAUUAUUUCUUUUUCUUCUUCUACUACUUUUACUUCUUCUUCUUCUUCUUCUUCUUCUUCUUCUUCACUAUAUGUAAAAAACAUCAAUAUCUAUUUCUUUCUCUUCUUUUCUCUCCUCAUCUCCUUCUCUUUUCCUCCAUGCUCGGGUAUGUCUUCUUCUUCUUUCUUCUUUUAUCCUCUUAGUUUUUUUUAAUUAAUAUGCUUUGUCGCACCCCAAAAAAAAAUACAAUCCUAUCGCGGGUUCGACUGGCGAAAUUUUUUUUAUUAUUAUUUUUAUUUGAUUUGGUUCUUUGGAGUCGCCACCUAGUAUUUUGGUCACUAGGAACCCUAACUGGUCUCAGAGAUCGGGUACGGAGACUGGUUGCGUAAAAGGAAGGUAUUAGCACCCCAAAUACGUCCUACCUAAGGUAAGCUGCAUUGUUUUAUUGUCUGAUAAAAACUAAAGUGUUAUUGUACUUCUAGUCGUUGGUCUGUCUAUGGUUCAAGAAAAAUCCUCCUCUAUAAGAAGGUCUUUUAUCUUAUCGGGUAAAAUCCUAAACGUUAUAACGUCUAUACCCAAAACUUUAUUAAUAAUAUUUAGGAAUACGUUUUACGUAUAAAUUCGUAAUCCCAAAUACUAAAAUAAAACAAAAAGAUUUUUUAGAAUUUUUUGAAAUAUUGGCCUAGUUCUCAUGGCUUGAAUAAACUGGUUAUUAAAGCCAAAAUGCAUGCUAAUACAUAUAUUGUUUUGAAAAUUUUCUUUGUUGUGUGAAAAUAUGAUGUUAUAAUAUUUAUAUAUAUAUAUUGGAGAGACUAGGCCGUAUUUUAAAACAAAAACAAUUUUUAAAAAAUAUUUUUUUUUUAUGCUUUGACGAAAAUCGGGUAUUUUAAAUACUGAGCUUGUAUCCUUACGGUAUUAAAAUACAACCCAAUAUUAAUCCACUUUGAUAAAAAUAUGCAGAAAAAUCAACAACAUUUUUAGGGAAUUUUUAGAAAAAAAUUUGAAAGCAAAAACAUUUUUUAUUCUGAAAAUCUUUGAUAUUUUGACGAAAACCGGGUAUUUUUAACACUGGUUUUGUAUCCUUAUGGUAUAAAAAUACAAACCAACAUUAAACCACUUUGACAAAAAUAUGCAUAAAAAUCAACAAUAUUUUUUAAGAUUUUUCAAAAUAUUUUUUUAUUAUUAUUAUAUUUUAUAUAUAUAUAUACAUAUAUACACACAUAUAUUAUAACAUAUUAUAAUAUAUAUAAUAUAAAAACAAUUCGGGCUGGGCCGGCCCAAAUAAACGGGCCGGACUCAGCCCAGCAAGAAUGGGGUCGAUUUCGGCCCAGAAUGGAUUGGGUCGAUAUCGGCCCAAAAAAAAAUUAUAUCUGGGCCGGACUUGGCCCAGAGAGCUUGGUAUGGGCCAGACCUGGUCUGGCCCGUCAAACACAAGGCCGGGUCUGGCCCCAAAAAAAAAAUGCUGGGCCAGGAUCCGCCUGGCCCAGCUACGCAUCAUCAGGGGGGGAAUUAUUUCCCCCCCCUGCAUGCAGAACGAACGUUCUGCAUGCAGGGAAAGCAAAUAAAAAAACUAACGAAAAGGGGGAAGAAAAGGUUACCUGGCGUGGAGGAGGCGGUGCUGCGGUGGCGCGGCGGUGGCGGUGGCGUGGCUUCGCGGACGGCGGCGUUGUGGCUGUUACCAAGCGGCGGAGAGCAAAGAUUUUUUCCUCUUCCCCUCUUCUUUUUUUGUUUUCUUUAUCUCUCUUCCUUCAAUUCUCUUUGUUUUCUGUUUUAUUUUCUUUUGUUUUCGGUUUAUUCUUUUCUCUUUUCCCUGGUCCCGUUUGUUCUCUCUCUCUCUUCGGUCUCCUCUCUCUCUCCUCCCUUCGGUUUCUUCUUUUGUUCUGUUUUUUUUCGUCCCCCUCGGUGUGCUGGGUUGGGCGUUAUUUAUAGAACCCGUGGGCGUGGCCUCAAUGGCGGUAGUUGUUCUGAAAAAGGUCUGUUAAAGUUUAUGUGGGCCACAUGAUAGGUAGGUAUUUGUGGGUUAUAUGAAUCCAUUAUCUUGUCAUUGGACCCACCUUCGAAGUUGUUAACGGGACCUUUCAAUUUUCUUCCGAAAAAACCCUUUGUCUCCAAUGGCUCAAUUAUGCGUCCAGCUUUAAUCCCUUGCUCUAUUCUUUCCGCUAUGCGUACAACAUCAUAGAAAUGUUGAGAUGAGCUACCCAUUAAAUGCUCAUAGUAGGGUGCCUUGAAUGUGUUGGCGAACAAAGUCACCAUCUCCGUUUCUAUCAAAGGGGGUUGCACAUGCAUGGCCUCGUCCCUCCAUCUUUGCGCAUAAGCCCUUACUGAUUCUUGGCUUCUCUUUUCCAUUGACAUAAGGCUCGUUCGAUCUGGAGCAAUUUCCAAAUUGAACUUGUAUUGCUUAAGGAAAGCCUCAACUAAAUCCUUCCAUUUCUUGAUCUUGGCAUUAUCCAGCCUCAUGUACCAACUUAGCGCCGACCCCGAUAGACUGUCUUGGAAAAAGUAGAUCAGUAACUUAUCGUCAUGAAUCACCUCAGCCAUCUUAUUGCAAUAAGAUCGAAGGUGAGUGUUUGGGCAUUCCAACCCAGUGUACUUUAUAAACUCCGGUAUCCUAAAUUUUUGGUACCGUGAUGUUUGGUACCAAGCAUAUUUCAGACGCUCGCAUGGGGUCAAACCAGUCAUUUCCCUCGACUGCUCUUAACCUUUCUUCCAAGGCUGAUAUCUUGUCAUCGUUCAUAAAUCCAGUGGACCUAUUAUCGGAAGGCCCAUCUGCACACAGUGAUGAGCUUGAGGGGGCUGAAUGGGAAUGGCAGGUGCAAAGUGCUGCCCCGUCACUGAAUCUGCCCCCAAGUUCUGAGAUACCCCCGGGACAUGAACUGACGGUGCUCCUAUAGGUGGUUGGGUAGACGUUCCCUCCCCGUUCUUGGCUCUUAAAAGUUGCUCAAGCAGAUUGGUCAGUCGAGAAACUUCAUUUUUCACGAUUCCAACUCGGUCUGGUAGUGCGACUCUAAUGAGCUCUUUCUUCGUUUUCCAUUCUUGAUCUGGACCGGGUUUGGUGGACUCUGGAUGUGGACCUAUGUUUCACGAUCUGGAAUGCAUAUGAUAAAAAAAUACUGUGAUGAAAAUGUGAUGCAUAAGUGAUGCGAUGAGUAUAAUAUUGCAAAAAAGAUACAUAACCUAAGGACAAGCUCUAUUUAUUAAGUGAGAGUGGGUAGAUUUUCUAUCUAGUCUUGAAGGUUCUCAUAUCUGCCCAGUGACGUUCUUCGUAAAGACAGUAUGGGGGCGUUGCAAGGAACAGUUAAGACACGUAUGUCCACCAUUACCAAGCAGGCACUCAGAUAUGAGUUGGGUGUUUCACGCAUUUAAACCCUGACCAAUAGUCUUAGGGUAAAUCGCUAAUUCCCCACUUAACUUAAGGCUUGUGUGUGCUUUUCAAAAUAAAAGCAAGUGAUGCAUGAGACAAUUUUAUACAAUGCAUGAAUAAUAUGCGUAAAAUAAAAAUAAAUAUGCAAAUAAAAGGAAAGGCAUAUUAACAAUAAACACAUAAAAACACAAACAAAUCAGACAAAAACAAAACUUAGUCUACAAGGUCCCUAGUGGAGUCGCCAUUCUGUCGCACCCAAAAAAAAAAUACAAUCCUAUCGCGGGUUCGACUGGCGAAAUUUUUUUUUUAUUUAUUUUUAUUUGAUUUGGUUCUUUGGAGUCGCCACCUAGUAUUUUGGUCACUAGGAACCCUAACUAGUCUCAGAGAUCGGGUACGGAGACUGGUUGCGUAAAAGGAAGGUAUUAGCACCCCAAAUACGCCCUACCUAAGGUAAGCUGCAUUGUUUUAUUGUCUGAUAAAAAACUAAAGUGUUAUUGUGUUCCUAGUUGUUGGUCUGUCUAUGGUUCAAGAAAAAUCCUCCUCGUAAGAAGGUCUUUAUCUUAUCGGGUAAAAUCCUAACCGUUCUAACGUCCAUACCAAAAUUUAUUAAUAAUAUUUAGGAAUACGUUUUACGUAUAAAUUCGUAAUCCCAAAUACUAAAAUAAAACAAAAAGAUUUUUUAGAAUUUUUUGAAAUAUUGGCCUAGUUCUCAUGGCUUGAAUAAACUGGUUAUUAAAGCCAAAAUGCAUGUUAAUACAUAUAUUGUUUUGAAAAUUUUCUUUGUUGUGUGAAAAUAUGAUGUUAUAAUAUUUAUAUAUAUAUAUUGGAGAGACUAGGCCGUAUUUUAAAACAAAAACAAUUUUUAAAAAAUAUUAUUUUUUUUAUGCUUUGACGAAAAUCGGGUAUUUUAAAUACUGAGCUUGUAUCCUUACGGUAUAAAAAUACAACCCAAUAUUAAUCCACUUUGAUAAAAAUAUGCAGAAAAAUCAACAACAUUUUUAGGGAAUUUUUAGAAAUUUUUUGAAAGCAAAAACAUUUUUUAUUCUGAAAAUCUUUGAUAUUUUGACGAAAACCGGGUAUUUUUAACACUGGUUUUGUAUCCUUACGGUAUAAAAAUACAAACCAACAUUAAACCACUUUGACAAAAAUAUGCAUAAAAAUCAACAAUAUUUUUUAAGAUUUUUCAAAAUAGUUUUUUAUUAUUAUUAUAUUUUAUAUAUAUAUACAUAUAUACACACAUAUAUUAUAACAUAUUAUAAUAUAUAUAAUAUAUAAUAUAAAAACAAUUCGGGCUGGGCCGGCCCAAAUAAACGGGUCGGACUCAGCCCAGCAAGAAUGGGGUCGAUUUCGGCCCAGAAUGGAUUGGGUCGAUAUCGGCCCAAAAAAAAAUACAUUUGGGCCGGACUUGGCCCAGAGAGCUUGGUAUGGGCCAGACCUGGUCUGGCCCGUCAAACACAAGAGUCUGGCCCCAAAAAAAAAUGCUGGGCCAGGAUCCGCCUGGCCCAUCUACGCAUCAUCAGGGGGGGAAUUAUUUCCCCCCCCUGCAUGCAGAACGAACGUUCUGCAUGCAGGGAAAGCAAAUAAAAAAACUAACGAAAAGGGGGAAGAAGAGGUUACCUGGCGUGGAGGAGGCGGUGCUGCGGUGGCGUGGCUUCGCGGACGGCGGCGCUGUGGCUGUUCCCAAGCGGCGGAGAGAAAAGAUUUUUUCCUCUUCCCCUCUUCUUUUUUUGUUUUCGGUCUUUAUCUCUCUUCCUUCAAUUCUCUUUGUUUUCUGUUUUAUUUUCUUUUGUUUUCGGUUUAUUCUUUUCUCUUUUCCCUGGUCCCGUUUGUUCUCUCUCUCUAUUCGGUCUCCUCUCUCUCUCCUCCCUUCGGUUUCUUAUUUUGUUCUGUUUUUUUUCGUCCCCCUCGGUGUGCUGGGUUGGGCGUUAUUUAUAGAACCCGUGGGCGUGGCCUCAACGUGGAGCCCAGGAGCGGGUCGAGGAGCGGCUGUCCGGGCGGGCCUCCCUCGGCUUCGGCGACGCGGCGGGUGGUCGGCCAUGGUCUUCUGUCGGUGGCCCACCGGCGUAGGGCCUCGGUCGGUGGCAAGAGGGACCUGCAAAGAAAUAAAAAAAAAAUGCAAACUUUUCCUUCUUCCCCGCUGUAAUGUUCGGGGGGAAGAAGAAAGUGAACAGUGCCGUUCAAAACUGCACCGUUUGGUCUCUUUUUUUUUUUUUUUAAUUUAUUUAUGCAUGAAACGGCGUCGUUUUGGAUAAAACGCGCCGUUUCAUUUUAAAAUAAAGGCGCCAGAAACUUUGUUUUGAAUCAGUCCCUAAUUUGUCAUUUGUUCUAUUAAGUCCUUCAAUCGAGUCCUUCAAUCAAGAAUAAAAGUCAAUUGCGUCCCUGCCAAAUUUAGUCCCUACCCCUAUAGUUGGCCGCGUUUUUCACUUUGGUCCUUGGCCUAUGAUUUUUACAAUUAAGCCCCCUAAUUGAUCAAUAAACUUCCAAUUUUUUCAAUUAAGCCCCUGAAACAAUUCCAAACAGCCCCCUUUAUCUUUGCGUCUUCUCCAAAUUGGUCCCUGGUUUCGGAUUUUCAUAAUUAAGUCCUUAAUUGGCCAUUAAACUUCAAUAUUUAUGCAAUUAAGCCCCUGAUUUGACCCAAUAAAUUCCUAAAAAAUAUAUUUUGGCCCCAGAACUUAAAUUUCUUCAAAUUAAAGCCCAAAUUGACUUAAAAAUCAAUUUUUCUUGCAAUCAAAUCUUCUAUAAAUUCAAAUAAAAAUCCAAUUAAGUCCAUAAACAUCCAAAUUUGGGUUUUUCUCCUCACAAUUCAAAUUUUCCUUCUCAAUAGGGCUUUCAUCCUUCAAGAAUAUACUGUAAAAAAUUCAAUCCUUGUAUUUUUAAAUUCCUUGACCAAUUUUCUGACUGUUUCCUGAGCGCUUCUGCCUCCUGUUAUUUUUUCUAAACUCUUUUGGCUAUUUAUUUUAUUUUUUAUGGGGACCCAAAAAUGGGUUACAACAUGCUUUACGAAUUUUGUUUUCCUUAGCUUCACUUGCAAGUAUAUUAAGGUAAGAUUUUUCUUUUUUCUUAUUGUUUCAUGAUUUUUUUCACUAUAUUUGUUUUUUAUUUAAUUUUAAUUGAUUUUGUUCAUAAUAAUUGUAUAAAUGUUGUUGUGAGAUUUUUUUUUUCAUAUGAGAUCAAUUUUUAAUUGAUUUAUUUAUAGGAUUCUUAAAUUUUUAGCAAUUGCAACUUCAUUUUUUUCAUAUGAAUUUUUUUAGUUGAAUUAAUUUUUUUGUUUUAUUUAUUUGUUGCAAAUUUAUUUGAGUUGAUUUUCUUCUUUUUUUUUCCAAGCAUUUUGAGUAUAUAAUUUUGAUUUAUGUUAAUUUAAUUAUUUUAUAAUUUUAUAAAACGAUUUUUUUAAAAUGUUUUUAAAUCAUUACCGACGGAUUUACCGACGCGUCUGUUCCGCCAGUAAAUCCGUCGGUAAUAUUAUUACCAACGGACAAAAAAUUACCGACAAAAAAUUCACCGACAGAAAUUUUCCGUCGGUGAUUUCGUUGGUAAAUUAAUUACCGAUGGAAUAUGUGUCUUACGCCGACGGAAAAAUUCCGUCGGUAAAACUGUUAAAUCUUGUAGUGAAUCUUGAUAUAGCUUCUGUUUUAAAUAAAAAUGCUUUGUCAACACCUUAUAUCAACACAUUUGAUAGAAACUGAUUUUAAUAUUAUAUAAUUUCACCACUACUGUAUAAUAUAAUCAAAGACUAAGGUGAAAUUCUUACAUGUUGUAACUCAAUUUUGACCAAUUGACUUUUUAAUUUAAUUUUAUAGGGUUUAAAAUGUAAAAUUAAAAUAUCAAAGAUAUAUUUUGAUGAAAAAUAUGAUUUGUCAACUUGCAUGAAACAAGCUAACUAGCGGGCACAAAACAGCCAAUGAAGGAUGUUGUUCAAGAUGCGGUCUGAAUCGUGUUUUUUUUAAAAAAACAAUUAAUUAAAAAUAAUUUUUUAAAUAUUUUUAGAUCGUUUUGAUGGUUGAUGUUAAAAAUAAUUUUAAAAAAUAAAAAAAAAUUAUUUUGAUACAUUUUUAAAUAAAUCACUUUAAACUUUCACCGCUAUGAAACUUGGCAUAUCCCACUUUUCAUAGUAGUUUUCUUACAAUAUUUUGAGAUUAUUGUAAAGUGUUUUUUAAAAUAUUUUUUUAUUUAAAAAUAUAUUAUGAUAUUUUUUUUUUGUAAGAAUUUAUUUUUAAUAUUAAUAUAUUAAAACAAUUUAAAAUUAUAAAAAAGUUAAUUAAUUUUUUUUAAAAAAAUUCAAUAAUACUUUCUAAACACAAAAACAAAUACUUUACAAGUACAAACUUGAUUAAUAAACAAACCAUCCAAGCAAAUUGUACUUGGAAAAUAAAUGUAUCUGUCCCAACUAGUAGUUGUGUCUAUAUCCUUGUAAAUGAGCCUAAGACUAAAUACAGAAGGAAGAAGAAGAUCAAACCAAUGAGACAACUAAUGUUGAAAACAAGCCCUACUGAAGGUACUAGAACUGCGUAUGUGCGAAUGCGAUAAUCAUUGUCCCCAUGCCAAUUAUGGUUAACAACAUUGCAACCGCAAAUAAUCUUAGAGUGGUUUUCAAAUUCAUUUCUUCACCCUUAUUCAUUUCCAAAUCUUGAAUCAACACCGUCAAAAAAAUGAAUAAUUAGAUACAACAGAAAUAGAGAGCAUCAUUGACAUUGCAUCUAAUAUGACAAAUACUAUAAAAAUAGCUUUUUUUAGCUAGAAUUGCAAUGCCUCCGUCACUCUUGUAACUGCCAGGUAGGAUGAAUGGUGCUACAAAUAUUAAUGUUGCUAUCAAUGUUGUAACUACUAGAUGAGACUCUCUUGCUUUACUUAAAUCAUCCUCUUCCUCUUUGUUUUCCUCCUUCUCUUUUCUCAAAACAAAGCGCCGGACCAAAUGGUCCCCUGCCAACAUCAUCAAAGGAUUCUAGGAUCGUUUUCUGCAAAAUAUUUAGGGUAAAAUAUCAUAGAUAUCUAUUAUUUUUUUCUAUUUAAUUAUCAGAUUAUUUAAAUUUUAAUUAAUUGUAUUUUUUCAUUCAAUUGUACUGCUUUUUGUUUUUUUAUUGAAUAAUAUGUUUUUAUAAAGUAGUUACAUGCGAUUGAUAUGCAUAAUUUAUUAUCGUAGAUGAAAAACUUAACAAAAUCAAUAAAAUAACUUGAUUUCAAAUAAAAAAGAUUAUUAAGUUAUUUAGAUGAAUUCAUUUUUAUGUUUGGUAUUGCAGUACGAAUGGUUUUUAAAAAGAAAAUCUUUCUUGAAAAUUAAGUUAAUUUUUUCUUUGACUGGAAAAUAUUUUUUAUUGACCAACUUUUUAAAUAGCAAACAAACACAGUAAAGUUUGAAAAGUAAUUUUUAAAAAAAUAAUUAAAAUAAUAUAUCAGCAUGUUAAAAUGAUUUAAAAACAUUAAAUAUAAUUUAAUUUCAAACUUUAAAAAAAUUGAAAUUUAAAAAAAACAUGCUUCACACAUCUUAAGACUUGAAGAUAAGAAGAUUAUGGUCCAGCUCUAACCAUAAGAAAAACGAGUGAAGACAGAAAAGAUGCAAGUGGAGCAGAGAUAUUUAAAUUGUUUGUGAAACUUCUAGAAUCAUUUUUAUUCUAAUCUCUCACAGAACUCAGACAGCUUCCUCUGCUUUAUUUAUUUAUUUAUUCAUAUUGAUGAAUUGGUAUAAAUAGGCUUACAAGCCUAGCUAGUAAAUGGAAAUAGCCAAAAUAGUUACUUCUAUCAACAACCAUUUUCAACAAACAAACAGUCAUACAAGAUGAAUUCCUUUGAUCAACAAAUGAAUAGCAUCACUUACAUGGAAACAAAAUUGUACGAAGCUGCAGAAGCAGGCAACAUCAACCCAUUUAAGGAUCGUCUUCCAACUUCUCUCAUUGAGCUAUUGACUCCACAAAAAAACACAAUUCUUCAUGUUUACUUCGAAAACCAACGUAGAGGAUGGAGAUCCACUGAUUUUGUUGGCCAAAUUAUUGAUAUGUGUCCACAACUGCUAUUGCAAGCCAAUACUAAAGGCGAAACCCCACUCCAUUUUGCGGCAAGAUAUGGGCGUUCCAAUGCAGUGGAAGUCCUCAUUGACCGCGCAGAAGCUCGACCUACUGAUCCAGAGAGCGGAGUAACAGAAGCAAAAAAGAUGUUGAGGAUGACCAAUGAAGAGCAAGAUACAGCGUUGCAUGUGGCAGCUCGAAAUAUCCAAGCCCAAGUGGUGGAAAUAUUGACAAAAGAGGACCCUGAGUUUUCAUAUUCCGCCAAUGUUCAUGGAGAAUCUCCACUUUAUAUUGCUGCCAAUAUGAGGUUUGUGAACAUUUUUUUAGUCUCAAACAGAGUUUGAUACCGAUUCGAUACUAUAUGUGACCAACAUCUUUUUUUUUUCUUUUAAUAUAUACUAGAUUAAUCAAUUUUUUACUAAUCUAUUUAUCAAUCUAGAAUACUAUCGUUUUAAGAUUAUAUAAAUGUAAUUGUUGCAUGAUUAAUUUUAAUUUGUUCAGCUUUAUAAUGUUUAAGUAAAUCUGUUUUUAAAAUUAUCAUAAGAGAUAUUAGAAAAGCAAUGCUUCUAUAAUAAUAGGAUUUUACCUGGUUAUUUUUUUAUGCUAUGUAUGUUCUUGAACUCGAGACAUAUUAAUUCAAUAUGAAUAAGUUCACUUAUCUCCCUAAUUGUUUUUUAAGAACAAUAAAAAAUAGCAAAAUUUAAUGGUUUUUAAUUCUGUUUUAUUGGACUUAAAAUCUUGCUACAUAAGUAUUUAUUGGACUUAAAAUGUUAAUAAAAAUCACAUAUAUCUAAUUAUGAUUAUAUUGCUGCCAAUGUAAGGUUUAAUUGGAUGUUUAAAAGACAUGAAGAAAAUAGAAAAAAAGUGAUCGACGAAAUCUUGAGUAAUUGCAAGUCAGUGGAAUAUUGUGGUUCUCAUGGCAGAACCGCACUACACGCGGCAGCCAUGCAUGGUGAUCAUGGUAAGAUUUUAUUCUGAACUGUAAAUCCUUGAAUUCAUAAAUUAUUAUCGGAAACCAUAACUGUGAGAAGUGUGUUCUUAUCUUAAAUUAUUUCUUAUCUGUUUGCCAUUUUAUUGUACUCAUUUAUUUUAUGUUUCUUAAAAAAAAUCUUAUUUUAACCUUUAGGAUAUUGUUCUUUUCAUUGUUCAUUUGUCAAAUUCUUCGUUUACUCUAUCACAUUAAUAUUUGAUAUAUAUAGAAGUUAAUAAAGGGGUAAAAAACAAAAAUAUUCAUUUUAUGUUUGUUAAAUUAAAGGUUAAAUUGUAUUUAUUACUUACAUAAUUCUUUGGAAGAUAUAUACAAGGUAAAGAAAAUACAUAUUAAGAAGACAAUGAAUUUCCUAGUCUAUUUAAUUAAGGACUUAUUUGCAUGAUUAUAUAUAAGAUUUUAGGACCAAAUUGUUCUUAUAUACGUUUGUAUGUAAGGAAUCUAUAUGACAUGUAUGUGUGGGCGAAUCAUUUCCAUAUUAUUAUUGAACAUAAAAAAACGUAGAAAGAUAUUAAAAAAAUGAUGCAUAAACAAUAUUGAAUAGCGACUAUAAGAACCCAAGAACGUAGAAAGCAAGAAAGGGCAUUUAUAAUACAAUUAAAGAGAGAAAAAUGCCAAAUUAAAUAUUAACUUAUCACUAAAUUAGUAGCGUAGAUUACGCAUUAACCAUAAUAUUAUUCAUAUAUUACCUAAUAUGUACCAUAUUUUUUUUAUGGUUUAUUGCAGAGACAGCAAGAAAGAUAUUAAAAAGCGACGCGAGUUUGACGAGAAGAACCGACGAUGACGGGUGGUCACCACUUCACUACGCUGCCUUUUUCCCUACUUUAUUGCCAGGUUCUCUAACAGUAAAAGUAUUACUAGAACAUGAUGUGUCCGCAGCCUACAUUGUUGAUUCAGAGAAGAGAACAGCCCUUCACUUGGCCGUCGUUCGAGGCAAUGGGGCAGCAGUGGGAGCGAUUAUGAACGCUUGUCCAGCUUGUUGUGAACUAGUGGAUAGCGGAGGUCGGAAUGUCCUUCACUAUGCUGCCUUAACUCUAAAAGGAGCACUUACAUCUAUGUCUUUCCCUCGAUUGAUUCCUAAAUUUGACAAACUUAUAUACGAGAAGGAUAACAAUGGAAACACACCAUUGCAUCUAUUUGCUGCUUUCGGCAGUUAUCCCCAGAAGUUUCUGAGUAGUGAUUGUAGACAUGUGUACAAGAAGAUGUGUGGCCUUAACAAGCAAAACCUCAGCAUUGAUGACAUCUUGGAACGAAAUUUUCCUGAAGAAAAGGUAAUUCCCUCUAUUUGAUUUUUUAACGAGUCGCACUCGUACACGCGAAAAAGUCUUUGCAUUUGAAAAAGCUCGCUAACUUACCAAAAAAAAUUAAAUUUAAAUUGUCAGAGGAAUGAUGUAAGAUUAUUUUCAUAACUAUCAAAGGACGCAUCAAGAGAAUUUAUAAUAUUCAUUCAAUCUUGUUAAAGAAAAAAAAACUUCAACUCUAACAAUAAAUACGUAUGCACCUUUAAUAAAUCACAUCAAUCAAACAUAAAUUCACUUCGUUAUUCUCUUUUUUUAAAAAAAAUAGAAUAAAAAUAGAAUAGAAAUCCUUUUGUCAAUAUAACAAAAUUAUACCUUCAACAUCAACACUUAUAAUUGAUUAACACUAUUUGCUUUGUCCCUAGACUGAUGUUGGUUUCUUUAUUUGUUUGUUUUAAGAUGUGUUUGAUAUUAUGGUAUAAAAUAUUUUUAAAAAUUAUUUUUGUUUUGAAAAUAUAUUAAAAUAAUUUUUUAAUUUUUAACAUUAAAAAAAUACUAAAAAGUUUCAUUUGAUUUUUUUUUCCAGCGAGACACUUUUAAAUCAUACCUAAAAACAGUUUAAAAUUAAAAAACAAACAGCCCUCUCGUAGCAACAAAAGCAUUAUAUAUUGUUGCUAGCUAAAAGAAACAAAAUUACUUGAUUUCAAACUCGCUGGUUAUGAUAUCAAACAAAGGUUGAGAGUCUACAGAUGAUAAAGGAAAAGAAAGAUUCGUUUAAUUUCAUUGCCGAAACUUGUUGCAGAAAGAGAUUUUGGAAUCAUUGAAAGAUGUACGGAGUGGACUGCUUCAACGGCCCAUAGCUAUGCUGACACUAGACGACUUCUUUUAUUACCGACAGUGGAAUGGACGCUCUUAUAGUUGUAGCGGCACUCGUAGCAACAGUAACAUUUGCAGCUGCUUUCACGAUGCCUGGCGGUUACAAGAACGAAAAAGGCACUCCAGUUCUUCUUAAAAAUACUGCUUUUGCAGUCUUUGUUAUAUCAGAUGCAGUAGCAAUGGUUCUCUCAACUUCUGCUCUCUUCAUGCACUUUUCUAGGGCACUGCUUGGAAAAAGAGGUCAAGUGGAAGACGAUAUAAAAGAAACCUUCUCUUAUAGGACAUCUACUUUAACCAUAUGUGCCAUCCCAGCAAUGGUCAUCGCAUUCAUCACAGGAAGUUAUGCAGUGCUAGCUCCAUCAUUAUGGCUUGCAAUCACGACUUGUUUCAUUGGUGUAGCCUUCUUCUUCUUUGCGUGCCAGGCAUUCAUAGUUCAAUUCCGCACCCUCAUAAAAUACUGAAAAUAAACACUUCACAGCAGACUUUAAAAGAGUCUGAUAUUGAAGAAGAUUGAUUCUCAUUUAGCUCGUGUUAUAAACUAUCUUCUCGUCAUCUUCUUGAUGGCAUCAACUGUAACGUUGGCUUUAUUUAUCAAUAUAUUUCACCUUGCUUUUCACGAGUACAAUGAUCGAAAAAUUCAAUUUUGGCACUUGGGAAAUGCUAACAUCUUCAAUAUAGAGAUCAUAGAAUGACGGCUCACAAGUUCACCAUUAAUUCUAGAUGAAUAGUAACUGAGCCAUAAUUUUCGAAGGACUUGAAUUUCUAAUAUAUUAGAAUUUCCAUUAAUUGCUGAAUGGUCAUUUGGACUUCAAUUUCUACACAUUGCAACUUCAUUCACAAGAACGACAAAAAAGCACAUAAACAUUUUGAGAAAUUAAUAAAUGAUGUAAUGCUAUUAUUUAACUCCGAUCUGGUGGGUUAUGAAGGAGAUGAAGCUGAUGACAACACACAAUGUUGAGUUUUUCAGACCCUAAUUCCACUUACAAGGUGUAAAAAAUGUAGUUAAAACUCAAUUUGAAUAACAAAGAUAAAAAAAAAAAAAUCAAAUUAUUUUUAUGUUUAUUAAAAUUAGACAAGAAAUGAGUAAAAACAAAUUAGAAAACUUGAUUCAAUCAAAAAUUAAAAUUAACUUAUAAUCAAGUCAACCCGAGAUAAAACACAAUUAAAAAAAUUUUAAUUUUUUUUUGAUAACAAGAUUGGUUUAAUUUAUUUUUAUUUUAUAUCAAUUUAAAUUGAUCAUCUUGUCUCAUGACUAGGCUAGACCUAGAUUAGAUUUUAAAACAAUUAUAAUAAUUAUUUUUAUUCAUGUAUUAAUUAAAUUAAUCCUAGUUAAUCUUCCUAACACAUCUCGCCUUAGGUCAUCACUUAUAUUAAGUUUUAAGCUAUGAAAAUAAUUAUUUUUAUUUUUAUAUUAACCCAAAUUAAUGAUUAACAUAUGAUUUAUGACUCAAACUUUGCCUUGAGUGAAUUAUUAUUUAAAUUUAAAAAUUAUGAUAAUAAUUAUUUUUAAUUUUUAUUAACACAGAUAACCUAAGUUUUUUUUUUUUUUUAGAAAAUUUAACGAUGUUGUUCUACUCCUUUUAAUAAACAAAUAUUUCUUCACUGGAAUGGCCUUGAUAGAACAAAAAAUAAAUACUCCAAAAAACUUCACAAAAAGAUUAUACCGUCCAAUCCAUUUUUACAGCAUAUCAAACACUACAUAAAUUUCAAAAUCAAAUUACCUCAGUUAAAUCCAUUAAUAUCAUCGUAAUGUAGCUUCCACCAAGUAGGUUCUCCCUGAUAAACAGGGACAUGGCUCCACUACACCUUCAACAAAUUGGAUUAUAUCAUCAUAGGCAAUCUUACAUUACAAUUUUGCUCAAACCAAAAAUUACCAUAGCCAACUCUCAAAAACCUUAAACCUCCUACAUAUUACUUUAACAUUAAAAAUAGAUAUACAAGGAAUUCAUGAAUGGAUGCAAUGUAAUAAGCUAUUCAAACUAUUUUGUAUCUAUAAAUUAAAUGGAUCAGAGUUAUAACAGCUCUAUCAAUCAAGAAUUUUCAGUAGCAGAACUGGCAUUAAAGCUGUCUAUUAAUCAUCAUUGCCAAAAAUUUAUGGAAAAAAGCAUAACUUUAAUCACAGAGCAAACAGAACCUAAGAUCGAUCAAUAAAACGAAAACUUGAUGAAUCCAAUCAAAACUUGAUUUAUCUCUUUGCUUCAUUGAUUUCUCUCAGAAUAGCGAUAAAUCCAAUCUAAUAAUCGCCAACAAAUUCAAUAACAUAAAACAAUCAAAACUUGAUGAAUUUGGAGGGAUUUUUUUGAGGCAAAACCAUUGACACAAAGGGCAUAAGCCCCACGUGAACACCACCAAAAAAGACUCAAUCCUUGCCCCAGUGACUAGCUUAAUUUCCACCAUAGUUCUCAAAAAAACAAGCUAGGGGUACAGAGAGGCAGCAAAAAAACACAUACCCAGAUGAAAAAAAUGAGAAAUUUUUAAAAAAUGAGAGAUGUAGUCGUUGAUUUGACACAGAUAAGCCAUGGAAAAAGGUACAAGAGGCUAAACUGCAACACUGAACGGCAGGAUUUUUUAGCACGAGCAUUGGAGCUUUCUACUUCAGUGAAUGGUAACAAGUGAUGCCUAGGAGGCAUUAUUCAUAGAGAAUUUUGUUAAAAGAAAAGGUUUUGAAAGGAUUUGCGAUGAAAACAGGGUUUUUGGAGACGUGGAGCCUGCUAAUGGAGAGAAACAGAGUUGUCAAUAAGUUAUAUAGAGGCUGUAAAGAGCUAUAAAACCCUAGUUUUGUUAUCUGAGGAGGUAUUUUGUGUUUUUUGGGUUACGAGGCUGCGCUUGUUUUUCACAUAUUUUUGUAUUUACAAUAAAACAAAUAUAAUAAGAUAUUAUAUUUGAUAGUAUGAUUUCAUUAAAAAAUUAAAUUUGAAAAAAGUUUGUGUAUAGUUUUUACAUGUUUUUUAAUUUAGUUUUGUAAAAUUUUAUUUAUUUUUACAUUUCAAGAGCUUUUAAAAAAAUUAAAUUUUUUUUUAUUAUUUUUACUUCAAAUUGAUAUAUUUUAUGAUGUUUUUAAAUCAUUUUAAUGUGCUCUAAUUUGUUUCGGGAGUUCAAGGUAUUGAUAUUUGAAGUUUAUUUUUUAUUUUUUAUCUUUAAUUACUUGAUAAUUUUAACGAACAUAAAUUUUAAUUUUUUGAUCUAAAAAAUCAAUAACAAAAUAAUCCUUCUUUUUCAUUCUUCCAAAAAUAGGUUUAUUAGGUUUAGGGCUGGAUUUGGGGUCAUCCAUUUCAAAACCAAAAUAUCAUGAAAAAUAAAAUAAAUUAUUAUAUAUUUUAUCUAUGUUGAAAAAAUAUUUUAGCUCUUUUUUUUAAUUUUUUGAUAUAAUUAUUUUGGUUUUAGUGGUUAUUGUUAAGAUUUCUAAAUUUGGUAAAAUAUUUUUUGGACUAGAUUUUAUAUAUUAUAACUAAAUUUAUUUUCAAUUAGAUUUUAAAUAAAUCAUUUAUAUCGAAAUCGAUGUAUAUCAUAAAAAAAUAAUAUAAAGAAUCAUUGAUAUUUUUAAAUAUUUUUAUAUAGUUUAUUGCCUCUGUUUCUUUAAAUAAUUUGUUUUUAUUAUCGUUGACACCUUUCUUUUCUUAUUUUACUAUUGUUAUUCCGGCUACAGUUACUAACAAUAACAUUAAGAAUUAAGGGAAAAUCACGUACUUGCACUGUUAAUGUAAAUAACACAAGCAGGUCCUUUUUUUUUCUUUUUUAAUUUAAAUUUCAUUACUCAAUAAUAAUUAUUCUUUAUAAUUUAUUUUGGUUUGUUUUUUUAUAAGGUUAUUAUAUUUUCAAACAAAUAAAUUGUUAUUUGAUUGGUUCUUAAUUUUAUAACCAUUUAAUUUUAUUAUCAUAAAAUUAAGUAAAAUUUAGUUUCAAAAAACAAAAUUAUUAAAUUUAGUGAAGUUUAUAACUCGGGUUGCGGAUUUAGUGGGUUAAGCCGCAACGCUUAAAAUAUUGUUGUCUCAAUAUUAAAAAAAAAUAUCAUAUUGAAUUUUUUUUUAAACCAAUCCAUAUUUUUACCGGUUAUUUCAUAGUCUUUAGAUUCAUCAAAUAGAUUAGGUCACAUUGAGGCAAAAAAAGUAUAAAUAACAAAGUUAUUAUACCUCGAGGAGUCCAUAACUUGGAUAGCGAGUUUUAAGGGUUAAACUAAAAAGCUCGGGUCGGUUUAAUAUGUUAUAUUUUAAUAUUUAAAAAAUAAAAAUUAUUUUAAAUAUUUUUUAAAAUUAAAUUAUAUUUUUACCGGUUAUCUAAGUUACUUUUCAAAUCGACAACUUUUAACUAAAUUAUGACUUGAUCCAUCCUUUAUAGAAGUACACAGACAUCUUAGGAUUCCUCCUAAGUUUAGUCACAAAAAAAAAAAAUUCAAAUUAAGAAUAAAUUGUAUUCCAUUGUCCGCAGGAGUAUAAAUUACGAACGACUAAAUAAAAAAAAAAUCUCAUUUUUCUUGUUUUAUUUUAUAUCCUUGGUUUUAAAAUACUUUGAAAUCCAAUUCAAGGAACAAAAGAAAAUAAAUGAAAAGAUACAUUCAUCUAGGUGCUUGCAACAACUUGUCCGAAUAAAUUAAUGAAAUAAAAAUUCUUCAAAAAGAAAGAGAAAAUUAAAUGUCUUCUCAAACUAAAUGUUUACUUAUAAAUGUAAAGUAAAUAAAACAAUAAAUCAAUAAUUGAAUAAAGGGUUAUUACAUAAUAUUUGUCCAGCUUGAUUGUCAUUCGAAGUAAAGUCUGCUUUAGAUGCCACCUUGUUUGGUUUACCUCCUUUAUAUCAUCAGCACUCUAGGGUGCUUGAUCUAACUUUAAAAGUUAUUCCUUUGGACUUAAUUUCGUCAUAUGUAUUAUAUUUCUUAUCAUAACUUAAUUUUUAAAUAAAUAAUAAAAAAUAUAUAUAUAGUUGAAAAUGAGGGUAAGACAACACAAAUUCAAAUUUCAGAGAUGAAAUUAUCAAAUUUAAGAGUUAAUUGGUCAGAAAUUAAAGAAUUAAUAAGUUUGAGAAUUUAAUUAAAAUUUUAAUUAGUUUAAUUAAUGAAAUCAAGAGUUUAAUUGGAGAAUAAAUAAGUUUGCAGACUUAAUUAAACUUUGAUUUAAUAAAUUAAAUAAAUUCAGGGAUUUAAUUAAAAUUAAUCCAAGGGGCAAAAUUAAAAUUUGUUGAUUAAGGGACCCUAUUGAUACAUUUCAAAAUAUCAGGGACUAAAUUAUAAUUUGUCAUUUUCCAUGCCAAAUGACGCCGUUUUGGAUAUUACUGUUCAUCAUCUGUUUGCCGAAGACCAGUUCAACAGGGCAAAUGCAGCAAUCACGGCCACUAUACCCACGAUGCCGCCCACGAUCUCUCGCCUCCACGAUGCCCGCCAUUGCUGGAGGCAGGGACACAAGACCUUCUCUGGCUUUAUAAAAGCCAGAGAAAGGCCUCGGAGAGGGAACCGAAAGGAAAAACAGGGAGCACGAACGAAAACAGAGAGGGGACUAAAAACAGAGAAACAGUGAGAGAGCCAAAAAGACAGCAUUCCCAGCUUUGUCUUCGCUCUCAAAACGCAUGUGAAGUGCAGAGAAACUGCAAGCGUUGGUCAGCCUAAUUAUUCGUCUCCAGCUACACACUCCAAACCAUCAGGGGAAAGGAGACGACGAGCAGGGAGACUGGGAGAAAGUGGGCUGAAGACACAAACCAGAGAAAAUAAAAACAAAAGGGGACGCUCUCGACUUCUUCGGUGGCAGCUCUAAAAGCUCCAUUUUCAGCAGCCACUGCUGUUAUGGCUUGAGAAGGAACAAACAAACACUGAGGGGCUGACUGAAGGAGGCUUCAACAGAGAAUAAAAAAAAAACAGGGGAGAAUGGAAAAGGGAACGAACCAGGCGACUGAGAGAAAAAUGAAAGAAUUCGGGGAGGAGAGAAAAGCAGAGAACCAAGGGAGAUGCAGAGAACAAAAGCAAGCCUAAAAUAGUGAGAAGGGCGACCAGACAAGAAGAGACAGAAGGGGAGAAUAGCCUCGGCCCGCCAGGACACUUCGUCUCCUUUGCAACCAGGUAAGUUCCUUCAUUUCCUUCUCCUUUGCAAUUAUAAUUACAUAGGUACUGUACAUAUACAAAUUUAAUUCACUACUUACUGUUCAACCGACAUGUAAAUUCACUGGUUUGUAGUGACCAGGAUAGAACUAGCCCCAAAAAAUUAAAAAAAAAAUAAAAAAAAUGUGUGUAUGCAUAAAUAAAUAAAAUAUUGAUUUAAAUUUAUUUUUAUUUUAUUGUAUUUUAUUUUAUUUAGAUACAUAAAAAAUAUGUGUAUGUGUAUGCGUAAAAGUAAAUUUAUUUUAUUGGUUUAUUCAGCAUAGUUAGGAAUAUAAAAAAAUAUUUAUUUAAAUUUAUUUUGUUUUUAUAACUAUGUAAUAUUUACCAAUGUCAAGUUUGAAGUAUCUAUAGUUGAAUAUUCACUAGCAUCAAAGUCAGAAAUAUUACACACAAACCAUAAUAGCACAAACCAACAAAAUAUUAGCAAUUUAUGAUGAAAUUAGAAAUGUAGCCUGCCUCAGGCAGGACGCUUAAGGGUAAUAAUAUCUUUUCUUUUGCGUAACUAGUCUCGUACCAUAGAAUCUCUGUUGAUCAGUUAGGGUUCCUAGUAACCAUAAUACUAGGUGGUGACUCCUUAAACAAAAUCAUUCCCCAUAAAAAAAUAGGAUGCCAGAAAUCUAUUAUUUUUCAUGAAAAUUUUUAAGAUCACCGCGAUGUCCAGAUACGACAUUGCUAAUCAUAAAUUAAGUCAAUCUACAAUGCCAACUUUGUCUUAUGUUGUUGUAUUAUUGGCAAAAAUCAUAUUUGAAUGGUUUGCAAUUUAACCUAAUAACAAUCUAUCUUGAAGAACCAAAGUUAUAUACAAUGAUUAUUCACAGUUUAUGUCUAUAAAGAGAUACGAACGAGUAGUAUAAAAUUAUAACGAACUUGAUUAAUCAUUCGAAGAAUUUAAACGUGCCAUCAAGAACUUAGUAUGAGAAUUACUCAACCACUUAAAAGAUAGCAAGAAUGUUGAUUUUUUUAUAUUAAAAAUAUUCUUUCUCCCCUUAAAAAAAAAGUCUUUACAAAAGAGUUUAUAUAUUAUAAAGAAUUAUAAGUUUAAUAGGAUAUUCCUAAUGAAUAUAGAUAAAUCUAAUAAAUAUUAAUAAUAAUUCAAUGAAUCUAAAUUUAAAUAAAAGAACCUAAUAUAUCUAAAAGACAUAAUAUUAACUAAAAUAAACCUGGAGUGUUUGCAUCCCCUUACAGUUUUCUAGAUUCAAUUCUUUAAUUGUAGGGUAAUUCAAUGUCAAAUUCCAGGGAGGCUCUAACAUGAACCCUUUCAAUUUCAAAACUGUAAUACUUUGGCUGGAUAAUACUUUCUUUGGCAAAUUAUAAUGUGCCUUGAAUUUGAAUUUCUCUUUUCGAAAAAUAUUUAGCUCUAAUCCCUCCACCUUAUUCUGUUUUGCAUAAAAUUCGGAUUUUUCUUUUCCAACAAUAUCAAGCUCCAACUCGUUCACCUUAUUUUCUAUUGCAUAACUAAUUACACUAUUAAUACCAUUAUUUGUAUCCUCACAAAUAACCUCUAAACUAAAAGAAAACAACAUAAGGUUUUAUUAUGGAUCAACGUCAACUAGUUUAACUUUCUCGGGACAAUUUCAAUUGUUAAUUUUGUUCUGGUUGACAUUUUAUUUUGUCAAUUAAAACAGUAUAUUUUGGUUUCAGUGUACUAUUUUGACGUAUAUAUCCAUUGAUAUAAUGAAAAAAUGGGCUUAGAAACAUUUUAAUAUUUACCAUAUUCUCAUGUUCAAUGCAUGUGUUUCAAGAAGUGAUAUUAAGCUUUAAGAUUAGGCAUUGAUACCGAAUCACUUCUUAAGAAAACCCAUGAUGAAUUUAGAAAAAUAAUUAGAAAGGCCCAAUAGGUAUAUUGUCAUGAAAUUUAAAAUAUAGAAAUGACUUAUCUUAGAUAAAAUGAUUUAGGGUGAUGUGUUUUUUUUUUUUUAAUAUAAUCAUCAUCUUAUCUAAAUUAGAUGGUAACUUCUUAUCUAUUCUUACAAUUCUAAUUUUUACCACAAUGUUAGGUGCAAAAAAACAAUGACUUCAUUGGGGAUGAUUUUGACCAUUACCGCUAAGCUUCAUGUAUUUAAUUUUAUGAUGAAUGUAUCUUUCCUAAUUAAUUUUGUUUACUUUAUUUUUGCCUGGUUUUGUUUUUUUUAUUCUUUUAUAUUUCCUUAUUCUUUUAUGCAUGUUUUUUUUUAAUUAGAUAUGGACUUAUAUAUGUACACACACUACAUAAACUUUUAUUUGCACACACAUUGCUUAACGCUAGGAUUGAGGAAUUAGCAAUGUCUCGAUAGUUAUUGACUUGAACAACAAUUGUAAAACCACUAAAUUCUCAUGAAAAGUCUACUUUGUGGAGACAAAUGAGUCAAUAGAGCUUUGCCUUGAUCCAUUAUUUUCUACAAUGUAGGCCUUGGUUCAGCCUAUUAAAGCCCAUUAAUUGAACAGCGGGAUCCUUCUGAAACCAAUUAGAUAUUAAAUUUAUAUUCAUGUAAUGACUAGAAUCUUUUAAUAGAUUGUCUUCUUGUAUUAUCACAAUGAGAAGUCUUAUAAAGAUAAACUUUCAUGAGAAAAUGGAUGACAAGAUAGUAACAAUUCACAAAUAUACCACACAAAAAUUCUAACAUGAGUCUGAAACCUUGCAGCAAAUUAAGGGGACUUUUUUAAUAAAUAAAAACUUGAUACCGAGCUCCCGGACUUGAAAAAUAUAACUUGUCUUGCCAAUAGAACUCACAUACUCAAAUAUUGGAAGAAGUUGAGUAAUUAAGAACUACAUAUUUUAAAUGAGAGGUAUGAGAAUUUGAUUGCAAUGUUGAAUAUAUUUUUGCAAAAAUAGCUAUAAAGGUGCUCGUACAUUUUAGGACCCCUUUUUAUAGAUUUUUUUUUGUUUUUUGUUUUGUUUUGUGGAGAAAUGGACAUCAUACAUACCAACUAUUGAAGAAUAUGGCAUGCCCAAAUCUACACGCGCGCGCGCAUAUAUAUAUAUAAAUUUAUUUUCACAAUUGGUAAGAUGGGAAUAUUGCAUGACAUCUUGUAAAAGCUUAUAAAUGCUAGAAACAUGACAAGCAAAGUGAGAUACUGCAGGUGUUAAGGGCUGGCCUUGAAAAACCUGGGAAAAUAUGCUUAACCAGAAAAAAAAGACCCAAGUAGUUGUUUUAACAGAAUCAGGAUAUUGGCUCUGGUAUCUUUGGGCUAAUAUUAUUUCUCUUUGUUGGUGGUCUGAUUAGUUUAGAGGCGGCAAAUGUGCUUCUAGAAAUGGAAAGAAAUUAGGUCAAUUCAAUAGUCACGGUGAUAAUAGAAACUAUUUUUUCACUUAAUCACUGUCGAAGAACGAAUAAAGGUGAGAUGUUGUGUUCACUUGCUAUACAUGUAGAUAGUCAACCAUAUGAUAACUGGCAAAACAGUUUUAUGGUAAGUUUGGUGGGUUGAUCAAAAGCCAUUAAAGGAGUUUGUGGAAAAAAAUAGCAACCUAUAAUGAGGAAAAAUUUAUGAUUAGUUGUUUUAUAAGUUACCAACAGUAGUUGGACAACAAUUUUGAUGGGAAUUAAACCGUCCAUGGGUCCUCUAAUAGGUAUCGCUGGUUAUAUUAAUUAGUACUUAUGCACCCUCCAUGAUGGCGAGACAAUUUAAGUAUAUGCAAUGUAUCCCAAUAACAAUGAUGUGAAUAGCUUAAUGCAUGUCCUUGAACCAAAUCAGUUUCUUAUAAAUCUCAUUUCCUUAAAUACACAAAAAAAAAAAAAAACUAUUUUGGUCGUUGAGCUCCCAUUGUUGCUCCUAAUGGUUAUGAAGAUUGUGUUCUCCCAUGAAUUCUCCACUUUCUAUGGUAAAGUGUAAGAGUUAGGCUUAAAGCCACGACUUGAGGUAUACUUGUAUGGUAACACGAUAACAAUGACUUGAAUAGCUGAACGCGUACUGUUGGACCAAAUUAGUUUCUUACGAAUCUCAUUUCCUCAUUAAGUAUUGAGAAUCCAAAAAAGAAAAAACUAAUUUGAUCCAAUGUUAUGUGUUGGGUUGUCCAAGUUAUUGUUAAGAUAAGAUCAUGCAAUUAAAUCUCAUGCUGAAUGGAAGUUGUUAAAUGUUAACAAGAGACUCAUAACAGUUGAAUUUCAUAUGUGAGUAAGGAGUUUUAUAGCAAAUUUUGAUAUGAUUAUAUAAAUGAUGAAUUUAUAUUUCAAUAGCCUGGAUUUAUGAUUUAAAGAAAGCAUCCAUCAACGUGUAUAAAUCCUUACGUGCAUCUCAUGUGAAGACAAAGGUGAUCUCAAGUGCAGAUUCUCCCUAAUACAUAUAUACGACGUACAGCUUUUAAAGACAAUCAGACCAGAGAUGAGUUUUGUUGGUUGUAAUAUUGGAUUUUGGAACCGAACUAUGUAGAGAUGGCCAAAGACUGGCUUCCUGAGAAGUUUGAAACGGAAAUGGGGCUGAUAAAGUUCUUGAUGAAGAAUAUACCUAUUUCUUGGAGGACAUAAUCAUGUACAUCAACACUAGGGAGAAUUUUGAAGAGAAAAAAAAGAAUAAAUAUUUAUUUUCGAAAACAUGUUCAAGUGCCCUUCUGCCGCACAGAAUUCUGAUCCUGACGCCAGAAUCGUUUCUGUUUAUGAAUUAGUUUUGCUUUUUUUUUUUUGGUUGCAAAGUUUUCGAUGAAAAUGAAAUACAUGAUUUCUGAUUGUAUAUAUGGUUUCCGUAUAUUUAGACAAAUAUCAGAAGGCUAAUUAUUUUGUGAUACUAAUUUCUUUAUUUUCAUCUUUUUUUGUAAUUAGGUUUUGUGUUUUCGAUUCAUAAAUGUUUUUCUACAACUUCGAUGUGCUUGUAUUACCAUGCAUGGUUUUUUAAGAAAAACAGCGAAAACUAAAAUAAAAAUAUAUAUUAACUUGUAAAUUUUCAUUACAUAUAUUCUUGUUAGGACUCACAAAAUUAAAUAGAUUCAAUUAGAGGAAAUUCGAGCAUAUAAUUUAUAUUGUUUUUUUUAACUAAUUACUGGUAUACAAUCAAACACUAAUUCGAAUUAAAAUAAAAUAAAAUCAGUGACAUUACUUCUUCAUGAGAGAAUGAAAAGAACAGGAUCCGAUGGAAUCGCUAUGUAUCAUGUGAAGUUUACAAUUUCCACCACCGGUUCCAACGGUCAAGUGACAUGAGUUAAUCAUACUCUUUUAAGCAUAUUAAUUGUAAACUUGCUUUGCACUUCUAUAUUAGUAAUUAUUUAUUUUUGUAAUAUUUAUUAAUACCAGGCUGCAAAGUCAAUGCUCAGAGAGGAGAAUGAUUAACUACGUGCACGCCCUUGCAUUAUGAAUUUGUCUAUGACGACGUCCUCUUUAACAUGAUAGAGUGUAAUUUUCUUUGAUAAUUAAUUAAUUAAUUAUCUUUGGUCUUUCCUUCAAGAUCUAACAUCCCAUUUGCAAAAUAAUUAUAUGAAAAGAAAGUCGGUCCAAUAUUAAACUAUAUAAUAAGUUACAAGUCCAAUCAUUCCCAUUAUUUUAUCAAAUUACAUGUUCUAUUUAUAGAGAGCAUAUAGCACCUUGUUUGACAUAUUCAUACUAUCAUACACUUCAACUCAAUCGUUCUUCUCCACAAUCAAAUUCAGGCUUCAGCAACAGAAGUUAUAAUGGCGGUAAGCAUGUAUACAUAUAGUGGAUGAAAUUAACCGUAGGUUAAUUAAUAAGAGUCUUCUAUUAAUUACUAUUUUCUCGUAUCAUAUUACAACUGAAAGGAAAGAAUGGCACAGUUGUAUUGAAAAUUUUUGUUGUAAUUUACUCAGUCGAUCAUAGAAAUGAGAGUGCAUAUGGAUUGUGUUGGAUGUGAGAGCAAGGUGAAAAAUGCUCUGGAAAAAGUCAAAGGUAAGAAAUCACCUCCAAUAAAAACUUUAUGCAUGCGACAAUUUUCAUCUUAAUCAUCCCUUUUUUUUUCAUAAAUUAUUUUCAUUGUUCCUCUCUUUUUAAGGUUUUCUUUGGCCAUAUUUUCUUGGACUAUAUCUUAAACUUUUGUAUUUGAACUUAUACACACACAGGCAUAGAUGACAUAGAUAUAGAUAUGGGGUUGCAAAAGGUGACGGUCACAGGAUGGGCUGACCAAAAGAAGGUUCUAAAGACAGUUCGUAAGACAGGAAGAAGGGUUGAGCUCUGGCAAUUACCUUACAAUCCACAUCAUCAUAGCUAUUCUGACCAUUACUAUAACCAACACCAAGUUAACGGUCCACUUACUAUCAUAUAUCUUCGAAAAUAUGAUAGCAACGAUCAUGGUUAUUAUCAUCAUCCAGUGCAUUCCUCCAUCUUUAACCACCAGACAGGAGCAGUUUUCAGCGAUGAAAACCCUCAUGGUUGUUCUAUAAUGUGAACAACAUAGUAUAUAUUAUUCUUACUAUAUAUAUACUUAUACUGGUUUGUUUUACAUGUACUGAUUUCCUUUUCACUUUAUGUUUUGUUAAACCUUGUUCACAUGAAGCUAUAAAAUAUAGACAAGAAAUGCCUUUAAUUUUUUUCCUUAUCAUUUUGCAACUUAUAAAUUGUUUUGUUCUGAUUUGUGCCCGAGGCAAGGUAUUGUCUGCUGAGAAAAUCGAGCUCCAUUGAUCUUUUCUUUUUACUAAACUAAAUCACCACCGAUUGCAAUUAAAAUUUUGAUCAACAUUAUAUCAUUCGGAUAGGAUGAGGAUGCACUCCUCCACACACUCAAAUAAAUAUUUUCCAUGGAAGAGAUGCCUUGGAAUGUUUUAGAAAGGGGAUAAUAUUCUCAUGUGCGCCCCUAACUUAUUCGCUAUUACCCUUUCUGAGUUGUGUCCCUAAACUACAUAAUUAAGCAAUUUGGUCCAGAAUAUAUCUAAGAAUUAUCAAUCUAAUCCUUUCAUCCUCAAAUAUACUUUGUUGUCAUCUUUAGUUGUGGACUCAGAUGAGAAAUUAAGUUCUUAAGCAAAUUUUUUAUUGACAAAUCCAAUUGAUAAUUCUUGUGGUCAGUUCGUUGAAAGUUAUAACUAGAUUGGGGAUCAAAUUUGCAAAAUAAUUAGAGACAAAGGACUGAUAUUAUGUUACCCAAGAACCCCAUAAAAAUUAGGGAUGAAAACGUCACCACUCAACAGAUAUGAUACCAGGAAUCCUCUCAUCUAAUUGAGAUGGGUUUUAACUAGGAUUCAGCCUAGUGUGGAACUUAACUCCCUUUUAUUUUUUAGUAUACAAAUGAGUGUAUGUUCGUCCAAUUAAUACCCAACUUUUUUUUUUUAUUUCCUAAAUAUUCUAAGAAUUUUUGUGACUUUAUAGUUUUUAAUUUUUUAUUUCCUUAAUAUUGUGGAAAAAAAUUAUUUCAUUUAUCAUUUAAUCUUUGUAAAGGGAUGGUGAUAGGUAUUUACGGGCUAGGUUUUGGUAUUAUCUAUAUUUGAAUUCAAACCCGGUUUUGGUAUUAUCUACAUUUGAAUUCAAACCCAAAAUAUUAUCAAGUCAAAACUUGACGGGUGUAAAUUUUGAAUACCAAAAUCUAAUUCAUUCAGAUUUUAGUUAUCAAUUCAGAUAAUCAUUACCUAAUUGAUAUAGUAAGGUUUGUGAAAACUUGAAGUUUUGAUCAUGUAUAUAAGAAUCUAUCACAAGCAGACUAUUUGGAUAAUUUAACAUAUAUUUUUAUAAACGGGUACUGAGAUAGCACUAGGUUUAAGAAGAUGCAUGGCUAUGCUAUACUACAGUACGUAGUGGCUUUAAAUGGAAAUAAUAAGAGAUUUGACGGUUGGUUGAGAUUAAAUUUUUUUAAAAGAUUCUACAAGUUUUUUUUUUUUUUGGAAAGCCACUAUGUCAGGACUAUUAGAUCUUCAAAAAUUAGUCCUAAAAGUUUCUGCUUAGACUAAUUUUGUUGUUUUUUUCUAGAUUGUUUUUGGAUUUAUUAUUUUAUUUAAGAUUUUAUGUUAGUUUUCUUUAUGAUUUUGAAUUCUAAAUUCUUUUUAUAGAGAUAGGAUUUUCUAUUUAUUUAAACAUUUUGUAAACAUUUUAAGGAGAAACUUAAUAUAUACUUAAUUUUUAAAGAAUAAAAACGUGAAUUUAAAAUUCAAAUCUACAAUUCAUUUUCUUAUCAAAUUCUUGAAGUGGUGGGGGUAAAGACUGCCUCAUAUUAUACAGUGUUGUUAUCCAUUUUUAAGUUCCCACAAAAAAAAAAAAAAAUACAAAAAAACUAUAUAUAUCAAAAAAAAAAUAUUCAAAAGAAAUUAAAAAAUAAUAAUAAUAGGAGCGAGAAAAUGAUGUUGGAAUGCUGAAAAAUAGCCAAAAAUUGAUUGAGAAAGUUUAAAAAUGCAAAGGGUUGGAAUUUGACAGUUUAUCGUUAGUUGAUGAGAGUCUUGUUGAUAAAGAAAAUUCAAUUUUAAAAAAAAUAUAUUCAAAAUCAAAUGUUUAUGUACUCAAUUAAAUUUUAUCUAAUGUUUAAUUGAAUAUAUGGAGGGUUUGAUUGCAAGAAAAAUUGAUUUUGAAGUCAAUUUAGACUUUUAUUGGAAGAAAUUAAAGUUCUGAGGUCUAAUUAUAAUUUUGAAGAGUUGAUUUGGCCAAAUCAGGGGCUUAAUUGCAUAAUUAUUAAAGUUUGAUGGCCAAUUAAAAAUUUAAUUGAAACAAUCGAAAACCAAGAAUCAAACCAGAAAAGGCGCUAUAUAAAAUCAAGAGAUCCAAUUACAACUCAUCCGAGGGACUUGGUUACAAAAUUGUCAGAACAGCCGAGGACCCAAUCGAAAAUAUUCAUUUUGAAAAUUUGAAACGGCGUUUUUUCCUUAAAGAGCAUUAUUCACUGUCUCCUUCAAAGAAACCAGUUUUUAGCAGUAAAAUAGGGAUAUGUUUUGCAGCAAAUUGCUCCAAUUAGGGGCACAUUUUAUGGCUCCUAUCCCGCAGUCUCCAGAUUACAAGGCAACCAUUACCACCGCAGGGCUUUCCCUGGCUUAUAAAAGCCAAAGAAAGACAGUGAAGAAGAGGGGGGGCAACGAGACAACGAGAGGAGAAAAAGAAGGAGACAAAGGGAGAGUACAGUGAAGAGAGGAAAGAAAACCGAGAGAGGGAGACGAACGAAAAAAAAAAGGGCAGAAAGAAAAAAGAAGAGAGCCGCACCAGCACUGCCAACGCCAUUUUCAGCUCAUCAUCUUCUUCGUCCAGCAGCCACUGCCAUUCUCCAUCAGAGCCGCACCAGCACUGCACAACAGAAAGGAGAAAGAAGAAGAGUAAGGGAGAGCAGGGACAGAAAGAAAACGGGAAAAUAAAGGAGGAGAACCAGACGAGACAGAGAGGCAAAGCGUGAGGAAGAAAACAGAGGAGAAGGUGGGAGAAACAGAGGGGCAGAAAUAAAAAACUAGGAGGCAGAGUGAAGAAAGGAAGGAGAGGAAGCAGUGUUGGAACAGCCCUUCACACUGUUUCUUCGUCUGCAACUAGUGCAAAGGAGAGGGACUGUUGAACCUUUUUCAAAACUGCAGUAUCCGUGAUCAAGCUCAGAGAAACUGGAAAAAAACACGAAUACCAGUAGCAAGGAAAAACAAAAGAAGAUGACGAACCAGAGGAACCGGAGGAAAAGCAAAUGAAAAGGGGAAAAUAUAGGCCAAAACAAAGCUCAUGCAUUUUGGCUUUAAUAACCAGUUUAUUAAAUUCACGAGAACUAGAUCAAUAUUUUAAAAAAUUCCAAAAAAAUUAUUUUGUUUUCUUUUAAUAUCUAGAGUUACAACCUUAUAUGUAAGACGUAUUCAAUAUAUUAAAUUCUUUUGAUAACGUCAGAACAAUUAGGUUUUACCCGACAAGAUAAGAAUCUUCUUACCGAUGGGAACUUUUCUUAAACCAUAGACGAACCAACAACUAGAAAACACGACAAGACCUUAGAUUUUAUUAGACAAUAAAAAAAUGCAGCUUACCUUAGAUAAGGUGUAUUUAGGGUGCUAAUACCUUCCAUUUACGUAACCAGUCUCCGUACUCGAUCUCUGAGACCAGUUAGGGUUCCUAAUGACCAAAAUACUAGGUGACGACUCUCAUUCUAUUUUUCCACACAUUUUUAGAUAAUACUAAGAUUUUAAGGGUGUAUAUUUUCACCGCGAUGCUGCACACAUGCGACAUACAGCAUAAAUGGAUUAAAAAGGGACUCAGAUAAGUGUUUUUUUUUUUUAAUUAAAAUUGGUGUCUUUUUCGGUUUCACUUGCAAACGGAACACCUAUCUCCAAAACCCAUGUUUGCAAACAUGUAUGCUAAGCGUCAAAAGAUGAAAUCUAUGUGCGAUAGGAUUAGCAAUUUACCUGAUGCACUCCUCCUUCACACACUCUUUUCUGAGAUGCCAAGGAGUUUUGAUUGGAUACAUUGUUCACUCUUUAUUUCAAAUCAAUUCAAUUUUUCUAAUUUCUAUUUUAGUUUUCUUUAUUUUUUAUCCAAUAAACUUUAUUUCUAUUAGAAAAGAUUUGUUUUUCAAAUUAAAAAAAUUAACAUUAAAAGAAAAUUUUAACUAAAAAUAUGUUUUUUUUCCCGAGAAUUCAAAUAACUAUCUUUAUUAAUGAAUAUUUAUUUUUAUUUUCAUAUAAUUAAAUAAAAAACAAAAAGCAACCAUGUUAUUAGAUUAAAUAUUUACAUUUACAUUUGCAUUUAUGUUUUUUAUUUUUUACAAAAAAAAAACCCAACUGUUUUAGCCUUUAAAUAGAUUAACCAUUUGAUUUAUUAAUUCAAAUAUUUUUAAUUCGUUUUUUUUAAAAUACAAACACAAUCAUUUCAAUUUUGAAUUUAAAAAUUUUAUGCUAUCAAAACUCAACUCCACAGAUUCAUAGCUUCUUGUUUUUUUUGUUUUACAUUACAACUUAGCUUGGAAUGUUACCCGUAACUAGUUGGUAUCUAAUGUCUUUAACUAUUUCCCCAUGAAUUUGUAUCUCAAGAGCAGUCUGGUUUGUCAUGUACAUGCACUUCAUGGAAAAUGCUAGCUAGCUGGCACAGGAGCCAAAGAAGAACGAAACUUGGCAUAUUCCACUUUUCAGAAUAAGCUGUGCGCUUAAGGAGUUUGAAAUGCGGUAGCGGUUGCUUUUCAAAUAGUUUUUUGUACUGAAAAGUAUGUCAAUAAUUUUUUUUAUUUUUUAAAAAUUAAUUUUGAUAUCAGCACAUAAAACGAUCCAAAAAAUACAAACCGCACUCAAUUUUAGUAAAAAAACAAAAUUUAAAAUUUUCCAAAAAAUAGAUUCAACCGCAGUGCCAAACAGACAUUAAGAGUUGUUUUUUAAAAUAUUUUUUAUUUAAAAAUAUAUUAAAAUAAUUUAUUUUUAAUAUAUAUGAUUUAAAAUCAUAAAAAAUAUUAGAAAAAUUCAAUAACACUUUUUAAAUAUAAAAACAAAAACACUUCAGAAGUACAAUCUUGAUUAAUAAACAAACCAUCAAAGCAAAUCAUGGUCAACAACAUUGCAACCCCAAAUAAUUUUAUAGUGGCUUCCUCACUUAUCUGGUCGUCCUCAGCAUCUUUAUUGCUGCUGUUACUCCGCUCUCUGAAUCAGUAGGUAGAGCUCUGGCACGGUCAAUGAGGACCUUUACCACAGUGGAAUGACCAUAUGCUGCUGGCAAAUGGAGUGGGAUUUCACCUUUCUUAUUGGCUUGGAAUAACAGUGGUGGACACAUUUUAAGAAUUAUAUCAACAAAAUUAUAUCCUGCCGUACAGUUAGUUCAAUGGCAAGCUGGCGUUGUGUUAUUUGGGCAUGGGAUUAAUUUGCUUACAUUUUGAACUUCCAUGCAGACUGCAGGAUCUGUCCCUUGGUGGUGGUUAUGUUUACCCUACUAACAACAUUGUAGUAAUCAAUAUUUAAAAAUAGUGCUUUCUGAAUUUCCAUAUCUCAAUUUUAUUAUAUUACCUGUAGAAUAAAAGAAAAUACAAAAAACAUUCAUUAAAAUGACGUUUUAACCACAAAAACAAUCACUGUCAUAAAAAAGCCAAUUUAGAGAAUCAGGAUUAAACAACUGCAUGUGGGUUAAUUAUGAUUGAGGUGUUCUUCGAAACCAAAAGUUAACAAAUUGGCCCUCCUUCUUUUUCUUUUUCAUUUCUUUUCCUAUUCUCCCUCUUUUUUCUUUUUCUUUUUCUUUUUUAUUUCAUCUCUUUCUCUUCAGUUUUUCUUUUUCUUUAUACUCAUCCACACACGUUUUCUCUUUAACACAGGAACAAAAAAAUGAAAAGGCAAAAAAGUGUGAUCGUAUUAAAACACCAUUUGCUAUACACUUGUACUAGAAUAGUUUUCUUUUUAUUUCUUUAUGUACUCGUCUUACUGUAUUUGAACUUCUUUUUGUACUCGUCUUCCUGUGUUUGAACUUAUCAAAUAAUUAUUUCAAUUCAAAAUUUUUUUAUUUUUUUUAGCAUAUAUUAUAACUUAUUAAACAAUGAUUUCAAUUUAAAUUAAUUUAAGGGACGAAACCUUAAAAAUAGUAAUACAGUGUAUAUAAUUAUUUAAUUUUAAUUAAAAAAAAGUGUCAAUAGUAAGAUUGAAAUUCGUAACUCUUGACAACUCAAAUUUAUGCUUGAACUGUAUGCCAUUAGCUUUCUGCAUCCUCUAGCCUUGAUGAUAUAUCUGAUGUUCAUUCCAACCCAACCCGAAGUCAGACCAGCACCAAGCAGAUACACCAUAGAUAAUAUAUCUGAAUUAGAGAUUUUCAUAGCAAUGCCACAAACUCUUCUGCUCUACGGACUCCUUGUAUAGCAAGAACAUCUGCACGGUGACUAAUCUCCCUUGGUGUACGUACGAGUGAAGGAUACUGGACCCAAGCAAGAUGAAAAUCUACCUGCUAGAAUGAAAAGAUCAUUAAAGCGCCACGACCUGAUAAAAUACCUUAGUCCUGCCUAUACGAUGAUAAUUCCAUAGCUUUAAUUGCUGCAAUCAAUUCAGCCUCGUUUGAUUCUUUAUUUCCCACUGGAAUAGAGAAAACCCCUAGAACCACCCCACAUUGAUUCCAAUGAACAUGUUCGAUCCCCGGGGGGCCAUCGAACAACUGAACUAAUUUUCUUAAUAUUUGACCCUUUUUUUCAAACCAUCACCAGAUAAAAGUAGAUCAAGAGCACAAUAUGGGAAGUCAGAAUCUAAAGCUUUAAUCCAUACACGAAAUCUAGUUAAAAUAAGGAGGAAUAUGGUGUCACAAUCUGAAUUUUAUUCUGAAGACCAAUUCAUUCCUAGUGAUCCAUAGCUGAUGGUAAAUAAAAGCAUAAACCAUACCUUCCUUUGGAAUUUUCCUUCAACAAGGACUUCCCAUUGCUGAAAAAGGUCAGGAAAAUUUAUUGGGCAACAUCAAGAGAGGCCCCACCAUUCACAUGAUUUUGUCCAGAUUUUCCAGUGAUUUUGACAGUGGAUGAGAAGAUGCUCCACAGAUGCUUCACUACACCAUUAAACAAUUUCCAAGGAAGGAACUGCGAGUUGAAUAAAUUAAUCUCCCUGGUCUUUCCUUGAAGAUCCAUCAUCCCAUUUGCAAAAUAAUUAUAUGAAAAGAAAGUCGGUCCAAUAUUAAAUUAUAUAACAAGUUACAAGUCCAAUCAUUCCCAUUAUUUUAUCAAAUUACAUGUUCUAUUUAUAGAGAGCAUAUAGCACCUUGUUUGACAUAUUCAUGCUAUCAUACACUUCAACUCAAUCGUUCUUCUCCACAAUCAAAUUCAGGCUUCAGCAGCAAAAGUUACAAUGGCGGUAAGCGUGUAUACAUUUAGUGGAUGAAAUUAACCGUAGGUUAAAUAUUAAGGGUCUUCUAUUAAUUAAUAUUUUCUCGUAUCAUAUUUUACCCAGUCGAUCAUAGAAAUGAGAGUGCAUAUGGAUUGUGCUGGAUGCGAGAGCAAGGUGAAAAAUGCUCUGGAAAAAGUCAAAGGUAAGAAACCACCUCCACUAAAAACUUUAUGCAAGCGACAAUUUUCAUCAUAAUCAUCCCUUUUUUUUCAUGAAUUAUUUUUUAUGUUCCUCUCUUUUUAAGGUUUUCUUUGGACAUAUUUUCUUGGACUAUAUCUUAAACUUUUGUAUUUAUAUAUAUACACACACAGGUGUAGAUGACGGAUAUAGAUAUGGGGUUGCAAAAGGUGACGGUCACAGGAUGGGCUGACCAAAAGAAGGUUCUAAAGACAGUUCAUAAGACAGGAAGAAGAGCUGAGCUCUGGCAAUUACCUUACAAUCCACAUCAUCAUAGCUAUUCUGACCAUUAUUACAACCAACACUAAGUUAACGGUCCACUUACUUACCAUGCUCCUCAGCCUUCCUCUUCUUACAAUUACUACAAGCAUGGAUACGAUAGCAACGAUCAUGGUUAUUAUCAUCAUCCUGUGCAUUCCUCCAUCUUUAACCACCAGGCAGGAGUAGUUUUUAGUGAUGAAAACCCUCAUGGUUGUUCUAUAAUGCGAACAACGUAGUAUAUAUUAUUCUUACUAUAUAUGUACUUAUAUUGCUUUGUUUUUCAUGCACUAAUUUCCUUUCCACUUUAUGUUUUGUUAAACCUUGUUCUCGUGAAGCUAUAAAAUAUAGAUAAGAAAUGCCUUUAUGUUCCUUAUCAUUUCUAUUAAAGGUUAUAAAAACAGAGGCCGGGGCCUCUGCACAGGGAAGAUGAAGAAAAUUGCAGCAAUCGCCGCCUAUCGUCGUCCUGCCUCUAGUGCCACCGCCUCCGCCUCUGCUAUAGAAUAAAAGGAGAAGAACAAGAUAAAAUAGAGACAAAGAGGAGACUGAAAGAAAAACAAAAGAAAACAGAAGAAAAUAAAGGAGAAGAACAGAAGGAAAAUACGCAGAGAAGAAGAAGAACCGAUCACCGACCAAGCAACUGGUCACUAUAUAAAAAGCUUUUCCUGUAGCCAUUGAUUAACUUUUAGCGUCAAAUACAUGCAUGGACAAAAGAUCUGAAAUUAUUUGAACAGAAAAGCUGGAAUUUAUACAGUGACAGUGAUAGAAAAGCAAGCAAUUAUGUACAAUUAUCCUAUAUGCAGUCAGUGUAUCUAAUUCCGACUUGCUUUUUUUUAUUUUAUUUUUAUCCUUAAUCAAUUAUUCAUUUUAACAUUAUUCUUUUUCUUAAUUUCAUUCUCUUCACAUAAUUUUAACAUGACAAUUAAAAAAACCGAUUGUAUUAGUAACUUAACACACCUAGUAGCUGUAUAGCGUCUGUUCAUAAGUGUCAAUAACAAUAAUGAUUACAUACAACUAUCAUUCCUAUUAAUGGUUAUAAAAUAUCAAAUCAAAGUGUUUUAUUUUUUAAAUAUUUUUAUCUUUUCUAGCUAUAUUUUAAAAAAAUUUACGACAAUAAAAAAAAUGACUCUUGAAUGCCACAUGGUAUGGUCCCAGAAUUGGACGGUGCAAAGAUUUCUUGGUCCCACAAAUAUUUCUGAUCGAUUAACUUUACUAGUGAUUUAGCAUUUGCUUGGCUGCUUUUGAAAUUUUUUCCCCUGACUUUAGCAAAUAAUUUCUGGACUGAUUUGAUUUUUUAUCUUGUUGCCCAGGUUUAACGUGUCAUCCGCGGAAAAGAAGACUCUUGGGUAGAAUUCGAUUUUUUAAAAAAAGUAAAAUUCUUUUUAUAUUUUUAUAAAAAAUUAUUAUAUUAAUAUAUAUAAAAAAAAACAUUUUAAAUGCCCCCGCAAUACUUACUGUCCCGUGCCCUCUGCAGUAUUGUCCUUGGAGCCCAAGUUUAAACCAAGAAUCAAUCCUGUCUCAGUUUGUUUGAGGGGGGGGUCUAUACUUUUAAGUGGUAGUAUAAAUCAUGGUUUCCACACUUGAUCGAGUAAAGCAGAUUGAUAUAGAGUUAAUCGGAUUUUAAUUCUAAAUUAAAUUAGUCAAGGAGUUGAACGUUUAACUUUUUUAAAAAUUAUUUAAACCAAGAAUCAAAUCUUGAUAGCUUCUCUGUUUUAAAUAAAAAUGCUUUGUCAACACACCAUAUUAACACAUUUGAUAGAAAUUGAUUUUAGUAUUAUAUAUUUAUAUCUGUAUAUAUUGUUUAAACCAAGAAAAAAUAUUUAAAUUACGGCGACUUGGGAUACGUAAAGGAAUGUUUUACUAUCCUGUUGCACCAAAAAUUAUUUUUAAAUUAAUUUUUUAAAGUGUUGAUAACUAGACGUAGUAGUGUCUAGAGUUAAAAUUCUACUUUUCACUAUUUAAAAGGCCUUUUGGUUCGGCCACUAGCUAGCACUCGGCCAGCAGCCAUGCAGCGCCUCGUCAACAUCCCAGGAAGACAACAAGCGUGCCUGCCCUGCACUCACUUUCGGGCCUAAAGGCCCAGGGAUUUUUUUUAAUCAAAAUCUUUAAACAUUUAGAUAAUUCAUAUAAUAUUAAAAAGGAACGUAUUGCAAUUAUAAUAAAUUUUUUUACUAUCUUUUUUUUUUUCAAAUUAAGCAUUUGAUCAUACCUAAAUUUUUUGAGUUUGACCAUACUAAAAUACUUUAGGUUUAGGUUUAGCAUGAUUACUAGAUCCAAGUCUCUUGAAUCUGACAUGAUUGUCAGAUCCAAUAUCUAUAAAAAAUUAAAAAUAACUAUUUAGAAUUUUUGUUUAAGAUACUUCAAGAAUAUUUUAAAUUUUUUUAAUAAAAAAAAUACAUUAGAAUUUCUAUUUAAAAUACUUUAAGGAUAAUUUAAAUAUUUUUUAUAUUGUUUUUAAAUACAUCUGAAUUUUAUUUGAUAGAAAAGUAAGAAAUUCUAAAAUAUAUAUGAUUUUGAUAAUUUUUAAUUUAAAAUAACAAUACUUCUUAAAAAAAAAACAUGUUUUCGUAAUUUAAAAAAAAAGAAACACAUUAAUAAAAAAAAAAUGGAGUUUUGAUUAGAUACAUUGUUCACUCUUUAUUUUAAAUCAAUACAAUAUUUCUAAUUUCUAUUGUAGUUUUCUUUAUUUUGUUAUUCAAUAAACUUUAUUGCUAUUAGAAAAGAUAUGUUUUUCAAAUUAAAAAAAUAUAUUAUGAAAAGAGAAUUUUAACAAAAAAUAUAUUUUUCCAGAGAAUUCAAAUAACUAUUUUUAUUAAAAAUAUUCAUUUUUAUUUUUAUACAAUUAAAUAAACAAAUAAAAAGCAAUCAUGUUACUAGGUUAAAUAUUUACACUUACAUUUAUUUUUUUGUUUUUUACAACAAAAAAAACCCAACUGUUGUAGCCUUUAAUUAGAUUAACCAUUCUUUAUGUGAUUUAUUAAUUCAAAUAUUUUUAAUUUGUUUUUUUUAAUACAAACAUCAUCAUUUCAAUUUUCAAUUUAAAAUUUUUAUGCUAUCAAAACACAUGUUCAGAGGUCUGACUUGUCAUCCAAUGGAGUCGAUGAGAUUAGUCCAACCAUACAUGCACUUCAUGGAACAAGCUAGCCAGCUGACACAGGAGGCAAAGAGGAAUGAAACUUGGCAUAUCCCACUUUUGAGAGUAGCUUUUGUUACAAUGUUUUGAUCGUGGUAACAGUGUUUUUUAAAAUAUUUUUAUUCAAGGAUAUAUUAAAACAAUUUAUUUAUUUUUAUUUUUAAAAUUUUAUUUUUAAUAUUAACAUAUUAAAACAAUCUAAAAUUAAUAUAAAAUUUAAAAAAUAAAAAAAUCUAAUAAUACCUUUUAAACACAAAAACAAAGAAUUUGCAAGUACAAUCUGAAUUAAUAAACAAACCAUCAAAGCAAAUUGUACUGAAAAUAAAUUUAGUUUUACCAACUAGUAUUUGCAUCACUAAAUUUUAGUCAUGAAUAAGAAAAAUAAAUAAAUAAUAGUGUUAAGAGUUUUUGACCACUUGACUUGUGAUGCGUAUCAAUUACAAUAAAAAAUAAAAAAUAAAAAUUGACAACCAACCACAUAAUUUCUGACCAUAUGACGUCAUAAUUUUUUUCAAAAACAAUAAGAUCGUCUUAAAAAUACAUCUGAAUUUUAUUUAAUAGAAAAUUUAAAACAUACUCUAAAUUCUUGCAAAUGAACCUCAACACGAAAUACACAAAGAAGAAGAAGGUCAAACCAAUGAGACAAGUGCUGAUGGCAAGCCCCAAUGAAGAUUCUAGAACUGUAUAUGUGCCUGUGAUGAAUGCGAUAAUCAUUGUACCCAUGCCAAUCAUGGUCAACAAUGUGGCAACCCAAAAUAAUUUCUCAGUGGUUCCUACAUCAUCUAUCUCUUUAUCCUUUACCAUUUCAAAACCUUUAAUCAGUGAAAUUAAAAAGUGGAUAAAAACAGCUAAAAUAGAGAGCACCAACGACAUUGUAUCUGAUACAACAAAUGCUAUAAAAGCAGCUUUUUUAGCAAGAAUUGCAGUGCCUCGAUCGCUCUUGUAACCGCCAGGUAAGGUGAAUGCUGCUGCAAAUGUUACCGUUGCUAUUAACGCCGCAACAACUAGUUGAGACUCUCUUGCUUUACUCAAAGCAUCCUUUAACUCUUUCUUUCUCUCAACAUUCUCUAUUCUCAAAACUCGACUACCAAGCGGUCCACUGCCAAUAUCUUCAAGGGAUUCUAAGAUCUCUUUCUGCAAAAUAUUUAGGGUAAAAUAUAGUAGAUUUCCAUCAUUUUUGGCUAUUUAUCAAAUAUUAUAAAUCAACUUCCGGACCUUUGUUUUUGUUUCCGCAACAACUUUGUUUGCAAUCAAAUCCUUUCUGUUACUGUAUAUAUUAGUAGGUAACAAAAACUAAUUUGGUUGAAAUUAAAAUGCAUGCUUUUAUUUCCUAAGAUUAAUUUUAUAUUAAAUUUCCUAAGAUUAUAUUAAGUUUCUCUUAGAUUUUUCAACUUUAAUUCUCAGAUUUUUAAAAUUUUAAUUAAUUGUAUUUUUUUUCAUUCAUUUGUAAUACUUUUGUUUUUUUAUUGAAUAAUAUAUGUUUUUAUAAAACAGUUACAUGCGAAUCAUAUGCAUAAUCUGUUAUUGUAGAUGAAAAACUUAACAAAAUCAAUAAAAUGACUUCAUUCCAAAUAUAAAAAAAUUAUUAAGUUAUUCGGAUUACACUUUAUUUUUAUAUUUAGUACUUCUGAUAUAGAUAAUUUUUAAAAGUAUUUUUUUAUUGUAAAAUAUUUAAAAAUAAUUUUUUUAUAUUUUAUUUUAUUUUUAAUAUCAGCUUAUCAAAAUUAUACAAAAAAAUAAUUUAAUUUUUUUAAAUAAAAUACAUUUUUAAAACAAAACAAAAAAUAGAAGAUACUCCUAAGAUGAUACAGAACUGAGCCCAACUGAACAAAAGUUAUGUGGACCUACUUGGUGGACAUGAUUAAGAUGCGGAGCUAAGAGAAUCUUAGAUGCAAAGUAAAACCAGUUUGCUGUGAUUUAAUUGAUUCAUUAAUUGAUUUAAUUGUGAAUCACAACAGUUAAUUCAUAGAGGAUUGAUUACCUGUAUCUCUCCAAAAUCUCUCAACACGUUGAUGACGCUUAGCUUUCGCUUAUUAAGACCAUAUUUCUCAUCUUCAAUAUAACCAUAUUCAAAAAAAACACGUCUCCAUGGCUUCAGCUCGCGCGCUAAAGCAGCAAUUAGAUGGAAGGGCGUGUUUCCAUUGUCAUCCUUCUUCGAUUUAAGUCUCUCAAGUAAUGGAAUCCUCAGACAUUCCUUGAAUACUUCGGUUCUCUUACUGGCCACAGCAUAGUGAAGGGCAUUCCAACCUCUGUUAUCAACUAGCUCACAACAAGCUGGGCAUCGAGAAACAAUCUCUUUCAUUAUUCCUACAUGUCCUUGAAUGGCAGCAAUGUGAAGAGCUGUUCUCUUCUUCUCUGUUUCAGCAAUGUAGGCCGCGGACGCAUCAUAUUUUAGUAAUACUUUCACUGUAAGAGCACACCAGUCAUAAAAGGCAGCGUAGUGAAGUGGUGACCAACCGUUCUCAUCGGUUGUUUUCGUCAACGUUUUUUCUUUUUCUAACAAUUUUCUUGCUGUCCCUGAAACCAUCAAAACAAGGAAUAAAAGUUAUCCUUCAUGAACAACAGAGAUUUCACUUAUGCCCCGUUUUAUAAUUUCUUUUAGAAAACUAGUUUCUAAAAUAAUUUUCUAGAAAAUAAAUUAUUUUUCAUGUUUUGUAGAAAAAUAAAUUGUAAAACACUUUUCAACUAUAUUAUUAAAAUUAAGCUGAAAAAUAAAUUAUUAAUAUAUUUUUUUUCAUGUUUAUUAAAAUAAUAAAAAACAAAUCUUACUAAUUAAAAAGUUGAAUAAGAAUAAAAUUGAAAAAAAAAUUUAAUUUCAUAAAUGAUUUCAAAUCAAAUAAAUAAGAUCACGAAGAUUAAAUCUAACUGAUAAAAAAAGUUGAAAAAUAAUAAAAUUAAAAAAUAAAGACUAAAUUUUAUAAAUAAAUAAAAAUCAAUUAAUGAUAAGAGAAAAAAAAUAAUAAUGAUAAAAAUGAGGAUCAUGAUUGCCAGACUUGAGCACAAAAUCCUACCUUCAUCUGUCUUCAUGAUUGCCGCGUGUAGAGCAGUUCUACCAUUAGGGCCGCCAUAGUCCACUGAAAUGCAAUUAGUUAGGAUUUCAUCGAUCACCUUUUGUUGACCCCGCCAGUCAGAAGCAGCUGCAAUAUAAAGUGGAGUUUCUCCAUGAACAUUGGCGGAAUAUGAAAACUCAGGGUCCUCUUUUGUCAAUAUUUCAACCAACUGGCUCCGCCUAUGUCGAGCUGCCUCGUGCAACGCUGUAUCUUGCUCUUCAUUGGUCAUCCUCAACAUCUUUUUUGCUUCUGUUACUCCGCUCUCUGGAUCUGAAGGUAGAGCUUUUGCGCGGUAAAUGAGGACCUUUACCACUUUGGAAAGACCAUAUCUUGCUGCCAAAUGGAGGGGGGUUUCUCCUUUCUUAUUGGCUUGGAAUAACAGAGGUGGACACAUUUCAAGAAUUAUAUCAACAAAAUCAGUGAAUUCCGGUUCCCUACUAUGGUUUCCUAAGUAGACAAGAAGAAUGGUGUUCUCGUCUGGAGUCAAUAACUGAUCAAGGCGGGUUUGAUAAUUCUCAAAGGGAUCGAUAUUGCCUUCCUCCGCAGCUUUGUACAAGACAGGAUCCAUAUAGGGAUCGAUGCUAUUCAUUUUCUCAGAAGAAUCCAUUUUGUAGCUUAGAGAACUGACUAAAUGAAAUGUAAGCAAAUAAAGGGGAGGAGAAAUCACUGUGGCUCAAAGGUAAGAGGUUACACUCCUCAACUGAUCACAAGCUGCUGAUUUAUUUGGUCUGUUGCUUCUCUGGAGAUGGACAGGAUAUUUAUUGAGGUUGGAUUUUUAAAUGUUAUUUAUUUGAAAAUAUAUUAAAAAAAUUAUAUCAUUACAUUAAAAUUAUUUAAAAAUACAAAAAAAAAAAUUAAUUUAUAAUAAAAAAAAUUCAAAAACAUUUUUACGUUUUGAGCCAGAAGAUACAAAUUCAAAGACAAAGGUGAUACAAGAAACAGAAUCAAAUUUGGCCCAAUGCCAAGAGAAAGGAAAUAUCAACCAGCCCUUCUUGCUAGUCUACACUGUCACCACCUUAAUUAUACCAAGGUCGUCUAUUUUCUUGUAGUUGGUAUUUUGUUUUUUCAACUGUAACAAUGUAUUUUAAAUUUUGAAGUGUUUCGACUUUCGAGGUUGUACUCUUACAAGUUACUAUCCGGUAAGUUGCUGCAUUAAUUACCUACUAGAUAAAAUUGCAUGAGACUUGGUGAAUGUUUGAUAUCUAUGGUAAUUUUUUAAAUGUUUUUUUAAAUAUAUUAAAAUAAUAUUUUUUUAAUUUUUAAAAUUAAUAUAUCAAAACCAUUAAAAAACACUAAAAUACAUAUUAAUUUAUUUUAUUUUUAAAAAAUACUUUUUAAAAAAAUAUAUAUAACCAAAAGGAAUCUCUUUUCUAUUGUUAGAGAAUAUAAUUUUAUUUCAAACUGGAAAAAAAAAUUUUAAAAAAAAAAAAACAAACAAACAUGUUUCACGCAUCUGACUUGAAGAUAAGGAGAUUAUGGUCCAGCUCUAACCAUAAAAAAACGAGUGGAGACAGAAAAGAAGCAAGUGGGGCAGAGAAAUUGACCUCGAGGAAGACAAGCUAGGACAAUCAUUUUGAGUGUCUUUAUGUUCAAGAGCAGCUGCAAUACACGAAGAAGGCCAAGCUACUUCAAAAAUUGAACUUUCCACGAAGGUUGUCAGUCAAAUUUAAAUUUUAGACUUUGGAUCCAAGGCAAGAAUUAAAGGAACGGUUGGUAUGCAUCAGUGUCAUAAAUAGGGUUAACAUUAAUAGUUUCUUAGUUAUUUGGAGAUUUUUAUUUAUUUGAUGCACAUAAUAGUUCCUUUUUAAUUGUUGAUAUUAUAAUUGUUUUUUUUAAUUAAAACUCUAGGAAUUUGUUUAACAUUUGAACAUAAUUGUUACGUUAUUAAACUGAUUUUCAUAUCACACAUAAUAAGUCACUUUAAUAUUAUGCAUCUAGGUUGUCACAUUUUUUUCUCUAAUUUAUAUGUAUCAUAAAUUUUUAUUGCCAAUUUUAAGAAUUUCAAUAUAGGUUAAAAAUUUCUAGCAGGCAUCUCGAAUUUUUCACGUUGGCUUCCUCGGCGCAAGCUAGGCAUUCUUUGAUCCGAGUUUGAGGCCUAUCGCCCCCUCCUGUAAACAAAUUAGUGUCGACUUCCUUUUUUUACAAAACAAAGAUCCCGACAUGAAUCCCCGCUCCCGGAAAAGGUCGUCGCGACGCCGCGCUCUAGCGAGGGUGCGACAAGAACUUCGAGUCUUCAUAAACCUACCCAUCAAGUAUAGGUGCUCAACAAUAUUAUUUUAGUUAUAAAUUAAUAACUUCACACUCUUCCAUUUCAAAAAAAAAAAAAAUACAACAUAUUGAUCCAUCAUAUGCACCAAAAGAUAAGACAACUCUAGUUUCAUGAAGAAAUAUGAAAAAUAACAUGUAAAGUAUGCACAAUACUUCAACUCUUUAAUAAAAUUACUCUUGUUGUAAAAAUUACUCUAUAAUUUAUGCUCUCCUACAACUUGCAAGAUAUUUUAUUGAUAUGCUCUGGAUAUGGUAUCACAAUAUUGAUCUUGGCUUUAUAUUUGAUCUUUAUAAUUUGUAUAUUAAGCUAACCUUUUAUUUUAGCACUGGUAUACCAAGUAAAAAUAGCACGAUUAAGCUCUUCAUCAUUACACAACAAGAGAAUAGGGGUGAGCAAAUUUGGUUCGGUUCGGUUUUUAUCAAAAAAAAAUAACCAAACCAAAAAAAGUAUUUUAAAAAAAAACCGAAACCGGUUCGAACCGGUUGGUUUCGGCUCGGUUUGGUUUUUUAGGGAAAAACCGGUUUGGCUCGGUUCGGUUUUAUAAUCCUAAAACCGAUACCAAACCGAACCGGUUAGCUUUUUCAAAAUUUUAAUCGAUUUAAUCAGUUUUUUUUCCCGGUUCAGUUUUUUCAAUUAUUUUUUUCUCAGUUUUCUCGAUUUUUCAGUUUUUUUGCUUAUCCCUACAAGAGAAUGAAAGCACAAAACAUAUAUUUAAAGAUUCAACAAAUAAAUUGUAAACAUGAAUAAUCUAUGUGAACUUAUCGCCACAUAGGCUCUAAUAAGUGGAUUCUAUAAAUAUUCAUUAUGGGAAUGCUUCUAUAAUUUUUAUGAAAAAACUUUUGUCAAUAAAAAUCAUGUAAUAAAAAAUCAUAUUUGGGUGGAGGAAGCAAGUGUGACCAAAUAAGAAUACUCUUAUUUCUAGAGGGAAGAAUCUCCACGAUCUCACCAAUCUUCUACUAGGACAUUAAAGAAAAGUAAUAAGGGAUCCAUUUAUGAUUUCUUAACAUGCAUCAUUCACCACUAUGCAUACAUAGGUGUUGGAUUCCAUCUAGGGAAGAGAUUUUGUACGAUAUCCAUCUUUAAUGAAGAGUGGUAUUAACAUAAAUAACAUUAACAAGUUCUGUCAUUUUCAUUAUGACUUUAAUCAUGACAUUAAAGAAUAUCAUGCCCUAAAAGGAGAGAUAAAAAGGUUGAUAUCCAAGGGAUAUCUCCAAUAAUUUAUGAAGAAUGAGAUGUAAUUUAAACAAAUAAAAAAAAAUCUCCUCCUUAACACAUUACUAAUUUGUAAGAAAAUAUUGCCAGCAAUAUCUCCACUAAUUGCAAGCAAGGCACAUCAUCUAAUAACUUAAUUUUCUAUGAAAAUAUUUUUUUUUCUCCAUAAGAUAAGUUCAGAGACUACACCCGGUCUCCAUAUAUAUAGGAAAGCCAAAGUUACUCUUAGCCAUUGAAAGCUUUAGCCUUGCAAGAUAUCAGUUCUAAGCCACACAAAGCUAGCGCCAAGUUAUACAAGAGAUAAGUCUUGGAAAUACAGACUAAAAUAGUCUCUUCCAUUCUACACACAAAAACUCUGCACUCUUAUACUUACUAAUUUUAGUAUCAAAUAGUUUUCUAUUGUUUACAAGGGUUUUAUUUUGUAAAAUGGCUCCUGAACCUUCCAAGCCCAACUACAGUACCAUCAACCCAGGACGGCCAUGAAAAACCUAAUUUUUAUCUAAAUGUUUUUCAUAUAAUUUCAUUACCUAUACUGUUAGUGUUAAGCCAAUGGUAUGGAAGCCAUAUGCCUGUAAUCUUUCUAAAAGUAUUCGUUUUAGAUAAGUAUUCUCGCACUUUGAAUGCAAAGACAUUUACCGGUAGCUAAUACCAAUAUCACCACUAAAAGAAAGAGGGCUCUCUUCCACCUUUCCUUUCUUUCACAUCUUGAUUCGGACUUUAUAGAGGUCCAUGGCCGGCCAUUUCCCCUUGACCUCUCUGUCCAUGACCACUUCUUCUAUCGUACCAUGCCAUUUCUUUUUAGCGGUCUUGUCUUAGAGAAAAAAAUGUCAUGGUCAUGCACAUGAUCAAUCAAGUUUUGUCCUUGAUAUGUGACUCACUCAAGUAUAUAUUUAUCUGCCUUCUUUUUCUAUAUCGUAAAAAGGAAACCUUUCACAAAAGAGCUUUAAGUUAUGAUAGUUUGGUUUUUUUUAACAAAAACUGGCAGAACUUGUUUUGCUUUUUUUGAGUUUUUAUGAGAUUUUACUGACUUUUCAUAGGUUUUUUUAAAACUUUUUUUUUUUAGUUUUAUGGGCUUUUCCAAAAAACUUUUUAUAUAUCUAGUUAUUUUGAGCCCAAGUUAAUUAACAAUGCAUGCAAGGAGAAAAGUGAAUCCACUAAAGUUAUCGAAAGCAAAAUACUCUAAUUCAACUACCAAUCAAUAUAUCAUCUGCAUACACUUGAGUAUCUAAUUUAUUGGUCAACUGCAAAGCUUGUUUUUGUGAAGGUCCUGGGUUCGAUCCUCAAAAGUACCAGCCUGUCACCCCUGCGGUGUCUUACCUGCCUACUGGGCUUGCAGGAUGUUCAGUAGGCCCUGUGAUUAGUUGUGGUGCGCGUAAGCUGGCCCGGACACCUAGGGUCAACAAAAAAAAUCAUCUGCAUGCAACAAUUAUUUAUUGAACUAUGCUGGAUUGGUUUUUUUUUUUUGUGAAUCAUCACACACAUAGUAUAUAAAAGUUUUUCCUGUAGCCAUUGAUUAACUUUUAGCGUCAAAUACAUGCAUCGACAAAAGAUCUGAAGUUCUUUGAACAGAAAAGCUGGAAUUUAUGCAGUGACAGUGAUAGAAAAGCAAGCAAUUAUGCACAAUUAUCCUAUUUGCAGUCAGGGCAUCUAAUUCCGACUUGCUUUUUUUAUUUUAUUUUAUCCUUAAUCAAUUAUUCAUUUUACUAUUAUUAUUUUCAAUUUCAUUCUCUUCACAUAAUUUUAACAUGACAGUUGGGCUUGGUUUGCAUGUGGUGCUGCAUUCAUGAUAUAAAAAAAACUAUCAUGGCAUUAAAUUGAUCAUCAAUUUUAUAAAACUUAAUUUAAUUUUAUCAAUUCAAAAAAAUAUAUACAGCAGUGACAGAGUUUAACACAAACAAAAAACCCUUUUUUUCUUUUUUAUUGUUUAAGAAGCAUGGAAAACUAUAGUUUAUUCCCAAAGUUUUUUUUUUUCACUUUUAGUCCCUAUAUAUGUUUUCUAGGGUUUCAUGUUAGGGUUUCAAUAGUUAUUAUAAUUUGAAAGGAAGGAGAAAGUUACCAAAAAAAAGUAAAUAUAAAAUAUUUGACCAUUCAUAUUUUAACACUAAAAAAAUGAUUUUAUUAUUUAUCAUUUAGCUUCUGUUCAUAACUGCUAAUAAAAAUAAUGAUUAUUUACAACCACUAUUCUAUUAAUGGUUAUAAAAUAUUAAAUAAAAGUGUUUUAUGUUUUAAAUAUUUUUAUUUUUUCUAGCUAUAUUUCAAAAAACAUUACGACAAAAAAAAUAAUUAAACUCUUGAAUGCUACAUGGUAUAUGGUCCCAGAAUGAGACCGUGCAAAGAUUUCUUGGUCCCAUAAAUAUUUCUGAUCGGUUAACUUUACUAGUGAUUUAGCAUUUGCUUGGCCUUUAGCAAAUAAUUUCAGGACUGAUUUGAUUUUUUAUCUUGUCUCGUAGCCUUUAUCACGGUGGAAAGUAUGAAAUAUGAAUGCACUUAGACAAAAAUAAGAGCAAAGACAGGACACAAGUCGGGUCCUCUUCUUUUUCCUUUCACUGGUUUCGGUGCUGUCCCGUCCCCUCUGCUUUUUUGUCCACAGGGCCCAAGUUCAACGUGUUUCGCAUUGCUCAAGACCUCGUCAUCCGCGCAAAAGAAGACUCUAGGGUAGAAUUUUUGUUUUUAUUUUUAAAUUAAUAUUUUUUUUAAUAUAUUAUAUUAAAAAUAAAUUUUAAAAAAUAAAAAAUAAAUAUAUUUCAUAAAAAACAUGCAAUCCUGUCUUUUUUUUUUUUUUUGGGGGUGGGGGGAUUUUUUUUUUUAGGGUUAUAAAACAGAUUGAGUUAGAGUUUAAUUUGAAAUUAAAUUAGUUAAGGAGUUGAUCAGUUUAACUUUUUUUUAUAAAAUUAUUUAAAUUAAGAAUCAAAUCUUGAUAGCUUCUGUUUUAAAUAAAAAUGCUUUAUCAACACAAUAUUAACACAUUUAAUAGAAAUUGAUUUUAAUAUUAUAUAUUUAUAUUUAUAUAUAUAUUGUUUAAACUACGGCGACUUAGGAUAAGUAAAGGAAUUUUUGUAAUAUUUAUUAAAUAUAAAGGGGAUUUUUAUCAAAUCUUUAAACAUUUAGAUAAUUCAUAUAAUAUUACAAUACUUAAAUGGAAGGUAUUGCAAUUUAUGCUAUUUUAUAUCAUUACUAACGUCAAUUUUUUUUAUUUUUUUUGUUGAAGUCCAUUUGAAAGGAAAGAUUGGACCAACGUCGAGUAUAUAUUUAUCUGCCUUUUUUUUCUUUAUCGUAAAAAGAAAAUAUUUCACUAAAAGAGCUUUAAGUUAUGAUAGUUUGGUUUUUUUUUAACAAAAACUAGCAAAACUUGUUUUGCUUUUCUCGAGUUUUUAUGAGAUUUUACUGACUUUUCAUAGGUUUUUUUUAAAACCUUUUUUUUAGUUUUAUGGGUUUUUUAAAAACUUUUUUUAUAUCUAGUUAUUUUAAGCUCAAGUUAAUUAACAAUGCAUGCAAGAAGAAAAGUGAAUCCACUAAAGUUAUCAAAAGCAAAUUACUCUAAUUCAACUACCAAUAAUAUAUCAUCUAGAUUCAACAAUUAUUUAUUGAACUAUGCUGGAUUGGGUUUAAUUUUUGGGUGAAUCAUCACAUACAUAAUAUAUAUAAGCUUUUCCUGUUGCCACUUGCCAUUGAUUAACUUUUAGCGUCAAAUACAUGGACAAAAAAUUUGGAAUUCUUUGAACAGAAAAGCUGGAAUUUAUGCAGUGACAGUGAUACAAAAUCAAGCUAUUAUGGACAAUUAUCCUAUAUGCGGUCAGUGCAUCUAAUUCCGAGUUGCUUUUUUUUUUUAAAAAAAAUAUAUCCAUAAUCAAUUAUUCAUUUUAUUAUUAUUAUUUUUAAUUUCAUUCUCUUCACAUAAUUUUAAUAUGACAGUUGGGCUUGGUUUGCAUGUGAUGUUGUAUUCAUGAUAUAAAAAAACUAUCAUGGCAUUAAAUUCACCAUCAAUUUUAUGAAACUUAAUUUAAUUUUAUCAAUUCAAAAAAAUAUAUACAGUGCUGACCGAGUUUAACACAAACAAAAAAACCUUUUUUUUUAUCUUUUUUAUUGUUUAUGAAGCAUGGAAAAUUAUAGUUUAUUCCCAAAGUUUUUUUUUUCACUUGUAGUCCCUAUAUAUGCUUUCUAGGUUUCAUGUUAGGUUUGAUAGUUAUUAUAAUUUGAAAGGAAAGAGAAGGUUAAAAAAAAAGUAAAUAUAAAAUAUGUGACCAUCCAUAUUUUAACACUAAAAAAAUGGUUAUAAAAUAUUAAAUCAAAGUGUUUUAUUUUUUAAAUAUUUUUAUCUUUUCUAGCUAUAUGUAAAAUAAAAUAAAAAUGAGUCUUGAAUGCUACAUGGUAUAUGGUCCCAGAAUGAGACCGUGCAAAGAUUUCUUGGUCCCAUAAAUAUUUCUGAUCGGUUAACUUUACCAGUGAUUUAGCAUUUGCUUUUGAAUUUUCUUCCCUGCCUUUAGCUAAUAAUUUCUGGAACUGAUUUGACGUUUUAUCUUGUCUCGUACGUAGCCUUUGUCAGCGUGUUCACACGGUGGAAAGCAUGAAUGCACAUGGACAAAAAUAAGAGGGAAUGACGAAGAACAGAAGUCUGGUCCUUUUCUUUUUCCUAUCACUGGUCUCGGUGCUGUCCCGUCCGUCCCCUCUGCGUGUUCAACUUGUUUCGCAUUGCUCAAGACCUCAUCAUCCGCGGAAAAGAAGACUCUAGGGUGAUUUAGCAUUUGCUUGGCUGGCAGCUGCUUUUGAAUUUUUUUCCCUGCCUUUAGCUAAUAAUUUCUGGACUGAUUUGAUUUUCUUAUGUUGUCUCGUAGCCUUUGUCAACAUGUUCACACGGUGGAAAGUAUGAAUAUAUUAGAGGUGAUGGAGAGUUUUAUUGUGGUUGUUUUUUAAAUUAUUUUUAUUUAAAAAAAUAUUAAAAAAAUAUUUUUUUAAUUUUUAAAAAAAUAUUUUUUACAACAGUAAAUUAAAAUAUCUGAAAAUAUUUAAAAAAUAAUAUUUUAAAAUUAAAAAAUUAAAAAAAUUAAAUUUUUUUAAAAAUAUAAAAACAAACAGUAUUUUAAAUCACAGACAAAGAACACAAGUCUGGUCCUUUUCUUUUUCCUUUCACUGUUGUUCCGUCCCCUCUGCAUUUUUGUCCACAGAGCUCAAUUUUAACGUGUCACCCACGGAAAAGAAAACAAGCCUAAUUUUAAUUUUUUUUGAAAUUAUGGGUUGUGAUGCGUUUCUAAACGGUACUUUAUUAUCCCGUCCCCUUUUCGGUAUGCAAAACUGUCUUAGUUUUUCUUUGGGAGUGGGGGGAUUGAUUCGGAGUUUAAUCGGAUUUUAAUUCGAAAUUAAAUUAGUUAAGGAAUUGAUCGUUUAACUUUUUAAAAAAUUAUUUAAACUAAGAAUCAAAUCUUGAUAGCUUGUCUGUUUUAAAUAAAAAUGCUUUGUCAACACACUAUAUUAACACAUUUGAUAGAAAUUGAUUUUAAUAUUAUUUAAUUUCACCGCUACUGUAUAAUAUAAUGAAAGACUAAGGUGAAAUUCUUACCAGUGGUGAUCAGUUUUUGAUUGAUUAGGUUUUUGGUUAAAAAAAAACCAAAUAUUUUUUAAAAAAAUAUCACAACUGAACUGUUUGGUUUUUUUAAUAAAAACUGGUAAAAUCUGUUUUUGUUUUUUAGUUUUUAUGGGAAUUUACUAAAUUUUCAGUUUUUUUCAAACUUUUUUUUUAAGUUUUAUGGGUAUUUUUAUACUUUUUAUAUAUCUAGCUAUUUUUAGCCCAGGUUAAUUAACAAUGCAUGCCAGGAGAAAAGUAUAAACAAAAACUUUAAAAAAUAAAAAUAUAUAUUUUAUAAAAAAUUAUUUUCUAGCGAGUAAUAGAAAAAAAUAAUAGCAAAGACAAAGAACACAAGUCUAGUUAUCUUUUUCCUUUCACUGCUGUCCCGUCCCCUCCGCAUGUUUUUUCCACAGAGCCCAAGUUUAACGUGUCAUCCGCGGAAAAGAAGACUUGGGGUAGAAUUUGAGUUUUUUUAAGAAAAAAAAAAUAAUAUAUUUUUUAUAUUUUUAUAAAAAUAUUAUAUUAAUAUAUUUUUUUAAAAAAAAUUGAAUGCUUGAGCAAUACUCACUGUCCCGUCCCCGCUGCAGUAUUCUCCAUGGAACCCAAGUUUAAUUCUGAUGCAAUCCUGUCUCAGUUUGUUUGAGGAGUUGAUCGUUUAACUUAAAAAAAAUAAUAUUUAAACUAAGAAUCAAAUCUUGAUAGCUUCUGUUUUAAAUAAAAAUGCUUUGUCAACACUAUAUUAACACAUUUGAUAGAAAUUGACUUUAAUAUUAUAUACUUAUAUCUAUAUAUAUUGUUUAAACCAAGAAAACAUGCUUAAAUUACGGCGACUUGGGAUACGUAAAGGAAUCUUUUACUAUUUCUGAAAAGUUGUGUAAAAAUUUAUUUUUAAAUUAAGUUUUUUAGGGAUUGAUAACUGGAACUAGUAGUGUUUAUUAAUCCAAGAGCUGAAAAUCUACUUUUCACUUUUUCACUUUUUGAUGGGUAUUAUCAAUUAUGGUUCGGCCAAUGCCAGCCAAAACCCUAAAAAAACUACAUGUGUGCCCCGCUCUCACGCUGGGGCCUAGGAGCCUGGCGAUUUUUAUCAAAAUCUUUAAACAUUUAGAUAAUUCAUAUAGUAUUUCAAUACUUAAAAGGAACGUAUUGUAAUUAUAGCAAAAGUUAAAUGGUAUGGAGAAAUUAUUAUAUAUUAAAAUAUAUUUUAUUAUGAAUUGUAAUAAUAUUUUAAUUUUUAAUUUUUUUUUUAAUUUGUUUUUUGUUGUUUGUGUUUUUUUUUUCUUAACAUCUAAACUACUCAAUUGUCUUUUUUUUAUUAUUAUUAUUUAUCAAAUUAGACAUAACCGCUAUACUCAAUUCUCUUAGAUCUGGUUUGGCUAUAUCUAAUUAUUUUAGAUUUUGCAUGACAAUUAAACCCAAGGCUCUUUGGUUUGUCAUGACCACUAAACCCAAGAGUCUAUAAAAAUAUUUUAAAAAAUAAUAAUUAAGAUUUAAGUUUAAAAUACUUUAAUGAUAAUUUAAAUAUUUUUAUAAAAACAAAAAAAAAUAUAAACAAAUUAAUUAGGAUUUCUGUUUAGGAUACUUUAAGAUAAUUUAAAUAUUUUUUGUAUAAAAUAUUUAUAAAAUUAUUAAUUAAUAUUUUUGUUUAGAAUAUUUCAAGGAUAUCUAAAUUUUUUUUUAUAAAAAAUAAAAAAAAUUAAUUAGGAUUUUUGUUUAGGAUACUUCAAUGAUAGUUUAAAUGUUUUUUUAAUAAAAAAUAAAAAACAUAAUUAGAAUUUUUUUUAUGAUACUUAAAAGAUAGUUUAAUUUUUUAAAAAAAUAAAAAUAAUUUAUAAAGGAAUUAAUUAGAAUUUCUGUUUAGAAUACUUCAAUGAUAGUUUAAAUGUUUUUUUUUCAAGACUUUUGGGUUUAACAUGGUUGCCAGAUUCAAUUCACUUGAGUAUAGUAUGACUGUUAAACCCAAUAAAUUUAAAAUAUUUUUUAUACUUUUAAUAUCUUUUUAACAAUUUUUAAAAAAGAUAUUGAUCUACUGUGAAGAAUAACCCAAAAUAUUAGUUUAUGUUAUUUUAUAUCAUUAUUAACGUCAAAUUUUUUUUUUCUUUCCAUAAAGUCCAUUUGAAAGGAAAGAUUGGAUGAAAUUAGAAAUCACAAGACAUCGUUUGUUUGGCGAAAAAUGAUUUCCUAAAAUGAUUUUUCAAUUUUUUCUCUGUUUGUUUGUCAUUAGAAAUGUUGGUCAACAGAAAACACUUUUCAAUUAAAGAAAAAUUUUGCUUAGUUUCAAGGAAAGUGUUUUUCUUUUUAUUUUGGAUGGAAAACACUUUUAAGAAGUUAUGAAAAAAUUAAAAAUAUCAUCUUAUUUACUAAUUGUAUCCAAUUUGGUCCUUAAAUUUUUUAUUGCUAUAUAUAUUUUGUUUAGAAUAUUUAUUUUUCAAUUUUAUCCAUUAGAAUUUGAUUUUUAUAUUAACUUUGGUCCUUAUUUUUAUGAUUAUUAUUUGAUUUUGAUCUCUUAUCAUUUUUUUAAUUGAAAUUUUUUAUCUAUCAAAUUUGGUCAUCAUUCUUUUAAUUGUUACUUAUUUUAUUUGAAAUAAUUUAUAAAAUUAUAAUAAUUAUUAUUUUAAUUUCAUCAUCUUUUAAUUUUUUUAAUCUGUUAAAUUUGAUUUCUAUUAUUUUAAUUAUUAUUUAUUUUAUUUGAGAUAGUUUAUGAAAUUAUAUAUUUUUUUCAAUUUCAUUCUCAUUCACCUUUUUAAUUUGUAAAUUUGUUUCUUAUUAUUUUAAUAAACUUGAAAAACAAUAAAACAUUAAUAAGUUAUUUUCUAGUUUAUUUUCUAUGACAUAACCAAACACUAAAAAAUAUUUUCAGUUAAAAAGAAAAGUCAACUUGGUUUUGGACCUUACGACUGGAUCCAUAAUCCGGAUUUUAGACCUAUAAAGCCCACGUUCCGGCCAUUUUGUUGCAAGGCCCAUUAUGCCUAGAAAUUAUUCCCGUGAUGUUAAAAAACGUUGUUCAUGUUAAGAAAAAUAAUCUUUCUAGAGUGGUGAUAUAUAUAUAUUUGCGCUACGGAAAGCAAAGAUAACAAGGUGCAGGGGUGGAUGUGCCAAGACCCAGCAGUGGGAUUUUGGAUCAUCACACAAUAUGCAUUACAUAUAGUGUGUUUGUAUAAUUAACAUAUACAUAAAUUGUUUAUUAUUUUUUAUAUAAAAAAACGAUUCAACCAAGAAAAUUGGUUAAAUUUUGAAUGAAUAUCAAGAAUUAUUAUAUAUAAAAAGAUUUUAAUUUAUAAUUAUUUAAUAAACCUAUAUUAAAUAUCAUAUCAAAUAAUCAUCUAAAUCAAUCAAACAAAAGGUAUAAAAUAGUAUUAUAUAUUUAUAUUAAUUCAAUAUCAUAGGAUUCCAUGCACACAUGUACACGGUUUGAUCCGAAGAAUGAUGUGAUAUAUACCGUAGGUAAAAGCAAUUAAACUCGAGAUUGGUUUUUUGCUCAGGUUCCCAGGUAAUAUAAUCUUCUUCUUUCUAUUGGUUCUUCUGUAAUUACACACACACACACUUUUUGCAUCGUAGGGAUGAAGGAAACAACUGGUCAUUACACAUUCCAAUUGGAUUUAGCAUCAGCCCAUUUAUGUGCCCUUCAGGUAAAAAUCUUCACAUUCUUUCGAACAAAUGUUUUUUUCAAAAGUAAAAUAAACUGAGUUACUUUCUCAUGAUUUGAUCGAUCUUUUUUUUCAAUCUGUACGAGAAUUGUGCUUACUUUUUCAAUGAAGAAUAAAAAAAUAAUUCUAAUAAUUGAAUACUCAUCUUAUCCCUCUGGAAACUCAGAGAGUGCAAUAUCAUUAUGAAGGAGAGAGUACUUAUUUUCAUUGAAAAUGAUUAUUGUCUACAUUAAUAAGACACACAGAGAGAAUAAUCAUGUGCAUCAACAGCAGAGAGAAUCUGAAGAGAACAAAGGAGAGUAAUAUUCUAUGCUUCGAAAACAUUUUCAAAUGCCCUUUGCCGCGCAGAAUUCUGAUCCUAAUAUCAAAAUCGUUUCCUUUUAUGAAUUAGUUUUGAUUCUUUUUUUGGGGUGCAAAGUUUUUGAUGAAAACUAAAAUACAUGAAAGAUUGUAUGUAAGGUUUUCGUAUAUUUAGACACAUAUAAGAAGAUCUUUUCGCUAAUUAUCGUGUGAUACUAAAUUUCUUUAUUUUUUGUAAUUAGGUUUUGUUUUUUCGAUUCAUAAAUGUUUUUCUACAACUGGGAUGCGCAUAUAUUACCAUGCAUGGUUUUUAAGAAAAACUGUGAAAAUUAAAAUAAAAAAUAUAUUAAUUUGUAAAUUUUCAGUAAAUAUAUUCUUUUAGUACUCACAAAAUUAAAUAAAUUCAAUUAAAUAAAAUUUCAAAAUAUAUUUUAUAUUAUUUUUUAACUAAUAACAGGUAUAACAAUCAAACACUAAUUUGAAGUAAAAAAUAAAAAAUAAAAUCAGUUACAUUACUUCUUCAUGAGAGAAUGAAAAGAACAGGAUCCGAUGGAAUCGCCAUAUAUCAUGUGAAGUUUACAAUUUCCACCACCGGUUCCAACGGUCAAGUGAAAUAAGUUUUAAACUUGCUUUGCACUUCUAUAUUAUGUAAUUAUUUAUUUUUGUCAAUAUUUAUUAAUACCAGGCUGCAAAGUCAAUGCUCAGAGAGGAGAAUGAUUAACUAUGCACGCCCUUGCAUUAUGAAUUUGUCUAUGACGACGUCCUCUUUAACAUGGUAGAGUUAAUAAUUUCUUAGAUAAUUAAUUAAUUAAUUAUUAAUUCUCUUGGUCUUUCCUUCAAGAUCCAACAUCCCAUUUGCAAAAUAAUUAUAUGAAAAGAAAGUCGGUCCAAUAUUAAAUAAUAAUAAGUUACAAGUCCAAUCAUUACCAUUAUUUUAUCAAAUUACAUGUUAUUUAUAGAGAGCAUAUAGCCCUUGUUUGACAUAUUCAUACUAUCAUACACUUCAACUCAUCGUUCUUCUCCACAAUCAAAUUCAGGCUUCAGCAGCAAAAAGUUAUAAUGGCGGUAAGCGUGUAUACAUUUAGUGGAUGAAAUUAACCGUAGGUUAAUUAAAAGAGCUUUCUAUUAAUUAAUAUUUUCUCGUAUCAUAUUACAACUGAAAGGAAAGAAUGACACAAUUGUAUUGAAAAUUUUCGUUGUAUUUACCCAGUCGAUCAUAGAAAUGAGAGUGCAUAUGGAUUGUGCUCGAUGCGAGAGCAAGAUGAAAAAUGCUCUGGAAAAAGUCAAAGGUAAGAAACACCUCCACUAAAAACUUUAUGCAAGCGACAAUUUCUUCAUAAUCAUCCCUUUUUUUUCAUGAAUUAUUUUCUAUGUUCCUCUCUUUUUAAGGUUUCCUUUGGACAUAUUUUCUUGGACUAUAUCUUAAACUUUUGUAUUUAUACAUAUACACACACAGGCGUAGAUGACAUAGACAUAGAUAUAGAUAUGGGGUUACAAAAGGUGACGGUCAUAGGAUGAGCUGACCAAAAAAAGGUUCUAAAGACAGUUCGAAAGACAGGAAGAAGAGCUGAGCUCUGGCAAUUACCUUACAAUCCACAACAUCAUAGCUAUUCUGGCCAUUACUAUAACCAACACCAAGUUAACGGUCCACUUACUUACUAUGCUCCUCAGCCUUCCUCUUCUUACAAUUACUACAAGCAUGGAUAUGAUAGCAAUUAUCAUGGUUAUUGUUGCACCCAAAAAAAAAAAUUCGGCGCGCGGCAUCGGAUGGCGAUUUAAGUCUCGUUGUCAUUGCGUUUGUUUGAAUUGUUCGUUGGAGUCGCCACCUAGUAAUUUAUUGAAGGCUACUAGGAAACCGGAUAUACUGGUCUGGUUAGAGAUUCACGGGUAAGGGACUGGUUGUGGUUAGGGAAGGUAUUAGCACCCCUAACACACCCUACCUGAGGUAAGCUGCUUCGUGACUUUGACGUGUUAAAGAAGUUUUAAUAAUUGUCUUUUCAUCGGAAAUUAGAAAUAUCACUUACGUAUAAGUUAAUAAUUCUUAACCGUGAUCCGAUCAAAAUAUUAAAUUCUUCUUUAAUAUAUUUGCAAUUUCAUCCUAAAAAAUAAAAAAAUAAAUAAAUAACAUAACAAAAUUCAUAAAAACAAAUACAAACACACACAUAUACUUUCACUAUAUUUCUUUUCUUUUCUUUUCCUUUCUUUUUUUUUUUUUUUUUUGUUACAUCCAUAAUACAAAAUACAAAUACAAAUUCAAAUUCAAAAUAAUAAAUAAAAAUUACAUUACAUAAUUUAAAAUUUACAAAACAUGUCCCUAAAAUUCUAGAAAUUGCAGGGAAGGACUCCUGCACCCGCUGGAACAGUAGCGGCGCGUCGCCCAACGCGCCCCCACCACUGGCGGCGCGUGGGCUCACGCGCCGCCGCUGGAAACUAAAAAAAACAGGGGGCUGGGGUCUUCUUCCCCUCUGUCUUCCCACGCCGGCGGUGGGAGUCACCGUCACCUUCAAAGACCCCAAAGAUACACAAGGCAGUUGGUUUUAGUUUUGUUUUCACAUAUCUGUUUUCCUUCUUCUUCUCCAGAUCUGCUCCCGGUCUUCUUUCUUCUUCGUGACGUCCGUCUUUCCUUCUUCAAUCGGUGGCUCUGUCGGAGGCGGGAGCUGUCGGUGGUGGUCACUGUGUUGACAGCGUGGACGGCGCUGUUCGGCUGAAGAAGGAGACGGCGGGUCUGCAGCGAUGGGGAACGGCUGUUUUCUGUGGGCACCGGGACUGUGGUUUCGGAGGAGGCGCCGUCGAAGGAAGAUCGAUGGCGGGGGAAGCAGCGUGGAUGGAGAGGGACGGCGCCGCCGCUGGGUUCUUCGGGUGGCUGAGGAAGAAAGGAAAUAAAUCAGAGGGAAAGGUGGGGGACGAGUCUGUCGGAGCAAAACAAUUCCAGCGGGGGGAUAAAACAAAUCAAGCCGGAGAGGAGAGAUUAGCCGUGGCCUCUGGUUUUGGGAGAGCUGGUAAAUGAAGGCAGUGUGUUGAUGACCGGUGGCUGGGUUAAGGAGGAGGAAAUCCGGCCUGGUUUGGGUCGAAAAAAAAAAAUGAAACCGGGGAGUAUGGGGGCCUGUUUGGCCGGGUGUAGGGGAGCUGUGGUUGGGGGAAGGAAGAAGAGAAAAAAUAAAAAAAUCCAAAGGAUGGGGGGCUCCGGUGGCUGCCUUUGGUUAGAGAUGGAUUUUAGGGUUUUUUUGUGGUUUAGGGUUUUUAUUUGUUUAAUUUUCUGGUGUUUCCAAAAUUAGCCCCCCCUUGAAUGUGUUGAAGAAACCAGUAUUUAUUGGCGAAAUGUUGCUAGGUUUUUCAACUUGGUCCCCUCAACUUCUUUCUUUUUUGUAAAUUUUGAUUUUUCUUAUUUUUUUGUAUUUUUUUGAAAAACGAGCAAUAUCAAACGUCGACUCAAUGAGGAAAAUCAAUUAUUUUAAAAUGGCGCGUGAAAAUUCGAACGCAUUUGAAAAUCUUUUUAAAAAAAUUAAAAUUCUUUUUUAGACGACGUUGAAAAUGCUAAAAAUGACGAAAAUAUAUUAAAAAAACAUAUUUUUUGGAUUUUCUUUGUUUUUCUCUAUUUUGAAAAUAUUUUUGAAAAUAUAUCAAAAACAUGGGUCAAAAAUUGGGUAGCAACAGUUGCCCCCUCUUUACAAUGCUUACGAAGCAAAACUCCUCAAAAUUUUGAAUAGUAAGCUUUGUAAAGAAAACAAAAGGAAAAUGAUUUCAUUAUCUUGGGCGACCUGCCCACACACUCACACGGAUCUAUUUUCACGGGCGACCUGCCCACACAUACUCACUCUGGUCUAUUUUCACGAGCGACCUGCCCACACAUACUCACUCUGGUAUGCAUAUGUUCGAUGUUCAUCUAAAUGCACUCACCCGAUAACAUCUGCCCACACACCUCAUUCAACUGGAACGAAAUAUGCGUAACUCGGUUAACCUGAAAUCCCAUCUGGCGAUUCCCUUUAACCAAAGCUACAUGAGAUCCCAUCUGGCGACCUCAUUCAACUGGAACUAAACUGUGUGUAACUCGGUUAACCUGAAAUCCUAUCUGGCGAUUCCCUUUAACCAAAGCUACAUGAGAUCCCAUCUGGCGACCUCAUUCAACUGGAACUAAACUGUGUGUAACUCGGUUAACCUGAAAUCCUAUCUGGCGAUUCCCUUUAACCAAAGCUACAUGAGAUCCCAUCUGGCGACCUCAUUCAAUUGGAACGAAAUAUGCGUAACUCGGUUAACCUGAAAUCCCAUAUGGCGAUUCCCUUUAACCAAAGCUACCCGAGAUCCCAUCUGGCGACCUCAUUUAACCAAAACAAAAGAAUGUGUGAAAAAUGGUCUCAUUGUAUGGGUGACGAACCCAAGAAAAAUGAUGGUCUCAUUGUAUAGGUGAUGAACCCAAGAAAAAUGAUGGUCUUAUUGUAUGGGUGACGAACCCAAGAAAAAUGAUGGUCUCAUUGUAUGGGUGACCUACCCAAAUGGAAAAAAUGUGAAGUGCGGUCUCAUUGUAAUGGGUGACCUACCCACGUGGAAAAAAUAUGAAGUGUGGUCUCAUUGUAAUGGGUGACCUACCCGAAUGGAAAAAAUAUGAUGAAGUGCGGUCUCAUUGUCAUGGGUGACCUACCCGGAUGGAAAAAAAUAUGAAAAACGGUCUUAUUAUGAUGCGAGACCUACCCAGAUGGAAAAAAUGUGAUAUGACAAGUGUGAAAAAUAGGACUUACCUGGCGAAGUCUGAGGGGAUGACAGAAGAAGGGCUGGAAAACUUGGUGCUUCCUGAUAAUUCUCAAUCAUAGGGUUUGAAAACUCGAUGUUUCCUGACUGCAAGGGUUGAAAACUCGAGGCUUCCCGAUUGCAAGGUUGAUCUUUUCAUUUCUUUGGGAUUUUCCUAAUGGUAAGGUUUAUCCCAUCUUCUUUUUAUUCCAUGAUCAAAACCGAUUCGUUACUAUUAUCACCACCAUGCUUCCUUCUUUUUCCAUCAUCUUGCUGGACCUCAUUAAGGGUUUUCCUGUAACAAUUCAAAAAUAUAUGCAAAUAUUUUUUUUUAUUUUUUUUUUUAGGUUAGAUGAUAUGCAUGCAUCCUUACCUGAUUUGAAAUAAUAGGUCCCCCCUCUUUGAUGCUCCAUCGUCAUAGGGUGCCCUUGUUUGUAUCCCAAAGCUUUCUUUGUUCUUCCGAUGUAUUGGCUCAUUCAUGUGUUAGCCAUCCACUCAGCUGUAAAUGCAGUGCCCAUCCCGGGCUGUCUUCGACAAUUACUGCUUGCAUCGUUCAUGAAGCUUGACCCUGCCCCCAAGUGUGGUACUGCUUGAUUCAUCAUGAAGAUUUUCUCUCCUGGCUUCUUCUGAGAAUUAUCCUCUGAUUGAUUGUGUGCAUCAUGCCAACACCCAUCACGUUUGUUAAUCAGUCAUGAACUUGCCUUCGGUUGAAACACCAUUCAAGUAUGUAUGGUCACCAGCCUUCAUGGAACUGCCAAGUCAUCCAGACAUGUAUCUCAUGCUUUGCAGUAAACAACUCAUCAUUGUAAGCGCGAUGUAUUUCUCUAUGGAUUCCUCUUAGCUUGUCAAAUCAGAUCGUGAAAAUACCUGCUUUGGCAUCAUCAAUGAUGUUCAUGUUAUCACCCAUAUUCAUGCGGUGAAGUGCGCAUUUGAGCUUCAGAAUAGAUGGUCCCAUCGUAAAUCUUGGUGGUAUGCAUAUGUUCGAUGUUCAUCCAAAUGCACUCACCCGAUAACAUCUGUCCGGAGUCAUAUCCAUGUUUUACAAAGUAACCUAAGAUGAAGAUAUGAAAAUAUCUUUCUAGUGCAGCGUUGCUCAUCAAUUGCUGCUGAAGUGCACUAGAUCAUGGAUUGUCUUUGAACAACAUUGGCCCCAGUAUGAUCUGAAGGUUCAUUCAUUGGUUUAUACUCAAGAAGGUUUUUCUUUUUCAUUGUCAGAUGCUAAACAUAACUUUGAUGAACUUUGACAACUCAUUAUCGGAUUCUUUCUUUGCCCCUAGCUGAUCUGGAUACUGUUUGCUUUCCUUCUUAAGGUCCACUGUAUUGCCCCCAGGUGGUCAACGUUUCAAGGAGUGUCGAGAAAUGUUGAUGUCAUUUUUGUCAAGAAUUUUGCAAACUCAAUUGAUGUUCUUGUUUGAAAAUCUUUCUUGUUCUGGAAUCAAAUCUCAACAUUUCAACGAUCAUGUCUAUUCAAGUAUAAUUGUUGAAAUGAAAUCAGAGAGAUAUCAGUUUUUGAAAAGUUAUUUUUGAAAUUCGAGCUCCUUUGGUCAAAGACCCAACACACUAUUCAAUGCAGUCCUUUGAUUGUCUUGUAUUUUGAAAACAGAAAUGACCCGUUGUAAGAUUUAAAAUGACUUUUUCAUGGUUCUUUGUGUCCACUUUAAACUCUGAUUUUGGGUAUAUCUUUUGAUGGUUUAUGGUGAGGUGAUAUUUUUGUGAAUCUCAAAUGACUAGAUGCUCAGGCUUGAUAAAGAAAGGUUGUUUCUUUUCUCAGUAUUUAUUUUAUCAGCAUGCAUAAUAACCAGUAGCCUAAUUCAAUGAAGCCACGACUCUUAUAGAAAAAACUCUUCAAGUUUUGAGAUCGCCAUUUAUUGGUUCAGAUUGCUUGCUUGAUUAAAAAGGGCUUUUAAAAGCACGUAAUGCAGGCUAUGGUUCAUGGCUAUGAAAGAAAGGAAUUCCAUAGGCUCAAAAGGUGUUUGAGGGUUUCAACGACCUAGGACCAACAUUAACUAUUCACCGAUUCUCUUUCUCUUGUUGUCAUUGUAAAGAGAGUGACAUAUAACCUUGUUAAUCUUCAAAUAGAAUUCUCUUAACAUAGGUCAUAAUGCAAAUCCAACUUUUUCUUUGAUGAAUAACUAAUCUAAAUAUUUUUGAAGACAUUAGAGGCUCUAUCCAAGACACACCAAAAGAUAUGAAGCAUCGAUUUUUCUAGUGUUGACUUUUGGCAUUUGCUGUCUUUUCUCAAUUGAAAACUGUCUUGCCUCUCUUAGAAUUGAUAGGCAUUUUCUUUCCUUUCCAUUUUCUUUACAUUUUUUUUUGCAUAGCCUUCCUCAAAGUUUUUUCUUGGAUGGCCCUCAAUCUAUGGAUUUUCUUCUUCUAGCCCUUUCUCAAACAUUGGACUUUUGUUCUAAGCUUUUCUUUGAUCCAUUGAUUUUAUCAGUGUCUCCAAAAUAUUUCUCAUUUGCCCCCAGUGUGGGGUGUGAUCCUAGUCAGGGUUUCCUUUUGAAAGAAAAUAUUUCACCAGGCUCAAAAUGGGACUACAAGGGAUAUAAUCUUUAGAAAGUGAAGGGAUAUCAAAGAUGGCCUUUUCUCAUUUCAAGCAAAGUCGGUUAGAACCGAUAAAUUUUGACCUCAUCUAGUGUAAUGAUUUGUAUUUGCAAGAAUCAUGAUUCACGAGUCCAUAACUAUUGAAUCCACUACAUGUCAUUAUGCAUACUGCUAAAACUUAGCUAUAUGAUGUGUGGUUCAGUUUCAAAAGGUAUGAGUUCAAAAUUGUUUCACCUCAUGUCAUUUUCAAGCAUAGAGUCAUUUCUGUAAUCAAAACACUUUUAAUCUUCCGGAUUGAUUAACCUUUAUCGCAUGUUGGAGUUUGAUCAAAAUAUUUUGUCAGAAUAAAAUGUUAAACAUCUGUUGAUUUCAAAACAACAAAGAGACAAAAGCAAGGCAUGUUUCGUUGAAGGAUGAGAUGUGAUCCCAAAACAAAAUGCAGAAUUCCAUAACAAUAUGAUUGACUGUUCAUCACCCUUCUCGAAUCAGCUUUUCUGGCAAUAUCUGUGUUUUGCCAAGCAUUUUCGAUCACAUGUCAUUCUAAAGAUGUUCGGGGAACAAUAUAGCCAAUGACACCCUCCUUCAACGACUCCACUUGUCUCUUACUCACAAACUUUCAGACUCGCUUCUUGAAAUUCUUGCAAUUGCUCAAUUGAAAUGGUUGAGGACCCCAUCAUGACAUCACAUCUCUUGUCUGGAUUAAACCACCCAGAAAAUGGUGGUUGCAUGGGAUUUGUCGGAGUCAAGCAAAAUUCUGGAAUCUGGCAGAUGCUGGUCGACAAACUUAAAUGGCAGAGGAAUGUCCCAUCUUGGCAAAGAUAUUUGAGCAAUUGAUGCUACCGUGAGACCUGGCUAUACCACAUAAUUAAGGGCUCACACCGUCAAAGUCAUCUCCUGAUUCACCUCUCAUCAUUGUUCUAGAAUCCAUGGCAGAUCCUUCAAUCUUUCUUCUCUUCAUAGCUUGUUCAAUUCUUCGGCAAAUCCUCACAACAUUAUUUCAAUCUUCCAAUGUUGCUAUGGUUGGUUGAGGAUUGUUAGAAAACUUUCUAACAGCUUGGUAAUCUUGGCAGCGCCCAGAAACUUGUAGUAUCGCCACUACCACGUGUGGAAUCACACUUGUCUCUCUAUUGGAGAACGAUGAACUGAAUCUCCUUUGUCUCUUCGAUUCUCUGAAGUGCAGCAAACAACACCAUAGAGGAAGUCCUGCUCUGUUGAAGUUUCAGUCUUCUUCAUGUUUUUCAGUCUAGGCAUGUCUCUUCUCUCUACUUUUGCGUUUUAAUACUGACACUGUUGGAGGAAAAUCAUAGAUGACCUGAAACUACUGUAUUCCUUCUUGGACUUCCCACUUGCGGAUCCACAAACAGAUUCCUGCUGAGAGAGCUCUGCUACGUUGAAGUUUGAUGUCUGCUCAUAUUUUUCAGACCAGGUCUGGCUCUUCAACCUACUAAGAGGUCUUCGUGCUGAAACUGAUGAGAGAAAUAUUUGUAGCAUAUGCAACUUAUAAAUCCCCUCUUGCCUUCCCAAUUUGCAGAGCCAUAAAUUGAUUUUUGUAGAGAGAGCUCUGCCACAUUGAAGUUCAGUGUUCAAUCAUGGUUUUUCAGACCAUCUUGUGCUGCUGAACUGGAAUUGAGCUCGUAAUCGGGGUAACUUCAAAGCAGAUUAAUGCACCAUGUACAGGAGACCAGUAGUUGUUUGGUUCCAUUAGAUGAUGUGGAGGCGAUGAACAUUUAACAAUGCAACUGGAUAAGAACCAGAGUUGUCAUUAGUUGAUGACUGAAGGCGUUGUUGCUUUUGUUCAUGACGAAAAAGGAGAGAUACAGCUUCAAUUAGAUGUGAACAAGCAGUGUUCCCACAGAAGAACUGUGCAGAUAUUCUCUUUCCAUUUGAUGCUCAACACUUGUUCGAGCAGAUCUGAGUCUAGCUACUUCACAUUUAAUGCUCUCAACCUUAAUCUGAUAAUGAGCCUCUAUCUGACACCUUUCUUCACCUCCAUCAUUUUUCUCCAAUCACGUGCAGCACAGCUUGUGUGGGGGACCUACCUUUCAGCCCGGUACAUGCAUGAUAAAUGUAUGAACAUGUAAUCUAUAUGAUGAACUCACCCUUCGAGAGGUGACAAUAUGGUCGUAACUCUUGUAUGAUGGACAAGAAUCGUGAUUUUUGCCCAAACUCUACAAUGAAAAUUUUCGGAGCAACGGCCAAUGUGUCACCCACAAGUCUUGAGUUCAAGAUGCUUCAAGAAGGGUUUGCCCUUAUGCAAAAAACGAUAGCACAUACAACCUAAGGACAGGUUCUAUUCAUUAUGUGAACAUGGGUAGGUUUUCUAUCUGGUCUCAAAAGGGUCUCAUAUCUGCCCAGUGACGUUCUUCGUAAAGACAGUAUGGGGGCGUUGCAAGGAAUGGUUAAGGCACGUAUACCCACCAUUACCAAGCAGGCACUCAGAUAUGAGUUGGGUGUUUCACGCAUCUGAACCCUGACCAAUAGUCUUAGGGCAGAUCGCUAGUUCCCCACCUAACCUAGAAGCUUGUGUGUGCUUUCAAAAAUAAAUACAGGUGAUGCAUGAGACAAUUCUAUAAAAUGCAUGGAAAUAAAUAUUAACAAAAAGAUAAAAAUGCAAAAACUUAAACACAUCAAAUACACAAAGCUUAGUCCAAUAAUGUCAGAAACAGUACCUUCCCCAGUGGAGUCGCCAUUCUGUCGCACCCCAAAAAAAAAAUCAGCGCGCGGCAUCGGCUGGCGAUUUAAGUCUCGUUGUUUGCGUUUGUUUGAAUUUGGUUCGUUGGAGUCGCCACCUAGUAAUUGAUUGCGGGCUACUAGGAAACCGGAUGUACUGGUCUUGUCAGAGAUUCGCGGGUAAGGGACUGGUUGUGGUUAGGGAAGGUAUUAGCACCCCUAACGCACCCUACCUGAGGUAAGCUGCUUCGUGACUUUGACGUGUUAAAGAAGUUUUAAUAAUUGUCUUUUCAUCGGAAAUUAGAAAUAUCACUUACGUAUAAGUUAAUAAUUCUUAACCGUGAUCCGAUCAAAAUAUUAAAUUCUUCUUUAAUAUAUUUGCAAUUUUAUCAUAAAAAAAUAAAUAAAUAACAUAACAAAAUAUAAAACAAAUACAACACACACAUAUACUUUCACUAUAUUUUUUUCUUUUCUUUUCUUUUUUUUUUUUUUUUUUUGUUACAUCCAUAUACAAAUACAAAUACAAAUUCAAAUUCAAAAUAAAAAUAAAUUACAUUACAUAAUUUAAAAUUACAAAACAUGUCCCUAAAAUUCUAGAAAUUGCAGGGAAGGACUCCUGCACCCGCUGGAACAGUAGCGGCGCGUCGCCCAACGCGCCCCCACCACUGGCGGCGCGUGGGCUCACGCGCCGCCGCUGGAAACUAAAAAAAACAGGGGGCUGGGGUCUUCUUCCCCUCUGUCUUCCCACGCCGGCGGUGGGAGUCACCGUCACCUUCAAAGACCCCAAAGAUACACAAGGCAGUUGGUUUUAGUUUUGUUUUCACAUAUCUGUUUUCCUUCUUCUUCUCCAGAUCUGCUCCCGGUCUUCUUUCUUCUUCGUGACGUCCGUCUUUCCUUCUUCAAUCGGUGGCUCUGUCGGAGGCGGGAGCUGUCGGUGGUGGUCACUGUGUUGACAGCGUGGACGGCGCUGUUCGGCUGAAGAAGGAGACGGCGGGUCUGCAGCGAUGGGGAACGGCUGUUUUCUGUGGGCACCGGGACUGUGGUUUCGGAGGAGGCGCCGUCGAAGGAAGAUCGAUGGCGGGGGAAGCAGCGUGGAUGGAGAGGGACGGCGCCGCCGCUGGGUUCUUCGGGUGGCUGAGGAAGAAAGGAAAUAAAUCAGAGGGAAAGGUGGGGGACGAGUCUGUCGGAGCAAAACAAUUCCAGCGGGGGGAUAAAACAAAUCAAGCCGGAGAGGAGAGAUUAGCCGUGGCCUCUGGUUUUGGGAGAGCUGGUAAAUGAAGGCAGUGUGUUGAUGACCGGUGGCUGGGUUAAGGAGGAGGAAAUCCGGCCUGGUUUGGGUCGAAAAAAAAAUGAAACCGGGGAGUAUGGGGGCCUGUUUGGCCGGGUGUAGGGGAGCUGUGGUUGGGGGAAGGAAGAAGAGAAAAAAUAAAAAAUCCAAAGGAUGGGGGGCUCCGGUGGCUGCCUUUGGUUAGAGAUGGAUUUUAGGGUUUUUUGUGGUUUAGGGUUUUUAUUUGUUUAAUUUUCUGGUGUUUCCAAAAUUAGCCCCCCCCUUGAAUGUGUUGAAGAAACCAGUAUUUAUUGGCGAAAUGUUGCUAGGUUUUUCAACUUGGUCCCUCAACUUCUUUCUUUUUUGUAAAUUUUGAUUUUUCUUAUUUUUUUGUAUUUUUUGAAAACGAGCAAUAUCAACGUCGACUCAAUGAGGAAAAUCAAUUAUUUUAAAAUGGCGCGUGAAAAUUCGAACGCGUUUGAAAAUCUUUUUAAAAAAUUAAAUUCUUUUUUAGACGACGUUGAAAAUGCUAAAAUGACGAAAAUAUAUUAAAAAAACAUAUUUUUUGGAUUUUCUUUGUUUUUCUCUAUUUUUGAAAUAUUUUUGAAAAUAUAUCAAAAACAUGGGUCAAAAAUUGGGUAGCAACAGUUGCCCCCUCUUUACAAUGCUUACGAAGCAAAACUCCUCAAAAUUUUGAAUAGUAAGCUUUGUAAAGAAAACAAAAGGAAAAUGAUUUCAUUAUCUUGGGCGACCUGCCCACACACUCACACGGAUCUAUUUUCACGGGCGACCUGCCCACACAUACUCACUCUGGUCUAUUUUCACGAGCGACCUGCCCACACAUACUCACUCUGGUAUGCAUAUGUUCGAUGUUCAUCUAAAUGCACUCACCCGAUAACAUCUGCCCACACACCUCAUUCAACUGGAACGAAAUAUGCGUAACUCGGUUAACCUGAAAUCCCAUCUGGCGAUUCCCUUUAACCAAAGCUACAUGAGAUCCCAUCUGGCGACCUCAUUCAACUGGAACUAAACUGUGUGUAACUCGGUUAACCUGAAAUCCUAUCUGGCGAUUCCCUUUAACCAAAGCUACAUGAGAUCCCAUCUGGCGACCUCAUUCAACUGGAACGAAACUUGUGUAACUCGGUUAACCUGAAAUCCCAUCUGGCGAUUCCCUUUAACCAAAGCUACAUGAGAUCCCAUCUGGCGACCUCAUUCAAUUGGAACGAAAUAUGCGUAACUCGGUUAACCUGAAAUCCCAUAUGGCGAUUCCCUUUAACCAAAGCUACCCGAGAUCCCAUCUGGCGACCUCAUUUAACCAAAACAAAAGAAUGUGUGAAAAAUGGUCUCAUUGUAUGGGUGACGAACCCCAAGAAAAAUGAUGGUCUCAUUGUAUGGGUGACGAACCCAGAAAAUGAUGGUCUCAUUGUAUGGGUGACGAACCCCAGAAAAAUGAUGGUCUCAUUGUAUGGGUGACGAACCCAAUGGAAAAAAUGUGAAGUGCGGUCUCAUUGUAAUGGGUGACCUACCCACGUGGAAAAAAUAUGAAGUGUGGUCUCAUUGUAAUGGGUGACCUACCCGAUGGAAAAAAUAUGAUGAAGUGCGGUCUCAUUGUAUGGGUGACCUACCCGAUGGAAAAAAGAAAAACGGUCUUAUUAUGAUGCGACCUACCCAGAUGGAAAAAAUGUGAUAUGACAAGUGUGAAAAAUAGGACUUACCUGGCGAAGUUCUGAAGGGAUGACAGAAGAAGGGCUGGAAACUUGGUGCUUCCUGAUAAUUCCCGAUCAUGGGUUUGAAAACUCGGUGUUUCCUGACUGCAAGGGUUGAAAACUCGAGGCUUCCCGGUUGCAAGGUUGAUCUUUCAUUUCUUUGGGAUUUUCCUAAUGGUAGGGUUCAUCCCAUCGUCCUUUUAUUCCAUGAUCAAAACCGAUUCUUUAUUAUCACACCACAAUGCUUCUUUCUUUUCCACCAUCUUGCUGGACCUCAUUAAGGAUUUUCCUGUAACAAUUCAAAAAUAUGUGCAAAUGGUUUUUUUUUUUUUUUUUUUAGGUUAGAUGAUAUGCAUGCAUCCUUACCUGAUUUGAAAUAAUAGGUCCCCCUCUUUGAUGCUCCAUCGUCAUAGGGUGCCCUUGUUUGUAUCCCAAAGCUUUCUUUGUUCUUCCGAUGUAUUGGCUCAUUCAUGUGUUAGCCAUCCACUCAGCUGUAAAUGCAGUGCCCAUCCCGGGCUGUCUUCGACAAUUACUGCUUGCAUCGUUCAUGAAGCUUGACCCUGCCCCCAAGUGUGUACUGCUUGAUUCAUCAUGAGAGAUUUUCUCUCCUGGCUUCUUCUGAGAAUUAUCCUCUGAUUGAUUGUGUGCAUCAUGCCAACACCCAUCACGUUUGUUAAUCAGUCAUGAACUUGCCUUCGGUUGAAACACCAUUCAAGUAUGUAUGGUCACCAGCCUUCAUGGAACUGCCAAGUCAUCCAGACAUGUAUCUCAUGCUUUGCAGUAAACAGCUCAUCAUUGUAAGCGCGAUGUAUUUCUCUAUGGAUUCCUCUUAGCUUGUCAAAUCAGAUCGUGAAAAUACCUGCUUUGGCAUCAUCAAUGAUGUUCAUGUUAUCACCCAUAUUCAUGCGGUGAAGUGUGCAUUUGAGCUUCAGAAUAGAUGGUCCCAUCGUAAAUCUUGAUGGUAUGCAUAUGUUCGAUGUUCAUCCAAAUGCACUCACCCGAUAACAUCUGUCCGGAGUCAUAUCCAUGUUUUACAAAGUAACCUAAGAUGAAGAUAUGAAAAUAUCUUUCUAGUGCAGCGUUGCUCAUCAAUUGCUGCUGAAGUGCACUAGAUCAUGGAUUGUCUUUGAACAACAUUGGCCUCAGUAUGAUCUGAAGGUUCAUUCAUCGAUUUAUACUCAAGAAGGUUUUUCUUUGUCAUUUUCAGAUGCUAAACAUAACUUUGAUGAACUUUGAUGACUCAUCAUCAGAUUCUUUCUUUGCCCCCAGCUGAUCUGGAUACUGUUUGCUUUCCUUCUUAAGGUCCACUGUAUUGCCCCAAGGUGGUCAACGUUUCAAGGAGUGUCGAGAAAUGUUGAUGUCUUUUUUGUCAAGAAUUUUGCAAACUCAAUUGAUGUUCCUGUUUGAAAAUCUUUCUUGUUCUGGAAUCAAAUCUCAACAUUUCAAGGAUCAUGUCUAUUCAAGUAUAAUUGUUGAAAUGAAAUCAGAGAGAUAUCAGUUUUUGAAAAGUUAUUUUUGAAAUUCGAGCUCCUUUGGUCAAAGACCCAACACACUAUUCAAUGCAGUCCUUUGAUUGUCUUGUAUUUUGAAAACAGAAAUGACCCGUUGUAAGAUUUAAAAUGACUUUUUCAUGGUUCUUUGUGUCCACUUUAAACUCUGAUUUUGGGUAUAUCUUUUGAUGGUUUAUGGUGAGGUGAUAUUUUUGUGAAUUUCAAAUGACUAGAUGCUCAGGCUUGAUAAAGAAAGGUUGUUUCUUUUCUCAGUAUUUAUUUUAUCAGCAUGCAUAAUAACCAGUAGCCUAAUUCAAUGAAGCCACGACUCUUAUAGAAAAACUCUUCAAGUUUUGAGAUCGCCAUUUAUUGGUUCAGAUUGCUUGCUUGAUUAAAAAGGGCUUUUAAAAGCACGUAAUGCAGGCUAUGGUUCAUGGCUAUGAAAGAAAGGAAUUCCAUAGGCUCAAAAGGUGUUUGAGGGUUUCAACGACCUAGGACCAACAUUAACUAUUCAUCGAUUCUCUUUCUCUUGUUGUCAUUGUAGAGAGUGACAUAUAACCUUGUUAAUCUUCAAAUAUCAGAAUUCUCUUAACAUAGGUCAUAAUGCAAAUCCAACUUUUUUUUGAUGAAUAAACUAAUCUAAUUAUUUUUGAAGACAUUAGAGGCUCUAUCCAAGACACACCAAAAGAUAUGAAGCAUCGAUUUUUCUAGUGUUGACUUUUGGCAUUUGCUGUCUUUUCUCAAUUGAAAACUGUCUUGCCUCUCUUAGAAUUGAUAGGCAUUUUCUUUCCUUUCCAUUUUCUUUACACACAUUUUUUUUUGCAUAGCCUUCCUCAAAGUUUUUUUCUUGGAUGGCCCUCAAUCUAUGGAUUUUCUUCUGCUAGCCCUUUCUCAAACAUUGGACUUUUGUUCUAAGCUUUUCUUUGAUCCAUUGAUUUUAUCAGUGUCUCCAAAAUAUUUCUCAUUUGCCCCCAGUGUGGGGUGUGAUCCUAGUCAGGGUUUCCUUUUGAAAGAAAAUAUCUCACCAAGCUCAAAAUGGGACUACAAGGGAUAUAAUUUUUAGAAAGUGAAGAGAUAUCAAAGAUGGCCUUUUCUCAUUUCAAGCAAGGUCGGUUAGAACCGAUAAAUUUUGACCUCAUCUAGUGUAAUGAUUUGUACUUGCAAGAAUCAUGAUUCACGAGUCCAUAACUAUUGAAUCCACUACAUGUCAUUAUGCAUACUGCUAAAACUUAGCUAUAUGAUGUGUGGUUCAGUUUCAAAAGGUAUGAGUUCAAAAUUGUUUGGUCACCUCAUGUCAUUUUCAAGCAUAGAGUCAUUUCUGUAAUCAAAACACUUUAAUCUUCCGGAUUGAUUAACCUUUAUCGCAUGUUGGAGUUUGAUCAAAAUAUUUUGUCAGAAUAAAAUGCUAAACAUCUGUUGAUUUCAAAACAACAAAGAGACAAAAGCAAGGCAUGUUCGUUGAAGGAUGAGAUGUGAUCCCAAAACAAAAUGCAGAAUUCCAUAACAAUAUGAUUGACUGUUCAUCACCCUUCUCGAAUCAGCUUUUCUGGCAAUAUCUGUGUUUUGCCAAGCAUUUUCGAUCACAUGUCAUUCUGAAGAUGUUCGGGGAACAAUAUAGCCAGUGACACCCUCCUUCAACGACUCCACUUGUCUCUUGCUCACCAACUUUCAGACUCGCUUCUUGAAAUUCUUGCAAUUGCUCAAUUGAAAUGGUUGAGGACCCCAUCAUGACAUCACAUCUCUUGUCUGGAUUAAACCACCCAGAAAAUGGUGGUUGCAUAGGAUUUGUCGGAGUCAAGCAAAAUUCUGGAAUCUGGCAGAUGCUGGUCGACAAACUUAAAUGGCAGAGGAAUGUCCCAUCUUGGCAAAGAUAUUUGAGCAAUUGAUGCUACCGUGAGACCUGGCUAUACCACAUAAUUAAGGGCUCACACCGUCAAAGUCAUCUCCUGAUUCACCUCUCAUCAUUGUUCUAGAAUCCAUGGCAGAUCCUUCAAUCUUUCUUCUCUUCAUAGCUUGUUCAAUUCUUCGGCAAAUCCUCACAACAUUAUUUCAAUCUUCCAAUGUUGCUAUGGUUGGUUGAGGAUUGUUAGAAAACUUUCUAACAGCUUGGUAAUCUUGGCAGCGCCCAGAAACUUGUAGUAUCGCCACUACCGACGUGUGGAAUCACAUAUCUCUCUAUUGGAGAACCUGAUGAAUCUAAAACUCCUUUGUCCCCUCUUCGAUUUCUCACUGACAGUGCAGCAAACAAACACCUAUAGAGGAAGUCCUGCUCUGUUGAAGUUUCAGUAUUCUUCAUGUUUUUCAGUCUAGGCAUGUUCUUCUCUCUACUUUUGCGUUUUAAUACUGACACUGUUGGAGGAAAAUCAUAGAUGACCUGAAACUACUGUAUUCCUUCUUGGAUUCCCACUUGCGGAUCCACAAACAGAUUCCUGAGAGAGCUUUGCUACGUUGAAGUUUGAUGUCUGCUCAUAUUUUUCAGACCAGGUCUGGCUCUUCAACCUACUAAGAGGUCUUCGUGCUGAAACUGAUGAGAGAAAUAUUUGUAGCAUAUGCAACUUAUAAAUCCCCUCUUGCCUUCCCAAUUUGCAGAGCCAUAAAUUGAUUUUUGUAGAGAGAGCUCUGCCACAUUGAAGUUCAGUGUUCAAUCAUGGUUUUUCAGACCAUCUUGUGCUGCUGAACUGGAAUUGAGCUCGUAAUCGGGGUAACUUCAAAGCAGAUUAAUGCACCAUGUACAGGAGACCGGUAGUUGUUUGGUUCCAUUAGAUGAUGUGGAGGCGAUGAACAUUUAACAAUGCAACUGGAUAAGAACCAGAGUUGUCAUUAGUUGAUGACUGAAGGCGUUGUUGCUUUUGUUCAUGACGAAAAAGGAGAGAUACAGCUUCAAUUAGAUGUGAACAAGCAGUGUUCCCACGGAAGACGAUGUGCAGAUAUUCUCUUUCCAUUUGAUGUUCAACACUUGUUCGAGCAGAUCUGAGUCUAGCUACUUCACAUUUAAUGCUCUCAACCUUAAUCUGAUAAUGAGCCUCUAUCUGACACCUUUCUUCACCUCCAUCAUUUUUCUCCAAUCACGUGCAGCACAGCUUGUGUGGGGGACCUACCUUUCAGCCCGGUACAUGCAUGAUAAAUGUAUGAACAUGUAAUCUAUAUGAUGAACUCACCCUUCGAGAGGUGACAAUAUGGUCGUAACUCUUGUAUGAUGGACAAGAAUCGUGAUUUUUGCCCAAACUCUACAAUGAAAAUUUUCGGAGCAACGGCCAAUGUGUCACCCACAAGUCUUGAGUUCAAGAUGCUUCAAGAAGGGUUUGCCCUUAUGCAAAAAACGAUAGCACAUACAACCUAAGGACAGGUUCUAUUCAUUAUGUGAACAUGGGUAGGUUUUCUAUCUGGUCUCAAAAGGGUCUCAUAUCUGCCCAGUGACGUUCUUCGUAAAGACAGUAUGGGGGCGUUGCAAGGAAUGGUUAAGGCACGUAUACCCACCAUUACCAAGCAGGCACUCAGAUAUGAGUUGGGUGUUUCACGCAUCUGAACCCUGACCAAUAGUCUUAGGGCAGAUCGCUAGUUCCCCACCUAACCUAGAAGCUUGUGUGUGCUUUCAAAAAUAAAUACAGGUGAUGCAUGAGACAAUUCUAUAAAAUGCAUGGAAAAAAUAUUAACAAAAAAGAUAAAAAUGCAAAAACUUAAACACAUCAAAUACACAAAGCUUAGUCCAAUAAUGUCAGAAACAGUACCUUCCCCAGUGGAGUCGCCAUUCUGUCGCACCCAAAAAAAAAAUCAGCGCGCGGCAUCGGCUGGCGAUUUAUCUCGUUGUUGCGUUUGUUUGAAUUUGGUUCGUUGGAGUCGCCACCUAGUAAUUGAUUGGGCUACUAGGAAACCGAUGUACUGGUCUUGUCAGAGAUUCCGGGUAAGGGACUGGUUGUGGUUAGGGAAGGUAUUAGCACCCCUAACACACCCUACCUGAGGUAAGCUGCUUCGUGGCUUUGACGUGUUAAAGAAGUUUUAAUAAUUGUCUUUUCAUCGGAAAUUAGAAAUAUCACUUACGUAUAAGUUAAUAAUUCUUAACCGUGAUCCGAUCAAAAUAUUAAAUUCUUCUUUAAUAUAUUUGCAAUUUUAUCAUAAAAAAAUAAAUAAAUACAUAAAAAUAUAAAAACAAAUACAAACACACACAUAUACUUUCACUAUAUUUUUUUCUUUUCUUUUUUUUUCUUUUCUUUUUUUUUUUUACAUCCAUAAUACAAAAUACAAAUACAAAUUCAAAUUCAAAAUAAAUAAAAAUUACAUUACAUAAUUUUAAAAUUUACAAAAACAUGUCCCUAAAAUUCUAGAAAUUGCAGGGAAGGACCCUCCUGCACCCGCUGGAACAGUAGCGGCGCGUCGCCCAACGCGCCCCCACCACUGGCGGCGCGUGGGCUCACGCGCCGCCGCUGGAAACUAAAAAAAACAGGGGGCUGGGGUCUUCUUCCCCUCUGUCUUCCCACGCCGGCGGUGGGAGUCACCGUCACCUUCAAAGACCCCAAAGAUACACAAGGCAGUUGGUUUUAGUUUUGUUUUUCACAGAUCUGUUUUCCUUCUUCUUCUCCAAAUCUGCUCCCGGUCUUCUUUCUUCUUCGUGACGUCAGUCUUUCCUUCUUCAAUCGGUGGCUCUGUCGGAGGCGGGAGCUGUCGGUGGUGAUCAUUGUGUUGACAGCGUGGACGGCGCUGUUCGGCUGAAGAAGGAGACGGCGGGUCUGCAGCGAUGGGGAACAGCUGUUUUCUAUGGGCACCGGGACUGUGGUUUCGGAGGAGGAGCCAUCGAAGGAAGAUCGAUGGCGGGGGAAGCAGCGUGGAUGGAGAGGGACGGCGCCGCCGCUGGGUUCUUCGGGUGGCUGAGGAAGAAAGGAAAUAAAUCAGAGGGAAAGGUGGGGGACGAGUCUGUCGGAGCAAAACAAUUCCAGCGGGGGGAUAAAAAAAAUCAAGCUGGAGAGGAGAGAUUAGUUGUGGCCUCUGGUUUUGGGAGAGCUGGUAAAUGAAGGCAGUGUGUUGAUGACCGGUGGGUGGGUUAAGGAGGAGGAAAUCCGGCCUGGUUUGGGUCGAAAAAAAAAUGAAACCGGGGAGUUUGGGGGCCUGUUUGGCCGGGUGUAGGGGAGCUGUGGUUGGGGGAAGGAAGAAGAGAAAAAAUAAAAAAUCCAAAGGGUGGGGGGGCUCCGGCGGCUGCCUUUGGUUAGAGAUGGAUUUUAGGGUUUUUUGUGGUUUAGGGUUUUUUUUUGUUGAAUUUUCUGGUGUUUCCAAAAUUAGCCCCCCCCCUUUGAAUGUGUUGAAGACACUAGUAUUUAUAGGCGAAAUGUUGCUAGGUUUUUCAACUUGGUCCCUCAACUUCUUUUUUUUUUUUGUAAAUUUUGAUUUUUCUUAUUUUUUUGUAUUUUUUGAAAACGAGCAAUAUCAACGUCAACUCAAUGAGGAAAAUCAAUUAUUUUAAAAUGGCGCGUGAAAAUUCGAACGCGUUUGAAAAUCUUUUUAAAAAAUUAAAUUCUUUUUUAGACGACGUUGAAAAUGCUAUAAUAACGAAAAUAUAUUAAAAAAACAUAUUUUUUGGAUUUUCUUUGUUUUUUUCUAUUUUUGAAAUUUUUUUGAAAAUAUAUCAAAAACAUGGGUCAAAAAUUGGGUAGCAACAAUUAUUAUCAUCAUCCUGUGCAUUCCUCCAUCUUCAAUCACCAGACAGGAGCAGCUUUCAGUGAUGAAAACCCUCAUGGUUGUUCUAUAAUGUGAACAACGUAGUAUAUAUAUAUAUAUAUAUAUAUAUAUUAUUCUUACUAUAUAUGUAGUUAUACUGCUUUGUUUUUCAUGUACUAAUUUUCUUUUCACUUUAUGUUUUGUUAAACCUUGUUCACAUGAAGCUAUAAAAUAUAGACAAGAAUUGCCUUUUUUUCCUUAUCAUUUUGCAACUAAUUAAUUGUUUUAUUCUGAUUUGUGCCUAGGCAUGGUAUUGUCUUCUGAGAAAACCGAGCUCCAUUGAUCUUUUCUUUUUACUAAACUAAAUCGCCACCUAUUGCAAUUAAAAUUUUAAUCAACAUUAAUAUCAUUCGGAUAGGAUUAGGAUGUACUCUUCCACAAACUCUAAUAAAUCUUUUCCAAAGAAGAGAUGCCUUGGAAUGUUUUAGAAAUGGGAUAAUAUUCUCAUAUGCACACCUAACUUAUUCGCUAUUAUCCUUUCUCAGUUGUGUCCCUAAACUAUAUAUUUAAGCAAUUAGGUCCAGAAUGUAUCUAGGAAUUAUCAAUCUGAUCCUUUCAUCCUCAAAUAUACUUUGUAGUCAUCUUUAGGUGUGGACACGGUUGAGAAAAUUCUUAAGCAAAUUUUUUAUGGACAAAUCCAAUUGAGAAUUCUUGGGACCAGUUGGUUGACAGUUAUAGUUGGGUUAAGGAUCAAAUUUAGAAAAGAAUUAGAGAUAAGGGACCAAAAUUAUGUUACCCAGGAACCCUAUAAAAAUUAGGGAUGAAAACUGUCAGUGAAUAUAAAUUAUAUCUUAUGACCUCACUUAACAACUUAAAGUUUUUAAUUGAGAUGGUUUUUUGGUAUGAUAUCAAAACCUUGAUGACCAAGCGAUUAGAAAUUUGAAUUUCACCAUCCUUAUUUAUUUGAUAAAAAUUAAGCACAAUGUACUAUGGAUCUGUGUAAGUUUCAAGCUCAAAAAGCUUUCACUUAAGGGGGUCUUAGAGAAUAAUAUAAAUAAUAUCUUAGGAACUCAUGUAGCAGUUUAAGUUAUUAAGUUGGGAUGAUUUUUUAACAUGGUAUAAGAGCCUUCAUGGCCAAGCAGUCACGAGUUCGAAUCUUACCAUCUUCAUUUAUUUGAUAAAAAUUAAGCACAAGGUAGUGUGAGUCUGUGCAAGUUUCAAGCUCAAAGGACUUUUCACUUAAAGGAGUGUGUUAGAGAAUAAUAUAAAUCAUACACUACAAGAUUUCACAGUUUUACCGACGGAACUAUUCCGUCGGUGUGUGACAGAAAGUUCGUCGGUAAAUUAUUUACCGACUAUAUUACCGACGGAAUACACCAGUCGGAAUACCUUUUGUCGGUGAUUCCACAUUCUGUCGCUAUAUCGGUCGGAAAUACAAAAAAAACAUUUAUCGACGGACCGUGCGCGCCAAACAAAAAAAAUUUCCCGCUUGGAAUAUACCGACGGAAAAUAUUCCGUCGGUGUUAUGUACAUACCGACGGAAUAAAUCCGUUGGUAAAAGUGUCGGUGAUAUUUCAUACCGACCGAAAAUUUCCGUCUGUAAAUUCGUCGGUAAGUUUAUACCGACGGAUUAUUUUCGUCGAUGAAUAUGUCGGUGAUGGGAUGGAAUACCGACCGAAUCUGUCCGUCUGAAUAUUCGUCGGUGAUGGUGGCAGACAUUGUCCAAUGCCGACGGAGUUAUUCCGUCGGUAAAUCCCUGUGUAAUUUUUUUUUUAAUUUUUUAGAAAAAAUAAUAUAAAUUAAUGGUAAUACAAACUAAUUAUGCAAAUAAAAUUUAUAUUAAGCAACAAAAACUCAAAGUUAAAUAAUAUUCAUUACAAAAUGAAUGUGUUUCAAAAAAACAUUAAACGAAAUUUUAAAUGUAAAUAAUGUUUAUUAAAAAUUAAUAUAAAGGUGGAGGAGGAGGAGGAGGAGGCUGGGGGUUAGGCGGCCAAAAAGGAUUAGGCGCACAUGUUUCACCUUAUGUCAUGUUCAUGACCAUUUAACGAAGCUCUUCAUAGGCCGCUCUUUGUUGUUCAGACUUUGCUCCGUGUUGUUCGUUCGCCAAUCUUUGCUCUUCUUUGAGUUGUGUGUACGCGUCUGAUAGAUGGUCGCACCUUUGCUGUAAGGCCACGAACUCCUUAGAUUGGGAGCUCGAUACAGAUUGGGAGCUCCCAACGGUUGAAGCAGUACCGGUCGACCGCAAGUUGGCGGCGGUAGUGUUGGAGAGCCCGUAAACCCGAUUUUUAUAGUGUCCACCUGACAAUCCAGCCUCCAUCCACAAAUCCGGAUCGAAUUCCGAAUGGGUCGAAGGAUCGUCCCCGUAUCUCUCCCUCAACCGAUUAUUAUAGGUCUCCUGAAAAAAAAAAUCAUCAUAUUGAAUUCAAUAAACAUAAUAAUAACUUACAAAAUAAAGUGGUUGAACAAACAUACCACAAACUGUUGAGCACGGUUGUCAACGAACUGUUGCGUCCCCUUUUGGCGGUCAUGACUCCGCACGUGCGUCUCCACAAAUAGCUCCAUAGGGCUCGGCUCACGUCCAAGAGACGUAGCCUAUAAUGAAAAAAAUGUAUUAACAACAAAUUAAUUGAACGAUAUAUUUCAUUUAAAUUAAUCUUACCAUCCGUUUCGCAUGUGCAGCAAACGGAACGGAGCCGCCGGUGUGCGUUGUCACCGAGCCAUGAAUUGGCCGAUUCCGGUUGCCAGCACCGGACUGUGAGCGUCGAGUGAACCACUCAGACGUCACGUGCUGAAUAUAGUGCGGCCAUAUAUCUUCCGGGAUGUAUAUCGGUUUGAAAUCCCUCCAAACCGCAACAUCGUUCCAGCCUUGGAACCCCUUAUCCCUCGCUGUUUUUUUUGCCUUUUCUGGGUUUCAUACCAAAAAUCACGCAACCUAAUUCACGCACGAAAAAAUUACAUUUCGAAACAUAAAUAAUUAUGUAAAAAAAAAGUCGUAUUGUUUUCGAUGUUACCUAAUUGCCGCGUGAUUUUCCCACACCCUCCUCACAACAGUGUCAUGUUCAUCGUCCCAGCUGAAUCGAUGCUGUGUAUAAAAAAAUAAUUUUUUAAAAUGUUAAUAAUUUAUUUACAAUUAUAACUAGAAUUUAUUAGAAAUAAGCUGAAAAUUAUAUAUUAACACGAACCUCAAAUCUACGAAACCAUGCAUUGAUUUGAGGCAUCCAUUCAGGAUGCCUGGAUAUCUGACUCCAUUAAAACAAUGGAAUCUCCAUCGAUGCUUUAAACGCCGAUGAUAUUACUCGGGCGACCUUAAUGUUUGUGAACCUGAAAAGAAAUGAAAUUAAUGAAAUAGUGAUUACUUCAUAAAUUAUGUUUUAAAUUUAUUUUUUAUAUAUAUAAAAAAAACUAAAACCUUAACAAACUUACAUUGAAAGAUCAUCCUUCCACUGUGCCUCGUACUUGCGGGUAAAUUGAUUCCGCUGCGAAGGCAUGCCGCUUCUGCAAUGUGAAACAUUGCUGGAAAAGGCAGCAUCGGUUGACGGCGCAGGUGGUGUAGGCGCCUCUUCUUGAGAGGCACCUAAGGAAACAUCAGCAUCGCUGCUAGACGAACUUGAUUCGACUGGACGUGAACGACUAGCUCUGGAUUUCAUUCUUCGCAUCUAAACAAUUUUAUAUAAAUAAUUGUAUAAUAAAAUUCAAAAGUUAAAAAAAAUCGGCAGCACCUCCCCUAUACUGGAUACCACCCAAAUCUACAAACCUGCAAAUAUUAACAAUAGCUACAACCAAUUGACCCAAUCUAUAGUAAUUAAUCCAACAUAUUCAACUAUUAAUCCUAAGAUAAAUUCAACGUUAACAAUUACAAUUCACAAAUUAUUUAAUAAUUAUGUCAAUACAACAAAACUAUAAAUUCAAAAUAAAUAGAAACAAUUAAACACAAAUCAUCAAGUUAGAGUAAAAUUAAUAAUUCUUCCAACAUAUUCAAUUAUUAAAUCUAAGAUAAAUUCAACAUUAACAAUAUUAAUUCAACAAAUUAUUAAAUAAUUAUGGCAAUACAACAAUAUAAUAUAUUCAAUAAAAUAAAAAAUAAUUAUAGCCUAACAAUUAAAAUCAAUGGAAACAAUUAAACACAAAUCAUGCAAUAAUAUAAAAAAAUACUAAUUAUUCCAACAUAUCCAAUUAUUAAUUCUAAGGUAAAUUUAACAUUAACAAUCAUAAUUCAACAAAUUAAUCAAUAAUUAUAUAUGGCAAUACAACAAUAAAUUAUAUUCAAUAAAUUUAAAAAAAUAUAUAGACUAACAAUUAAAAUCAAUGAAAAUAAUUAAACACAAAUCAUGCAAUAAUAGAGUAAAAUUAAUAAUUAUUCUAACAUAUUCAAUUACUAAUUCUAAGUUAAAUUCAACUUUAACAACAAAUUAACUAAUAUGUUAUUAUGACAACAAAACAAUAAAAAAUAUUCAAAAAAUUCAAAAAAAAACCUACAUCAAGAAAAGAAACGAAAUAUACAUACCUUAAUAAUAUGACAAAUUCAAAACUUUAUCUACAUUACAAAAAACAAAACACCAAAAUAACAAAAAUAAAAAAACUAAAAAUAAAUCUAAAGUAAAUAAAAUAAAUUGGAAAAAAACACAUACCUUUUAAUAUGAGGAAGAUUCACAACACUAAAUCUUACUAGAGAUUGACGGUGAAAUUCUUGAAGGAUUGAGGGCAAAAAAAUCAAAAAUCUGAGGUGCAAAAUGGAGGAGAAGAGAAGAGAAGCGGCUCGGGGAGAAGAAGAAAAAAUGAGAAAAAGCGGCGGGGGCUGUUACUUAUAGGGCAGUUUUACCGACGGAAUCACCAACGGACAUAAUAUCCGUCGGUAAAAGGUAAAAAAUUCCGUCGGUAACAGGUCAAAAAUCCGUCGGUAAUUUUUGAAUUUCUCACCGAAUUUUUAAAAGCCCUCCAUAUUUUUCGACGUCCGUCGGUGAUUCCAUCGGUAAUAAUUCACACACUUUGGAAAUCGCGCGGUCCGUUGGUAUUUCUGUCGGCAAUAUGUGUGACCAACAAAUUACCGACGGAAAUAUUCCGUCGGUAUUAGCGUCGAAAAAUCUAUCGGAGAAUCCGUCGGUGAUUAUGGCAUUUUGUUGUAAAUAUUUUCGAACUCUCUGUGAGAUGCCGAUGGAUAUAAUUCCGUCGGUAUGCCCGUCGGUGAAGGUGACAUUUUGUUGUAAUUAUUUUCGAACUCUCUGUGAGAUACCGACGGACUUGAAUUCGUCGGUAUCCCCGUCGAUGAUUGUGGCAUUUUGUUGUAAAUUUUUCGAACUCUCUGUGAGAUACCGACGGAUAUAUUCGUGUAUCGUCGGUGAGGUGUGGCAUUUUGUUGUAAUAUUUUCGAACUCUCUGUGAGAUACCGACGGAUGUCGUCGGUAUGGACGUCGGUAAGUUUGCAUUAUGCAGGAAAGGUUGUCUUUGUAUUGCCUGUUUACCUUCCUGCAAAACUUAACUGAUAAACUGUCCAUCACAUAAAACAAUAACCACAUUGCUUAAACAGUAAAUAUUUUGUUUUACAAAAUACAUCAUCAUAAUCUAAAUUACAUGAGACAAAUGUUUUUACAUAGGGCUUCAUUUUCAUAAUUAGUCGGAAUUUUCUUCUUCUCCUCAUCAAUUGAAUUGUCAUCAUCUUCAUCGCAAUCUUCAAUAUGGAUAUCAUCUUCUUCAUCGACAUUUGCUUGUCCGCUAGAGCUGAGAACAACAUUCAACUCCUCUCCGUCAAUAUCAACAAGACUAUCAUCGAGAACUCGAAAAUUUGAAUUUUCUUCCAAUUCAAUCGAAGGAGCAACUCGAUAUGGUUCAACCAACUCACGAACUUGAAAGACUUCAUCUCGCACACUUGUGUCUUCGUUCUCAUCCUGAACAACCUCGACACGACCCCGUGGUUUCGUUUUUAAAACGGACAACCAAUCAACUCUUGACGAUCCUUUCUAAAUGAAGGGGUGUAUGUGUAAUAAACUUGUUGACAUUGCUUUGCGAAAACAAAGACAUCGUUUAUGUUGCGGAGUCUAGCUUUUGAGUUGAUUUCGACCAGACCAUGGUGCGGAUCAACUCUGAUUCCUCUGUCCGUCGUGUCAUACCAAUAGCAUUUGAAUAAAAACACUUUAUUCUGCUCGCUAUGAUAUUGCAGUUCGACGACCUCUUCUAAUCUACCAUAGUAGUCAACUUCUAACUGGCUACUUGUGGAUCCCUUAACACAAACACCGCAGUUGUAUGUCUUUCUUCCUUGCCCGUAUUCUUCAGUAUGGAAAACAUAUCCAUUGACAAAAUACCCGUUGUAGCACUUAACUUUUCUUUCAGGGCCGAGGCUUAGUGAAGACAAUGACUUGGGCGCACUCCUUCCCAUUUGAUAAACCUUGUAAAUAUAUGUAAUUAAAUGUACAUCAAUACACGGUAAAUGAACGAGAAUCUCGUAAUGACAUGCAUACGUUAGAAUGAGUUUGUGAUAGUGCUUACAUGUGUUCUGAACCAUGUGGCAAAUUGUUCAUCUUGUAAUUGAAAGAUCUGGGAUUCGGUCAGCUGCGAGUUAUUGGAGAGCAAAUAUUGUCGAUGUUGCCUGCAAGUGAUAAUGAGUGUAUGAUAUUACAAUAUAUAAUUAACAGUAUAUUACUGACAAAGUUUAAUUAGUAUUACACAUAUAUAGACUUACUGAAUAAAUGGUCUCAGCUCAUCACAGUUAAAUAGAACAUAGUUGUGUGCUUGUUUGAAUUCUAUUUCCGACAAAUAUCUUCCUCUUACGGCAUUUUUAGGUGUGGGUCGUCCAGUAUUGGAGAAUAUUGACAAGUUCCCACUGGAAGGCACUUCACCGCCAUCGUCAUGCCGUGGAACGCGAUUGAUUCUUGUUCUCAGAUGAGGUUCGAAAUAGUACGAGAUAAAUGUUGAUAUCUCUUCAACAAUAUAGGCCUCAGAUAUCGAAGCCUCAACAUGCGCCUUGUUCUUAACCUUUUUUUUUAGAUUAAACAAGUACCUGCAUUGAAGUACAAUUCAAGUAUUUUCAAAUAAGAAAAACAUAGAAAAUACUUUAAGAUAUGAAUUCCAUUGCAACUGUAAUAUCUCACCGUUCGAAUGGGUACAUCCAUCUAUACUGGACCGGUCCUCCAGCUUUUGCCUCGAACGGUAGAUGUAUAGGGAGAUGCUCCAUUGAGUCAAAAAAUGAAGGAGGGAAUAUCAUCUCAAGUUUGCAUAGUGUCUCGAUGAUAUUCGUUUGAAGCAUCUCAAUGUGCUCAACAUUCAUCUUGCUGGAGCAUAUAUCUCUGAAGAAAUGACUGAUCUCCGUUAGUGCAUCCCAUAUUCCCUUUGGCAACAAAUCACGAAAAGCUAAUGGGAUGAGUGUUUGCAUAAACACGUGGCAGUCAUGGCUCUUCAUUCCAUACAAUCUGCAGUCCUCUAUGUUAACAAGCCUUGAUAUGUUCGAUGCAUGUCCAUCCGGGAAACGCAGACUCUUAAGCCAUUUGUAGACUAGCAGUUGUGCGUUUUUCUCUAACACGAAGCUUGCCCUUGGUUUUGCAACCCGUGACUCGUCAUAAACCAACUCCAUAUUUUUACGGUUACAGUAUAAAGCUAUAUCCAAUCUAGCCUUCAUGUUGUCCUUUGUCUUCCCCUUCACAUCCAUGACGGUGUUGAAAAUAUUCUCAAACACGUUCUUUUCGAUGUGCAUGACGUCAAGGUUAUGGCGGAGAAGAUUAGUCUUCCAAUACGGAAGCUCCCAAAAGAUACUUCGCUUUACCCAAUUAUGGGUCAAACCAAAACCAGGAAACUUUUGCUUACCUGAUUGAAGGCCAAACACAAUGUCACCGUACUCUGAUACAACAUGAUGCAAUUCUUCACCAGAAAGACGCGGGGAUGCAACAUCUUUUUCAACUCUACCAACAAAGAAAUCUUUUCUGUUCUUUCUGAACCUGUGAUUAAGUGGCAAGAAGCGACGGUGACAGUAAAAAAAGAAGCUUUACCUCCGUUUGCUAGCGUGAAUGCCUUGUUGUUUUCCAUGCAGUAUGGACAUGCGAGUUUCCCAUGCGUGCUCCAACCAGAAAGCAUUCCAUAAGCUGGAAAAUCACUGAUAGUCCACAUCAAAGCCGCCCUCAUAAGGAAAUUUUGUUUCCUCGAUAUAUCAUAAGUCAGAGAUCCGGAGGACCACAACUGCGCCAGCUCAUCUAUCAACGGUCGAAGACAAACAUCUAUAUUCCGCCCCGGGCUGCUUGGACCGGGUAUGACAGUAGAUAGAAACAUGAACUCCGGCCUCAUACACAUUCCCGGUGGCAAGUUAUAAACUGUGAGAAUGACCGGCCAACAAGAAUAGGGAGCAGCAAAUGACCCAAAUGGGUUGAACCCGUCUGUACACAACCCAAGUCGAACAUUCCUUGAUUCAGCAGAAAAGUCAGGAUGAACACUGUUAAAGCGUUUCCACGCUUCGCCGUCAGAAGGAUGCACCAUCACACCAUCAACGACAUCGUGUGUUUGGUGCCAUGUCAUGUGCUCAGCAGUCCUUGGUGACAUAAAUAACCUCUGCAGUCUAGGUGUGAUCGGGAAAUAUCUAAGUUUUUUAUAUGCCACUAGAGUCUUCCCCCUGCCAGUUCUGGGUUUGUAACGGGAAUGCCCGCAUGUCAUGCACUCGGUCAUCUCAGCAUUUUCAAGGUAGUAUAACAUGCAGAAGUUAGGGCACAUGUCAAUUUUCUGGUAUCCUAAACCGAGGGGUUUCAUCAUGGACUUCGCAGCAUAGAAGUUCUCUUUGAGCCUGUUCCCUUCAGGUAAAAUGCUUCUUGCCCAAUCAAUAAUUUUGUCAUACCCGGCCUCACUCAACCCGUGAUCUGACUUGAUGGUGAACACCUGUGCCACGACCGAUAAUUUACUGUGGUUUGUGCAGCCAUCCCAUAAUGGUUCGUCAGAAUCUUUCAACAAAUCAAAAAACCUAGCUGCCUCUGCAUUAGGUUCUUCUUCUACGAUUGGACAUUGAUUGACAUUAUCUUGAUUCAUUCUCAUUGCAUCCAUAACCAUGUUUCUGUAAGGAUUAGUGUUGUCAUUUGCCGCUUCAUGCACGUUGCUAGCACUAGAAGUUGACCCAACCACCGUUUCUCCCAUUCUCCUAUUACUAACAAAUACCUCUCCAUGUGCAUACCAACACUCGUAAUCCUCCACAAACCCUUUGUGUAGAAGAUGCAUCAUUACAACAUCUGGAUGCAGAUACUUUUUAUUUUGACACUUCCUGCAUGGACACCUAAUACCGCCUCCAGUAAAAUUUCUGGGAAUAGAUGUUGCGAAAUUAAUAAAACCCUGAACCCCGUUACAAUAAUCCAUCCUCCGCAAUCCUUGGGGUGAAUCUAGAUACAUCCAUGAACGAUCAUCCAUGACUUCUAUCGAACCUCUAUAAAAAGGACCCAUUAAGCAAGCUCUUAAUUAUUUCAAAACAUAACAUGUAAUUCGGUAAUUCUACAAAUUAAGUUUUAACAAUUUACAAACAAAUACAAUCUUACAAAAUCUAAAACAAACCAUAACAAGUAUAAAAUUAUACAUUCAUAUACUACAAGUUUGUUUGAGAAAUAACAAUAAAACUUGUACAUCUACUAAAAAAAAAUACAUAUACUAAAAAAACAAUAAAAUUGACAUUUAAAUGUUAAAAUUUUAAAAGAUAGAAUUACUUACAAAAAAUGAUAAAAUCCAUCGGUAAAUCAGAACACGGAUGCUGUGACCACAAAACUUCAAGAAAUACAACUUGUUGUGCUGAGAUGAGGAAGAUUUUUGUUUUGGGGCGAGGGGGGGCUGGUUAUUUUCAGAUGGGGAGGGUUAGGAUUAAGAAGAAGAAGGAGAAAUGGGGGAGGAGAGUGUCGGCAGAGUGGCCAUAUAUUCACUUUCUCCGACUGACUUACCGACGGUUUUAUUCUGUCGGUUAAUACGUCGGCGAAACCGUCGGUAAUUCUGACAGACAAUCGACACGUCACCGCACGGACCUGCUAUUCAAAUCCCUUGGUGAUUCUGUCGGUAUUAUUGGCGGUGAACAACUCCCAUCACGCAUACGACUCCCCGGUUUUUAUUUCGUCAGUGAUUCCGUUGGAAAAAUCACCCGCCAAUUAAUACCCAACUAUGUUAUAUUUUUAUUAUUAUUUCCUAAGUAUUCUAAGAAUUUUUGUGACUUAUAGUUUUUAAUUUUUUUUUCCUUAAUUAAUAUUUUUUAAAAAUAUAUAUGUAUUUUAAAAAUUAAUUUUCAAAUUUCUUUAAGCUUUUCAAACAUUUUAGCAGGUAAGACGUUUCCAAAUCUUUGUAAAGGGAUGAUGAUAGGAAUUCACGGGUUAGGUUUUGGUAUUAUCUAUACUUGAAUUCAAACCCAAAACAUUAUCAAUAUCCGACUCAAAACUUGAUGAGUGUAAAUUUUGAAUAUCAUAAUCUAAAUCGAUCAAGUUUUAGUUAUCGAUUCAGAUAACCAUUACCUAAUUGCUAUAAUUAAGUUUGUAGAAGCUAAAUGUUAUGAUUAUCUACAUGAGAAUUUAUCACAAACAGAAUAUUUAGAUGACUUAACAAAUGUUUUUAUAAACUAGUAUUGAGAUAAGAUAAGUCUAAGAGAAUAUAUGGUUAUGCUAUACUAUACUAGAGCAGCGACUUAAAACAAAGAUAAUAAGGGAUUCGAUGGUUGGUCGAGAUCAAAUUUUUAUAAGAGAUUAUAGAAGUUAUUUUCCUGUGGGAAGCCACUCAAUUAUUUAUUAGACAACUAGAUCUUUCAAAAUUAAGCCCAAAAAUGGUUCAGAAAAGUGUUUGCUCCAUUAGAAGGUAAGUGUUUGCCCCAUUAGAGAAGAGUCAUUCAAUUUUUUUUUAAUCAAAAUUGUUGUCUUUUUCGCUUUCACUUGCAAACUGAGCGAAUUAACUUUUGUGAGAUGGAAUUAUCUUUGUAUCUCAAGACCAGUCUGGUUUGUCAGGUCUGACUUCAUGGAGCGAGCAAGCUAGCUAGCUGACGCAGGAGCCAAAGAAGAAUGAAACUUGGCAUAUCCCACAUUUCAAAAUAAAUUAUUGUUUUUUAAAAUAUUUUUUAUUUAAAAAUAUAUUAAAAUAAUUUAUUUAUUUUUAUUUUUAAAAAGUUAUGUUUAAUAUCAACAUAUUAAAAAAAAUAUAAAGCCAUAAAAAAUUAAUUUAAAAUAAAAAAUCCAAUAACAUUUUUUAAACACAAAACAACCACUUUACAAUCUUGAAUUAUAAAGAAACCAUCAAGGCAAAUUCUACUCUGUCCCAACUUGUAUUUGUGUCGCUAAAUUUUAAUUAUUAAUAGGAAAAUGAAAAUAAAUAAAUAAACAAUAGUGUCAGAGGUUUUUACCACAAGUCUUGUGAUGUGCAUCAAUUACAAAAAAAAAAUUAAAUUGACAACUGAUUUGGCAACCAACCACAUGAUUUCUGACCAUAUGACAUCACAAUUUAAAAAAAAAAAACAAAAAGGAUUUUCUAAAAAAUACAUGUGAUUUUUAUUUGAUAGAAAAUUUAGAAUUGUUUCUGAAUCAACAUAAUCAACCUAAACACUGAAUACACAAGGUAAAAGAAACUCAAACCAAUGAGACAAGUGCUGAUGGCAAGUCCCAAGGAACAUUCUAGAACCGCAUAUGUGCCCGUGACGAAUGUGAUAAUCAUUGUACUCAUGGCAGUCAUGGUAAGCAACAUGGCACGCCGAAAUAAUAUCCUAGGGGCUACCUUAAAUGCCAUUUCAUGCUUUACCCAUUCCGAACUUUGAAUAUACGCAAUCAAAAAGUGGAUAAAGACAGCAGAAAUGGAGAGCACCAAUGAUAUUGCAUCUGAGAUGACAAAUACUAUAAAAGCAGUUUUUUUAGCUAGAAUUGCGGUGCCUUUAUUUGAACCUUGGUCGCUCUUGUAACCGCCAGGUAAGGUGAAUGCUGCUGCAAAUGUUACUGUUGCUAUCAGUGCCGCAACAACUAGAUGAGAUUCUAUUGCUUUACUCAAAGCUUCGUUUUCCUCUUUGUUUUCCUCAUCAUCUCCUUUCAAAAUAAAGGGACCGUGACCAAUCGGUCCAGUGCCAACAUCUUCAAGGUAUUCUAGGGUCUCUUUCUGCAAAUAUAUAUAUAUAGAGAGUAAAAUAUAUUAAGAUGUUAAAGUAAUUUUUUAUUAUUUUCUAAAAUAUUCUUCUAAGUGAAUUUUUUUAAAAUUUUAUUCAUAUUAUCUUGUAUUUAAAUUUUAUUAAUUAAAAUAAAAAUAGUGAGAUUUAAAUUUAUAAUUGGGUGAUCAAUAAGAUUGUAAUACUAUUUUUGAAAAACUAACUCAAUCUAAAAAUUUAAACAAAUAAUCCAUCAUUUUUAGCUAUUUAACAUAUAUCAUAUAUCAACUUCCGAGCUUUUGUUUCCAAAACUAGUUUUUUUGCAAUCAAAUCCUUUUUGUUACUGUAUAUAUUAGCAGGUAACAAAAACUAAUUUGGUUGAAAUUAAACCGCAUGCUUUACAUUAGCCCAAUUAUCCCCAAAAAGAAAACUAAGAUGUGGACUUAAUUUUAUAUACCAUUAAUUCUACAUCAUUUCACUCUAAAAUUAAUUUCCUAGGAGGAGUAAUCCAAUAUAUUAUUUUUUUUUUUACUCUCCUUAAUUGCUUUUAAGAUUAUAUUAAGUUUCUAUUAGAUUUUUCAACUUUAAUUCUCAGAUUUUUUAAAUUUUAAUUAAUUGUAUUUUUUUUUCAUUCAUUUGUACUACUUUAUAAAAAAGUUACAUGCGAUUUAUAUGCAUAAUCUGUUAUUGUAGAUGAAAAACUUAACAAAAUAAAUAAAAUGACUUCAUUUCAAAUAAAAAAAGAUUAUUAAGUUAUUCAGAUUAUUUUAUUUUUAUAUUUAGUACUGCGAUAUAAUAGAGUGAAACUGAACAAAAGUUAUGUGGACUCAUUUGGUGGACCUGAUUAAGAUGCAGAGCUUAAGAGAAUCUUAGAUGCAAAGUAAAACCAGUUUGCUGUGAUUUAAUUGAUUCAUUAAUGGAUAUAUAUUGUGAAUCACAACAGUUAAUUCUUAGAGGAUUGAUUACCUGUAUCUCUCCAAAAUUUCCUAAAUAAAUGUCCUUGACGCUUAGCUUUCGCAAUUUAUUUAGGAAAUUGCGAUAUAAAUUUCCUAAAUAAAUCGUUCCAAGUCUUGCAAGCUCUGGAAUCUCCAGACAUUUUUUGAAUGCUUCUAUAUCUUUACUGGCCACAGCAUAGUGAAGGGCAUUCCAACCUCUGUUAUCAACUAGCUCACAACAAGCUGGGCAUCCAGAAACAAUCUCUUUCAUUACGUCUACACGUCCUCGAAUGGCAGCAAUGUGAAGAGCUGUUCUCUUCUUCUCUGUUUCAGCAAUGUAGGCCGCGGACGCAUCAUAUUCUAGUAAUACUUUCACUUUACGAGCACCAGACCAGUCAUAAAAGGAAGCGUAGUGAAGUGGUGACCAGCCGUUCUCAUCGGUUGUUUUCGUCAACGAUUUUUCUUUUUCUAACAAUUUUCUUGCUGUCUCUGAAACACCAACAAAACAAGGAAUAAAAGUUAUCCUACAUGAACAACAGUGAUUUCACUUAUGCCCCGUUUAAUAAUUUCUUUUAGAAAACUGGUUUCUUGAAAAAUAAUUUUCUAGAUAAUGAAUUAUUUUUCAAUGUUUUAUAGCAUCAUGAAAAAUAAAUUGAAAAAUAUUUUUCAAUAUUUAGCUAUGUCAUAGAAAAUAAAUUAUAAAAAAAAUUAUUAAUAUUUUUUUUCAAGUUUAUUAAAAUAAUGAAGAGCUAAUCUUACAAAUUAAAAAGUUGAAUAAAAAUAAAAUUGAAAAAAAAUCUAAUAUCAUAAAUGAUCUCAGAUAAAAUAAAUAACAAUCAAGAUAAUGAAGAUAACAUCUAACUGAUAAAAAAGUUCAAAAAUAAUCAAAUUAAAAAAAAUUAUAAUUUCAUAAAUUAUUUCAAAUAAAAUAAAUAACAAUAAAAAAUAAGGACUAAAUCUUAUAAAUAAAAAAAUUCAAUUAAUAAUUUCAGAAAAAUAAAUAACAAUAAUAAAAAUAAGGGUCAAAGUUAAUAUAAAAAUAAAAUUAAAUCAAAUUUUAAGAUGAAAUUUGAAAAAAAAAAAAAAAAAUCUCCAGACUUGAGCGCAAAAUCUUACCAUAAUAUCCCAUCAUGCUUGCCGCAUGUAGAGCAGUUCUACCAUUAGGGCCGCCAUAGUCCACUGAAAUGCAAUUAGUUAGGAUUUCAUCAAUCACCUUUUGUUGACCCCAACUGUAAGAAGCAGCAAUAUAAAGUGGAGUUUCUCCAUGAACAUUGGCGGAAUAUGAAAACUCAGGGUCCUCUUUUGUCAAUAUUUCCACCACAUGGCUCCGCCUAUUUCGAGCUGCCACGUGCAACGCUGUAUCUUGCUCUUCAUUGGUCAUCCUCAACAUCUUUUUUGCUUCUGUUACUCCGCUCUCUGAAUCAGUAGGUAGAGCUUUGGCACGGUCAAUGAGGACCUUUACCACAUUGGAAUGACCAUAUGCUGCUGCCAAAUGGAGUGGGAUUUCACCUUUCUUAUUGGCUUGGAAUAACAGUGGUGGACACAUUUCAAGAAUUUUAUCAACAAAAUCAAAGAGUUUGAUUGAGGAUUCCGGUUCCCUACUUUGGUUUCCUAAGUAGACAUGAAGAAUGGUGUUCUCGUCUGGAGUCAAUAACUGAUCAAGGCAGGUUUGAUAUUUCUCAAAGGGAUCGUUAUCGCCUGCUGCUGCAGCUUUGAACAAGACAGUAUCCAUAUAGGUCGUCAUACUAUUUUGUAGCUUAGAGAAACUCACUAAAUGAAAAGUAAACAAAUGAAGGGGAGGUGAAAUUAACCACUGUGGCUCAAAGGCAAGAGGUUCCACUCCUCAACUCAUCACAAGCUGCUGAUUUCUUCGGUAUUUAAAGGAAGAAAAAGCGUUAGGAACCACAAAUUACAUUUAUUUUGUAGCUUAGAGAAACUAACUAAAUGAA